This 287936-nucleotide long non-coding RNA is filed under the name Zea mays. RNAcentral describes it as "long non-coding RNA (ZMAY_LNC001693)". The record is from RNAcentral. Lineage: Eukaryota; Viridiplantae; Streptophyta; Magnoliopsida; Poales; Poaceae.
GCAUUUGAUGUAAUGGGUCGAGUGCCAUACGAAAAGUCAGCGUUUGUGGAUCAACAGGCACAAGAAAGGUCCUGGGACAUUAACCUAGGAUGGUUCUUGGAGCCAUUGGUUCGUGGUGACUACCCCUUCUCCAUGAGAUCGUUGGUGAGGGAUCGACUACCCUUCUUCACCGUCGAAGAGCAAGAAAGGCUAGUGGGUUCCUAUGACAUGCUGGGGUUAAACUACUAUACCGCAAGGUUCUCCAAACACAUUGAUAUCUCUCCAAACUACUCACCGGCGCUCAACACUGACGAUGCCUAUGCUAGCCAAGAAAGUAAGAAAUAAUAGUUCUGCUCGAUUGUUCUAUUAAAAAAUGACGUUCUCAUACUAAUCGUGCAUGCGCUUUUAUUCUUAUGUCAACCAGCGUAUGGGCCUGACGACAAACCCAUUGGUCCUUGGGUACGUAUCUUCUUACACUAUUAUUUUUACAGUAUUUUAUGUUGAAAGUGAUAAUGUAAAAACUAUGUCCAAGAAUAGUCAUAGAAUGCUCAUGGUUAAACUUUAACUAUCAAACUGACCGAUCUUACAUUGCUACGGUUUCCAUUUAUACUUAAAUAUAGAGAAUAAAGCACAAAGACAUGCAUUGUGUUGGCUCGUAGGUGUGAAGGUAUGAGCCAACAAUCUUAGUUUGAAUAUUCAUUUAUGUAUAAUUUUAUUUUUUAUUAUUUAAAUAUGGGGAGCAUGCUGAUGUUAAGUUCGUAAGGCACACAAAUGUUUUGUGUUGGCAAAAAUAAAGCGGAACAAAUCUGUAGUUUGUUAUUAUGAGUAAUAUAUUCAUUACUUCAUUUGCAGAUGGGGAAUCCGUGGAUCUACAUGUACCCUGAUGGCCUAAAGGAUCUCCUUAUGAUCAUGAAGAACAAAUACGGAAACCCACCCAUCUACAUCACUGAGAAUGGUAAGUAGUAAUGUGCUCCAUAUUUUUGCAUUUUGUUGCAAUUUAAAUCAUAGGUUCUACUACAACCGUUUUUUAUUUGACGCUGAUUAGUUCAGUUAUAUACUAAGAAACAUCAAAUAUAAAAAAACCGGAGGGAGCACUAAAUUUUAGUUGACUACAAACAGUUGUACCUUUUUAUUCUUCUCAUGGGCAUCUAAUCAGGACCAUGUGCAUCUAAUCACAUGGUACGGACGGGCAUGUUGGGCUAGCAUGCAAUCGGUUAUUUGUUAAAACAUCUGGCGAACUUGGCCGGAAAACCCAUGGAAUGAAGUGCUGAACAUGUGAUUAUAUUUACAGGGAUGGGUGACGUUGACAAUGGCGACCUACCCAUGGAAGAUGCCUUGAAUGACCAGAAAAGGAUAAAUUACCUCCAGCGCCACAUCGCAGUUAUUAAGGACUCAAUGGAGUAUGAGUCUCUACGCACCUCUAGUUCAUUUCUCGCAUAGAAACUUGUCCGUUGAUUACAUCUAUCCGUUCAUGCAGAUUGGGGGCAGAUGUGCGGGGCUACUUCGCUUGGUCUCUGGUGGACAACUUUGAAUGGACCGCGGGCUACACCGAACGUUACGGCAUAGUCUACGUUGACCGUAAUGACGGCUACAAACGCUACAUGAAGAAGUCAGCCAAGUGGUUGAAAGAGUUCAACACUGAGAAGGCUGGCAGCGCCUAAUGAUGUGCCAUGCAUAAAAGACCGGGUCUGUGUGAUUUGAAUUCUAUAUUUUUAUUUGCACCUCCACAGGAGGUAGUGGAGUCAUGUUCUCCAACACCGUAUAUUGUUCCAGUUCACUGUUACCGUAUUAUGUAAUAAAUGAAGUGAUCAAUUUCUCUGUUUCAAUAUCUGUAAUGUUGAAUUGGAUGAUAUCUUAUUUUUCUCAACUGGCAAAAGAAACGACUUAAACAACAAGAGCUAAGACUAUCUCCAGUAGGUUACACAUCAUCAUCCUCAUAUUCAAAUUCCACUUUGUAAAAGGUACAGUCACAACAGAAAACAGAUCACUUAUGACGGCUUACUUCUGACGUUUUACAUAGGAGCCGUCGAAGACAAUACAAUGUCCGGCGGUCUGAUGAAGCCGUCGGAAAUAUAAGUAAUAUUCGAUGGCUGUCUGGUCAGCCGUUGGAAAUAGCCAUUACAUCCGACAGCUGUCAAAUCAGCCCUCGAAAAUAGAGUUGUUUAGCUAAUGCCGCCAACCCGCCACAUGAUGCCGUUUCGAUCCAUUCGCUCUCCCACCGCGCCUGCUCCAUCUGUCAAGCCCGCCCCCGCGCCGCCGCUCAUCACUGACGGCCGCCUAUGUCAGCUCCAUGGCCUCCAGCCUUGCGCCCUACCCUCGUCCGCGCCAACGCCGCCACCUUCGUUGGCGCCGGUCACCUUCGACCGCCUCUGCCCCACCUGUCCCCGGCCCCUCCCGCUGUCGUACGCCUCUGCUUUGCCUAGCCCCAGCCGCCCCAACCUUGCGCGCCCACGUCCCGACAGUGUCCACGUCGCCGCCACUAAGUGAGUAGUAUUAAUUGUAUUUAGAUUUGUAUGUAUGAAUGUGUUGAUUGAUGGUAGUUAGUUUAUGUACAAAUAAAUAAUUUGUUUGUUGAAAAUUGUUUAAUUUGUUAUUUCUGACGGCCAAAAUUUGAUUAUAUAAAUUGAGUUAGCUUCAUUUAGUUCAUUUAGGGUUGCUUAUAUAAUACUAAUUUAUAAUUUCCGAGGGUAAUUAUUAAGACCUCGGAAAUUAUAAAUUUCAUAUGGUUUUUCACUCAAAAAACAAUGUUAUUUAGUAUACAAUAUUAUAUUAGUGGUUUAUUAAUUAAAUUAUGUAAUAAUGCACGAUGAUUCUAGCGUUAGCUUAUGUAAAACGAAACUUAGGCGUCACCUGUUUCGGCCCAAUACACCUCACAAGCGAUGUAUGUGAGGCGUGUUGGACCGGAAUUGUCUCUUUAUUGGACAGCCUCGGGGUGACCGUCAGACUCCGUGUUUAUGACAAAGGCAUGUGCUCCUGCGUAGUUUCGGCAGCGUAAUCUCUCUGUUCUCCAAUUGCACCUUUUCAAGCGUGCGAUUGGAGAACAGCGGGUUAUGUUGUCGAAAUUUCGCACGAGCACAUGCCUUGUCAUAAACACGGGCAGCCGUUGGAAAUAAGCCUAUUUCCGACUUGUUAACGUUGACGGAAGAGUGCUGUCGGAUGUAAAACAAAAGUCGUCGGAAAUAGCGUAUUUCCGACGGUUUAGAGCUAUUUCCGAGAGUUUAGGCUGUUGGAAAUUUCCUUUUUUUACUGCUGUGAGUCUGCAGUGCAAAAUAGCUUAAACAGUGUUUUUCACAGCUAUAUGGGUAAACUGCUUGAGGCGGUAUAAGGCUGAUUCCAGCGAUGUCUUCCAUAGAGUCCUCUAAAUUUAGGGGACACUUCUUCGUUCUCUAUGUACAUAGACUCUAUUUUCUCCUGUAUUCAUUUUAAUACACUGAACAAUAGAUUAAGCAACAGUAAAAUAUAUAUAAGAGACAUCUGAGGGUAUGAUAAAUACAUACAUAUAAAAAUCUAGAGCAAAAUAUAUCUUUCAUAUGUGUAUUUAAUAUAUGGAGGACGAGAUAUAGAUGAUAUUGUUUGAGAGAACCGAAUAUAUAUGAGGUAAUCUUUUUAGAUUAUCUUUAAUGGUAUCCUCUAUAUCAAUCUUUUAUAGUUUUCUCUAAAAGAUUUCAUUUUCUAUAUCUUAUUUACUAUUUAUAAAAGUCGGUUCAAAAUUGGCGCUCUCACAGUAUAUUGGUCGACCCAAAUGUUUUGGGACACUGGAUUUCUGAUCAACGGUCAAGGCACGGUCUUGCCUUUAACUUCUUCUCUACGCCUCUCGAUGCUUUAACAGGUUCCAGAGUAUUCAGCCACCUCACCCUCUUACGGCUCAGUCGCCUUCUCACUUCACUCUGCCCACGACCGUCGCCGCUCACGGUGCCCGCCCUCAGCCCGACCUCUCCCUCCCCCUCCCACCGCAGCUCCAAUCAAUCUAUCGUUUCCUCCUUCUGCUCCUUCGCCUCCGAUGACGAUGCCGAGCACCGCUGGCACAGCAACAGGUGCCACCACCUCCUCGACCGGCACCACUCGUGUUCCCCAUGUACGACCAGCACCACCUCCAUCGCCGACGAGCGCCAUGUGUUCCUGAAAAAGCGUCGCCACGGGAUACACAACCACGGUGAGAAGCGUGUGCGCCUGCGCGAACACUCUGCGGUGCGUUGCAUGCUAUGCGUUGUGCUCCUCCUUCUCUUCCUUCGGCAAGGAUGACACAUGCAAGAUGACGUUAUGUGUUCCUCAAGCCGCACCACCAUCGGGUAUGCCACCGUGGUAGCCGACACGUGCACACACGCGGACACGCUAUGCCGCGCCACACGUCGUGCCCUGCUACUCCUCCCUCUUCCUCCUACAAGUGCAGCGUCAAGAAACGAAUGUCGCCGCGGUUGGUAGUGGCUUGGUCCAUUCGCAUGAGCUGUUCGAUGCUAUGCCGCAGUGGAUUGCUAACGACUUUGUCCAUGCACGGGAGCUCCUCGAUGCUAUUUGUCACACCCGGGUUUCGGGGGCACCAAGACACAGGCGCGAACAUAAUCACCAAGUGUGCUGGGACCAAGUCUCACACAUAUGAUGAUUCAUGGUACAGAAACUGAAGGAAACAGGUGACGCCUAAGAGAGGGGGUGAAUUAGGACGUCUAAAACUUUCACUAAACUAGGCCACAAAUAAAUCCCUAGAACAAAACCUAUGCAAAUAAUCAAACUAGAAUGUGCAAACUAAGUUUGUCUAAGUGUUGCUAUCUCUACCGCAAUGACUAAGUUUCAAUCUACACUAUAUAAGUAUAAAGACAAGAUUGAAACUUAAAUGCUUAAUAUAAAUGCGGAAGCUUAAAGAGCAAGGUAGAGAUGCAAACUCUCGUGGAUGACGCCAGUAUUUUUACCGUGGUAUUCGGAACCACGCAAGGUCCCGACUAAUCCUCAUUGGUGCCCCUAAGCAAAGGGAAGCCCACGUGAGGGCCAAGCACCUCGGUCGAGUAACUCUGUAGAGAGCCGCGGGCCUUCUCCACGUGCAAGUGGUGCUCCACUUCCAGCUGCUCUCGGACGCUCCCCGCCGUCUCCACUAUCGAGCUUCUGGCCAAAAUGUCGCGGGCCUCGUUCCCUUCGAUACACGGUGGCGGCCGUGACACAAACACGGUUGUCACGAUCUCGCAAGAGUCUCGCCCCACUCGGUACAAUUACAACGGCUCGCGCAAGAGCCGAGGGGUUUUGUGGCUUGUCUAAACUCACUCAACUAACUAGGAUUCACCUAGAGCAAGCGCUAAUGUGGUCUAACUAACCUAAGCACUUCGCAAAGCACCUACGCUAAUCACCGAGUGAUUAUAUUAAGCACUUGGGUGUUGGAGCACUUGGAAAUGUCUUCAGUAUGCCUUGGUAUGUUGCUUGGGCUCCCACGCCUCCAAAUGGCUGGUUGGAAAGCAGUUUUGCAGCUUUCUGCGGCGCACCGGACAGGUGCACCGGACAUGCCACAUGUACUAGCCGUUGAAGGUAGCCGUUGGAGCUUUCGAAGAUGGCACACCGGACAUGGCGCACCGGAUGGUACGGUGUGCACCGGACAACCCAUGCUCGCUCGUCGUAUUUUGGCCAUAACUUUUAGCUCCAAACUCCGAUUUCGAUGAUCUUGUACUUUUUGGAAAGCUUAUGAAAUUCUCUAUAUCCCAGAGUUGAAGCCAUAUCAGUUUGAGCAAAUUUGGCACAACAGACAGUCCAGUGUGCACAUGACAUCUCAUAUGCUGCUGCAGUUUUUCAGCAAUUCCGACUUUGUAUUGUGGGCAUAACUUUUAGCUCCGAACUCCGAUUUUGAUGGUCUUGGACUUUUUGGAAAGACUAUAAAAUUAUCUACAUCUCAGAGUUGAAGCCAUGUCAGUUUAAGUAGAUUUGAUUUUGUGAAAUACUUCCAAUUCAGUCAGCCCUUCCUCUCAACUUUGUCAACUUCACUUUUGUUUUGCAUCUUUGUAUCUCACUUCUACUUCUUGAUGUGUUGGACUCUUAACAUAUAUAAAGUGUCUUCAAUAUGACUUUGUAAUGUCUUCUAUGGGUCUUAUAAUGUUGUCGGCGUUUCGAGACCGGGGGGUCCCUGGGCCGACGAGUGAAUGUCGCCGCGUGCCCCAGCCCAGAUGGGUCGAGCACGAGGGCGAGCACGAAGGGGGGAGAGCGAGGCGGCCGGAGACCGGCGUGAGAGAGGUGGGAAUCCCGCGGCCUUCGUGUUCGUCCCGCGCCCAGGUCGGGUGCGCUUGCAGUAGGGGGUUACAAGCGUCCACGCGGGAGAGGGAGCGAGCGGCCCCAAGCGAGCGCCUGUCUCGUCCUCGUCCCCGCGCGGCCAACCUUCUCUAAGAGGGCCCUGGUCCUUCCUUUUAUAGGCGUAAGGAGAGGAUCCAGGUGUACAAUGGGGGGUGUAGCAGAGUGCUACGUGUCUAGCGGAGGAGAGCUAGCGCCCUAAGUACAUGUCGUUGUGGCCCGGAGAGAUUUUGGCACCCAGCUGGUGUGAUGUCGUGGCUGUCGGAGGAGCGAUGGAGCCUGGCGGAGGGACAGCUGUCGGAGCGGUUGAGUCCUUGCUGACGUCCUCUUGCAUUCGUAAGGGGGCUGAGAGCCGCCGUCGUCAUAGAGUAUGCGGGGCGCCAUCAUUGCCUAUCUGGCGGAGCGAGCCAGAUGGGACACCGGUCUUGUUUCCUGCGGCCCGAGUCAGCUCGGGGUAGGGCGAUGAUGGCGCCUCCUGUUGACGUGGCUGGUCUGCGCCCUAGGUUGGGCGAUUGUGAAGCUCCUCCGAAGCCGAGGUCGAGUCUGUCUUCCGUGGCCGAGGUCGAGUCCGAGCCCCUGGGUCGGGCGAGGCGGAGGCCGUCGGCUGAGGCCAGGGCGGAGUCCGAGCCCUGGGGUCGGGCGAAGCGGAGUUCGUUGUCUUCUGGGGCUGAGCCCGAGUCCGAGCCCUGGGUCGGGCGGAGCGGAGUUCGUCGUCUUCUGGGGCUGAGCCCGAGUCCGAGCCCUGGGUCGGGCGGAGCGGAGUUCGCCGUCUUCCGGGACUUAGCCCGAGUCCGAGCCCUGGGUCGGGCGGAACGGAGUUCGUCGUCUUCCGGGACUUAGCCCGAGUCCGAGCCCUGGGUCAGGCGGAGCGGAGUUCGCCGUCUUCCGGGACUUAGCCCGAGUCCGAGCCCUGGGUCGGGCGGAGCGGAGUUCGCCGUCUUCUGGGACUUAUCCCGAGUCCGAGCCCUGGGUCGGGAGAAGCAGAGCUUCCUAUGGUGCCUUCGGCCGGGCCUGACUGCCUGUCAGUCUCACUCUAUCAAGUGGCACCGCAGUCGGAGUGGCGCAGGCGGCACUGUCCUUCUGUCAGGCCGGUCAGUGACGCGGCGAAGUGACGGCGGUCACUUCGGCUCUGCCGGCUGGGGGGCGCGCGUCAGGAUAAAGGUGUCAGGCCACCUUUGCAUUAAAUGCUCCUGCGAUUUGGUCGGUUGGUGCGGCGAUUUGGUCAGGGUUGCUUCUUAGCGAAGGCAGGGCCUCGGGCGAGCCGGAAAUAUGUUCGCCGUUGGAGGGGGGCCUCGGGCGAGACGGAAAUCCUCCGGGGUCGGCUGCCCUUGUCCGAGGCUAGGCUCGGGCGAGGCGUGAUCGAGUCGCUCGAAUGGACUGAUCCCUGACUUAGUCGCACCCAUCAGGCCUUUGCAGCUUUAUGCUGAUGGGGGUUACCAGCUGAGAAUUAGGAGCCUUGAGGGUACCCCUAAUUAUGGUCCCCGACAGUAGCCCCCGAGCCUCGAAGGGAGUGUUAGCACUCGCUUGGAGGCUUUCGUCGCACUUUUUUGCAAGGGGACCAGCCUUUCUCGGUUGCAUUUUGUUCCGGUGGGUGCGCGCGAGCGCACCCACCGGGUGUAGCCCCCGAGGCCUCGGAGGAGUGGUUUUACUCCUUCGAGGUCUUAAUGCCUUGCGUAAUGCUUCGGCUGGUCUGAUUGUUCCCUCAUGCGAGCUGGCCGUAGCCCGGGUGUACGGUCGGGUCCCAAGUUCUCGGUCUGGUAUGUUGACGCUGUCAACAGUUCGGCCGGAGCCGGGUUUGCGAGAGCAGCCCCCGAGCCUCUGCACAGGGCGAGAGGGCGAUCAGGGACAGACUCGACUUUUUUACAUACGCCCCUGCGUCGCCUUUCCGCAAGGAGGAGGGGGGAAAGCGCCAUGUUGCCCUUGAUGGGCGCCGAACAUGGUGUCUCCGGUGAGCUGCAAGCGGGUAAUCCGAGUGGACGUCCGUGCCCCGUUCGUUAGGGGUCGGCUAGGGGCCCAGAGGCACGCCCAAAAGUACCUGCAGGUGAUCUGCCGGACCCAGUCCCCUAGCGACGGGGUCCGAGGGCUCGAUGCCUCCCUCUGAUGGGAAUCCGUUACAAGAUCGCUCCCGCUGGUCUCGGAAAUGUCCUAGGGUACCUCGGGAGCGCAGCCCGAGCCUUGGUUAUGUAUCGAACGUACCCAUGGUCAUCCCUCGCUCGGCGUCUGAGGCGACUGUGAACCCUUCGGGGGCCAGCCUUCGAACCCCUGAUCAGUAAUGGGCGCAGAGCCCGAGUAGCCUGAGGCGGCCGUGGAACCCUUCGAGGGGCCGACCUUCGAACCUCUUACCAGUAGUGGGUGUAGGGCCCACGUGAUCUGAGGCGGCUGUCGAACCCUUCCGGGGGGCCAGCCUUCGAACCUCUAAUCAGUAGGGUGGCUCGGAGCCUGGUUCUUUCACUGGGAAGGAUCCUUUUCGGGGUAUCCCCCUUUCCCGGUCCCUGUUGCAAGAGAGAGAGAGGAAAAAAGGAAAAGGAUACGAAAUCGAACGACGCGGCGUACCUUUUUUGGCGCGGUUAUUACGGCGAAGGCGAAGCGUCGCCUGCUUCUCCUGCCAGAGGCGCCGCGUGUCCCGCCGCGGAGUUAAUGCGACAGGGCGUGUGGUUGGCGGGGCGGCCGUUGCGCGUGCGCGAGCCGUUCGAGGAACAGAACACGGGCGCGUUGUCUUCACGCCGUGAGAGAGGAUUCUCUCGCUGCCCCCGGAUGGGACGUGAGCUUGGCUGACGACGUGACCGCUGCUCCCGCCCGCCUGCCACCGUCAUUACUGCCGGCCCAUUUUUGGCCGCACUGACCGCCGCGCCAGGCUGGCGCUGCUGGGUCGUGCGCUGGGUCGCCUCGAGUCGCGGUACUGGUUCCGCAGUCGAGGAGGCGCGGUGGUGGCGCAAGUGGCGGUGCAGUUGCAUGCACGAAGCAUUCGGCGCGCCGGUUGCAUGACACGUGGGCCUGGGCCUCCAUGCUGGGCGUGUUGGGAGUCGGAGAAGCGCGCCCACUUGGCACGGUUGCAUGCCGCCCGCAUGGCUGCCCGCCCCUUUCGCCCGUUGGUCUAGGCAAAAGUGAAGGGUCGCUUGUAACCGCUGGGCGGUUGUGCGCACCGCACACGGCGGUUUGGCUUCUUCUGCUCUGAGACGGCUUGCAUGGCAUGUGGGACCCAGCCCCCGCGCCGCAGGGGAGGGCCUUGGAGCGUGUUGGAGAAGACUCAGCCCGUGACGGCUGGGGACGCAAGUAGGGAUAGACGCCUUUAAAAGGAGGGUGACCCCCUUGGAAGGCGACCAUGUCUUCGUGCUCCCUUAUGCAUCGUGUCUUUCCACCUUCCAAGCCCCCGGAUGGGGGAUACCCGCCGUCUUUCUGCCUUGUCGUCGGGGGAACGCAACUCCGCGGGAGUUGGUACCUUUCAGCCAUCGUUCGGCUUCAAGGAUUUUUAUCAUGCAGCCCGGCUGCACCCCUCCGCCGGUGGUCACCCAAGAUGGUGACCUCCAGCUUGAUGGUGGGGGAAAGCGAGCCGGGCUGCGGCCUCUGCCCUUCCCUCAGCCUCAAGGAUUUUCAUCACCAGGGCUGGGGAGGGGAGUGUGCCGAGUUGGGGUCGGCCCUUGCGUGGGCGGUGGCCCGCUCCUUCACUCAGUGAUCGGAGGGAAGGGCGGUCGUCGUCUGUGGCGCCGGCAGCUGCACCGUGCCUGGCUCUCGGACGCGAGUGGCUUCGGAGCCGCUCGUGGCGCCGGCGUCUGCCACGGCAGCUGGAAGAGGUUCUUCCGCUGACGAGAUAGCCAGGGCCGCCCACGGACCGACCUCCAACUCUACGGCCUUCUGCCCGUCCUUGCCUCACGAGUUUGGGCAUGGGAGGGGGCCUCUUGGCAGCAGCAUCCGCCCUGAGGUCAGUGCUGCCGCUGUUCAGCCCCCCGGAGCAGAAGUCGUCGUCGUCGCUGCUGCUGGAGCGGGCGACGGCGGGCCGUUCGUCGGUCUUCUGUUGCUCCGCAGGCCCUCCCCCAUCGAGUGGGGUUGUUCGUACCUGCGGAGGUGGAACCGGAGUUCCGUUUGUAAUGGCACUCUGAAUGCUAGUGUUUUUGUUCAUUGUGGCUGUCGAGGCCUGAACAUGUAUGUAAUUUUGGCACGGAGCCGUGUUUUUUCCUCAUUUUCGAGCACUAAGACUCGCCUGUUGGUUGUCUGAACCGCUUCACCAAGCGUGAGUCGCCCCGUGUCAAGGUGACGAGUGAGGUAUCCGUAUCCCGGAGGCGUAGGAGUCCCUCGGCUCGGUCGGCCUUGUUGUCCGAGGCUCCUCUAGCUUAGUUAAAGGGACCCCUUGGCCGCUCUUGGAUGAGCCGAGGCUAGGGGUAGCGAUAUCAGCAUGAACAGGGGCAGAGUUGGCUCGAAAAUGAAACCUGGUUGGCCGGAGCCUAGCCGGGUCGUCCGUUAGCGGGACCGACGCUGGAGUUGACCAGCCGACGCCUCGGGUCGGGCUGGCGCCCUCGGAGGACGGCUGGCCGAGGCCCUGGGGCGACCGGCCGAGCCACCUGCUCGGGCCGGAUUCCCGGAGAAGACCCUGGCAGCGAUUGCCCGGGCGUGGUGAUGACGUCGUCCUUUAGAGCGGAGAUCCUUGGACCGCGUCGCCGUCCGAGGCUAGGUCGGACCUCGCCGAAGGUGUCGUCGAUGCCGAGGGUGCUGCUGCCCCCUUCCAGCUUCAAGACCCGAGUCUGCAGGAUCAGAUUGUCUUGUAGCGUGUGCCUCCUGCGGCCGCCGAGGCCAGAACACACACCCUCGCUGUGUUGUAAAGCUACGUCUCUUUUCCUCUUGUUUCGAGUAUCUGGACUUUUUUGUCGGUAACAGGGAUGUUUGUGCGAGCGAGAGUUGCUUCUCGCGGAAGGUGAUGAGUGAGGUAUCCGUAUCCCGGAGGCGUAGGAGUCCCUCGGCUCGGUCGGCCUUGCCGCUUACGCGCACUUUUACCCGUCCAUGAGGCUCUGUCACCGACUCAGUUAAGAAGGCUCGAAGGAUCGCUUCGGCAGAAGAACUUCCGAACGUGAAGACUUGUUCGGUCCGUGGAAUCACUUAUCCGAACGUGAGUUACUUAUCGCAGAAGGUGAUGAGUGAGGUAUCCGUAUCCCAGAGGCGUAGGAGUCCCUCGGCUCGGUCAGCCUUGGCUGCUUACGUGUACUCCAUCGUUUUCAGGAUCCACUUUUCGAAGUAGUCAAAAAGCACGAAAGAUAUUCUGGCGGAAGAGAUCUUUUUUCGAGGAAAAUUUCAACGCAGAGGGGGUUCCCCCGCCCCCUUUUAGCCCCCGAGGGAGGGUCGGGCUUUGCCGAGGCGAGGCCGACCCUUCCUUGAUGACUAAACUUUGCGUGGGUGCGAGGUAUAUGAACAACUUGAAAACAUCUUAAGGGUAGAAGCGACGUAGUUGUUGGAUGUUCCAAGCGUUGUCGUAGACCUCGCCUUGACUGUUGGCCAGCUUGUACGUUCCGGGCUUCAGAACCAUGGCGAUGACGAACGGUCCCUCCCAGGGGGGCGUGAGCUUGUGCCUCCCUCGGGCGUCUUGUCGCAGCCGAAGCACCAGGUCGCCCACCUGGAGGUCUCGGGACCGGACCCCUCGGGCGUGGUAGCGUCGCAGGGACUGCUGGUACCGCGCCGAGUGUAGUAAGGCCUUGUCUCGAGCCUCUUCCAGCUGGUCCAGCGAGUCUUCUCGGCUAGCUUGGUUGCUUUGAUCGCUGUAGGCCCUCAUCCUCGGGGAGCCGUAUUCCAGGUCUGUGGGCAAGACGGCCUCGGCCCUGUAGACUAGGAAGAACGGCGUGAAACCCGUGGCCCGGCUCGGCGUUGUCCUCAGGCUCCAGACCACCGAGGGGAGUUCCUUCAUCCAUCGCUUGCCGAACUUGUUGAGGUCGUUGUAGAUCCGAGGCUUGAGCCCUUGUAGAAUCAUGCCGUUGGCACGCUCUACUUGCCCAUUUGACAUGGGAUGAGCCACGGCGGCCCAGUCCACCCGGAUGUGGUGAUCCUCGCAGAAGUCCAAGAACUUUCUGCCGGUGAACUGGGUGCCGUUGUCGGUGAUUAUGGAGUUUGGGACCCCGAAGCGAUGGAUGAUGUGGGUGAAGAACGCCACCGCCUGCUCGGACCUGAUGCUGUUCAGAGGUCGGACCUCGAUCCACUUGGAGAAUUUGUCGAUGGCGACCAGCAGGUGCGUGUAGCCCCCGGGCGCCUUCUGCAAGGGGCCGACGAGGUCCAGACCCCACACAUCAAAGGGCCAGGUGAUGGGUAUCGUCUGCAGAGUCUGAGCGGGCAAGUGGGUCUGCUUCGCAUAGAAUUGACACCCUUCGCAGGUGCGGACAAUUCUAGUGGCAUCGCCACCGCCAUCGGCCAGUAGAAGCCUUGUCGGAAAGCAUUCCCGACAAGGGCUCGAGGCGCUGCGUGAUGGCCGCAAGCCCCCGAGUGUAUCUCUCGCAGGAGUUCCUGACCUUCGGUGACGGAGAUGCAUCGCUGGAGGAUGCCUGAGGGGCUGCGGUGGUAGAGCUCUUUCUCAUCGCCCAGCAAGACAAACGACUUGGCGCGCCGCGCCACCCGCCGAGCCUCGGCUCGGUCGAGGGGUAGCUCUCCUUGGUGGAGAUAUUGCAGGUACGGGGUCUGCUAGUUUCGAUCAGGCGUGGCCCCGCUUCGCUCCUCCUCGACGCACAGUGCCUCACCCUCGGGGGCCGAGGGUACCUCGGGCUGAACCGAGGUCGCCUCGGGCCGAGCUGAGGGUGCCUCGGGCUGUGCCGGGGGUACCUCGGGCUGGGCCGAGGGUACCUCGGACUGGGCCGAGGGCACCUUAGGCUCGGGCGUGUCGUCGAUCUUGACGGAAGGUUGGUGCAGAUCUCGGGAGAAGACGUCCGAGCACUGCUUCCUAUUUGGGAUCGAGCCCGGAGCCGAUCCGGAUCUGCUUGGAGGCGUCGCCGCUGGGGUCGAGGGGGACGGCCUUAACCGUCUCCACUGGCUCAAAGUUGCUGGCAUGGCGUUUCACGUCUGGCACCUCCUUAGAGAGGCUUUCCAAGUCGGCGAUGAGGGCCUCGGACUCGGCGAGGGCCUCGGCGUACUCCACGCACUCCACGUCGCAUUCGAACGCGUGUUUGUACGUGGGGCCGACGGUGAUGACCCCGUUGGGGCCCGGCAUCUUGAGCUUCAGGUAGGUGUAGUUGGGGACGGCCAUGAACUUCGCGUAGCAUGGCCUUCCCAGUACCGCGUGGUAGGUUCCUCGGAACCCGACCACCUCGAACGUUAGGGUCUCCCUUCGGAAGUUGGAGGGUGUUCCAAAGCAGACGGGAAGGUCGAGUUGUCCGAGGGGCUGGACGCGCUUCCCGGGAAUGAUCCCAUGGAAGGGCGCAGCGCCUGCUCGGACGGAGGACAGAUCGACCCACAGGAGCCCGAGGGUCUCGGCGUAGAUGAUGUUGAGGCUGCUGCCUCCGUCCAUGAGGACCUUGGUGAGACUGGCGUCGCCGAUGACGGGGUCGACGACGAGCGGGUAUUUCCCCGGGCUCGGCACGUGGUCGGGGUGGUCGGCUUGGUCGAAGGUGAUGGGCUUGUCGGACCAGUCUAGGUAGACUGGCGCCGCCACCUUCACCGCGCAGGCCUCCCGGCGCUCUUGCUUGCGGUGCCGAGCCGAGGCAGUCGCGGACCUCGGGGAACUCUCCUGCUUGGUGAUCUUCCUUCUUGUCGUCGUCGCGGGCCCUGCCACCCUCCGCGGGUGGCCCGGCCCUGUGGAAGUGGCGCCGAAGCAUGACGCACUCCUCAAGGGUGUGCUUGACGGGCCCCUGAUGAUAGGGGCACGGCUCCUUGAGCAUCUUGUCGAAGAGGUUGGCACCUCCGGGGGGUUUCCGAGGGUUCUUAUACUCGGCGGCGGCGACAAGGUCCGCGUCGGCGGCGUCGCGUUUCGCUUGCGACUUCUUCUUGCCUUUCUUCUUGGCGCCGGGCUGAGUUGACGCCUCGGGAGCAUCUUCCGAUGGGCUGCCCUGGGGCUGCUUGUCCUUUCGGAAGAUAGCCUCGACCGCCUCCUGGCCGGAGGCGAACUUGGUGGCGAUGUCCAUCAGCUCGCUCGCCCUGGUGGGGGUCUUGUGACCCAACUUGCUCACCAGGUCGCGGCAGGUGGUGCCGGCGAGGAACGCGCCGAUGACAUCCGAGUCGGUGAUGUUGGGCAGCUCGGUGCGCUGCUUCGAGAAUCGCCGGAUGUAGUCCCGGAGAGACUCUCCAGGCUGCUGCCGGCAGCUUCGGAGGUCCCAGGAAUUCCCGGGGCGCACGUACGUGCCCUGGAAAUUGCCGGCGAAGGCUUGGACUAGGUCGUCCCAGUUGGAGAUCUGCCCCGGAGGCAGGUGCUCCAACCGGGCGCGAGCGGUGUCGGAGAGGAACAGGGGGAGGUUGCGGAUGAUGAGGUUGUCGUCGUCCGUUCCACCCAGUUGGCAGGCCAGACGGUAGUCCACGAGCCACAGUUCCGGUCUCGUCUCCCCCGAGUACUUUGUGAUAGUAGUCGGGGGUCGGAACCGGGUCGGGAACGGUGCCCGUCGGAUGGCCCGGCUGAAGGCCUGCGGACCGGGCGGUUCGGGCGAGGGACUCCGAUCCUCCCCGUUGUCGUAGCGUCCCCCACGCCUGGGGUGGUAGCCUCGGCGCACCCUCUCGUCGAGGUGGGCCCGACGGUCGCGGUGAUGGUGCUUGUUGCCGAGGCGGCCCGGGGCCGCAGGCGCGGUGUUGCGCGUGCGCCCGGUGUAGACCGAGGCUUCCCGCAUGAAUUGGGAAGUCGCGGCAUGAGGUUCCGAGGGGUAUCCCUGCCUUCGGGAGGCAGAGCUCUCGGCCCGUCGGACCACGGCGCCUUCCAGGAGAUUCUUGAGUUCCCCCUGGAUUCGCCGGCCCUCGGUGGUUGAUGGCUCCGGCAUCGCGCGGAGAAGCAUCACUGCUGCAGCCAGGUUCUGGCCGACCCCACUAGAUGCGGGUGGCGGCCUGACCCUGACGUCGUCGGCGACGCGGUGCUGGAAGCCCUGGGGCAGAUGACAUAUUUCUCCGGCCGGGGGUUGGCCCGCCCAUGCCUACCCGACGUCCCGGCGGAUCGGCUCAAGCGCUCCUGCUCCCUCGUCGAGCCUGGCCUGCACCCUGCGGAUUUGCUCGAGCUGUGGGUCAUGGCCCCCCGCCUGAACGGGGACCACAGCUAGCUCCCGUGGGAUGUCAACGCGGGGCGUCGGCCUAGGGAGGUCACCGUCCUCCGGCAUGCCGAGAUGAUUGCCUUCGGAGGGACCCCCUAGAUCGACGUGGAAACAUUCGCGGCUUGGGCCGCAGUCCUCGUCGCCGAGGCUGCGGCUACCGUCGGAACAGUCGGAGAGGCAGUAGUCACAUGCGGUCAUGAAGUCCCGCAUGGCACUGGGGUUGCCAAGUCCAGAGAAAUCCCAACAGAUGCUGGGCUCGUCGUCUUCCUCGGACCCAGAGGGCCCGUAGGUCGAGACGCCCGUCAGCCGGUCCCAAGGCGACCGCAUGCGAAACCCUAGAGGGUUUGGACUCGCCUCUACGAGAGCGCCCGCCAAAGCAAGGUCGCUAGGCGGGUUGAGGCUGAAUCCAAAUGACGUGGGAUGGGAGUCGGUCGGUACCUCUUGGUCGACGAGCGGCGAUAAAGUCACGUCGGGGACUGACUGCACCGUCGUCUCAGGUACGAGGGUGACGUCCAGCAAGCUUUCCGCGAGCGUGCUGGCGUCGUCCUCUUGCCCGGGAUUGGCGCGUCGCGGGGAGACGGCGCUUGUCUUCGUCUCAAGCGCGAAGUCGAUACCCGGUGCGCCCCUCGUUGGGGUGCCGGCACUGUCGACUCGCUCGACAGCCGACGAGGCGCUGCCUCCUGCUUGGCCUUGGUCGCCCUGCCUUCCCCUCCGUCGGCGGGGGAAAGGGCAGGAUGAGCUCGAAGGUUGUUCUUCCACCACGCGGGGAAGACGUCAUCGAUUCUGCCGCCGGCGGGCGGGCUGUCGGCCGCCAUUGUCGUUGUCGCGCGACGGUGGAAGGAGUAUCAUGUCGUAGCUACCGUCGAGGGACAUGAACUCAAGACUCCCAAAACGGAGCACCGUCCCGGGUUGGAGAGGUUGCUGGAGACUGCCCAUCUGGAGCUUGACGGGAAGUUGUUUGUCAACACGCACCAGGCCCCUACCUGGCGCGCCAACUGUCGGCGUUUCAAGACCGGGGGGUCCCUGGGCCGACGAGUGAAUGUCGCCGCGUGCCCCAGCCCAGAUGGGUCGAGCGCGAGGGCGAGCGCGAAGGGGGGACAGCGAGGCGGCCGGAGACCGGCGUGAGAGAGGUGGGAAUCCCGCGGCCUUCGUGUUCGUCCCGCGCCUAGGUCGGGUGCGCUUGCAGUAGGGGGUUACAAGCGUCCACGCGGGAGAGGGAGCGAGCGGCCCCAAGCGAGCGCCUGUCUCGUCCUCGUCCCCGCGCGGCCAACCUUCUCUAAGAGGGCCCUGGUCCUUCCUUUUAUAGGCGUAAGGAGAGGAUCCAGGUGUACAAUGGAGGGUGUAGCAGAGUGCUACGUGUCUAGCGGAGGACAGCUAGCGCCCUAAGUACAUGCCGUUGUGGCAGCCGGAGAGAUUUUGGCACCCAGCUGGUGUGAUGUCGUGGCCGUCGGAGGAACGAUGGAGCCUGGCGGAGGGACAGCUGUCGGAGCGGUUGAGUCCUUGCUGAUGUCCUCUUGCUUCCGUAAGGGGGCUGAGAGCCGCCGUCGUCACAGAGUAUGCGGGGCGCCAUCAUUGCCUAUCUGGCGGAGCGAGCCAGAUGGGACACCGGUUUGUUUCCUGCGGCCCGAGUCAGCUCGGGGUAGGGCGAUGAUGGCGCCUCCUGUUGACGUGGCUGGUCUGCGCCCUAGGUUGGGCGAUGUGGAAGCUCCUCCGAAGCCGAGGUCGAGUCUAUCUUCCGUGGCCGAGGUCGAGUCCGAGCCCCUGGGUCGGGCGAGGCGGAGGCCGUCGGCUGAGGCCAGGGCGGAGUCCGAGCCCUGGGGUCGGGCGAAGCGGAGUUCGUCGUCUUCUGGUGCUGAGCCCGAGUCCGAGCCCUGGGUCUGGCAGAGUGGAGUUCGUCGUCUUCUGGGGCUGAGCCCGAGUCCGAGCCCUGGGUCGGGCGAAGCGGAGUUCGCCAUCUUCCGGGACUUAGCCCGAGUCCGAGCCCUGGGUCGGGCGGAACGGAGUUCAUCGUCUUCCGGGACUUAGCCCGAGUCCGAGCCCUGGGUCGGGCGGAGCGGAGUUCGCCAUCUUCCGGGACUUAGCCCGAGUCCGAGCCCUGGGUCGGGCGGAGCGGAGUUCGCCGUCUUCCGGGACUUAGCCCGAGUCCGAGCCCUGGGUCGGGCGAAGCGGAGCUUCCUAUGGUGCCUUCGGCCGGGCCUGACUGCCUGUCAGUCUCACUCUGUCAAGUGGCACCGCAGUCGGAGUGGCGCAGGCGGUGCUGUCCUUCUGUCAGGCCGGUCAGUGACGCGGCGAAGUGACGGCGGUCACUUCGGCUCUGCCGGCUGGGGGGCGCGCGUCAGGAUAAAGGUGUCAGGCCACCUUUGCAUUAAAUGCUCCUGCGAUUUGGUCGGUUGGUGCGGCGAUUUGGUCAGGGUUGCUUCUUAGCGAAGGCAGGGCCUCGGGCGAGCCGGAAAUAUGUUCGCCGUUGGAGGGGGGCCUCGGGCGAGACGGAAAUCCUCCGGGGUCGGCUGCCCUUGUCCGAGGCUAGGCUCGGGCGAGGCGUGAUCGAGUCGCUCGAAUGGACUGAUCCCUGACUUAGUCGCACCCAUCAGGCCUUUGCAGCUUUAUGCUGAUGGGGGUUACCAGCUGAGAAUUAGGAGCCUUGAGGGUACCCCUAAUUAUGGUCCCCGACAAAUGUCUUCUUUGAGGUGUUGCAUCCUCAGAACCUCAGUCCAAUCGACUUCGCAUCCUGUGAACUAUAACACACAAACACUUUGGGAAAUACAUUAGUCCACAGGUUAUGUUGAUCACCAAAUACCAAAACCUAUUGAGCUAAAUAGCUCGGGGUGCAUUUUCCUUAUAGAAACGAAUGUCACAUCUUUAAUAUAUAAUAGGAGUUCUGUACAAAAUAGAUAAAUAAUUAUAUCAUAUGAAGACAACGAUCCAGCAACCAAAGUUGACUGGGAGACGACGGCCAAGUCCUCUCACGAACACAUCAGAGCAUCCUCCCAAUGCCUCAUCCUGCGGUACCUGUUCUUGACCUGUGGGGGUGUGAGACAGCAAGGGUGAGCUCACAUACGUUCAUCGCUCAACAAGUUGUGGGGAAUAAUGUGCAUGAACUCACCAAAGGUGGGAGGUCAUGUGAAGUGUAAGGCUUACCAAAGAGGAUGGUUAAAGCUAAGCAUUGCUUUUAAAGUUGAUCAAAAUUUUAUUAGCAAUUACUAAGUAUAAGUAAAUACCAACCCAAUUAAGUAAGAGAUCAAGACUAAUAACAACACCCGUGACGCAAUGCAUAUGACACAUUGAGUUUAGUUCCAUAAAUUACUCAUGUGAGGGUCUGAGCCACUCAUGACCGUGAGCACGUCUGAUAUACCAAUUUUAUACUCUGCAGAGGUUGCGCAUCUUUGCCCAGAAGUUGUGUUACCCAUUUGCCACGGAGUUGAUCAGACCCCAUACACUUCUACCAAGGAAGCGAGGCAGGGUACCACUACGAGGCCUUUACAAAGUUUCACUAGCUUUAGAAAACCCAUUAAAGUUUCUAGGAAGCGCAAUGCAGGGAACCCCGUCUGACCGCCAUCGGAGCAAAAUCAGCUCGAGAACCUCCCUACACCGACCACUCCCCUACUGCCCUUGCCCCUUUCGGGUAUGGUAGUCCUCCACUAGCUUUCCUAAUUAGUCAGCCAAGGGCGUCCCAUACCACCCUUGUGGUAGCACUGUUUUCCCGGUGGUCGCUCCAUGUUCCAAUUAACAAUAUGAUUCUAUCAUGAACAAUAAUUAAACAACAUCAUAAUUGGAACAUGAACAUAAUAAAACAUUAGCAUCCCAAAACCAGGUAGAGCAAUAGCAAAUCUACCCAAUAAUUCAUUUGUUUGCAAGGUGGGGGAUAAACAAUGCUGGGGAAACCUAUUAGGCCCCAUCAAAUAAACCUGAGCAUGUCACAGUGAUUAAUAUCGAACAUUAUUAGAUAAAAAGGAGUGAUCAAGGGCACAACUUGCCUAGGACUUGAGAUUCCAGGUACCAGGAUCUCGGAACCUAUUCGUAACAAUACAAACAAACAUGGUUAGGCAAAAUUAACAUCACACCAAACAUGAGUACAAACUGUAAAAUAAUAUUCUACGCGUUGUAACGAGAUCGUAGGUUCGAGAACGGGUAAAUUCGGAGCUACCGUUAUAAAGUUAUGAUUUUCUAAAGAUUUAGGAGUGGGGUACAAAAGAAAUUAAUUACACAAUUUUAAUUUAGGUUUCAUAACCAAAAUAAAGUUAUUAGGGGAUAAACAAUAUUAUUAUGGAUCUAGUGCAACUGGAAUGGAUCAAAAAAGGAAUUAAAAUGAGUAAGUUAUGUUCAUUUAUGGGUUUCCAUUCCUAUUUUACACCUACAAAUGAUUAUUAACUACUUCUAUAAUUGUUUAUUUAUUUUAUUCCAGACUUUAGGACGGCGGGCAUAAAUCUUAGAGAACCUAGGGGUAGUUUUGUCAAUUUGCAGGGCAUAGAUGACAUUGAACCAUACAAGCCGUGGACGACGGGUUCAACCCCAAGAAACCCAGGGGUUCUUUUAUAAAUAAACCGCGGCCGAAGAGGUAAGAAUAGAUCUCGGCCAUCCAAUCAAACAUUGUCGGCCCAGAAUAGAUGCAACAUGCUUACCAACCGGUACGCGAUCUCUACCGUAGGAUCGUGGAUCUAGGGUCAUGACACGCAGACACCCAGAGCCGCACUGAUCUAAACCGACGGCCCAGAUCAGAACACAACGCACUGAAGCGUUAACUUUUAAUCUCUACCGUCCACUGCAGAUCAAACGGUCCCUAGUCCUACCCUUUUAAAUCAGUGCACGAUCACAGUCAUACGUUUCGCAACCGAUGGCUCAGAUUCAGCCCACCGUAACAGAUGGCUGGAUCCAACCCGAACCGCCCAUUACGCGAUCGACGAUGGCACAGUCAUCGUCUUUCUUCAGCCCUGCCGAACGACGGAAUAGAGUCCGCACGACCGACACACGCCGGAGUCCCGCCCUGGCAUGACACCGCACCAAUACACCCCUAGAUUAAGGCGAACCGAGUGGGGAAGGACUUACCAGAGGUUUGGCAACGGAGAAUAGAUGUCCACGCACCGCGCAGAUCCGCGGCCAAGCCCGGGCUGCGGCGAGAAAUUACGGGCACCUAGAUGGCUCCCGCACUCCGUGGCUACCACCACCGUGAGCGCGAUACCACAAUGAAGGUCCCGACCCAAUCUAGGCGUCGACUAUCGCACAAACAGGAUUCCCCCCAUGGCAGCUUCCUCCACUACCACUCUGCUUCUUCCGCCCAGCCCAGUGGCGGAGGACGAAAAAAAUUUAGGUAUGGCUCUACACAACUCGACGGCUGGAACCUGGAAGUGGAAGGCGCGUGCUCGGCGCGUGCUGCGCGUGCUCGGGCCGAGCGGACGGCGAGCGGAGGCGCGAAGCUGCUCGCCUUCUCGGGCUGUCGGGCGCUUGGCGGAUGGGCGGACAGCGCGCUGGAGUCGCGGAGCGGCUCGGUCCAAGCCGAGCGGACGGCGGGCGGAGGCCGGAGGCGUGGAGCUGCUCGCCUGCUCCGCUGCUCGGGCCGUCGGGCGAUCGCCGGACGGGCGGACGACGGCCGGAGAACCGUAGCCGCGGCGCAACUCGGGGCCUCGGGCCGAGCAGAUGGCGGACGACAGAUAGAGGCGCAAAGGCGGAGCGGCUCGCCUUCCAGGCGAUGUAGGCUGCUCGUGCCCUCGGCGGACGGGUGGACGGCUCGAGCGCUCGGCGCCUCGGCCGGCUGAGCGGACGGGCGGACGGCGGCGGCCGGCUGAAUAGCUGAGUGAUUAGGGUUUAGAGAAGCGCUGGGCCGGACCUGUUUUUUAUUUUUGGUAUGGCUUGGGCCAUAAUGGGUCCUCCGCCCCUGGCCCAGCCCGAUGGUGCGUUUGGAUAGGUGCUUUCUGGAAUUGGGAGGGGAGGAGAAGCACCGGCCGCACGCUUUUAUGGUCCCACAGGUGUGGAUUUGGCCGGUCCGCAGCAUGCGUGCGGCCGUGCCAUGCUCGGAAUUCUGUUGGGGAAGCAGAUCGCCCAGACGGGGGCGGCCCAUAGUCAGCGACAGAUGCGUGCAGUAAAUCACUGGUCGGGCGGGCCCAUGUGUUGGCGCCACCUUUGGCUCACGACGUUGUAGAGGGACUGGCCCGUGGGUCCCACAGGUAGCGACUCGUCCGAACGCGCGCGCGGGAGAGUAAGAGGCUGGCGAUCCCGGGCCCACGCGACGAAGCAACAAGGAUUCUGACGCACACCCAUGUGUGAGUCGGCUAACCAGUGGGGGCCACACGCUAGCGAUUCAAUGACCGUCCGGAUGGGUAUGCAUAACAACAGCCCCGAGAAACAGAGUCGAGCGCACACGACGAGGGCGACUGACCAGUAGUGCCCUCAUAUAGUCAUAUCGGCGCCCUCGCCAUAGCUAGGCCGUGAGAGUUGGUUUGCACGUUCAGGAGUUGGGCCACUAGGGGGAUUGGGCCCAAGUCGAGGUUCAUUUUCCUUUUCUUUUUUUCCAUUUCUUCUCUAAUUCCAAAUUUAAGGAUUCAAACUCACUUUUAAAUUCUUGGUUCAAAUUUCAGAUGUCUCAAUAUUGAAUACCAUCCUAGAGUGAAUAUUAAUCCUACUAGUUUUAAUAUUAUUUGUUCGCCUCCCAUUUUCAAAUUCUAGAAGUAGUCAAUGACCAUUACAAUUUCUUUCCUCAUUUUCUCUUUUAUGUUUUCAUUUAAAAUUUUGAGGUCAAAUUUAAAUUAUGAUUCUUUUGUUUUUCAAUAGAAUGUAUCGCAACGACAUUAUUAGCAAGAGAUAUACCUUUCUUUAUUUCUUUAUUGGUUACUUAAUUAAUUUAAUAUUAUUAAUUGAUUAUGAAAAGGAAAAAGGGUCCUAAUAAAUUCCCUAAGGUUUUAACAAUUCUUGAAAUACUAUCAUAAAUACAUCUAUUUUGUUAAUUUUAUUAUUUAUUUUCUACCAAUUUUGGGCUUUACAAAUCCUACCCCCAUAAAAGAAAUCUUGUCCUCGAGAUUAGUAAGAAGAAGGAUGUAUCCCAAUUUCGCCGCAAAACAUAUGCACAAACAAAAGUCUUAGCAUGAUGCACCACUCGUUAGUAAAACAUAGGGUGAAUAGACCUUAUUAUUAUUCCUAAAAUAGUAAAUACUAGCUACUAACUAAAGUAUUAUUUACGUCUUACAAAUAGUGCUCUAAUAUAUAUAUAUAUAUAUGUUUAUAUAUUUAUAUUUAUUCUAAUCCUUCUUUUCAUUGCCUUCUUCACCUUCAACCAUCACUUCUUGGUUUUCAGGUUCACCAGGUUCAGCUUCUACUUUGACAUGGUUGACCUGCCCCCGGUUAACGGAUAAGGGCUGACUCUUGCCUCCCGAGGUUUGACCUUGCUUCAUCGGAGCCGGAGUAGUUGUAAUAGCCAAAAAUGUAUACAAUGUGAAUAUAGUUGAUCUCCUUAUUUUAUGUGCCAUAUAUUUAUCAUAACAAGAGCAUACCUAUAAGUAAGAGUGAUUAGUCAAAAUAAAUGUUACUAGAAUGGAAUAUGCAUCAUGCUGAGGUUUUAUUUUGUGUGCAUUAUGUGAAAAUAUAAAAUAAUGUAAAAAGAAAUAUAUUAAAGUCCAAAGUGGAAUUUAAAAUCUAAAAGGAAUUCUAGAAUUUAAGAAAAGAGAAGCACUAAUAAUCACAAAAUGAAUAUUAAAAUAGAUAAAUUUACCCAUACCAUGUCUAAGAUGAGUAUUUAGUGGGAAAACAAAUCUACCAGGAAGUUUGAAUUUGAAUGGAAUUUAGAAUUAUGAAUUUGAAAACUUAGAAAAAGAAAAGAGGAAAGAAAAUAAAAAGAAAAAGGGGCAUAAGGCUUACCUGGGCCCUAGAUUUCAUUCUGGCCCACCCACAUAAACACACUGCGCGGCCCACUGCACCUACACACCGCGCGCGCAGAUGACUGUCAUGCGGGGCCUACCCGUUAGCCUCACACGUCCGUCUCAGGCGCGGAACUUCUCCCACUGAAGUACCGGGCCCGCUUGCCAGUCUCGGUGUUUUCCUGUUUAUCUUCCUGACCCACGCGACGAACGCCUUCUCCGUGAUCCGUGUUGCCGCAUGCGCCCCUCUCGCCAAUCGUUCGCCCGUUCGGCCUCACAGCAUCACUGCCCCGUGGGCCAACCUCGAGAGACCAGCCGUGCACGUCGCGCUUGCGCCGCUGCGACUGGGACCCUCAGGUCAGAGCUCUCUCCCUCACCGCCGCAACGGCCGCGGCCGAUAAGUCUGCCACCACGCGGAAUUGGUGGGUAGCCGCACACCAACCACCCGACCUCACCCAUCCAUAUAACCCUGGCAUCCUGAACCCUCUUCGCCUUUCGUUUCUGUGCCAAACCUUGUCGCCAAGAAGUGAGCUGGGGAGAGAGAGAAAAGUGGGGAGGCGGAAGCAGGGAGUCACGGGGUCCCGUCUCUGAUGCCGUUGGAUGCCCGGGAGCUAGUCGGGGACCUGCACCGAGAGGUUGCGAAGUUGUCCAAAGCGCUAGUUGGUGGAAUCGACGGGCGGUGCAACCUUAAUUACUCACUAGAGUUCUUCUCCACCGUGUCCACGUGGACAGCACCGCGCUCACCUACUUCUCUAGUAAAUUCCUCGCCCCCGACUCUAACUUAAUCCUAGCAUUGAGAUGCGCUAGACGGUUAGGACUUGCGUGGGUGAGAUCAUGAGGUAUGGGAUCACUGGCAAUGGACGCCGCCGCCGUGGGCUGGUUUGUGUCGUCGCGUCGGGGAAGAAAGGAUGUGGGCCAUUGAUCUGUCCACUAACGACCACGAUUAGUUCACACUUAAUGAUUCAGCUUGGGUGGUUCAGGGUCGUCAGAUCGAGAUCGUGCGGGUGGGGCGCAGUCGCGUGGAUGAUGCGCCUGAGCCAUCGAUUUCCAAUCCUACGGUUGGCAUCACAUACUGAUUCGGUAAAACCUAGAUCUAAUCCCAGCCGUAGAAGUAAGACCAUGCGGCUCUAGUCAAAUCAUACUCCUUCGGCCAGGGAAUUUUGUUAAAGAAACCCAGCCAAACAUUGAAAUCAACCCGCGGAUCAUCUCUGGUGUAGCCCGAGUCUUAGGAAAUUUACACCGAAGGCCCUAGUCUUUCUGGAAUUCGACUCGCUAUCUAGAUAAUUGAUAAAACUAGAAAAAUUAUUUAGAAAAUAGUUUUUAGUACACAUUUAAUUGCAGAAACUUGUUAAAUUCAUAGAAAAUUCAUGCUUAGUCCAAAUUGACCCAUUCCAGUGGUAAUAAUUUUGUUUUAAUAUUGUCUACCACUUAGUACAUCUCUUUAGCCAUGAAACUUGAAUUAAAAUUGUUCAUUUGAAUUAAUCUUUUCUAAGUACUUGAUAACUUCAGAAAUUCAUAACUAAAUAAGAAUAACUCCAAAUUUAGUGGUUCUUGUUCCUAUGAUCUCGUUACGCAGCGUAGAAUAUUAUUAUGCAUUCUGAUCUAUUGUUUGGUGUGAUGUUAAUUUUGCUAUACAAUGUAUUUUUGUAUUGAUGCGAGUAGACGAGCCAGCUACUGAGGAUCCUAGUGUUCAGCAGAUAGAAGUUGCUGAGUAGGAGCUCAUUGAAGGCAAGUUGUGCCCUUGAUAACUUCUUUUUACCCAGUCAUGUUCUUAUUAAUCAUAAUGAUCUGCAUAGGCUAAUUUUGAUGGGAUCCAAUAGGUUACCCCAGUUUUGGCUAUCUUUAUACCUUGUUUUACCACUGAAUAUUUUUGGGUAGUACUUGCUAUUGCUUUAUGUGGUUUUGGGUAUGGAGAUACAUUAUUCAUGAUUACACUUUUAUUAUCAGUUUAUUAUUACUGUUCAUGUUAAGAUCAUUAUGUUAAUGAGAACAUGGUGCGACCACCCGGGAAAACAGUGCUACCACAAGGGUAGUAUGGGAUGCCCUUGGCCGAUUAACUAGGAAAGCUAGUGGAUGACUACCUUACUCGAUAGGGGCAAGGGCAGUAGGGGAGUGGUUAGUCUAGGGAGGUCCUUGGGUUGAUUUUGCUGCGAUGGCCGUCAGGCGAGGGAUCCCUGCACUGGAGCUUCCUAUAAACUGUAGUGGGUUUUCUGAAGCUAGUGGAACUUUGUAAAGGCCUCGUAGUGUUACCCUGCCUCACCUCCUCGGUUGAGGUGUAUGGGAUUGGAUGUCUCUUGGCAGAUGGGUAACAUGACUUGUGGGUAAAGAUGCGCAACCUUUACAGAGUGUAAAACUGGUAUACUAGCCGUGCUCACGGUCAUGAGCAGCUCAGACUCUCACAUGAUUAAUUUAUAGAAUUAAAUUCAACUCAUCAUUUGCAUCGCAUUGGGAUUAUUUUAUUAUUAGUUUUGUUUAUUAUUACUAUGGUUUGGUAUUCACUUACACUUAGUAACUGCUAAUAAAAUUUUGACCAACUUAUAAAAGCAAUGCUCAGCUUCAACCUUUAUUUUGUUGAUCAGCCUUACACUUCACAUGAACUCCCACCUUUGGUGAGUUCAUGCACAUUAUUCCCCAAAACUUGUUGAGCUAUGAAUGUAUGUGAGCUCACCCUUGCUGUCUCACACCCCCCACAAGAGAAGAACAAGUGGUGAGACAACAAUGGUGAGCUCACCAUUGCUGUCUCACACCCACCAACGAGGAGUUCGACUUAAUCUAGGUGGCAUCUCCCAGUCAGCUUUGUGGCGCCAGGGAAAUAAGAUUUAGUUUGUUUUAUAUUUAUCAUUUAUUUUGUAAGACUUCCGCUAUGUAAUAAGUAUAUUCUUGAUAAUUAUGACUGUUGGGGGCCUUCGGCUUCCGAAGAUCCUCAAAAACGUGAUUUGACAAUGUUUCUGGAGUAUAAUACAUGAGCAGGUACCUUCGGACACAAACCCUUCGGACAAGUCAAAAUUGAUGUAUGAAGAAACAUAAAGAGAACGAAGGAUGGAAUAGAGCCGAAGCUGUGCGCAAGGAAGCUUCGGCAUGAUGGCAGAAAAGAGGAAACCGACUUAAAGAGGAAAAGACUAUUUAGACCCCGAUAGAUUACUAUAGAGUUAUUAUCAAAAGCAAAGGGCCUAGAUGUAAUUUUACAUGGGCUGCGACGCGUGCCUAUAAAUAGGUGAAUAGUACUCCCGUACUGUUCACGCUGACUUGGCAUUUGCUUUUGCAUCACGCUUGUACUUUUACCUUCUUUCAAGUCAAAGGUAUAUUUGUAACCCAACAUCAUUCCUAUUCUUCUAUAGCAAUAAAAUAAAAAUGAGUUGAUAAUAAUACAUAACUAUUCAUGUUGUCUUUUAUAUUCCACGUAAUUCCCUUUUUCAUUAUGAUAUGUAAUGUUUAUGAAGGUAUGUCCUUCAUAACCUUCGUCCGAAAAUCAUUAUAUCUCAAGGGAAAUAAUGCUUCGAAGGACGAAGGACUUUAAUGUUUAACGUUUUCUGUGUUGCCUUGUUCUUAACUCUUAGCAUUUGAGAACAAGUCCCCAACAUUGGCGCCCACCUCCGGUGAACUCACUUCCACUUUUUGAGUUUCGAACACCUUCGGCAAGCAUCAACCUUUGUCAUGCCGCCAAAUAAAGCUUCAUCGACAGGGGCUGCAGCUCUGCAGCCGCUGGACCCGAACCAGGAGACCCUUUCUCUUCGAGAGGCCCGAAGCUAGAAGAGGAAGGCCACCAGUCCAACGCCCCAGGAGGACGACUUGGACCAAGAGAUCAGGAAUAUGGAGAUGCUCCAUCAGCAAGUACAAAGGAAGAAGGAAAAGAUGGCUCGGCUAACUGAUCUGCAAAGGCAGAUAGAUGAAGCUUCUGAAGAAGUUCGUCAUCUAGCUCAAGAUGAGCAGAACCGAAGGCCUCAGCACAGAGAGCUUCAUCAAGAGGGCUUCUUCAACGAGGAUGACUGGUAUGAGGAUUUCCAUCAUGGAAAUUUUGCUUUUGAUGAUGCUUCUCCUCUGUCAGCAAAACUGCAGGCUACAACUUGGCCCCCGUCUUACAAGCCACCCCAGCUUCCCAUGUACGACGGACACUCAGACCCGAAGCAGUUUUUGAUGAGCUACGAAGCAACCAUAUCUUCGUAUGGUGGCAAUACUGCAGUCAUGGCGAAGUCUUUCGUCAUGGCUGUCAAGAAUGUUGCACAAACCUGGUACUCCUGUCUUCGGCCAGGAACAAUCACGUCAUGGCAGAAGCUGAAGGACAUGCUAAUUACCAGUUUCCAAGGGUUUCAAAUGAAGCCGGUCACCGCUCAAACUUUAUUCCAGUGCACCCAGGAUCACGAAGAAUACCUUCAGGUGUAUGUCCGAAGGUUCUUGCGUUGAGGGCACAGGCACCGAUGGUGCCCAAUGAAAUUGUCAUUGAGGCCAUGAUCAAGGGGCUUCGGCCAGGACCUAUGGCCCAAUACUUCGCCAGGAAACCCCCUCAGACCCUAGAAAAGCUGCUCCAAAAGAUGGAUGAAUACAUCCGCGCCGAUAAUGAUUUUCGUCAGAGAAGAGAGGAAGCUUACAGGUUCUCCGAAAUGACCAGGGGCUUCGGAGGGAGAAUCCACCCAAGACAUGUAAGAUCAAUCCAUUCUACUCAAAAUGAUGAUAGAGGAAGUCAGCAACAGCGGCCACAAUACUCCUCUCAGGCUUCGGGGCAACAACAGAGCUAUCUUCGGCCGCCAGCUCCAAGGGGCAGAGGCGCCAGGGGCUUCGGAGGAAGAUUUGGGGACCAGCCCAGGAAAAUUUAUUUAUUAUGCGGGAAGGACAAGGGCCAUACUACUAGGAUGUGCCAUGUCACCAUCUAGAAACAGAAAGAGAUAGCAGAAGCUGCAGCCCAACAAAGCCAGCCGAAGCAAGUUAUGCAUACUGCUUCAUAUCACUCACCGUACAUUUCAGAGUAUGUGGGUAACCAUCCUGCAGCUUCUGUUGCUUCGGCAAGCCAACCUCAGGCGUCUUGGCAACAGCCUCCACCUCCACCACCAAUGCAACGAGGCCAGCAGCCAGAAGGGAGCCAACACACUCAUCAACAACGAGACUUCAGAGAGGAGUCCGAAGCUCGCACAGUCAACAGUACUGUGCUAGAGUCGAAGCACAUCUACUAGAAGAUAUCCUACCUCGGCAACAGUUCUUGCAUUCGUUUUCAUUUUUCGUUUAAAUAAGGAACAAUCAUUAAAGCUUAAGUUUUUCUUCUCAUUUUCAAAUUCUUGUAACAGCUUCGUUUUUUACCAUAGUGAAAAUAUAUCUUCUCCAUAGAUUUACGGAGUUAGAAAAAUCGCCGAAGCACGAAAGCUCGGUCUUAAGAGCUCGUGAUUACAGAAAGUAUCUCCGAAGAUACAAAAAAGUCGUUCUAUGGGACGCAGUGUAAGUUGCCAAAGUUACAAAAAGUCGUUCCUAAGGGAGUGCAGCGUAAGUUUUCUGCUCAAAAGUCGUUCCAAAGGGAAUGCAGAGCUUACAACGAAAAAUAAACGCUGAUUCCGCUGAAAUAGAAGGCGAAGAAGCUCCUAAGGGAGGCUUACAGCGAAAAAUAAACGCUGAUUCCGCUGAAAUAGAAGGCGAAGAAGCUCCUAAGGGAGGCUUACAGCGAAAAAUAAAUGCUGAUUCCGCCGAAAUAGAAGGCGAAGAAGCUCCUAAGGGAGGCUUGCAGCGAAAAGUCAGCACUUAUCUUUGGCACAAAUAUCAUUUUGCAUAACAUCACAUCAUCACAUCAUUUGCAUAGCAUAACAUCAUACAUCAUAUUGCAUCAAUGACGCAAGAAGGGGGUUCAAUGUUGAUCUUCGGAGAUUGUUUCGAAGAAGCAGUGCCAAGGCACAAAAUAAUUAUUGAAGAAGCAUACCUUCGUCAAACUCUAAAAUGAAAAGACCUAUUGCUUACGAGGCACAAUAUUUUUUACGAGGAUUGGAUGUUUUUAUGAAAUAUGGAUAUUCUUCACGAAGCAUGAAAAGAAGGGAAGGUGUUUUUUCGCCGAAGGCUCAAAAACGAUAUGUACGUAAAGUUUCAUGCAUCGUAAAGAAUUGAGUUACAAGCAGCUCAUAUAUUACAUUCAAGGUUAUAAAAAUAUUACACACUUUGUCCAGCAAAUAUUACAUUCUCAAUGUCUUUACAAUAGCAGCUAAUCUUCUCUUAAGACUACUUCCGCAGCUUCGUUUAGUAGUUGAUCAACAACCUUAUCCAUAAUAGCUUCGACCAUUUUUCUAAUUUCGUCAUCCCCCUUUGCGUUGGGGUCCGCCAAUGGCUCGGCGGGCUCUGGGGGAGAAGAUAGUCCGGCUAUGUUACAAAGUGUAAAUAAGUCCGAAAUCAUAUAAUUACAACAUAAAGUCAAAACUUAGUAGUCAAUACCUAUUCGCCUCUCGAGAUCCGCACUUUUCUCAGCGGCCUCUGCUACAUUUCUAGCGUCGUGAAUACCUUUUUCACUUUUCCUUAUAAUUUGUUGAGCCAUCUCCCGGCCACCAUUUUCCCAGAUGUCGGUGAAAAAUUUACCACCAACCAAGCUUGCUUCAUCCGAGGGGUCUUUUAUAUCUUCAGAAGAUAAAGCGGCCUCGAUUUGUGCCAAGGAUUUCACAUGAUCGCAGCCUCUACUCUCCAAAAUAGUGGCAAUCCCCCUAGCACCCGAGAAGGCACAUAUGUCUCCGCGGCCAUUCAAAACUUCCUCAAAAGCUUCGGCUUCGUGGUUGGUCCAUUCAAUUGGGCCCUCGGAGUCGCCCUUUACGAAAUUUUCCUCGCUUGAAUACGCGCCAACGUUGGCGAAACUAGUUUUUAUUUUCUUAACACACUCUAUAGACUUUUCAUAACACCUUUCCUUGGAUGCACGAAGUUCUUCAACGUUUUUCUCUAAAUGAUUUGUCCAUUGUUCACUGAUUUCUCGUUUAGCUUCUGCAACUGCACAUUUUUCUUUAGCUUCGGCUAGCUGUUUCCGAAGAUCCUCAAUUUCACGCUUCUGGGCCUCAGCUUGAGCUUUGGAAGCAGCUUCGUCUUCUUUUAUUUUAUUCACCAAUGAAUGUAAUAUUUUAUCUUUCUCAAGACCUUCGUUCCUUAGCUCAAUUACUUCGGAACGAAGGUUGUUUAAAGCCAUGGUGCACCCUUCAUCUUCGGCACUUUUUUGCGCUCUGAGGGCAUUGCUGAGAAUAAGGCCCUGCAAAAGGAAUGUGAUAUUAAGAAAUAAACACACGAAUUUUUAACCACACAAAAAGUGUAUUUUCUCACCUUUAAGCUGUUAUAUGCUAAGCUGUCGGCCAAUUCAUCUUUUGACAAAACUGAAAGCCCAUCUUCUAGAGUUGGGAAUCCGAAGUUUUUUGCCAUCUCCCAGCAGACAGAGAUCUCCUUGCCGUCUGGGAGGCAAUACAAGAAGUCUUCUUCUCCGCUGCCAUUGAAUAUCAACGGCCCUUUCGGAUAUUUCAAUUUUUGCGCAUAGAACUGAGCUUCUCGCUUUUCUUUUUCAGUCAGAUUUUUACCCGAAGCAUGGCGUAAGACAUAGUUGGGAGCUUCGGAAGAUGCUUCGGGAAUAGGGAUGGCGGUUUUCUCAGAUAAAAUUUCUUCUACAGAUUCUUUUUCUGUUUCUUUUCCAAUUUCCAUGAAUUCCCUCUUGGCAGGCUCUGAAAGCCCAGUUUCGGUUUCCACUUGGCUUUUGGCAACUUCGGCCUCAAUUUCUGUUUUUGGAGCUUCGACAGCUAUCUUCGAAGUAGAGCUUGAAGAUUUUAUUGUUUCUAGCACAUCUAGCACGUUAACCAUUAUCUUUCUCUUGGGAGUUAUUGUAAGGUCCUUUUGUGCCUUCGGUGUUGGCAUUGGCACCUCAACUCUUGCUGAAGGACUUAAAACUUCCGAUGUCUUUAUCUCUUCAGCCCUCGGUUCUUCCAUUUUUUCAUCUCCGGCAUUGCAGCCAGCUCUUCAAUAUUCUGCAGAUGAGUAGGCUCUUUGGCUUCAGUGGCCGAAGAGGUUUCACCGACAAACUCAGGCACUGUGGUCGGCUCAAUAUAGCGUGGCCGGUGCGUAAGAACUUUCAUCUUUUUUCUCUUCGGCGCUGGCUCACUAGGAGCGGCCGAAGCAACUUCCUUCACAGAAGUCGUACCUUUUCUUUUUUGACCCCGUAUUGGGUAACGGUAGUCAGGAUAGACGAACCCAAUAGCAUCAAAAACUCGGUUGAGUCUUUUCUUCUUCCGGCCUCUGAAGGCCGCAGAUAGUGCAGUAUCUUCUGCCUUCGAAUAUGGCCCAAGCAGUUCAUCGCUUGUAGCUUCAACGCAUUUCAACCAAUCGUCGUCUGGCUCGAUAAAUUGGUCUACGAACCUGAAGGUAUAUUUUAGUCGAACCAGGCCACCUUCAUGUGGGUUGUUGAUGGUUUCCUUCGGCAUUUCCCAGUUAGCUACCAAUGGCCAUAUCCUGUAGGCCAUGUGCUCUUGAACUAAGUCCCUAGUCCCGAUGAAAGAGCAGACUAUGCCGAAGGCCCUCUGGCACUCUUCGGCUGCUUCAUCCAUUUCCACCUUCGGUUUCCGGAGGCCGAAACGCUGCCAGAUAGGGCGCAUGAUGAUAUCUUUAAUAUCUUCUCGUUCCUUCAAAUCGUUGUUCACAUAGAACCAUUCCUUCAUCCAGUCUCCGGGCCAUCUCUUUCGAAAGGUUGGCACGGGACAGCUUGACCCAGAUCGAGCACCGAAGCUAUAGCAGCCAAAAUUGUUAUGAUAUUGUUCUUUACCCCAGGGUUUCGUCUCAUAUAAUAGCUCAUGCAUAUUGCAGAAACUUUUUGCAUUUGGCUCCAAACCUUGGCUCUUCACGGCCCAUACAAAGAUUCCCAUCCUUAUGAUUGCUUCGGGAGUAAUUUGAUGAAGGCAGAUUUCAAAUAUCUUCAAAACUUCAACCACGAAACUGCUUAGAGGAAACCGAAGCCCAGCCUUGAAGAAGCUUCGGAAGAUCACGACUUCAUUUUCCUCGAGAGUAGGACAAGUUUUCUCUCCUUUGUCAGCCCUCACAAUAGACAAAUCCCGAAAAUAUCUACCUCUCAUAUUGGCAAGAUGGCUUUGUUUAAUGGUUGAUUUUCCAAAAACGGCAUGGCUUGGCCGCCAGGGUCGAUCUUCCGAGUCUUCCCCCCCACUUUCGGCAUCAUAACUGUCACUAUCACCAGUAUCUUCAGAUAAACCUUCCAAAAUUUCCCUUGUAAUCUUUUCUGUAUUUGUCUUUGAUAUUGAUUCAAGAAAGCCAAGAUUCUUUUCCUCAAGAAGGCUCAGCUUUGUUUUAGCAACAGCUUUCUUAUCUUCAGACAUCUUCGGAAACGCUAAAAACCGCUUUUAAAGCCGAAGCUUAAAAAACUUACAAAUUAAGCAAGUCUUGUUGCGCAGGAGCUAAAAACUGUGUAAGCAAGAGCAGAUGGCAAAGAAAGCGUACCAAAUGACAUUGUGGUGUACUCUUAUUUAUACAUCUGGCGCAUUGAGAAUAGGAGGGCCCCGCUUGACAUUGACUGUUGCUAUUCUAGCAAGAGGAAGGUGUUUUUCGGACCUUCGGCUUAGGGCCUUCGUCCAUAUCGCAAUCUGAAUUUAUUAUCCUAACAAAUUAAUAUUGCGAGGGGCUACUGUUGGGGGCCUUCGGCUUCCGAAGGUCCUCAAAAAUGUGAUUUGACAAUGUUUCUGGAGUAUAAUACAUGAGCAGGUACCUUCGGACAUGAACCCUUCGGACAAGUCAAAAUUGUUGUAUGAAGAAACACAAAGAGAAUGAAGGAUGGAACAGAGCCGAAGCUGUGUGCAAGGAAGCUUCGGCAUGAUGGCAGAAAAGAGAAAACCGACUUAAAGAGGAAAAGACUAUUUAGACCCUGAUAGAUUACUAUAGAGUUAUUUCAAAAGCAAAGGGCCUGGAUGUAAUUUUACAUGGGCUGCGACCCGUGCCUAUAAAUAGGUGAACAGUACUCCCAUACUGUUCACGCUGACUUGGCAUUUGCUUUUGCAUCACGCUUGUACUUUUACCUUCUUUCAAGUCAAAGGUAUAUUUGUAACCCAACAUCAUUCAUAUUCUUCUAUAGCAAUAAAAUAAAAAUGAGUUGAUAAUAAUACAUAACCAUUCAUGUUGUCUUUUAUAUUCCACGUAAUUCCCUUUUUCAUUAUGAUAUGUAAUCACUACACGACGGUUCACUUACAGCGACCUACGGUUGGUUGCUAAAACGGCUUUCAGCGACCUACGGUUGGUUGCUAAAAACUUUUAGCGACCCAUAAGGAUGGUCGCUGUAAGUGCCAUCGCUAAAGGCUUUAGCGACCGACAUCUUUUUAGCGACCGACCGUCCGUUGCUAAUAUUGUAUAUUUAGCGACCAACUGUGGGUUGCUGUACUAUAGAUUUAGCAACCAACCGUAAGUCGACAUACUAUACAUUUAGCAACCAACAAAAAGUCGCCCUUUUUAAAGUUGUUAUUAAUAAUAAUAUACAUUUAAUUAAGCACCACAAAUCACAUAUUUUUAUACACAAAUCAUAAAGACAUACACAGUUAAUCAUUAUACCACAGUCAUAGAUCCAUCACAUAAACACAAAAGCACCACAAUUAUAUAUUCACAAAAGCAUCACAAUUAUAAUAUCAUUCACAAUUAGACCAUUUACAGAUAGCUAGCUAGAUCAUUCACAAAAGCUCCAGAGAUGAUCAUUCACAAAAUAUCUUGUACCAGAAGUUACAAAAUAGCAAAGAUCAGCCACCCCAUCUCAUUUUUCAUCUAACAAAAUGGAGGUACACGCUAUUAGUGACGACAGUUCUUGUGUUGCAGAUCCAGAGCCUUGCCAUCUUAUUCUUCCCAGGCCAUCAACCAGAUAUAUGUAUCUGCAGUUCAAGAGUACACCUACCUUAUAUUGACAACAAAAACUACUUUUAGUAUUUAUGAAAUGACCAAAGAGAGUAUUUAUGAAAAAACUACCUUAAUUAAUGAUUGUUAGAUUUCCUCAUCGCCUUAAGAAAUGCUCGUCUCAUAGGAAUCAACGAUAAUACCCAAGAAUCUAUAAAUGAGACCUAGAACAUAACAUUAAAGCAUCUUAGCCAUUAUCAAUGAUGUAAAAAGGCAAAAAAAUGGAUAAUGAAUUGUACGGUUACAGGGUAACAUCAUUGCCGUCCAAUAUUUUCUUUCCUUUACUCUCAAAAAAUUGUCAGUGGAACUUGAUCCAACAAUAACAUGCAUGUUCUUGGCAGCACCGAAAGCAUCCAGGACCCCAGUACUUGAGAGCUGCGAGGUCAUAGGCACGAGCAGCUGCCUCCUCGCUGUCAUACGCCCCUGGAGAUCAUGCACAAUUGACAAAUUAAUCCCCCCGGCUUUAAGACAAGGACGCAGAUCACGGCAUGAUCUGGCAACAAGUAACAUGAAACGAAAUCUGGCAACCAAGAGAUAUAUUAGAGAGCAGAGGGCUUGCUGUGGGAGUGGGACUUACCCAGGUAGACUAUUGAGGUGAUGCAGCCAGCAGUAGAUCACAGGCACAUGUAGAUCACCGGCACCAAGGGGACCACCAUCGCCAAAGAUUGAAGAAAAAAAGGAGAUAAACAAAGCCUGAUCAGUAUGUCAGCCUUAAAGAAAUUCGGCGCACUUUCAACGAGAAAAAAAGGGAUCGAUGUACUGUGGUACUGGGCAGAUGCAUCAGGAAUUCAGCAUCCUUGCAUAGGACACAAAGGACCUCAAUUGGGUUCCUAGUAUUGGGUUUUGUUUAUGGUCGUAGUACCACCAUUGCUGCUUAAUCCUCUUAUUAAGAUUUAAGACCGGUUUUGUUCCUAUUUUGGGAGAGAAUACCGAACAGGAUGAAAACGGAUGGAUGGAUUCUUGAUGAUGAUGAUACUCGGAAAGAAGUAGCAGCUCACAGUACACACCUUGCUUGCCUUUCUUCUUGUUGUGGAGCGCGGCCAGGCAGUGCUUGUCCCAGAGAUGCGCCUCGAACCUGCCCGUCCACCUAUGCCUGCGUUGAGACAGCACCUGGGCGGCGAACGCUCCCUUUUGCGGCCUAGGGCAGGUGGCGACGACCGUGUACCCUUGGGGCGGGGAAAGGGCAAGCCGGUCGGGGUCGGACUUGCGCGCGGCUCUAGGCGUCGAGUCUUCGGCGUGAGUCGCAGGGGCGCUGCUCCUGGCGGACGGAUGGAGAGGCGGGGCGGGGGCUUAGGAGAGGGAGCAGGGUAGUGGCGGCUAGGGUUGGGGGCAUGGCCGGUUUCAUGGGCCUUGGUGGCCAGCUAGGUUAGGUUAGGUUAGUUUUUUUUUCUAAUUCCUUUCUAAUUUCAAAAUAUAAAUUUAAAUAACCAUAAAAUUUAUAACAAUUAACCCAAAACUAUUUAUAAAUAAAAUAUUUAUUUUUGGGACUAAUAAUUAUAUUAUUAAUUUACUAGGAUUUUCAUUUAACAAGAAACGUUUAUUAAAUAUCCAAAAAAUCAAUUAUAAGCAAUCAAAAAUCAUUCCAAAGGUAAAUAAAUAACAAGCACUUUUUUAAAAAAAAUUGAUUACCAUAAAUAUCAUUAUUAACUAAAUGUAUUAUCAUAUAAGCACAAAGAACAUAGUUGCAUAUUAUAGUCAUGUCCAUACAUAAACAAACCAUGAAAUAAACAUACAAGCAAUAUAAAAAAGAAAUAAAUCACCACGCAAAUUAGCGAUCAAUUUAGCGAUCAAUGUUUACUUGUUUUAAUUAAUUUUUAGUCACUAACAUCUACAGGUACGUUCAGGCUAUAAGAUUUGAUAGUGAUCCUUGCUCUAUAGCGACCCACCGCUAGUCCCCCACGACAUCUAUAGCGACCAACCAUAAGUUGUUAAAUUUCUAGACUUUUAGCGACCAACCGACCGUUGCUACAAAAGGAUUUAGCGAUUGACCGUCGGUCCCUAACCUUUAGCAACCAAUAGUUGGUACCUAAUAAGGGUCGCUAAAGGUCAACCAUCGUGUUGUGAAUGUUUAUGAAGGUAUGUCCUUCAUAACCUUCGUCCGAAAAUCAUUAUAUCUCAAGGGAAAUAAUGCUUCGAAGGACGAAGGACUUUAAUGUUUAACGUUUUCUGUGUUGCCUUGUUCUUAACUCUUAGCAUUUGAGAACAAGUCCGCAACAAUGGCAUUUAUCUCUAUGCACUUUGUUAUUAUGUGUGUUGUUCUUCCUUGGCGCACAUAUGAGAUGCACCCGGCUUUAUUCCUUAAAUCUGGGUGUGACAGAAGUGGUAUCAGAGCAAUGUUGACUGGAGGACGAAACCUAGAUAGAAAUGGACAAAACCCUUACCUACUUACCUUACUCUGAUUCUUUCUACACUUUUCUUGAUCCUAUCUCACGUUCUACUGUUCUACUCUGAUUACUCUUAUCUUUUCUACUCUGAGACAAGGAGGAUUUCACACUUUGGAAUCCUACAUCCAUGACACUCUAAAGAGAUAGGAGACCCAAGACAAAAUUUAAAAAUUAUUUUCACUACUAAAAUGUUGGUUGAUUGUUCUGAUGAUAAAUGCCUGAUUUGCUUCUUUGAUUGAUUGAAACAUUAUAGAUGGGCAUCUUAGCAUGUACCUCCAUAAGGUAACGUAUUAGCUCUAGUAGGUAACACAUUAAUCUACUUAGCUAAUAAAUCCCCCAAAGUAACAUGAUUCGUAAUUACUUACCUUGUCUACAAUUCUUUCUUACCAUAUAUUUCUAACUCAGAUGGUCAAUACCAGGAAGGGUGGUGGAAUUGAUCUACCCCCCAAUCGACACAGCCGGAGGAUAUAUAGACAAUCACAACAACAAGAAGAAGAGAUGAAUCCUCCCAAUCCUCCACCAGCCGGAGCUGACCCAGCUGUUGCAGCCCAGAUGCAGAUAAUGCAACAGAUGACAGAUACUAUGGUGGACAUGCACGCGCAGAUGCGGCCGGAACGCCAAGAGAUGCGCCAGGAGAGAGAGAGGAGAUGCGCUAGGAGAGGAGGGUGCAACAGCAGCAAGCACCACAACCACCACCACCACUUCCACCCCGGGACAAGCAUCGAGAAUUUAUGAGCCACAAGCCACCUACCUUCUCCAGUUCACUAGAUCCACUGCAUGUUGAUGAUUGGUUGAAGUCAGUUGAGAAGAUGCUAAACAUCGCCCAAUGUCAGACUGGGAGAAGGUUCUCUACGCUUCAGGUCGUCUGACUGGUCCUGCUACUGACUGGUGGGAUUCUUAUGUUGCUGCCCAUUAUGCUGCUGACACUAUUACUUGGGAUGAAUUCACCACUCAAUUCAGAAACUACCACAUUCCUGUUGGGUUGAUGAAGAUUAAAAAGAACGAAUUUCUAUCAUUGAAGCAAGGCAACAUGUUAGUCACGAGUAUCGUGACAAGUUCAUUCAGCUAUCGAGAUAUGCUCCUGAUGAGGUGGGUGAUGAUGAAAGAAAGCAAGAACACUUCACAAAAGGACUUAAUGGGCCACUACAUUACGCACUGGUUGCUCACACAUUUCCAUCAUUCCAGAGGCUGCUUGAUAAAGCUCUAGCUAUUGAACACAAGUGUGUUCAACUGGGAGAUUUGAAGAGGAAGGCCAUUGCCCAGGGGCAGGGUAGCAGCAGUGUUUGUCCUUGCUACGUUCCGCCUCAGGGUACCCCAGCUCGUCCCGGAGGAGGACCACGUCCAGCUCAGUAUGCUCCACAGGGGAUUCCGCAGACACCCCACACUUGUCAGGCUACCCCCAUUGGCACCCCGGCGAGGCCUACAGGGCAGAAGGUUGGCCCUACAUGCUUCAAGUGCAGUCAGAUUGGGCACUAUGCUAAUGCUUGUCCGGUGGGGAAUUCCAGUGCACCAGCUCAGAACAAGCAACAGACUCCUGGCAAGGGAUUCUCUAUUGCCAGGGUUAAUCAGGUCAGCGCUGAGGCUACUGCUGAAGGAGCUGACAUCGCACUUGGUAUGUUUUAUAUUAAUGCAAUUACUACAACAAUAUUAUUUGAUUCUGGUGCUACACAUUCAUUCAUGUCUGCUCGAUAUGCCAACACAAAUGAGUUACCACUGAAAAAUAUGAAAACACCAAUGCUAGUAUUUACACCUAAAGGGCCUGUUGAGGCAAAUCAUAUGACACAUAAAUUGACAUUGACAAUUAUGGGAAGAGAAUUCUGGGCUACCACUAUAAUAUUAGAGGCAAACAGUAUAGAUCUGAUCCUUGGUAUUUCAUGGCUAAGAAAGGCAAAGGCCAUUAUACAAUGUGGUAGGGGUACUGUAGAACUCACCAGCCCUAAAGGAGAAAGGUUUCAAGUUGAAAUUGCAGUAACUACCUCUACCAGACCUACGACAUUCUUCAUAGAUGUGGAGUUUGUUGGAGAUAACAUCCGUGUGGUUAGGGAUUUUCCAGAUGUCUUUCUGGAGGAGUUACCAGGGAUGCCACCGGAGAGGGAAGUUGAGUUUGUCAUUGAUCUCUUACCUGGGACUGCUCCUAUUUCUAAACGGCCAUACAGGAUGUCCGUAGAAGAGUUACAAGAGCUUAAGAAGUAGUUAACGGAGUUGCAAGAGGCAGGGUACAUUCGUCCGAGUUCCUCACCUUGGGGAGCACCAAUAUGUUUGUAUAGAAGAAGGAUGGUUCACAACGGAUGUGUGUGGACUAUAGAUCACUUAAUGAUGUCACCAUUAAGAACAAGUACCCGUUACCUCGUAUUGAUGACUUAUUUGAUCAGAUGAGAGGUGCUAAGGUGUUCUCUAAGAUUGACCUCAGGUCGGUCUACCAUCAAAUGAAGAUUAGGCCAUCUGAUAUUACCAAGAUGGCUUUCUCAACCCGAUAUGGUUUAUAUGAAUUCACAGUCAUGUCGUUUGGCUUAACCAAUGUACCAGCCUACUUCAUGAAUUUGAUGAACAAGGUGUUCAUGGAGUAUCUUGAUAAAUUCGUCGUAGUAUUCUCGAUGACAUUCUUAUUUAUUCCAAGAAUGAUAGUGAGCAUGAGGAGCAUUUGCGGAUGGUGCUACAGAAAUUACGAGAUAAUCAGCUUUAUGCCCAAUUUACCAAGUGUGAUUUCUGGCUUGAUGAAGUACAUUUUCUCGGUCAUAUCAUCUCCAAAGGAGGAAUUGCUGUGGAUCCGGCUAAAGUAACAGCGAUAGUUGAUUGGAAGAUACCAAGUACAGUAUUCGGAGUUUCUUGGGACUCGCAGGCUAUUACCGGCGAUUCAUUGAAGGGUUCUCCAAGAUUGCUAAGCCUAUGACCUCAUUGUUAGAAGGGCUAGGAGUUUAAGUGGACUGUGGAAUGCCAAGAGAGUUUCGACCAAUUGAGAUCUAAAUUGAUGGCAGCCCCAGUGCUGAUUAUGCCAGACCUAUAGAAGAAUUUUGAUAUAUAUUGUGAUGCAAGUCGCCAGGGCCUGGGAUGUGUGCUUAUGCAGGAAGGACACAUCAUUGCCUACGCGUCUCGCCAGUUGCGGAAACAUGAGUUGAAUUACCCCACUCAUGACUUAGAACUGGCAGCCAUUGUGCAUGCUCUCAAGAUCUGGAGACACUAUAUUAUGGGAACCAAGUGCCAAGUCUACACCGAUCACAAGAGCUUAAAAUACAUCUUCACUCAGAAGGAUCUCAACCUUAGGCAACACCGUUGGUUGGAGCUCAUCAAGGAUUAUGACAUAGAAAUUCACUAUCAUCCGGGCAAGGCGAAUCUGGUUGCAAAUGCUUUGAGUCGGAAGGGGCAGGUCCAUGCAGCUAUUGUCACCCAGUUACCCAAUGAGUUAGCAGAAGAUUUUGAGAGGCUCAAUCUAGGGAUAGUUGCUCAUCUAGGGAUAGUUGCUCAAACUGAAGUAAUUACCAUCGAAGUGGAACCUACCUUAGAGCAAGAAAUACAAAAGGGUCAGAUUGGUGAUGCCAAAAUUUAGGAGAUUAAAGAUCCAAUAACUAAAGGUAGAGGCCCAAAUUUCACGGAGGAUGAGCAGGGCACGAUAUGGUUCAAGAACCGGAUUUGCGUUCCAAAUAUCGAUAGUCUUCGAGAAACUAUAUUGAAGGAGGCACAUGACUCAGUUUACUCCAUCCACCCUGGUAGUACUAAGAUGUACCAGGACUUGAAGCAGAAGUAUUGGUGGUAUGGACUAAAGAAGGAUGUUGCUUCACAUGUUGCACUAUGUGAUGUUUGCCAAAUGGUGAAAUCGGAACAUCAAAGACCUGCUGGUUUACUACACCCGCUUAAGAUACCUGAGUGGAAAUGGGAAGAGAUUGGCAUGAACUUCAUUGUGGGUCUACCCCGCACAUCUGCUGGGUAUGACUCAAUAUAGGUGAUUGUGGAUAGGCUAACUAAAGUAGCCCACUUUAUUCCACUGAAUACCAUGUAUUCAAGAGCCAAGCUAGCAGAGUUGUACAUGGCACGGAUUGUCUACCUACAUGGUGUGCCUAAGAAAAUUGUGUCAGACCGGGGGUCACAGUUUACUUCUCGGUAUUGGAAGAAGUUGCACGAGUGCUUGGGUACAAGAUUGAAUUUUAGUUUGGCUUACCAUCCUCAAACUGAUGGGCAGACUGAGAGGACCAACCAAGUGCUAGAGGAUAUGUUAAGAGCUUAUGCUCUUACACAUGGUGGUAGUUGGGAUAAGAGUUUGCCCUAUGCAGAGUUUUCUUACAAUAAUAGCUACCAGGCCAGUUUGAAGAUGUCCCCGUUUGAGGCUUUGUAUGGCAGAAAGUGCAGGACUCCACUGUAUUGGGAUCAAACUGGUGAAAGGCAGUUCUUUGGACCUAAAAUUAUACAAGAGGCAGAACAACAAGUCCACCAAAUUAGGGAGAAUUUGAGAACUGCGCAGUUAAAGCAGAAAAUCUAUGCUGAUACCCGGAGAAGACUGCUAGAGUUUAAGGAGGGUGAUCAUGUAUAUUUGAAGGUGUCAACAAUCUGGGUAUGAUAAGAUUCAAAGUCAAAGGGAAGUUGUCCCCUCGCUUCAUUGGGCCCUUCUUAACCCUAAAGCGAGUGAGAGAGGUUGCAUAUCAACUAGAACUACCUGAUCAUCUUGCGGAUGUACAUGAUGUCUUCCAUGUAUCACAAUUGAAGAAGUGUCUCAGAUUACCUGAAGAGCAGCUACCCAUGGAGGAUCUUAGUGUUCAAGAUGAUGUGACUUAUACAGAAUAUCCUAUCAAGAUUCUUGAUAACUUGACUCGUGUCAUAAGGAGCAAAGUGAUUAAAAUGUGCAAAGUGCAAUGGAGCCACCAUGGAGAAGAUGAUGCUACUUGGGAAAGAGAAGAAGAACUAUGCAUAGACUUUCCCCACCUCUUUCCUAGUUCUACCUAAAUCUCGAGGAUGAGAUUCUUUGUAAGGGGGUAGGAUUUGUAAUACCCAAAAAUGUAUACAUUGAGAAUAUAGUUGAUCUCCCUAUUUUAUGUGCCAUAUAUUUAUCAUAACAAGAGCAUACCUAUAAGUAAGAGUGAUUAGUCAAAAUAAAUGGUACUAAAAUGGUGCCCUGCUAUGUAUCAACUAAUAUAAAAAAUAUUUAUUCUACCUCUAUUGUUGACUCAAGAAGCUCAGUUCCAGUUACAAUCCGGAGCACGACAGUGCUAACAAAACACCAUGAACAGUCCAUUCCAACAAAACUAGAGGAAGAACUUUAUUUGGAGUACCUUUUUUUACUAUGCAGUGAGAAUAACCUACUUCUAUGUAAAUAUAUGACAACAUGGUGUUUGCCAUACAAAUAUUAUGCUAAACUUACAUGUUCCUCUUAAUCCUAGCUACAUUGGAUCAUCUUUUGUUAAUUGUUACUAUGCGACUAUGCACCCUGUUAUGAAAUUAGCUAUUAUAAAUUCUCAAAUGGUGCAGCACUAUGAUAACAUCAUGGUCUGCUAUAGUCUAUGCUAUUUUGGUUGUAAAUUGUAUAGACUAUCUUUAUCUAUAUUUUUUUGUCUUAAAUACUACUCCCUCCGUUUUUUUAUUUGUCGUCUGUUAGUUUAAAUAUGAACUCGGGGGCGAUAAAUAUUCGAAAGCGGAGAUAAUAUUUAAUUAUAUGUGUGCGCUGGCGCGCACAAUUUACUAGUUGAAUCAUGUAACCGUACCAAAAAUUCCCAUAGUUAAGCCAUUGGAAGAGAUUUUUAACUAGUGGAAGUUCACGUAAUUGUAACCAGGACGGACGAACCAAUAAGAAGAAUACAGCUAGCUGGAUAGAGGUUCACGUUUUGAUUAAACUUUAUUAAAUAGUAUCCAUAUUUAUGGUUUCAAGUUAAUUUGUUAGAAAAAUAUAUCUUAUAAAGUAUAAAAUAUUUAUUCGAUAUUAUAAUGUUUUCAUGUGUAAUUGAUUAAACUUAUAAAAUACUUCAUUUCAAAAUAUAAUUCGUUUUUCAAAAUAUAAUUCGUUUGACUUUUUCAACCCUAACUUUAUUCACUCGUUUUAUUCAAAAAUAUCAUGAAUAACUAAAAAAAUUUAAGUCAUAUGUAAAGUAUAUUUGAUAAUAAACAAAACCACAAAAUUUUUUGGAUUAUUUAUAAUUUUUUGAAUAAGACGAAACUUGUGAUAAAAAAGAUAAACAAAUUAUAAAUUAGAACAGAGGUGGUACUAAAAUAUAAUACUACAUUAAAAUCGUAUUUUUUAUGCCGGAGCAUGUACUAUAUAUGCCGGCGGAAUAAACGGAUCCGAUCAAGCUUGCAGCCAUGCAAGCACUAAUAGGAUGUUUGGUUUGAGAAAUGAGCUAGUCCAUCAUCUUCUCACUCCUCACUAUUUUUGUUUGGUUUGUGAAAUGGAAUGAGUUGAUCCAUCACCACCUCAUUCCUCAUAGUUAGUACUAAUAUGAGGAAUAGAGUCAUUCCACCAAAUUUGAGAAAUGAACCCAUGAUGUACCACCUAAAUUUGAUUGUAGUGAUUCCUUAAACCAAACACACUCUAAGAAUUCAAUGGAGUUCACGUGGCCGACAACCUACUUCAAAAUUUAAGCAGGACGAACCAAUACAUGGACGAACGCCCAGGUCAUCCAGGUACUUGAAACCCUUAUUAUCAUAUUUAGGGCCGGCCCGUUCGAUUCUCUUGCAACUGUGCCUUAAAACUCGUACAAUUUUUGUUUAAAAUCUUGGACAACUAGACAAGACCUAAAAGUGCACGGAUACUAAACAAAAUAAAAUAACAUGAUAUCCAAUCAUGCAUACUUAGUCCAUGCAAACAUAUUUGUAUCCGUAAAUUGUAUAGACUGAUUUGGGUACAUGCAGUGGCGUAGACAAAGGGGCGGGCAGGGGCCAUGGCCCCCCUAACAAAAAGAAAAUUUGUUUUGUAGUUAUAUAUGGCUAAAAUAAAAGAGUUACCAUAUAAUAAAUUAAUAUUUAUUAUAUAUUUAGUAUAUAUGUGUUAAUUGUUAUGACUAAUAACUAUUGAAUAUAUUAGGGCUGGGCAUUCGAUUUUUUUUGAAAUUUCGGUUCGGUUUUUCGGUUUUCUAGACAUUAGAAACCAAUCGGUUUUCUAGAAAAUGAAAACCGAGAACUUCGGUUUCGGUUUUUUAUUUCGGUUUUUCAAUAAAAACCGAAUACCAAAUUUAUACUAAAAAGAACACAUACAACAAGUUUAUACGAUAGAUUAUACAUAAUUUUAAAAAAGUAAAAAUUAUAUAGGUACAAAUAUUUAGAGAUACAUCAUACAUCACAUAUAAAUAAGUGAAUAACAAUUUAAUUGGUUCACACAUUUAGUUCACAUAAUCAAAAAAUCAAAUUUUAGAAUUGAUAAAGUUUGGUAUUCGGUUUUUUUGGUAUUUCGGUUCGGUAUACGGUGAAAACCGAUUACGAUACCGAAAACCAAACUUCUGAGAUACAAAAACCGAAACCGAACCGAACUACCAAAAAAACCGAAAUUUCGGUUCGGUACGGUUCGGUUCGGUUUUCGGUUUAUGGUAAAAAAGUGCCCACCCCUAGAAUAUAUACAUAUAUUAUAUUUAUUCACGUUACAACUAUAAUUACAUAUGUGUUGGCCCCCUAAAGAAAAAUCUUGGCUAUGCCACUGGGUACACGGAUGGAAGACUGAUCCAGAUUAGAAUCAAACUCUAUUUCUAUUUAUUUUUGAACUAAAAUUAAUUAAGGGUUCAAACAAAUAGUGAAGAAACAUUUAGAUCGUGAUUCAUUACCACCCUACCUUAGAGCAAGGUUAAUUGUAUAGCACAGAGCAGGCUAUAUUGCCCUGUUACAUAUAGCCAACUAAAAAUCUAGUUAUAUAAGAACCCUCUCAUUGUACAAGCUACACAUUUAAUACUUAGCUCAUAUCUUUUUCUCACAAUCAAUCUUGGAGUUUGUGAGCAACCCACUUCAGCUAGAUAUUAGUGAGCAAACCACUUCCAUUCUCUCUUCAUUUCUCUUUCUUCCACAUCAUCACAAAUCUAAUGUGAUAUCUCUUGCAGCCCGUGAGGGCUCAAUCUGAUAUUUCUCUUGAAGUUGUUGAGCUCUUCCUGCAUGGUCAUCACCCAGUCAGGAUCCUUCAAAGCUUCUUCGACCCUGAAAAGCUCAAUAGAGGAUACAAAGGAGUAAUGCUCACAAAAAUCAGCAACACAAGAUCUAGUGGUUACUCCCUUGUUGAUGUCCCCUAGAACUAUGUCCACCGGUUGAUCGUGUUGUAUGGUGGUGCGAACGCGGGGUUGAGGCGCUUGUGGACCAUCAUCUUCCUCCUUGCCUUCCUCUUCAUGCGCUCCGCCUUGAUCAAUGCCAUCAUCUUGAGGUACUUGUUCCUCAUCUUAAGUAGGGGGUUGUGCCAUUGUUGAGGAAGAGGGUUGAUCUUGCACUAGUGGCUCCUGCGGUCGCACAUCUCCAAUCGCAUAGUUCCUUAGUGUGGUCGUCGAAACCUCCUCAUCAUCUAAGUCAUCAAGAUCAACACGCUCUCUUGCAGAGCCAUUAGUCUCAGCAAAUACAACAACACUAGUGACUUUGACAAGUCCAGAAGAUUUGUAGAAGACCCUAAAUGCUCUUGUAUUUGAAUCAUAACCUAGUAAAAACCCUUCUACAACUUUGGGAGCAAAUUUGGGAUUCCGACCUUUCUUUACUAAAAUGUAACAUUUGCUUCCAAAUACUCAAAAUAAGAAACAUUGGGUUUGUUACCAGUUAGGAGUUCGUAUGCGGUCUUCUUGACGAGGCAUGCAGGUACAACCGAUUUAUGGCAUGGCAAGUUGUGUUCAUAGCUUCCACCCAAAGCCGAUCCGACCUCUUGUAUUCUUCAAGCAUCAUCUUCACCAUGUUGACAAGCGUCCUAUUCUUCUUUUCCACCAUGCAUUUCGUUGUGGUGUGUAGGGGCGGAGAACUUGUGCUUGACGCCUUCCUCCUCAAGGUACUCUUCAACUUGUAGGUUCUUGAACUUUAUGUUGUUGUCACUUGUUAUCUUUUUAAUCCUCAAGUCAAAUUCAUUUUGAGCUCACCUUAAGAAUCGCUUGAGGGUCCCUUGGGAGAAUAGCCAAGUGAAGCGAGUAUAGUCAUCUACCAUAACGUGACCAUACUUACCUCCGCUGAUGCUAAGGUAAGCAACAGGGCCAAAUAGGUCCAUAUGAAGUAGCUCUAGUGGUCUUGAUGUCGUCUUUAUGUUCUUGCUUGGAUAACUUGAACCAACCUACUUUCCUGCUUGCCAAGCUGGACAAGGUAUGUCUUUCUCAAAACAAACAACAGUUAGUGCUAACAUAACUUCUCCCUUUAAAAGUUUAUGAAGAUUCUUCAUUCUAACAUGUGCUAGACGGCGAUGCCACAACCAACCCAUAGCAAUUAUCUUUCGAAAAAUCUACAAACUAAAGCUUGCACCUCUAAUACACCUUUAAAAGCUAAAUGAAUUAUCACAUCUUCUAAAGACAAUAAUGUCUACAUUGGUGCAUAAGCAAUUAUAACCCAUGGUACAAAGCUGACUAACAAAAAGCAGAGUAUGGCCUAGUGAUUCUAGUAGAAAAAACAUUUGAAAUAGAAUCCUCGGUAGUUAUGGCAAUCUUACCCAACCUCUUUAUAUUGCCUUGAUUCCCAUCUCCAAAUAUGCUUUUCUCUUGGUAAUCUUUGUUUUUGACAUAGGAAGAAAACAUCAACUUCUCCCCCGUCAUGUGGUUUGUGCAUCCGCUAUCAAUAAUCAAGCUUGAGCCCCACAUAUGCAUAAAUUUGCAAAAUAAAUUUAGGCUAGGGUCUAGGUACCCAACUAGAGUUGGGUCCUAUCAGGUUAGUCAUAUAUGACUUUGGCACCCAAAUGCAAGUCUUACCAUUCUUGCUUUUGGAUCUCACAUGAGAAGCAACUACUUUACUAGAUUUACAAUAAAGUACAUAGGAUGAAUCAAAUGUACAAUAAGAAAUAGAAGGACCAUAUGAUGCAUUCCUAGCCUUAGACACAUGAGUGGAUCUAACAUGAGAAACAUUGUGCCUACUUCUACCAUGAGCAUCAUAGGCACUAGAAGAAGCAAUCAUGACAUGUGAAGCAUAAACAACAUCAUGAUGCAUAGGAUAAACAACAUGAUCAAUAUAAGCAUCAUGAACAUUUCAAUCAUUUUUAACAUUAGCAUAAAUAUAAACAUGGUUCCUGCUAACAUGAGAAGAAUGAGCACUACUAGCAAUAGGCGCUUUCCAUUUUCCUUACUGAACAUGGGGGGCCUCAUGGCUCUUUUUGCCUUUGGCUCCCUUAUGGAAGCCAAUACCACCCUUAAUGGAGGGAUGUCUACCAAUUGUUUAGGCAUCCCUUAGUCUGUCGCACGUCACAAGCAAGGUUUUAUUUACUAUGGCGGUGACUUAUUGUGGCCGAAUGUUGGGCUCGGGCGAGCCGUUUCGGCUGACACAUAAUUAGGGGGAUUUUUGCUACUUUAUUACAAUGCACUGCCUCAAUAAAAACCUCACCGCUUCGUGAGGAAAAGAUUCGGGCCUGAAUGUUCAGUGCUUAAAUAUUACAUGGGCAUUUGAGGGUGCUUACGAUCGAAGUCGCUUUUACAAAAAACAUCAUGUGCAUUAGCAUUACAUUGUGUAUGAUACACCUAGAAUGCAUCCACCAGGCUAAAAUUUCAACACAAAACAUGUGAUGUGAUGCUUGUGUGAUGGUAUGACCUAGUAAGGGGGCCUUAACAUUAGAUGAGAGAAUCUCUCCAAGGACUAGAAGCAUGUGAGCUUAUGUUGUGGGCACUGAGGAGUGAUCUUACCAAGUUUGGUAAACAUGUUCAAGAAAUAAUUACUUGAAGAAGUUAAGCACUUAAUGUACCCUAGGACACUCAAAACCCCAAAUUGGAGCCCAAAACCCUAAUUAGUGCCCUAUAGGGUGAUUUCAAAUUCUAUGCACUUUUCACCAAAAGUGCCAAAAUCAAAGUAAUAGAGUAACAAACACUAAGCAACUUUUAUAUUUGGAGAUUUCCAUGUUUUGUGUUGAAACUUGGAUUAAUUUGUAAAGGUUCAUAAGCACCUCUAUUCUUGAACCCUGAAAAACAGUGUUGUUGAGUCAACUUUGGGCUCUUAUAUCUCUUAAUCCAUAAGGGAUUUUCUAUAAGUCAUUAUGGCAAAGUUGUAGAGCUACUAUAGUAGUACAAAUUUGAUUAAGUUACCUAGGCCUAGAAUGAGGCGCACCAAUCCUCUGGGACUCAAAUGUGAUACAAUUACUAGUCCCAGGAGGCUAGUAAACACAUUUAUACAUCAGAUGAUUUCAGAUCUGCUUAAACGAGACAAACCUAUAAAGGUGGCAAUCAACUUUAAAAGUUGGUCCACAACUCGGGACAUAUCAUCAGAGUGGGGCUGAAACAGCCCGAUAUACACAGCGAAGCAAAUCAACAGUCCAACAGCCACAUGCAAGCUUGGAAACAUGCGUAACUCUUACCCGAUCAGCGAUCUCCUUCUCUGAAAAAUAUCAAAUAAGCAAGGGUGAGUACUUACGUACUCAGCAGCCCACCUUUACCCACAGAAUGGGGAAAUCAGAUAUAAUGCAUGGAAUAUGUGGAGCUCAGGAUAUUUUGCAGAAAGAGCAAUAUUUGAUGCAGGGUUAUUUUGUAAAACAUUUUUUAUUUUUCAAAGUGCAUCCUCUCCCAAAGGAGCAGGAAGUUUUUCAAUAUAGAACAAAAUCCCCUGGACUAAACCAUCCAGGUAUCUCAGCAGUUUCUCACAGGUUUUCAUUUUCAAAAACAACUACUGGACUUCCCGUCCACCAUAGCUCACAGCUCGACCGUCGGACCUUUUAAAACCACUUUUCAAAAGCAUUUUUGGAAAACAAAACACUAAUUUUCAAAUCCAUGCCAUGACUCAUCCAUAUCCGUGGACGCAGACUAUUCGAAUAGGUUUUUAACUCUGCGCAGAGGUGUACACUUUACCCACUAGUCCGGUUUCUGCAAUCUCACCAUCGUGAGAUUCGAAUGUCGAAACUCUUUCCUUCCUUGCACGUCCUUACCUUAGCGAUUAUACCGGAAGGAACAAGGCCACCACCAUGCCCAAACCAAACAAAACAUUCCCCUUCCUUAUCCUCCCGGUGCUCCCCAGCCGUCGUAAUUGAUAGUCGCCUAGAGGGGGGGGUGAAUAGGGCGAAACUGAAAUUUACAAAUAUAAACACAACUACAAGCCGGGUUAGCGUUAGAAAUAAAACUGAGUCCGCGAGAGAGGGUGGAAAACAAAUCGCAAGCAAAUGAAGAGUGUGACACGCGGAUUUGUUUUACCGAGGUUCGGUUCUCUCAAACCUACUCCCCGUUGAGGAGGCCACAAAGGCCGGGUCUCUUUCAACCCUUCCCUCUCUCAAACGGUCCUUCCGACCGAGUGAGCUUCUCUUCUCAAAUCAAAGUCGGGAACAAAACUUCCCCGCAAGGGCCACCACACAAUUGGUGCCUCUUGCCUUGAUUACAAUGGAGUUUUGAUUUCAAGAACAAGUGAGAAAGAAAAGAAGUAAUCCAAGCGCAAGAGCUCAAAAGAACACGACAAAUCUCUCUCGCUAAUCACUAAAGACUUGUGUGGAGGUGGAGAGGAUUUGAUCUCUUUGGUGUGUCUAGAAUUGAAUGCCUAGCUCUUGUAAGUGGUUGAGAAGUGGAAAACUUGGAUGCAAUGAAUGGUGGGGUGGUUGGGGUAUUUAUAGCCCCAACCACCAAACUUGACCGUUGGUGGAGGCUGUCUGUUCGAUGGCGCACCGGACAGUCCGGUGCACACCGGACAUGUCCGGUGCCCCAGCCACGUCACCAGUGCCGUUGGAAUCUGACCGUUGGAGUUCUGACUUCUGGGCCCGCCUUGAUGUCCGGUGGCACACCGGACAUGUACUGUAGAGUGUCCGGUGCGCCAGCAUGGGCGUGCCUGACCCCUGCGCGUGCUGGCGCGCAAUAAAUGCGCCGCAGGUAGCCGUUGGCGCCUGAAGUAGCCGUUGCCCCGCAGAUGCACCGGACAGUCCGGUGCACACCGGACAGUCCGGUGAAUUAUAGCGGAGCGGCUGGCGUGAAAACCCGAGGCUGGCGAGUUCCUGAGGCCGCUCUUCCUUGGAGCACUGGACAUGUCCGGUGCACACCGGACAGUCCGGUUAAUUAUAGCGGAGUGGCCUCUGGAAAUUUCCGAGAGCGAAGACUAUGGGGUCGGAGUCCUCUGGUGCACCGGACAUGUCCGGUGGCACACCGGACAGUCCGGUGUGCCAGACCAGAGGAACCUUCGGUUGCUCCUUUGCUCUUUUGUUGAACCCAACACUUGGUCUUUUUAUUGGCUAAGUGUGAACCUUUGGCACCUGUAUAACUUAUACACUAGAGCAAACUAGUUAGUCCAAAGAUUUGUGUUGGGCAAUUCAACCACCAAAAUUAUUUAGGAACUAGGUGUAAGCCUAAUUCCCUUUCAAUCUCCCCCUUUUUGGUGAUUGAUGCCAACACAAACCAAAGCAAAUAUAAAAGUGCAUAAUUGAACUAGUUUGCAUAAUGUAAGUGCAAAGGUUGCUUGGAAUUGAGCCAAUAUAAAUACUUACAUGAUGCGCAUGGAUUGUUUCUUUGUUUUUAACAUAUUGGACCACAUUUGCACCACAUGUUUUGUUUUUGCAAAUUCUUUUGUAAAACCUUUUCAAAGUCCUUUUGCAAGAUAGUCAAAGGUAAAUGAAUAAGAUUUUUGCAAAGCAUUUUCAAGAUUUGAAAUUCUCUCCCCUUGUUCCAAAUGCUUUUCUUUUGACUAAACAAAACUCCCCCUCAAAUAAAUUCUCCUCUUAGUGUUCAAGAGGGUUUUAAGACAUCAAUUUUGAAAAUACUACUUGCUCCCCCUUUAGAAACACAAAGAGAUACCAAUCUUGAAAUUUUUCAUCCAAUUGAAAAUCAUUAAAAUUAGGGUGGUGGUGCGGUCCUUUUGCUUUGGGCUCAUACAUAUUUUCUCCCCCUUUGGCAUGAAUCGCCAAAAACGGAAUCAUUAGAGCCCUUUGAAGUACUUUCUCCUCCUUUGGUCAUAAAAUAAAUGAGUGAAGAUUAUACCAACGUUUGGAGAGUGAUGCAGAGCGACGGCGAAGGAUGAGUAGUAGAGUGGAGUGGAAGCCUUUGUCUUCGCCGAAGACUCCAAUUUCCUUUCAAUAUACCUAUGACUUGGUUUGAAAUACACUUGAAAACAUAUUAGUCAUAGCAUAUAAAAGAGACAUGAUCAAAGGUAUACUUGUGUGCUAUGUGUGCAAAUUAGCAAAAGAAGUUCCUAGAAUCAAGAAUAUUGAGCUCAUGCCUAAGUCUGGUAAAAGAUUGUUCAUCAAGUGGCUUGGUAAAAAUAUCGGCUAAUUGAUCUUUAGUAUUAAUGUAUGCAAUUUCGAUAUCCCCCUUUUGUUGGUGAUCCCUAAGAAAAUGAUACCGAAUGGCUAUGUGUUUAGUGCGGCUGUGCUCGACGGGAUUGUCGGCUAUUUUGAUUGCACUCUCAUUAUCACAUAGCAAAGGGACUUUGGUUAAUUUGUAACCGUAGUCCCGCAGGGUUUGCCUCAUCCAAAGCAAUUGCGCGCAACAAUGACCUGCGGCAAUGUACUCGGCUUCGGCGGUUGAAAGAGCGACCGAAUUUUGCUUCUUUGAAGCCCAAGACACCAAGGAUCUUCCCAAGAACUGACAAGUCCCCGAUGUGCUCUUUCUAUUAAUCUUACACCCCGCCCAAUCGGCAUCCGAAUAACCAAUCAAAUCAAAAGUGGAUCCCCGAGGGUACCAAAGCCCAAACAUAGGAGUAUAAGCCAAAUAUCUCAAGAUUCGUUUUACGGCCAUAAGGUGGGAUUCCUUAGGGUCGGAUUGGAAUCUUGCACACAUGCAAACGGAAAGCAUAAUGUCCGGUCGAGAUGCACACAAGUAGAGUAAAGAACCUAUCAUCGACCGAUAUACCUUUUGAUCCACGGACUUACCUCUCGUGUCAAGGUCGAGAUGCCCAUUUGUUCCCAUGGGUGUCUUGAUGGGCUUGGCAUCCUUCAUUCCAAACUUGGUUAGAAUGUCUUGAGUAUACUUUGUUUGGCUAAUGAAGGUGCCCUCUUGGAGUUGCUUGACCUGGAAUCCUAGAAAAUACUUCAACUCCCCCAUCAUCGACAUCUCGAAUUUCUGUGUCAUGAUCCUACUAAAUUCUUCACAUGUAGAUUCGUUAGUAGACCCAAAUAUGAUAUCAUCAACAUAAAUUUGGCAUACGAACAAAUCAUUUGCAAGAGUUUUAGUGAACAAAGUAGGAUCGGCCUUGCCGACUUUGAAGCCAUUAGCAAUAAGGAAAUCUCUAAGGCAUUCAUACCAUGCUCUUGGGGCUUGCUUGAGCCCAUAAAGCGCCUUAGAGAGCCUAUAGACAUGGUUAGGGUACUCACUAUCUUCAAAGGCGAGAGGUUGCUCAACAUAGACCUCUUCCUUGAUUGGUCCAUUGAGGAAGGCACUUUUCACGUCCAUUUGAUAAAGCUUGAAGCCAUGGUAAGUAGCAUAGGCUAAUAAUAUUCGAAUUGACUCAAGCCUAGCAACGGGUGCAUAGGUUUCACCGAAAUCCAAACCUUCGACUUGGGAGUAUCCCUUGGCCACAAGUCGGGCUUUGUUCCUCGUCACCACACCAUGCUCAUCUUGCUUGUUGCGGAAGACCCAUUUGGUUCCUACAACAUUUUGGUUAGGACGUGGAACUAAAUGCCAUACCUCAUUCCUAGUGAAGUUGUUGAGCUCCUCUUGCAUCGCCACCACCCAAUCCGAAUCUUGAAGUGCUUCCUCUACCCUGUGUGGCUCAAUAGAGGAAACAAAAGAGUAAUGCUCACAAAAAUGUGCAACACGAGAUCUAGUGGUUACCCCCUUAUGAAUGUCACCGAGGAUGGUGUUGACGGGGUGAUCUCGUUGGAUUGCUUGGUGGACUCUUGGGUGUGGCGGCCUUUGCUCUUCAUCCUCCUUUUCUUGAUCAUUUGCAUCUCCCCUUGAUCAUUGCCGUCAUCUUGAGGUGGCUCAUUUGCUUGAUCUUCUUCAUCUUGAGCUUCAUCCUCAUUUUGAGUUGGCGGAGAUGCUUGCAUGGAGGAGGAUGGUUGAUCUUGUGCAUUUGGAGGCUCUUCGGAUUCCUUAGGACACACAUCUCCAAUGGACAUGUUCCUUAGCGCGAUGCACAGAGCCUCUUCAUUACCUAUCUAAUCAAGAUCAACUUGCUCUACUUGAGAGCCGUUAAUUUCAUCAAACACAACGUCACAAGAAACUUCAACAAGUCCUGAGGACUUGUUAAAGACUCUAUAUGCCCUUGUGUUUGAGUCAUAUCCUAGUAAAAAGCCUUCUACAGUUUUAGGAGCAAAUUUUGAUUUUCUACCUCUUUUAACCAGAAUAAAGCAUUUGCUACCAAAAACUCUAAAAUAUGAAAUAUUUGGCUUUUUACCGGUUAGGAGUUCAUAUGAUGUCUUCUUGAGGAUUCGGUGUAGAUAUAACCGGUUGAUGGCGUAGCAAGCGGUGUUAACUGCCUCGGCCCAAAACCGAUCCGGUGUCUUGUACUCAUCAAGCAUGGUUCUUGCCAUGUCCAAUAGAGUUCGAUUCUUCCUCUCCACUACACCAUUUUGUUGUGGGGUGUAGGGAGAAGAGAACUCAUGCUUGAUGCCCUCCUCCUCAAGGAAGCCUUCAGUUUGAGAGUUCUUGAACUCCGUUCCGUUGUCGCUUCUAAUUUUCUUGAUCCUUAAGCCGAACUCAUUUUGAGCCCGUCUCAAGAAUCCCUUUAAGGUCUCUUGGGUUUGAGAUUUUUCCUGCAAAAAGAACACCCAAGUGAAGCGAGAAUAAUCAUCCACAAUAACUAGACAGUACUUACUCCCGCCGAUGCUUAUGUAAGCGAUCGGGCCGAAUAGGUCCAUGUGUAGGAGCUCUAGUGGCCUGUCACUAGUCAUGAUGUUCUUGUGUGGAUGAUGAGUGCCAACUUGCUUCCCGGCUUGGCAUGCGCUACAAAUCAUGUCUUUCUCAAAAUGAACAUUUGUUAGUCCUAAAAUGUGCUCUCCCUUUAGAAGCUUAUGAAGAUUCUUCAUUCCAACAUGGGCUAGUCGGCGGUGCCAAAGCCAACCCAAGUUAGUCUUAGCAACCAAGCAAGUGUCGAGUUCAGCUCUAUUAAAAUCUACCAAGUAUAGCUGACCCUCUAACACUCCCUUGAAUGCUAUUGAAUCAUCACUUCUUCUAAAGACAGUAACACCUACAUCAGUAAAUAGACAGUUGUAGCCCAUUUGACAUAAUUGGGAUACGGAAAGCAAAUUGUAAUCUAAAGAAUCUACAAGAAAAACAUUGGAAAUAGUAUGGUCAGGUGAUAUAGCAAUUUUACCCAAUCCUUUGACCAAACCUUGAUUUCCAUCCCCGAAUGUGAUAGCUCGUUGGGGAUCUUGGUUUUUCUCAUAUGAGGAGAACAUCUUCUUCUCCCCUGUCAUGUGGUUUGUGCACCCGCUAUCGAGUAUCCAACUUGAGCCCCCGGAUGCAUAAACCUACAGAACAAUUUUAGUUCUUGACUUUAGGUACCCAAACGGUUUUGGGUCCUUUGGCAUUAGAAACAAGAACUUUGGGUACCCAAACACAAGUCUUUGAUCCCUUGUGUUUGCCUCCAACAAACUUGGCAACUACCUUGCCGGAUUUGUUAGUCAAAACAUAAGAUGCAUCAAAAGUCUUAAAUGAAAUGGCAUGUUCAUUUGAUGCAUUAGGAAUUUUCUUCUUAGGCAACUUAGCACGGUUUGGUUGCCUAGAGCUAGAUGUCUCACCCUUAUACAUAAAAGCAUGAUUAGGGCCAGAGUGAGACUUCCUAGAGUGAAUUUUCCUAAUUUUGUCCUCGGGAUAACCGGCAGGGUAUAAAAUGUAACCCUCGUUAUCCUGAGGCAUGGGAGACUUACCCUUAACAAAGUUAGACAAGUUCUUAGGAGGGGCAUUAAGUUUGACAUUGUCUCCCCUUUGGAAGCCAAUGCCAUCCUUGAUGCCAGGGCGUCUCCCAUUAUAGAGCAUACUUCUAGCAAAUUUAAAUUUUUCAUUUUCUAAGUUAUGCUCGGCAAUUUUAGCAUCUAAUAAUGCUAUAUGAUCAUUUUGUUGUUUAAUUAAGACCAUGUGAUCAUGAAUAGCAUUAACAUCAAUAUCUCUACAUCUAGUACAAAUAGAAAUAUGCUCAACAUUAGAUGUAGAUGGUUUGCAAGAAUUAAGUUCAACAAUCUUAGCGCGCAAGAUAUCAUUUUUAUCUCUAAGAUCGGAAAUUGUAACAUUGCAGACAUCUAGUUCUUUAGCCUUAGCAAUUAAUUUUUCAUUUUCUACUCUAAGGCUAGCAAGAGAAAUGUUCAAUUCUUCAAUCCUAGCAAGCAAAUCAUCAUUAUUAUCUCUAGGAUUGGGAAUCGAAACAUUACAAACAUGUGAAUCAACCUUAGCAUUUAAACUAGCAUUUUCAUUCCUAAGGUUGUCAAUCAUCUCACGGCAAGUGCUUAGCUCACUAGAUAGUUUUUGACAUUUUUCUACUUCUAGAGCAUAAGCAUUUUUAACCUUAACAUGUUUUUUAUUUUCCUUGAUUAGGAAGUCCUCUUGGGAGUCCAAGAGAUCAUCCUUCUCAUGGAUGGCACUAAUUAGUUCAUUUAAUUUUUCCUUUUGUUCCAUGUUAAGGUUGGCAAAAAGGGUACGCAAAUUAUCUUCCUCAUUACUAGCAUUAUCCUCAUCACUAGAGGUUUCAUAUUUAGUGGAGGAUCUUGAUUUUACCUUCUUUUUGCCGUCCUUUGCCAUGAGGCAUUUGUGGCCGACGUUGGGGAAGAGAAGUCCUUUGGUGACGGCGAUGUUGGCGGCGUCCUCGUCGUCGGAGGAGUCGCUAGAGCUUUCGUCGGAGUCCCACUCCCGACAAACAUGGGCAUCGCCGCCCUUCUUCUUGUAGUACCUCUUCUUCUCCUUUCUUCUCCCCUUCUUGUCGUCGCCCCUGUCACUGUCACUUGAUAAUGGACAUUUAGCUAUAAAGUGACCGGGCUUACCACACUUGUAGCAAACCUUCUUGGAGCGGGACUUGUAAUCUUUCCCUCUCCUUUGUUUGAGGAUCUGGCGAAAGCUCUUGAUGACGAGUGCCAUUUCCUCAUUGUCGAGCUUGGAGGCGUCGAUUGGUUGUCGACUUGGUGUAGACUCCUCCUUCUUUUCUUCCGUCGCCUUGAAUGCGACGGGUUGAGCUUCCGACGUGGAGGGAUCAUCAAGCUCGUUGAUCUUCCUCGAGCCUUCGAUCAUGCACUCAAAACUUACAAAAUUCCCGAUAACUUCCUCGGGGGUCAUUUUAGUAUAUCUAGGAUUACCACGAAUUAAUUGAACUUGAGUGGGGUUAAGGAAAAUGAGAGAUCUUAGAAUAACCUUAACCAUUUCGUGGUCGUCCCACUUCUUGCUCCCGAGGUUGCGCACUUGGUUCACCAAGGUCUUGAGCCGGUUGUACAUGUGUUGUGGCUCUUCCCCUUUGCGAAGCCGGAACCGACCAAGCUCCCCCUCGAUCGUUUCCCGCUUGGUGAUCUUUGUGAGCUCAUCUCCCUCGUGCGCGGUUUUGAGCACAUCCCAAACCUCCUUGGCGCUCUUCAACCCUUGAACUUUGUUAUACUCCUCUCUACUUAAAGAGGCGAGGAGUAUUGUUGUUGCUUGAGAGUUGAAGUGCUCGAUUUGGGCCACCUCAUCCUCAUCAUAGUCUUCAUCCCCUACGGACGGUACCUGUGCACCAAACUCAACAACAUCCCAUAUACUUUUGUGGAGCGAGGUUAGAUGAAAUCGCAUUAAAUCACUCCACCUAGCGUAAUCUUCACCAUCAAAAGUUGGUGGUUUGCCUAAUGGGACGGAAAGUAAAGGUGUAUGUUUAGAAAUGCGAGGGUAGCGUAGGGGGAUCUUACUAUACUUCUUGCGCUCUUGGCGCUUAGAAGUGACGGAUGCCGCGUCGGAGCCGGAGGUGGAUGUUGAUGAAGUGUCGGUCUCGUAAUAGACCACUUUCCUCAUCCUCUUGUGCUUGUCCCCACUCCGAUGCGGCUUGUGAGAAGAAGAUUUCUCCUUCUUCUCUUUGUGGUGAGAAGAAGAUUUCUUCUCCUUCCCUUUGUUGGAGGAGCUCUUCUUCUUCUCCUUCCUCUUGGUGCGGGACUCUUUCGAUGAAGUGCUCCCAUGGCUUAUAGUGGGCUUUUCGCCGGUCUCCAUCUCCUUCUUGGCGUGAUCUCCCGACAUCACUUCGAGCGGUUAGGCUCUAAUGAAGCAUCGAGCUUUGAUACCAAUUGAUAGUCGCCUAGAGGGGGGUUGAAUAGGGCGAAACUGAAAUUUACAAAUAUAAACACAACUACAAGCCGGGUUAGCGUUAGAAAUAAAACCGAGUCCGCGAGAGAGGGUGGAAAACAAAUCGCAAGCAAAUGAAGAGUGUGACACGCGGAUUUGUUUUACCGAGGUUCGGUUCUCUCAAACCUACUCCCCGUUGAGGAGGCCACAAAGGCCGGGUCUCUUUCAACCCUUCCCUCUCUCAAACGGUCCUUCCGACCGAGUGAGCUUCUCUUCUCAAAUCAAAGUCGGGAACAAAACUUCCCCGCAAGGGCCACCACACAAUUGGUGCCUCUUGCCUUGAUUACAAUGGAGUUUUGAUUUCAAGAACAAGUGAGAAAGAAAAGAAGUAAUCCAAGCGCAAGAGCUCAAAAGAACACGACAAAUCUCUCUCGCUAAUCACUAAAGACUUGUGUGGAGGUGGAGAGGAUUUGAUCUCUUUGGUGUGUCUAGAAUUGAAUGCCUAGCUCUUGUAAGUGGUUGAGAAGUGGAAAACUUGGAUGCAAUGAAUGGUGGGGUGGUUGGGGUAUUUAUAGCCCCAACCACCAAACUUGACCGUUGGUGGAGGCUGUCUGUUCGAUGGCGCACCGGACAGUCCGGUGCACACCGGACAUGUCCGGUGCCCCAGCCACGUCACCAGUGCCGUUGGAAUCUGAUCGUUGGAGUUCUGACUUCUGGGCCCGCCUUGAUGUCCGGUGGCACACCGGACAUGUACUGUAGAGUGUCCGGUGCGCCAGCAUGGGCGUGCCUGACCCCUGCGCGUGCUGGCGCGCAAUAAAUGCGCCGCAGGUAGCCGUUGGCGCCUGAAGUAGUCGUUGCCCCGCAGAUGCACCGGACAGUCCGGUGCACACCGGACAGUCCGGUGAAUUAUAGCGGAGCGGCUGGCGUGAAAACCCGAGGCUGGCGAGUUCCUGAGGCCGCUCUUCCUUGGAGCACCGGACAUGUCCGGUGCACACCGGACAGUCCGGUUAAUUAUAGCGGAGUGGCCUCUGGAAAUUUCCGAGAGCGAAGACUAUGGGGUCGGAGUCCUCUGGUGCACCGGACAUGUCCGGUGGCACACCGGACAGUCCGGUGUGCCAGACCAGAGGAACCUUCGGUUGCUCCUUUGCUCUUUUGUUGAACCCAACACUUGGUCUUUUUAUUGGCUAAGUGUGAACCUUUGGCACCUGUAUAACUUAUACACUAGAGCAAACUAGUUAGUCCAAAGAUUUGUGUUGGGCAAUUCAACCACCAAAAUUAUUUAGGAACUAGGUGUAAGCCUAAUUCCCUUUCAGUAAUCCUGGGGUUCGGACCGUGCAAGUUCAGAUAAAGCGACUGCCCAUAUAGUCUCGAGUGGUUGUACUUGAUAAGAGUAUAGGUAAGGAGUGAUGACAAACCGGUCCUUAGGCGAGAGGGACAAUCCUUCAUGCUCACACCUAACCUGGCUGAGCCAACACCUUAGGCCCUCCCAAACCAGGGAGUCCCUGAUCAUCCCACUCAAGGGUGAUAAGGGUGACAACCCUUCAUCAUACCCAUUUUGAAAAACAUUUUCUUUUCAAAACUCACACCUUUUCUCAAAUCAUUUGCAACAAAUAUGUCAAGGAGUAUAAAUAUGAAUUGCGGCAAUGUUCUAAGGCUGGGUGGCCAUAAUAACUUGUCUCUUAGCAGCAAAUCAUAUCAUGCAUAAAAUAAUAGGAUGAGGGUUGUGGUUGAAAAAGCAUAGGUAAUUUAUGCAUCAAAGAGAUCAAGUGAGCUUGCCGUGCUUAACCGGCGAAAGGGUGAGAGCUCGCAGAACUGGCUUGUGGCUCCACCGCCUGGCAUAGACUUGCAGAUCUGGCCUUCACGAGACGACACGAACGCUCCGAUAACUAUGCAACAUGAACAAGCAAACAUACGAACCAGCAAGUAUAUCAACAAAUAUUUAGUAUAGUGGUCAGAAUGGCGAUAUAUGGAUGGGUAGAGUCUUGAGUAGAAUCUGUGUCAUGUGGUGCUGUGAUAUUACUAGUGGUGGAGUGGAGGUGCUUAACAGGAGGGUGGAUUGGAGGCGAAGCGACACUAUGCGCGUAGCCGGCAGAGCGGGGUAACUGAGUGGGUGGGGUGUUUGCCUUGGCUGAGGGUGUUGAGUGUGUGGAGAGGGAGAGGGUAGUUGGGUGUAUUUAUAGCUAGAUACCAGUGGUUUAGUACAGUAGAGUUCACUGUUGGUGAGAAUAGUGGCGAAUGAAUCAUCUGACUUAGUCUGAACAGGGAAAUUAUAGGUAGAAUAUGGGACAAGAUUAUUUUGGAAGUUUUCUGGAAUAUAGACCAUGCUUAAGGGAUGACAUGGUCGGAUAGAGAAUAAUUUGAUAAGAAUUUAAAACAAGAAUUAUUGGAAUAUGAGUUUGGAAGUCUGGUUCGAAAGAAUCUCAAAGUUAAGCGUGCUCAACUUGGAGAAAAUCUGGGAUGGGUGACCAGACAGAAGUUCUUACUGGAAGGAAAAUCACAGUCACCGGAGUUCGUAUGACUGGAAUAUUGGUCUAGCAGGUCUUAGGUGAGCUGGACAGCAUGAUGGAUGAGCAAUUGAAAUUUGGGGUGAUCGGAUGAUCGAUGAAUAGUAACGAUGAAUAGUGAUGAUGAAAUAGUAGCGAUAAAUAUCAUUGAUGGAUAGUAAUGACGAUAAAUAGUAAUGGUGAAUAGUAACAAUAAAUAGUAACGGUAAAUAGUAAUGGUGAAUAGUGAUGGUGAAUAGUAAUGGUGAAUAGUCGUAUGCACGAACGAUGAAUAGGGACUAUGAACGAACGAUGAAUAGGGACUAUGAACGAUGAAUAGGGACUAUGAAGUAAUGAUGAACGAUGAAUAGUGACUAUGAACGAACGAUGGACGAUGAAUAGAAACUAUGAACGAACGGACGAACGAACGGAAUUUCGGCAGCAUAACGACUAAACAAAGAUUAUUUGGACGAACGGACGGACGAACGAUCAAACGAUCGGACGAACGAACCAUGAAUGAACGGAAGAAACGAUCGAACGAUCAGACGAACGAACAAGCAAACUAAGAACAGGUGGACGAACGAUCGAUGAACGACCGAACGAUCCUUGUGCUAGUGAUGUGCUUGUGUGGGAGUUGGAGUGGGGCAUGUGGGGGGGAGAGUUGCCAUGAAAUGGCUUGGGGUGGCUUGAGAGGAGGCCCUUGCCCCUCUAUUUAUAGGCUAGGUGGGGGGAUUAGGGGGAGGAGGCGAGGAUUAGUGGGAGGAUGCGGGGAUUAGUGGGAGAUAAGCAUGUAUUAGUCUUGUAUAAAUGAAAUUAGCUUGUAGAGCUCACUGUAUGACACCAGAGGCAUACGUAUAUGUAUGAGCAUGAGGAAAAUUAUGAGAAAAUAUUUGUAGAGACUUUAAAAAUGAUUCUAAAGGUAUUUCUGAGGAGGAAAAUAUUUGGAGAAUUAUCGGUAGAAUAUUUAGGCAGUAUUUCUGUAAAGAACUUGAGGGGGAUCACUGAGGAAAUAUUUGUAGGAUAUUUUGAGAAGAAUAUAGACCACUAUAUUUUAUUUGUUGAGAUCAACUCGCAAACAAACAUUUUGAAAUGAAAUUUAAAAUUCAUUUUGAAUUUAGAGCGAGUUUAGGAAAAAUUCAAGAUUUGAAUUUUGGGGUGCUACAUUGAACCAUAUGAAACCUAGUGCAAAACACAUCUAAAGUGAGGCUAACAGGUUCCUGAAUUUCAGAUUUGGAACAGUUACCUGAACACUGAAAUUUAGUGCUUUGUACUUGGUGUGAAGCCCUUUUUGUGACUAGUCUAGGGAGUUUAAGGCUGUGAGUUAUAUAGACAAAUUAGAGACCAUAAGAUGGUGAUUAAUAGUGUGUUUGGUUUGAGGAAUGAAGUGAUCCAUCUUCUUCUCACUCCUCACUUUUUUUAUUUGGUUUGUGGAAUAGAAUGGGUUGAUCCAUCACCACCUCAUUCCUCAUAAGCUAAUAAUUAGUAUAUACAUAAGGAGUGGGUUGAUUCCACCAAAAUUGAUGGAAUAAAAUUAUGAUGCAUCACCUCAUGAAGCAUAGAGUGACUCCACAAACCAAACACACCAUAAAUGUUCUUAAGGGUGUGCUUGAUCUUGUGCAAAAGCUACAGAAAUUGUUGCUCAAAGUUGUGCUGUCAGGAUGGUGUUAACUGAAUAUUGUCCAGUGUAACCGAGUCUGAGUGUUGUAUGUUGGCUCAACUUUGGAACCUCCUUGAGCCUACUCUGUGUAAUUAAGAGCCAUGUUUAUGUAGCAAAGUUGGAGACUAAGUAUAAAUGGACAAAUUUCUCUAUGGAGGCUUGUCAUGGUACCACACAAAUCUAGGAGUGCCCAAACUGUCUCUGUUAGGAGUGGAUGCAGAUUUCGGGUAAUAGCUGCAGAUUGAAUUCAGAAAGCUCAAAUGGUACCAGUCUAAGUUAGUCGACUUUUGGACAACAUAACUUGGGUAGUAUGUUGUUUGGGUCCUAGAUCUCUACAGUAACCUUGAAGAGCUUUGGUUAGUGAUCAAAGUUUGUUAACAAGGAGAGAUCUGUCUUUAGCAGGAAUAGGGAGAAAGAGGGGCUAUACAUAGCAGGUUCAGUCAGCAAGGAGGUUUAUAGUGAUCUGAAAUAUCUACAACAGAUCUUUUCUCCUUGUCGUGUUUCACUUUUGUGCAAAGACUGAGAUAAAGAUGGGAAAUUGCAGGGGUGUUCAGAACUUUAGCUACCACUAAAACAUCUAAAGUUUGGAAUGGAAAAUAUCUACCCUAGUGAAACUUUAUCUGCUUGGCCUCUACCGUGGCGAACUCCACCAUUCCACUGCCCUGCUGUACUCAAGGGGGCUGGCGUGGAUCUUCGAAAUAGAGCCACGGACCACUACUCAUGUAGUAGAAUGACACCUCCAGGAUCUCCUUCGCUGUAAUCCCUUUGAACCCAGUCACUGCUUGAUCUUUUCCCUGUCCAUAUAAGAGCAACCGGGGGGAGAGGGGAAUCUUUGUCAUUUUCAAGCCAAGCCAAGGUCACCGUGGGUCAUUAUGGCUCACAUCUGUGCAACAUUCACUUUCCCAAAUUACACUAAGGCCCUGUUUGUUUCGUUGGAAUUGAAUUCCAUUUUAAUAAUUAUAAUUUAGACAAAACUAAUUAAGUUUAUAUAUUUAUAAAUGUAAUAUAUUUGUAUAUUAUUCUAAAUUAUAUGAGAGAGAUAGUUAUAUACAAUAUUUAUAUUAUAGCAAAGUAAGUAGAAUAGUGUGCUAUAAGUUGUACAUCGGAAACAUAGCAUAUAAAUUUAUAGAAUCAAUUUCCAUCUCUCACCCUAUGAAUUUGAGAUAGGCUUAUAUAAUAAUUUUAGAAAGUGGUGGAAUGUCACAUUCUAAAAAAUUAGCCUAUUACAUUAGUAAGAUUCCAAUUCCCCAAAAUGAAAGGAAACAAACGGGCCCUAAAGGCUUACCCAAGUUUCUUGCUUGGUGCUUCUGCGAGCCAGGUGACCACGUCGCCGACAUAUCAACCUCACGUGGUCAAGCGAGCACAGUAUGGUUCAAUGCCUCUGGUCUAGCGUUCCAGUGUCCAUGUUUAUUGGUGAAGCUCACCGAAGUGGCUGUUUGGCCAUUACUGUUAUAGUUAGUGUUGGUCCUUAUUCUCGAAUGCUAUACAUCAAGAACAAAGCAACACAAUUGUUAAUGAUUAGAGACCUUCGUCUUUAGAAGCAUUAUAUCCUUUGAGAUAUAAUGAUCUUCAAACGAAGGUCAUGAAUGACAUACCUUCAUCAUCUCAACAAACAAAUAUAAGCAAAAGUACAUGAAAUACAAAGGAAUGCAAAUAAUGGUGAUAUAUUAGUAAAUUAUUUGUGUUCUCAUUUUAUAAACAUGAAUACAUAUCCAUAAUAUUUAUAUUACAUUGAUACCUUCGGCUUGCCAGAAGUUGAAAAUGCGAGAGUGACGCAAGAGCGAUUACAAUCCAGUGUGAACAGUACGUUGUUACUGUUAAUCUAUUUAUAGGCUCGAGACGCAGCCCAGACAAAAUUACAUUCAUGUCCCUGACAUUUACUGUUAAUCUUAAGGUGAUCUGUCAAGGACUAAGUAGUCUUUUCCCCUUUAAGUCGGUUUCAUCUUCCGCCUCCGUCAUUAUACUAAGCCGAAGCUCCUUUAGCCACAGCUUUGGCAUCUGUUCAUUCUGCCUUCGGGUUGUAUUUCCAUACCACACAUACCUUCAUCCCAAAGCCAAAGCCUCAUGUAACAGUCUAUGUUACAUUGAAAAACAUAUUAGUCACGUUUUUAAGGACCUUCGGAAGAGAAAGGCCCCCAACAGUAGCACCUCGCCAUAUUAAUUUGUUUCUUUGUAACAAAUUUAGACUGUGACAUGAACGAAGGCCUUUAGCCGAAGGUCCAAAAAAACAACUUCCCUUCUCUAGAAUAGUGAAAGACACUGACAUGUAGGGCCCACCAAGUUGUGAGGCGCUGGGCAUAUAAAUAUGGACUCGCAUUGAUAGCAUUUGAUGUGCCAUUUUAGCUGGUUGCGCUAUUUUAAACAUUCUGAAUUCUCUUGUUCUGCCGAGUUUUAAUUGAGUUUUAAGCUUCGACAAUUGUGCAACUGUUGUCUAAAUGGCCGAAGAGAAGAAGAUUGAUGACCCUGCAUUGGUCGGGUUUUAUGAAGCUAUGGAGAAGACAAAUACAGAGAAAAACACCAAUGAAAUGUUGGCUAGGUUAUCUGAGGAUUCCGGCGAUAGUGAAAAUUUUGACUUGGAAAGUGGAAAUGAAGAUGUCGAAGAUCGACCCUGGCGGCCGAGUCAUACCAUCUUUGGAAAAUCAACCAUCAAGCAGAGUCAGAUUGAUUCUAUGAAAGGAAGGUAUUUCUGUGAUAUUUCGAUUGUGAGGGCUGGAGGAGAUAACACUGCCCCUGUACCCGAGGUAGACGAAGUUAUUGUCUACAGGAGCUUCAUGAAGGCAGGACUUCGGUUUUCGUUGAGUAAUUUUUUAGUUGAAAUUCUAAAGACUUUUGAGAUUUACUGUAACACCCUGGGAUCCACAAACACCCCGAGAUGCUACAGGACUUCACUACCAACAGCCGAACACUAAGCAAAAUAAAAUUUGGCAGCGCCUCCUUUGUAAUUAUAAGCAUCACAGAAGCACAAGAAAUAUAUCAAUACAAAAUGAAUCAUACUAGUAUUAUAUAAUUCUCAUCAAGGACAAUUAAACACGAAUGAACCAACUUAUGCCUACAUCAUACUCUAAAGUAUGAACCUCAAAAGUCAAUAACCCAAGCUAAUUAUUUGGUUCUUUAAGCAAUGUGUGCAACGUGCCGCUACUUUCCACUCCCCUUGAUAAGCAUCAAGCACCUGCAUUGUCACACCCGGGCUUUAAGGAACAAAGCCGGGUGCAUCUCAUACAUGCGCCAAAGAAGACAACAUAUAAUAACAGAGUGUAUAGAGAUAAAUGCCACAAUAAAAUCAGAGUACUUAUUACAUAGCGGUAGUCUUACAAAAUAAAAGACGAAUAUAGCAGGAACUAAAAUCUAUCCUUGGCGCCAGAAAGCUGAAUGGGAGACGCCACCUAGAUCAAGUCGAAAGCCUCAGUGUUAGGCGGCUCCUCUUCGACCACCUGUUCUUCUCCUGUGGGGGGUGUGAGACAACAAGAGUGAGCUCACACAUGUUCAUCGCUCAACAAGUUGUGGGGAAUAAUGAGGCACGAACUCACCAAAGGUGGGAGUUCAUGUGAAGUGUAAGGCUAAUCAAUAGAGUAAUGGUUGAAGCUGAGCAUUGCUUUUAUAAGUUGGUCAAAGUUUUAUUAGCAGUUACAAAGUGUAAGUAAAUACCAAACCAUUAUAAUAAUAAGUAAAAGUAGUAAUAAAAUAAUCCCACAUGCAAUGAAAUGACAAAUUAAGUUUAAGUUACAUAAAUUAAUCAUGUGAGUGUCCGAGCCGCUCAUGAACGUGAGCACGGCUAGUAUACCAGUUUUACACUCUGCAGAGGUUGCACAUCUUUACCCACAAGUCGUGUUACCCAUUUGCCACGGAGUUGAUCAGACCUCAUACACCUCUACCAAGGAAGCGAAGCAGGGUACCACUACGAGGCCUUUACAAAGUUCCACUAGCUUCAGAAAACCCGCUACAGUUUAUAGGAAGCUCCAGUGCAGGAAUCUCUCGCCUGACCGCCAUCGCAGCAAAAUCAACCGAAGGACCUCCCUACACUGACCACUCCCCUACUGCCCUUGCCCCUUUCGGGUAAGGUAGUCAUCCACUAGCUUUCCUAGUUAAUCAGCCAAGGGCGUCCCAUUAAACCCUUGUGGUAGCACUGUUUUCCUGGGUGGUUCUCCAUAUUCCCAUUAAGAUAAUGAUCUUAUCAUGAAAGUAAAUAAUAAACAGAUAAUAAAGAGUAUAACAAUGAGUGAUGAAUAUCUCUAUACCCAAAUCCACAUAAAAGCAAUAGCAUGUACUACCCAAAAAUUUAGUAGUAAAACCAGUGGUGAAACAAGGUAUAAAGAUAGUCAAAAGCUAGGGUAACCUAUUGGUUCCCAUCAAAAUUAACCUAUGUAGAUCAUUAUGAUUAAUAAGAACAUGACUGGGUAAAAAGGAAGUGAUCAAGGGCACAACUUGCCUUCAAUGAGCUCCUGCUCAGCAGUCUCUACCAGCUGAACCUCAGGAUCCACAGUAGCUUGCUCGUCUACUCGCAUCAACACAAUACAUACAUAGUAUAGCAGAAAUUAACAUCACACCAACCAUGUAUAUAAAAUGCACAAUAAAAAUCUACACAUUAAAAUAAGAUCCUAGGAAUAGGAAUUAUUAAUUUUGGAUUUAUAGGUUUUAUGAUAUGAAUUUCUUAAGGUUUUAUGUAUUUAAUACAAGAUUAAGUGAUAGAUAAAUUUUAAAUUGUGUCUUUCAUGCCAAAACAGAGGCACUAAUGGGUAAACAAUAAUAUUAUAAAAUUAUAGAAAUUGGAAUGGAUCAAUUUGGACUAAAAAUGGAUUUUCUAUGCAUUUUACAAGUUCUAGCAUUUAUUUAUAUAUUAAAAUCCAUUUACAAUUUAAUUUUAUCUAAUUCUAACCUUUUCUGGACUAGGCGCCAAUAACUGGAAAAUGCAGGGGUCUCGGUGCAGUUCUUCCUAAGACUCAGAUCUCAGCCACCAGGACGGCAGGUUGUUUCUCUAAAAUUAUAAGGGGUUUUCUGCAAAGUAGUACGGUGAAGGGGUAUCGGCCGAGUACGGCCGUCCGAUUAGAAACGAACGGCACCGAUUAGAUUCGGCACAUGCCAAACCUAUGAGUAAUCCAAACCGUCUGAUCGGAGAUCCGUGGCCCGGAUUAAAUUUUACCAUGGUCCCUUCGCGUCCCUCCGAUCGGGAUCCAAUGGCGCAGGGACAUCUGACCGAAACGCUACUGGUGUUACGAUCCUAACCGUCGAUCGCUCAUCCCACGACCAAAAACCCUUUCCCCCAACUCUGUUGAGAUAACGGCGGCGCACAGGAUUGCCCGCGGCGGUGCCAUCGCCGGUGCUGCUUGAUUCCGCCAUCCACGCCCCCAUUCACUAAUUGGACCAGUGCUACUGCAUUACUAGCCCACGGCAGAGCUGUGGGAGAAGUUCUCACCGGCAAUGGACAGGGCGAAGAGGCUGGUCCGCGGUGGUCGGAUGCCGCGCGGAGACGGAGAGCUCCCCUGGACGCGGUAGUUGACGUCGUCGGUCACCAAUGUGCUCCAAGAAGGGCGGGUUAGGACGAGCAGCCCGCGCCACAGCACCACGGUCUCAACACCCCUUUCUCCCUCGGAUCAACCCGGCAAUUCACAGACUCUCUCUCUCUCUCCCUCGCGAUUCUAAUGGCAGAUGGGGAGUUUGGCUACUGGACGCAUAGCCUGCGGCGCACGAACUCCCCCGGGUCUUAUAGAGCUUGCCCAGUCCAAUCUUUUUCCGAAGGAAUAGCGACAUUAGUUUGGUCAGCGGGGAUUUCGCACGGCAGGCACGCGGGUAGCGUAUUCACUCGCCGCCACGACCGAGAAGAAGGAGACCGAGGCGCUUAGUGCCUGGUCGAUGGGCCCCGCAAAUCAGCGAGGUGAGUGGGCGGCGUGGGUGUGCUUCGAGCCUGACGGUCGGGCCCCACUUGUCUGGCGUGUGUGCGCGGAUGUGGUAAAUUGGGCCGUGCAGGUGACUUUGGGAAUGGGCCGAGCUGUAGGAUUUUGGGCCCAGGCGCAUUCUUCCCUUCUUUAUUCUUUUUAUGUCUUCUUUUUUUUCUUUUUUGUUUUUGAUUUCAAAUUUGGAUUUUAAAUUUGGUGAUGAGAUUCCUCAAUGAACAAAGUGUACCAAAUUCUAAUUUUGGAGUAAAUAAUUAAAUUCUUAUUUAUAUAUUUUAUUUUAACUCAUUUGUUUAGUGUUGUUUCCUCUUUUCUCAAUUUUCUAGAAUUCCCUUUUUAAUCUUAAAUUCCCACUUAGGUACUAAUAUAUUUCUCUUUAUUUUAUUUUUGUAUUGCCAUAGAAUGCACAUAAAAUAAAGUUCAGCAUGAUGCACAAUUUAGUGACACAUCUUUUAUUAUUUAUUGUUUUUGUUAAUAUAGUGUUCACAUAUGAUGGUAAAUAAAUGCAUCACACACAUAUAAACAAAGGAAAAUAAUUUUUCUCUCCUUUUAUAUUAUCUCUUACAAAUUGGGUAUUACAAAUCCUACCCCCUUAACAAGAAUCUCGUCCUCAAGAUUUAGGAAUGACUAGGGAAAAUAUGGGGAAAAUUUAUGUGAAGCUCUUCUUCUCUCUCCCAAGUUGCUUCAUCUUCUCCAUGGUGACUCCAUUGCACUUUGCACAUCUUUAUCACCUUAUUUCUUGUAACUCGAGUCAAAGUAUCAAGAAUCUUGGUAGGAUAUUCUGCAUAAGUCAGGUCAUCUUGAACACUAAGGUCCUCCAUUGGUAGCUGCUCCUCAGGUACCCUGAGGCACUUCUUUAGUUGGGAUACAUGGAAUACAUCAUGUACAUCUGUCAGGUGAUCGGGUAGUUCUAGUUGAUAUGCAACUCCUCCCACUCGCUUUAAGAUCAAGAAGGGUCCAAUGAAGCGAGGGGACAACUUUCCUUUAACUUUAAAUCUUCUCAUACCCCGGAUUGGUGACACAUUCAGAUACACGUGAUCACCCUCCUUAAACUCCAAUAUUCUUCUCCGGGUAUCAGCAUAGCUCUUCUGCGUUGAUUGUGCAAUUCUCAAAUUCUCUCUUAUCAUUCGCACUUGUUCUUCUGCCUCUUGAAUAAGUUCAGGCCCAAAGAACUGUCUUUCUCCAGUCUGAUCCCAAUAUAGAGGAGUCCUGCAUUUUCUGCUAUAUAGAGCCUAAAACAGUGACGUCUUCAAACUGGCCUGGUAGCUAUUAUUAUACGAGAACUCCGCAUAUGGUAAGCUCUUAUCCCAACUUCCACCAUGUUUAAGAGCACAAGCUCUUAACAUAUCCUCCAGCACUUGGUUAGUCCUCUCUGUCUGCACAUCGGUCUGAGGAUGGUAGGCCGAACUAAAAUUCAAUUGUGUAUCCAAGCUCUCAUGCAACUACUUCCAAAACCGAGAAGUAAACUGUGAUCCUCGAUCAGACAUGAUCUUCUUAGGCACUCCAUGUAGACAAACUAUCCGAGUCAUAUACAAUUCUGCUAGCUUGGCUCUCGUGUAAUUAGUCCUCACUGGUAUAAAAUGAGCCACUUUUGUCAAUCUGUCCACAAUCACCCAAAUAGAGUCAUACCCUGCCGGAGUGCGGGGUAGUCCAACAAUGAAAUCCAUACCAAUUUCUUCCCAUUUCCACUCGGGUAUCUUCAAUGGGUGCAAUAGUCCAGCUGGUCUUUGAUGUUCGGCCUUGACUCUUUGACACACAUCACACUUAGCCACUUGUGCAGCAACAUCUCUUUUCAAUCCAUACCACCGGUACUUUUGCUUCAAAUCUUGAUACAUCUUAGUGCUACCAGGGUGGAUAGAGUAAUCAGAAUCAUGGGCUUCUUUCAAUAUAGUCUCAUGAAGGCUAUCAAUCUCCGGAACACAUAUCCGAUCCUUAAACCAUACAGUGCCUUGCUCAUCCUCCGUGAAUUCUGGACCUCUAUCUUCCGUAAUCAGAUCCUUAAUCUCUUGAAUUUUUGCAUCACCCACUUGACCUUUACGAAUUUCUUGCUCCAAGGUAAGUUCCAAUUCAAUGGUAACUCCUUCCGUAUGUGUAACAAUUCCUAGGUUGAGUCUCUCAAAAUCUUUUACUCAUUCAUCGGGUAGUUGGACAACAAUAGCGGAGUGAACGUGCUCCUUCCGACUCAAGGCAUUUGCAACCAAAUUCGCCUUGCCCGGGUGAUAGUGAAUCCCCAAAUCAUAAUCCUUAAUGAGCUCCAGCCUCUUGUAAUUCCGUUAACUGCUUCUUCAGUUCCUUUAACUCUUCCACAGACAUCCUGUAUGGCCGUUUAGAAAUAGGAGCAGUCCCAGGUAAGAGAUCAAUGACAAACUCCACUUCCCUAUCUGGUGGCAUCCCUGGUAACUCCUCUGGAAAGACAUCCGGAAAAUCUCUAACCACUCGGAUAUUGUCACCAACAAACUCCUCAGCUAUAAAGUACAUCGCACGUCUGGAAGUGGUGGUUACUGCAAUUUGAACUUGAAAUCUUUCUCCUUUAGGGCUGGUGAGUUCUACAGUACCCCUACCACAUGCUAUAAUGGCCUUUGCCUUUCUUAACCAUGACAUACCAAGGAUUAGAUCUAUACUGCUUGUCUCUAAUAUUAUAGCAGUAGCUUCAAAUUCUCUUCCCAUAAUUGUUAAUGUCAAUCUACAUGUCAUUUGAUUGGCCUCAAUAGGCCCUUUAGGUGUGAUUACUAUCAUUGGUUUUCUCAUAUUUAGCAGUGGUAUCUCAUUUGUGUUGGCAUAUCGAAUAGACAUGAAUGAAUGUGUAGCACCAGAAUCAAAUAAUAUGGUUGCAGGAAUGGCAUUAAUGUAAAACAUACCAAGCACAAUGGCAGCACCAUCAGGAGUAGCAUCAACGCUGACUUGAUUAACUCUGGCAAUAGAGUACCCCUUGCCAGGAGUAUAUUACUUGUUCUUAGCUGGUGUACCAGAAUUUCCCACCGGACAAGCAUUAGCAUAGUGCCCAAUCUGACUGCACUUGAAGCAUGUAGGGCCGGUCUUCUGUCCUGUAGGCCUCGUCGGGGUGCCAGUGGGGGCAGCCUGACAAGUGGGAGGUGUCCGUGGAGACCCCUGAGGUGCAUACUAAGCUGGGCGUGAUCCUCCUCCUGGAUGAGUAGGUGUACCCUGUGGCGGAACAUAGUGAGGACGAACACUGCUGCUACCCUGCCCCUGUGAGAUAGCCUUCCUCUUCAAGUCUCCUAGUUGAACACACUUGUGUUCAAUAGCAAGAGCCUUAUCCAACAGUCUCUGAAAUGAUGGAAAUGUGUGUGCAACCAGUGCAUACUGUAGGGGUCCAUUAAGUCCUUCAAUAAAGUGCUCCUGCUUCCUCUCAUCCUCAGCAACUUCAUCUGGAGCAUAUCUGAAGAGUUGGAUGAACUUAUCGCGGUACUCGCUGACAGACAUGUUGCCUUGCUUCAAUGACAGAAACUCUUUCUUCUUGAUCUUCAUCAAUCCAGCUGGAAUGUGGUAGUUUCUGAACUAUGUACUGAAUUCUGCCCAAGUAAUAGUGUCAGCAGCAUCAUGGGCAGCAACAUAAGAAUCCCACCAGUUAGUAGCAGGACCUAUCAGACGACCAGAGGCAUAAAGAACCAUCUCCCGGUCAGAGCAUUGGGUGAUGUUGAGCAUCUUUUCAAUUGACUUCAACCAAUCAUCAGCAUCUAGUAGGUCUGGCAAACCGGCGAAGGUCGGUGGCUUAUGGCUCAUAAAUUCCUGGUGCUUAUCACGAGGUGGAACUGGUGGUGGUGGUGGAGGCAGUGGUGCUUGUUGUUGUUGCUGUUGUUGUGCCCUUCUCUCCUAGCGUAUCUCUUCUCGUUCUUAGCGCAGCUCCCGGCGUAUCUCCUCUCUCUCUCUCCUGGUGCAUCUCCUGGCGUUCCUGCUGCAUCUGCGUACACAUAUUUGCCAUAGUGUCCGCCAUCUGUUGCAUCAUCCUCAUCUGAGCUGCAACCAUUGGGUCAACUCCGCCUGGUGGAAGCGGUGGUGGGGGAUCCAUCUCUACUUGUUUGUGGCUAUGGUUGUCUAAAUAUCCUCCGAGUGUGUCGAUUGGGAGGUAGAUCAAUUCCACCACCUUUCCUGGUAUUAACCAUCUGAGUUAGAAACAUAUGGUAAGAGAAAAUAGUAGACAAGGCAGGUGAUUACGAAUCAAGUUAUUUUGGGGGAUUUAUGAGCUAAGCAGAUUAAUGUUUUACCUACCAUAGCUAAUUCAUUACCUUAUGGUGGUACAUACUAAGAUGCCCGUUUAUACUAUUUCAAUCAAUCAAAGAAGCAAAUCAGGCAUUUAUCAUCAGGACAAUCAACCAACAUUUUUAAAAAGAGAAAACAGUUUUAUUUUCGUCUUAGGUUCCCUAUCUCUUAGGAAGGUCAUAAAUGUAGGAUUCAAGGUGUGAAAUCCAUCUUGUCUCAGAGUAGAGAAGGUAAGAAUAAUCAGAGUAGAACAGUAGAAGGUGAGAUAGGAUCAAGAUAAGUAUAGAAAGAAUCAGAGUAAGGUAAGUAGGUAAGGGUUUGUCCACUUCUAUCUAGGUUUCGUCCUACAGUCAACAUUUCCUCUGAUACCACUUCUGUCACACCCGGGCUUUAAGGAACAAAGCCGGGUGCAUCUCAUACAUGCACCAAAGAAGACAACAUAUAUAAUAACAGAGUGUAUAGAGAUAAAUGUCACAAUAAAAUCAGAGUACUUAUAACAUAGCUGUAGUCUUACAAAAUAAAAGAAGAAUAUAGCAGGAACUAAAAUCAAUCCUUGGCGCCAGAAAGCUGACUGGGAGACGCCACCUAGAUCAAGUCGAAAGCCUCAGUGUUAGGCGGCUCCUCUUGGACCACCUGUUCUUCUCCUGUGGAGGGUGAGACAGCAAGAGUGAGCUCACACAUGUUCAUCGCUCAACAAGUUGUGGGGAAUAAUGUGGCACGAACUCACCAAAGGUGGAAGUUCAUGUGAAGUGUAAGGCUAAUCAACAGAGUAAAGGUUGAAGCUGAGCAUUGCUUUUAUAAGUUGGUCAAAGUUUUAUUAGUAGUUACUAAGUGUAAGUAAAUACCAAACCAUUAUAAUAAUAAGUAAAAGUAGUAAUAAAAUAAUCCCAGAUGCAAUGAAAUGACAAAUUAAGUUUAAGUUCUAUAAAUUAAUCAUGUGAGUGUCCGAGCCGCUCAUGACCGUGAGCACGGCUAGUAUACCAGUUUUACACUCUGCAGAGGUUGCACAUCUUUACCCACAAGUCGUGUUACCCAUUUGCCACGGAGUUGAUCAGAUCCCAUACACCUCUACCAAGGAAGCGAGGCAGGGUACCACUACGAGGCCUUUACAAAGUUCCACUAGCUUUAGAAAACCCGCUACAGUUUAUAAGAAGCUCCAGUGCAGGAAUCCCUCGGCUGACCGCCAUCGCAGCAAAAUCAACCGAAGGACCUCCCUACACUGACCACUCCCCUACUGCCCUUGCCCCUUUCGGGUAAGGUAGUCAUCCACUAGCUUUCCUAGUUAAUAAGCCAAGGGCGUCCCAUUAAACCCUUGUGGUAGCACUGUUUUUCCGGGUGGUUCUCCAUGUUCCCAUUAACAUAAUGAUCUUAUCAUGACAAUAAAUAAUAAACAGAUAAUAAAGAGUAUAACAAUGAGUGAUGAAUAUCUCUAUCCCAAAGCCACAUAAAGCAAUAGCAUGUACUACCCAAAAAUUUAGUAGUAAAACCAGUGGUGAAACAAGGUAUAAAGAUAGUCAAAAGCUAGGGUAAGCUAUUGGGUCCCAUCAAAAUUAACCUAUGAAGAUCAUUAUGACUAAUAAGAACAUAACUGGGUAAAAAGGAAGUGACCAAGGGCACAACUUGCCUUCAACGAGCUCUUGCUUAGCAGUCUCUACCAGCUGAUCCUCAGGAUCCACAGUAGCUUGCUCGUCUACUCGAAUCAACACAAUACAUACAUAGUAUAGAAGAAAUUAACAUCACACCAAACAUGUAAAUAAAAUGCACAAUAAAAAUCUACACAUUAAAAUAAGAUCCUAGGAACAGGAAUUAUUAAUUUUGGAUUUAUAGGUUUUAAGAUAUGAAUUUCUGAAGGUUUUAUGUAUUUAAUACAAGAUUAAGUGAUAGAUAAAUUUUAAAUUGUGUCUUUCAUGCCAAAACAGAGGCACUAAUGGGUAAACAAUAAUAUUAUAAAAUUAUAGAAAUUGGAAUGGAUCAAUUUGGACUAAAAAUGGAUUUUCGAUGCAUUUUACAAGUUCUAGCAUUUAUUUAUAUAUUAAAAAUCCAAUUACAAUUUAAUUUUCUCUAAUUCUAACCUUCUCUGGACUGGGCGCCAAUAACUGGAAAACGCAGGGGUCUCGGUGCAGUUCUUCCUAAGACUCAGAUCUCAGCCACCAGGACGGCGGGUUGUUUCUCUAAAUUUAUAAGGGGUUUUCUGCAAAGUAGUACGGUGAAGGGGUAUCGGCCGAGUUCGGUCGUCCGAUUAGAAACGAACGGUGCCGAUUAGAUCCGACACAUGCCAAACCUGCGAAUAAUCCAAACCGUCUGAUCGGAGAUCCGUGGCCCGGAUUAAAUUUUACCAUGGUCCCUUCGCGUCCCUCCAAUCGAGAUCCAAUGGCGCAGGGACAUCUGACCAAAACGAUACUGGUGUUACAAUCCUAACCGUCGAUCGCUCAUCCCUCGGCCAAAAACCCUUUCCCCCAACUUUAUUGAGACAACGACGGCGCACAGGAUUGCCCGCGGUGGUGCCAUCGCCGGCGCUGCUUGAUUCCGCCAUCCAUGCCCCCAUUCACUAAUUGGACCCGUGCUACUGCAUUACUAGCCCACGGCGGAGCUGUGGGAGAAGUUCUCACCGGCAAUUGAUAGGGCGAAGAGGCUGGUCCGCGGUGGUCGCAUUCCGCGCGGCAACGGAGAGCUCCCCUGGAUGCGGUAAUUGACGGCGUCGAUCACCAAUGUGCUCAAAGAGUGGCGGGUGAGGACGAGCAUCCCGCGCCAGAGCACCACGUUCUCAGCACCCCCUUUCUCCCUCGGAUCAACCCGGCAAUUCAGGGACUCUCUCUCUCUCCCUCGCGAUUCUGAUGGCAGACGGGGAGUAUGGCUACUGGACGCAUAGCCCGCGACGCACGAACUCCCCCGGGUCUUAUAGAGCUUGCUCAGUCCAAUCCUUUUCCGGAGGAAUAGCGGCGUUAGUUCGGUUAGCGGGGAUUUCCCGCGGCAGGCACGCGGGUAGCAAAUUCACUCGUCGCCGCGACCAAGAAGGAGACCUGGGCGCUUGGUGCCUAGUCGACGGGCCCCGCAAAUCAGCGAGGUGAGUGGGCGGCGUGGGUGUGCUUCGAGCCUAACGGUCGGGCCCCACUUGUCUGGCAUGUGUGCUCGGGUGUGGUAAAUUGGGCCGUGCAGGUGACUUUGGGAAUGGGCCGAGCUGUAGGAUUUUGGGCCCAGGCGCAUUCUUCCCUUCUUUAUUCUUUUUCUGUUUUCUUUGUUUUUCCUUUUUGUUUUUGAAUUCAAAUUUGGAUUUUAAAUUUGGUGAUGAGAUUCCUCAAUGAACAAAGUGUACCAAAUUCUAAUUUUGGAGUAAAUAAUUACAUUAUUGUUUAGUGUUGUUUCAACUUUUCUCAAUUUUCUAGAAUUCCCUUUUAAAUCUUAAAUUCCCACUUAGGUACUAAUAUAUUUCUCUUUAUUUUAAAUCUUAAAUCUUAAGUUCAGCAUGAUGCACAAUUUAGUGACACAUCUUUUAUUAUUUAUUGUUUUUUAAUAUAGUGUUCACAUAUGAUGGUAAAUAGAUGCAUCACACACAUAUAAAUAAAGGAAAAUAAUUUUUCUCUCCUUUUAUAUUAUCUUUUACAAAUUGGGUAUUACAUGCAUUGAGUAAUGCAAGAGUGAGAUGAAACAUCUCAGCAAGCAAAUUGUUUUGUUGAGAUAUUUAAACCAUAAGAUGAAUUAAUCAACAUUUUACAGGAAUCACAAUUAAGAACAGAAAUAAUUGUAGAUAUAAAACUCAAUAUUCCCAAUAUAACCAAUACCAUCUCAUUUCCUUGAGCAACCACAAUAGUUUGUAUAACACUUCCCUGCGUCAAUAAUAUCUGCAAAUAUCACUUCAAUGAAUGCAUGUGAAUGAAAUGCAUAUGUCUUAUGCCUUCAUACCUCUGAGGCUAUGAAGUCGCAUCGUAACCCUCCUCGGGCAACGUACGAUGCUAAGUUGUACCGGUACGGUCGGACCAUAGGUCACGACAAAACUACAUAUGCAAAUGAAUCAUGCAAUGCAUAUGGCAUGCAACAUUUAUCAAUAUACUUCACUUCCUUCCAUACAAUACAAACCUCAAAUAAUACUUCACCUUCCUUCAGAUACAAUACAAACCUCAAAUAAUACUUCACCUUCUUUCAGAGGUGUGAAUUAAUCUCAUGGAUCAUACUCGAACCAUAAUCAUCAUCAAUAUAUGAUUGAGCAUCAAUAUAAUACAAUGAAGUAAAGCAUCAUCAUAGAGUUCAAUUAUGAAAGAAUUCAAUAAUUAUGAAUAUUAGAGUGUAUGCGAUAAAAGUAACAAGUCAAAACGGUAGCAACCACUGUUGCAUUCACUUGCCUUCAUCGAAUAAGAAAAAUGUACUAGGCAUGAUCCGGAGUGUAGCCACCUGCUGCGGGGCAUAAAACUUAGUACAAAUAUUUCACAAACAUUUGCCAACAAUCAACAAAUCGCUCCUACACUUGAAACCAAGACCCUGAACCACAUGUCAAACAGCAGCAGCGCUGUUUGUUAAUUUUGUAUCUUUAAAUUUAUAACAGUAGUGAUAUCAAACAAAUACUCUAGGAGUAUCUACACAAAAUACAAUACAACUUAGCUAUUCAAUGGAUAAUUAAAUUUUGCCAUCUAUAAGUUCUAAAACAUCUGACAAGAUAACUGACUGAAUCUGUUUCAGAUAGCAGCAUAGUUAACUUCAAAAUUUGAUAUCUCCCAAACUACACAACCGAAAAUUAUGAAAUUCUGCUGGAAGUAAGUACCUUUAUCUCUCUACAAAAGUCUCCAUAGCUGGAAGAGCCAAUUCGGCCGUUUACUAGAUGAAAUCCACUAGUGAACAGACCCACACAUUAUUGCCAGGCAAACAGAAACAACCACAGUAAAACAAACAUAACUAAAGUUUAAAAAUUCAUAUGAAUACACUCUUUAUCCAUCUGGAAAGCUUAUGAAAUUAUCUACAACCUUUCUUACAAACCCAAGGUUUAAUUAUGUUGAUACAAUUGCCUAAAUCUUAAGAGAACAGAUUCUGCACAAAAUUAUGAGACUGAAAAACGACUAAAAUCAUAUUGAAAUAACUCUCAGAUCUGAUGUUCGAUUGACGUGUUCUUCGCGGCCACGGAAAGAUCUACAAAUUAGCUACGACUCAUAUAUAGACUUUUUAUUUUUUUGAGACAACUAAGACCACGAAAAACUGGCAUGAACAGAAACUAUUGAAUCUUCCAUUCUACAGAAAUUAAAUUCGAGAUGAAAAUCUAACCCCACAUCUAAUCCAACCUCUAAUCCUUUAAUCCCCAUGAUCCAAAACCUCCAAAAACACUUAAUUACAGGGAGGAACAUGGAUCUCAUUCUUACCUAGGGUUUCCUCAAGAAAAUCUGCAAGAAGAGAUGGGGAUAGAACAUCUCCUCGGUCAUCUCUUCCUCUUCAAUCCAACUUGCUCCUUCUCUUCUCGAUCCUUGCUGCAUGGAGGAGAUCUAGAGGGAGGAGGAAGCAAUGGAAAUGGUAGAGGGCGGCUGCAAAUGGGGAGGAGAGGAAGAGGGAGGGGGCGGCCAAAGGGGUGAAAAGGGUGGGGGCGGCUGCAACAAUUGGGGAGAAGGAGAGUGGGUCGGCUAGGGUUGGGGAGGAGAGGGGGGCUCCCAUCAUCGAAUCGAGAUCAAUGGCCCAAACUCGCUCUCCCAUCUAAGCUCCCGAGGGUGUGGAAAAAUGCGAAAAGAUCUACUGUUUCCCUGAUGAAUGCCUCCUGAAACUCCAAACCCCAAUGCCACAGAACAUGAAAGAAAAGAGAAAAAGAAAUUUAACUUCUUUUCAGAAAAUUGGGGUAUCACACUCUACCCCCCUUAAAAAGAAUUCGUCCUCAAAUUUGACCACUCCAAGCAAAGCAUCCAAGGUACCUCAUAUGGCACCACCAUUCAAAACAUGGGUCCAUUAUUGGUCUUAAUUAACACAAGAUCUUCUAACUCGGACUAAUUGUCUAAGGAAACUACACAACCUGAUAUCAAGCAUGAAACAACAUGCAAUGAAGCUCAAAGCAAGUCAUAGAUGCAAUCAACACUACGGUUUCACACCAUCGAAUUUGGAUGCAGCUAUACAUCAACAUUAAUGUAUUAAAACAACACUCUUUUAUGAAGGGGUAAUAUGCACUAAGCACAACCCUUACCAACUUCAACAAUUCAUUCUAAUUCAAUGGUGAAACAUCCACACCAGAUGAAUGUAUAAGAAGAUCAAACACCUCACCUCAAAGCACCACAAAACAAGUAAUUCUAUUGAAACAAAACUUCUAAUCUUCCUAAACCAUGUUCUUCCCAUCAUGAAAAGGUAAUCAUGUAAUCUCACAUUCUUUGCACCCCACAAAAGGGAGAAAGUCUACAGAACUAAUGGAGCAAUAAAGCUGACAAGAAGCCAAUAACAUUCUGCGCGGCACACUUCAUCGAAGAAAUGCCAAAAACUCCACAAAGAGCACUUACAGCACAACAACAACACAAUACUUGCUUAACCAAUGUCACUAUACUUCAUCCAACAACUCAACUAAGAAAAAUAUCCAAACUAGUAAGGUUAACCUACACAUAAUAUAAAUCUUCAUCUACUGUAGUUCAGAAACUUACAUUUCAUUCUAUCAUACGAUGCACUUAACGUACCAGACAUAAAGGGUCAAUAAUAACCCCGUAAUCCUUCACACAUUUGAUAAACAUCUCAAGCUGAUGUAAAAACCACAUCAUUUAGGAAUAGGUGCCAACUCUAGGCUAGGCAAUGAAUUGAUUCAAACCAAUAGAUAAGUGGUCAAACAAUGUUUCCACAAGCAUGCAUCGGGGAGAGAACCAUCAGAUCCUCAACGUAUUAAUACAUAAUCAAUGGAUCAAGAAAAUCAAAGAUUUAUUCUACAAAUAGCAUGACUAACAUGCAACCACUUUAAACCACAUCUAGGCUUUGUGACUACUAAAACACACGAUAGAAGAGAGACAUGUAAGCCACUCUGUCUAUGUAAAUACUUCCCCCAAAAUCCAUAUAAAAGUACUAAUAUUCGUUUCUUUCAGAACUGGUUUCUCGAUAUAAACAAUCAUUCUUUGCAAAGAUAGUUGGAGCUAUCCACCAACCGCUCAACAACUUAAAUUCAAAUUGAUGGUUACCUUGUAACCCAAAACACGCAAUUCACACUCCUCUUAGAAACAUCCUCCAUCAAGCAUAUAUAACAAUAUUAUUGUAAUAAAACUCAACCAUGAAAAACAUGGUGAAAACAACAUAGGCGUACUUGUAUAUCACAAGCAUAAUAACAACUUCAAACUCAGAAAAGACCAGUGAUAUCAAUCGCAUUAAUAAAACAAUAUCAAAAUUUAGAAAUGAAUUAUAUCAGGCAUUAAGCCAUAAACAACUUACCACAUCACCAUAAAGGAAUAGGGAGGGUGAAAUUAUUGUCAUCUGCACUUCAAAGACAUUAACAUAUAUCAAAGAUAUUUGAACCCAUGCCCUUCCUAUAUGUGCAUGUGUGCAAUUUCAGGUUCAAUUUACCUAGAAUCUAAACCCUAAGCUUUGUUACCAAUUGUAACACCCUGGGAUCCACAAACACCCUGAGAUGCUACUGGACAUCACUACCAACAGCCGAACACUAAGGAAAAUAAAAUUUAGCAGCGCCUCCUUUGUAAUUAUAAGCACCGCAAAAGCACAAGAGAUAUAUCAAUACAAAAUGAAUCAUACUAGUAUUAUAUAAUUCUCAUCAAGGACAAUUAACCACAAAUGAACCAGCUUAUGCCUACAUCAUACUCUAGUGUAUGAACCUAAAAAGUCAAUAACCCAAGCUAAUUAUUUGGUUCUUUAAGCAAUGUGUGCAACGUGCCACUACUUCCCACUCCCCUUGAUAAGCAUCAAGCACCUGCAUUGAGUAAUGCAAGAGUGAGAUGAAACAUCUCAGCAAGCAAAUUGUUUUGACGAGAUAUUUAAACCACAAGAUGAAUUAAUCAACAUUUUACAGGAAUCACAAUUAAGAAAAGAAAUACUUGUAGAUAUAGAACUCAAUAGUCCCAAUAUAACCAAUACCAUCUCAUUUCCUCGAGCAACCACAAUAGUUUGUAUAACACUUCCCUACGUCAACAAUAUCUACAAAUAUCACUUCAAUGAAUGCAUGUGAAUGCAAUGCAUAUGUCCUCUGCCUUCAUACCUCUAAGGGUAUGAAGCUGCAUCGUACCCCUCCUCGGGCAACGUACGAUGCUAAGUUGUACCGGUACGGUCGGACCAUAGGUCACGACAACACUUCAUAUGCAAAUGAAUCAUGAAAUGAAUAUGGCAUGCAGCAUUUAUCAAUAUACUUCACUUCCUUCACAUACAAUACAAACCUCAAUAAUACUUCAUCUUCCUUCAGAUACAAUACAAACCUCAAAUAAUACUUCACCUUCCUUCAGAUACAAUACAAACCUCAAAUAAUACUUCACCUUCCUUUAGAGGUGUGAAUUAAUCUCAUGGAUCAUACUAGAACCAUAAUCAUCAUCAAUAUAUGAUUGAGCAUCAAUAUAAUACAAUCAAGUAAAGCAUCAUCAUAGAGUUCAAUUAUGAAAGAAUCCAAUAAUUCUGAAUAUUAGAGUGUAGGCGAUAAAAGUAACAAGUCAAAACGGUAGCAACCACUGCUGCAUUCACUUGCCUUAAUCGAAUAAGAAAAAUGUACUAGGCAUGAUCCGGAGUGUAGCCACCUGCGGCGGGGCAUAAAACUUAGUACAAAUAUUUCACAAACAUUUGCCAACAAUCAACAAAUCGCUCCUACACUUGAAACGAAGACUCGGUGGAAAGACUUCCACCCUGAACCACAAGCCAAACAGUAGCAACGCUGUUUGUUAAUUUUGUAUCUUUAAAAUUAUAACAGUGGUGAUAUCAAACAAAUACUCUAGGAGUAUCUACACAAAAUACUCUACAACUUCGGUAUUCAAUGGAUAAUUAAGUUUUGCCAUCUAUAAGUUCUAAAACAUCUGACAAGAUAACUGACUGAAUCUGUUUCAGAUAGCAGCAUAGUUAACUUCAAAAUUUGAUAUCUCCCAAACUACACAACCAAAAAUUAUGAACUUCUGCUGGAAGUAAGAACUUUUAUUCCUCUACAAAACUCUCCAUAGUUGGAAGAGUCAAUUCGGCCAUUUACUAGAUGAAAUCCACCAGUGAACAGACCCGCUCAUUUUUGCCAGGCAAACAGAAACAGCCACAGUAAAACAAACAUAACUGAAGUUUAAAAACUUCAUAUGAAUACACUCUUUAUCAAUCUGGAAAGCUUAUGAAAUUAUCUAAAACUUUUCUUACAAACCCAAGGUUUAAUUCUAUUGAUAAAAUUUCCUAAAUCUUUAGAGAACAGAUUCCGCACAGAAUUAUGAGACUGAAAAACGGCUAUAAUCAAACUGCAAUAACUCUCAGAGCUGAUGUCCGAUUGAGGUGUUCUUUGCUGCCACGGAAAGAUCUAUAAAAUAUCUACGACUCAUAUAUAGACUUUUUAUUUUUCUGAGGCAACUAAGACCAUAGAAAACUGGCAUGAACAGAAACUGUCGAAUCUGCCAUUCUGCAGAAAUUAAAUUCGAGAUCAAAAUCUAACCCCACAUCUAAUCCAACCUCUAAUCCUUUAAUACCCAUGAUCCAAAACCUCCAAAAACACUUAAUUAUAGGGAGGAACAUGGAUCUCAUCCUUACCUAGGGUUUCCCCAAGAAAAUCUGCAAGAAGAGAUGGGGAUAGAACAUCUCCUUGGUCCUCUCUUCCUCUUCAAUCCUACUUGCUCCUUCUCUUCUCGAUCCUUGCUGCGUGGAGGAGAUCUAGAGGGAGGAGGAAGCAAUAGAGAGGGUAGAGGGUGGCUGCAAAUGGGGAGGAGAGGAAGUGGGAGGGGGGCGGCCAAAGGGGUGAAAAGGGUGGGGGCGGCUGCAACAAUUGGGGAGAAGGAGAGGGGGUUGGCUAGGGUUGGGGAGGAGAGGGGGGCUCCCAUCAUCGGAUCGAGAUUAAUGGCCCAAACUCGCUCUCCCAUCUGAGCUCUCGACCCUAGCAGAAAAAAUGCCAAAAGAUCUACUGUUUUCCUGAGGAAUGCCUCCUAAAACUCCAAACCCCAAUGCCACAGAACAUGAAAGAAAAAAGAAAAAGAAAUUUAACUUCUUUUCAGAAAAUUGGGGUAUCACAUUUACCUUCAUCAGAUUACCCCUGAAGCUAUCAUCAAAAUGGGGAUUUUCAUCGGGGUCAUGAGGAGCCAGGGACUAGAGCCGAGUGCAAAAUGCUUCUGUAACAUGCAUGAGCUGUCCUAUGAGACGAAGGCUACUGGCAAAGAACAAUAUCAUAAUAAUUUUGGUUGUUACGGCUUCGUGCCUCGCUCUGAUGUGAGCUAUCCAGUCCCGAGAUUUCGGAAGAGGUGGCCAGGAGCCUGGAUGGAAGAGUGGUUUUAUGUAAAGAGCAACUUAGUUGAAAGAGAAGAUAUAAAGGGGAUCAUCCAACACCCUAUUUGGUCCCGCUUCGGCAUCAGAAGGCUAGCCACUGCUCUUGGAAAUGAAACUGAAGCUGCUAGAAGGCCUUUAACACUGUAUGCACUUUUAUUGGCACAAGAGACUUAGUCCAAGAGCAUAUUGCUUAUAGAGUGUGGCAUCUUGUAAGCGACUGGGAGAUGCCGAAAGAAGCUGCUGCCGGGUCCAGUCAAGGCGGCUUGGUUUAUCUGAAAUACACCUUCAGAUACAGAGAUCAAUUUGAUGAGCCGAACGAUGACUGGUUGAAUUGUGUUGAGGAAACUAGUGAUGAAUUGCUUGGGGCCUACACAAGGGCCGAAGAUGAUGCCAUGACAUUAGCCUUCGGAGGACGAGGCAAGAGAAGAUUAAACAGAGUUUUUGAUGUAAUUGGUUUUGUAUACCCAGACUAUUGCUAUCCCUCGCGCAAGCAGGGAAAGAAAAGGAAGGUUGCUACUUCGGCAAUUUCUACUACGCUGAAGUGAAAAAAGAUUAAAGUUUUGACACACCAGCCCAGGUACAUUGAAACGGCCAGAGUGCCGAAGCUUGCAGAGGGGCCUUCUUCCGUUGCUGAGCCAGAGUUCCCUGUUCCUACUGAAGCCACAACGGGAUCAGCCGAAGACCUAAUUCCAAAGACAGCAGCAGAGCAGUCAAAAGCCCAAAUAGCCAAUGUACCGAAGCGUCCUGACGAAGCUAGGGCAAAAACGACCGAAGAGCUAGAAUUAAGGAAAUCAGCAGAGGUAUCAAAAAUUCCUGCAGUAACUCCAAAGAGGAGGAGAAUGGCCAGCGUACUAGACGCUGUUAUGGAGUCAACAAAGGUAUCAACUCCUGCCUCUAUAGAAGUGCCCAGCACAAGUGGGAAAAAUAUAAAGGAGACCGUCGAAGCUGUUACAGCUCGUGUUGAAGCUAAAGUUGGGCCCUCAGUUCCCGCAGAAAUAAGGUCUACGGGAACUGUUGAAAAGAAUACUGAUCAAUAACCUUCGGAUACUACAAAAGCUCCGUUAUUGUUAGAAAAAGGGAGAAGCAAGAAAGACUCUGAAUCCCCUGCCCCUGAUGCCUCUAAUGAGGGAUUGGCUUUAUAGUGUGUCAUGCGGCGGGGAAGAAGCUAUCAGGGGAACAUAUUGCCGAAGCUAUGCAUUAUUCUAAGGAUCUGAAGUAUCUCCCAGGAUCCUUGGUGUUUAAUGGUAUUGAUGAAGAUGAUUUUCUAUACUGUCUUCUAGACAACAAGGAAAUAUAUGUUUGCCGGGAGAUGGCCAAAAAUAUAGGAUUCCCGAAGCUAGAACUUGGCCUAUCUGCAAUGACGAAAGAUGACCUUGCGGACAGCCUUGCUUAUAACAGCUUAAAUGUAUGUACUCUUUGAUUCACGAAGUAAGUUAUGUUUAUUGGUUUUCUCUUUGCUUUUAUGUUCUCACACGUAUUUUCUGUUAUUAGGGCUUAAUUCUUGGUAAAGCUUUAAGAGCCCAAAAAGAGGCCGAAGAUGAAGGCUGUGCAAUUGCACUUGGAAACCUUCGGUCAGAGGUUAUCAGACUGAGGAAUGAAGACCUAGAAAAGGAUAAAAUUUUGUUCUCCUUGGUCGACAGGCUCAAAAGCAACGAAGCAAAGCUUAAUGCACAAUCUGAAGCUCAUAAAGCCAAAGUUGAAGACCUUCGGAAAAAGCUUGUCGAAGCUAAUGAAAAUUUUGAACUUGCAAAGGCUAAGCAAGAGAUAAGUGAAUGGACAAGCACGAGGCUAGAAAAGAAUGUGGAGGAGCAUCGUGAAUCCAAGGAAAGAUGUUAUGAGAAAUCGUUGAAUUGCGCCAAGAAACUGAAAGACAACUUUGCAAAGGUGGGUGCAUACUCAUCGGAGCAAAAGUUUAUUAGAGGCGAUCUUGAAGGAGUUAUUGAAUGGAUCGGCGAAGAAGGUGAAGCUUUUGAAGAAAUUCUUAGUGACCGUGGAGAUUGUUGCGCUUCGCCGGUGCCCGAGGGGUUGCAGCGGUUCUGGAGAAAAAUGGCUGUGAACACGUUAAGGCUACAACCCAGCCGUCUUCUCCAUAGACAACGCUAAGUAGCCUUCGGCCGAAGCUACUUUGAUAGGCGGAAAAUUCUAUUCCGAUGUUUGGAUGAAGGGUGGCCGCGAGAUAGCCGACAAGGCUAUAAGGAAAAAUGAAAAAGAAUCUCAUGAGGCCUGAGAAGAAGCCAAGCGAGCCGAAGAGGCUGCUGAGCGCGCAAGGCGUAUAGGUAUUAUUAGUGAAUUUUAGCUUCGGUGUUUGUUUCUGGCUUCGGAUUAACAACUUGUUUUUACUACAGCUGAACUUUCACCACGACCUGAGCCAUAUGAUCCCGAGGCCGAUCCGGCCAUGAAGGCAGCACUAGAAACGAUAAGGAUUGCCGAAGAAGCCGUUGACGAAGCUGUCAACAAACUCCUGAAUGAAGCUACCGAGAAGAUAUUGAAAGAGGACUAAAUUCUUGUGUACUAAGAAAUGUAAUAUUCGUGUAUGAGUCAAACUUGGAAUAUUUGUAUGUAUAUUAAUGUAAUAUAUUUUUUUGCGAUGUAUGAAAUCUGUGUACAUACCUAUUUUUGAGCCUUCGGCUAAAAAACGCCUUCCCUUCUUUUCAUGCUACGCAAAGGAAAAAAUCACCCCUUUCUUAUGUCAUAGCUGUUAUAUAAUAUUAUUGUCGACAAAGAUUCUCUUGGCAUGUAAAACUAUAAUUAUCGAAGGUACACUUCGUGCUUCAGCACAUUGUUCCAUUCGUCGCAUAUUUUGAAAGAAACGUCUUUGACUCUUCCACAAUAUUGUUACCGAUGCAACAUGAUGUAUGAUGUAAUGCUAUGCGAAAAGAUGCGAUGAAUGAUGCAGCAUGAUGUUUAUGCCGAAUACACAUACCCACAUGGAAACAUGCCUAGACUCUGCAUCCCCUUAGGAAUGACUUUUGAGUCUCUUCACCUUCUAUUUCGGUGGCAUUUAAGCUCUGCAUCCCCUUAGGAACGACUUUUGAGCUUCUUCACCUUCUAUUUCGGUGGUAUUUAAGCUCUGCAUUCCCUUAGGAACGACUUUUGAGCUUCUUCACCAUCUAUUUCGGUGGUAUUUAAGCUCUGCAUUCCCUUAGGAACGUCUUUUAAGCUUCGGAACUUACUUUGCGCUCCCUUAGGAACGACUUUGUAGCUUCGAGACUUACUCUACGCUCCCUUAGGAACGACUUUGUAGCUUCGGGACUUACUCUGCGCUCCCUUAGGAAUGACUUUGUAGCUUCAGAAGCAUUGUUGGGGGGUUGCAUUCUACACUCGUUGGUGUGACCACAAUAUUAUUACAUCAAAUUAGAGAUUAAACCUCCAUGAACUGUUUUUCAUGCAAGAAAAUAAAAUGACAGACAAAAUCGAAGAUACACCAGGUUAGGAUAUUCUUUAGUAAAUGUGCUUCAACUGGGGCAUAGUGCUGUUGACUGUGCGAGCUUCGGACUCCUCUCGAAGGUCGCGCUGUUGCUGAACAUGGUGGUGCCCUUCUGGCUGUUGAUUGUGAACCAGAGUAGGUGCUAGCGGUGGUGGUGGUGGCAACUGGGCACAGGAUGCUUGAGAAUGGCUUGUCGAAGCGACAGAGGCCGUAGGCUGUUGAUUGCCUACAUACUCUGGGACGUAGGGAGAGUAGCAUGAAGCGGUAUGUAGAACCUGCUUCGGCUAAUUCUGUCGUGCUUCAGCUUCGGCAAUUUCUUUCUGCUUCUAAAUUGUAACCUGGCAUGUCCUUAUGGUAUGCCCCUUGUCUUCGACACAGAACAAACAAAACAGUCUCCUGGGCUGAUCUCCAUAUAUUCCUCUGAAGCUUCUGCCACCUCUGCCUCUUGGAGCUGGAGGCCUGAAAGAACUUUGUUGCGCCCCUGAUGAUUGAGAGUUGUGUUGUUGCAUUUGGGUAUGACUCCCCCUACUGUCGCUUGCACUAAAAUUAUGAAUCGACCUAACAUGCCUAAAGUGGAAUCUUCCUCCGAAGCCCCUGGCCAACUCAGAGUAUCUGAAGGCUUCUUCCCUUCUUUGCCGAAAAUCAUUAUCGGCUCUGAUGUACUCAUCCAUUUUCUGGACAAGCUUCUCCAAGGUUUGCGGUGGCUUCCUUGCGAAGUAUUGCGCCAUAGGUCCUGGCCGUAGCCCCUUGAUCAUGGCCUCAAUGAUGAUCUCAUUGGGCAAUGUAGGUGCUUGAGCUCUCAGUUGCAAGAACCUUCGGACAUACGCCUGCAAGUACUCCUUCUGGUCCUGCGUACACUGAAAGAGAGCAUGGGCAGUGAUCGGCGUCGUUUGAAAACCCUAAAAUCUAGUCACAAACAUAUCCUUUAGCUUCUACCAUGACGUAAUUGUCCCUGGCCGAAGAGAGGAGUACCAAGUUUGAGCCACACUUUUGACUGCCAUGACGAAGGACUUCGCCAUGACUGCAGUAUUGCCCCCAUAUGAGAAUAUGGUUGCAUCGUAGCUCAUCAGGAAUUGCUUCGGGUCUGAGUGUCCGUCAUACAUGGGGAGCUGAGGUGGCUUGUUUGACGGCGGCCACGGGGUAGCCUGCAUUUCUGCUGCCAAGGGAGAAGCAUCAUCAAAAGCAAAAUUGCCAAAAUUAAAGUCACCAUACCAUUCAUCAUCAUUGAAUGAGCUUUCUUGGCAAAGCUCCCUGUGUUGGGGCCUUCGGUCUUGGUCAUCUUGAGUGAGGUGACACAUUUCUUUAGCAGCUUCGUCGAUCUUCUUCUGAAGGUCGGUGAGCCGAAGCAUCUUUUCCCUCUUCCUUUGCACCUGUUGAUGGAUAGCCUCCAAAUCCCUGAUUUCUUGAUCUAGCUCCUCCUCCUGAGAUGUUGGGCUAGUAGCCUUCCUCUUCUGGCUCCUAGCUCUCGUAGCGUCUCCUGAUUAGUGUCCAGUGGCUGUAGGGCAGCCCCUGGCACCGUUGUCUUCUCCGGCGGCAUUGCGAAAGUCGAUGCUUGCCGAAGGUGGUCGAUUGAGUUCACCGGAGGUGGGUGCCAGUGUUGGUCCUUGUUCUUGAAUGCUAUACAUCAAGAACAAAGCAACACAAUUGUUAAUUAUUAGAGACCUUCGUCCUUCGUAGCAUUAUCUCCUUUGGGAUAUAAUGAUCUUCAGACAAAGGUCAUGAAGGACAUACCUUCAUCAUCUCAACAAACAAAUAUAAGCAAAAGUACAUGAAAUACAAAGGAAUGCAAAUAAUGAUGAUAUAUCAGUAAAUUAUUUGCGUUCUCAUUUUAUAAACAUGAAUAAAUAUCCACAAUAUUUAUAUUACAUUGAUACCUUCGGCUUGCUAGAAGGUGAAAAUGCGAGAGUGACGCAAGAGUGAUUACAAUCCAGCGUGAACAGUACGGUGUUACUGUUCAUCUAUUUAUAGGCUUGGGACGCAGCCCGGACAAAAUUACAAUCAUUUCCCUGACAUUUACUGUUAAUCUUAAGGUGAGCUAUCAAGGACUCAGCAGUCUUUUCCCCUUUAAGUCGGUUUCAUCUUAUGUCUUCGUCAUUAUACUAAGCUGAAGCUCCUUUAGCCACAGCUUUGGCGUCCGUUCAUUCUGCCUUCGGGUUGUAUUUCAAUACCACACAUACCUUCAUUCCAAAGUGGAAGCCUCUUGUAAUAGUCUAUGUUACACUGAAAAACAUAUUAGUCACGUUUUUGAGAACCUUCGGAAGAGGAAGGCCCCCAACAGUUAGAUUGGAAUGCGAGCUCGACGUCACAUAUUGUCUCCGUGAACUGCCCCGGUGUCGACCGACCAAUUUCCAUCGGUCCUAAGUCGGCUCAUACAAGCAUCGGGUUUUCCAUGACCUACUAGUGCUCCCCGUUCUCUUCAUUUGAGCUCCAUGGUGUUGUUGCCUCGCGAACAGGCGCCGUGGACCCGGAACCCCAUCAUGGUCAUGGGUGGGUCAGAGCAGUGCUUGUGAACUAAAUACAUGCCAUGAGAUCAUUCGAUUUAGGUCAGGGUUACGUUUAGUGAAAGGGUGCUCAGGCUUCACACUGCCGCGACCGGGGUUUUAAUUUCGUCGGCGCCACUGGCAAUGGUCGGCGACGGGAUUUGUGAAGAUGAAAGAAGCAGAGGGAGUGGAAGAAAAAUUGUUUGAACAACCAAGGGUCUUGGCGCAAAUCUGCAAGCGCGAGCGCAGACGUGCACAAUAUCUGCGUGGGCUUCGGCGAGUAGGGUCGAAUUCGACCUGGUACUAUUCAUAUUUUUGUUCUUUUCUUUUUAGUGGUAGCUUGUGAAAUCCAUUAAAAAUAGUAGAAAAUUGAUAAAAUCAUGGGACCAAUUUUAUUAAACUCCUAAAAUCAUGUAGUAUUUAAUAAAAAUAAUUCCAAGAUUUUUAUUUCAAACCAUACAUUAUGUAGUAUUCAAUGGUACUUAAGUGAGGCCUUUCAGAAUUUUAGAAAUAGUUUAAUAAUCCCAAAAAUCAUAAAACUUUUUUGGUAGACUUAACAUGUUUGUUAUAUACUUUGAGUAAUGUUUCAUUUUGUUUGGACACUGUUUGACUAGGAAAUCAGUAAUAAGUCCAAAGGAUUAACCAUUUUUAAUACCAAGUAAGUUAGAGGUAGUUUUGUAAAUAAAAUUGAACUUAGUAAACUUACCAUCACUUGUUAGCCUAAGGAGGUUAGUUAAGCUAAUCUUAAAAGGGUAUCUAGCUAGAAAGUUUUAAUGGCUGAUAAACACCGUGAAUGAAAGUUGUAUUCAAGGCACUACUUACUAUCUUCUUGUUAUGAAUUUGCAUAUCCAUGACAUAGCAUAAACAUUCAUAUAUAUGUAUUAUUGCGUAUAGAGCACAAAGAAGAAACUAUAGUAGAAGAAGAGGUUGUUUCUCCAACCAAGAAUCCUCUCGUGGAAAAUAACUUUUACUUUGACAUCUGUGGUGAGGAAGCAGAUACUUCUACAACACAAGGCAAGCCCCGGUGCAUUUAUUUUUCCUUGUAUUUUAAAGUUUUAGCAACUUUGGAUGUUGCAUUAGGUGAUAGGAAUUGUGUGAUAAACUAUUGAUGCAUUUCCUUCCUUAGGAAAUUGAAUUCCAUUCCUUGUUACCUGAUUUAUUCAAACAAGUUUAAUGAUUCUUAGCCUUGCUUUAGAAAACAAAAUGUUUUGUUUUAAAAAGGUGAUGCUUCACACUGGGAUGGGAAUUUUUACAAAGGAAAGACUUAUGAUGGUGAAUGCAUCAUGACUGUGAUGGAUUCAACAUCUGAAAAGAGUACCUCUGUAGGGUGCCAAACUUUGGGUUAUAAGCGAUAAAGAUGAGACCAGGCGGGUGACUUGCACGAGAAGGAGGUCUUGGUGUAGUGUCUCCGUCUGAGUCAUUUAAGGACUGAGUCAAUGCAGGCUUGAUUAUCAAGGACCUUUUAACUGGCUACAUGCGUCAUCAUGGGUAAGCUUUCCCUCGGACGGACCAAUACCAGAAUAGCUCGCCCGCACUAGGCAUGGGAGAUGGUGAGGGUAGCGUGUGCCCUCCAUGGCAAGAGGCUGGACGGUGGAGUAACUGUACUCUCGGGUAGCGGGAACCCGUUCUGGUCUUGAGAAACCCGGGUGCGAGUUGACAUAUGCAACGGUUAAAUGCUACAUAUGUCUUGUGGUUGGAGAUCCCCAGCUAGGUAUUAGUCGAUUCGGAUCGUUGUUACUUCUCGGACAUGAAGACUUGGUCACUGACCUAUACCGUAGUGACAAGUAAACUCACAGCAUGAUAAAAGAUGGCUAGUGUAGGCGAAUUUUUUGAUCUAGAUUAGGGAACAAAUCUAGAUUUAGGAAAUUACUUAAUUUGAAAAGUAAAAUGAAUCCAUAAGGACCAACUUCAGUAAGCUUUGUGCAAACUGGGUCAUUGGUUCUUACUAAACCUUACCUUGACUCCUAAAGGCCAGCAUAUCCUUGAGAAUCUUUUCUUUUAGUAGGGUAAGACUUGCGAAAGUACACUCCAUACUUAGGUUUUUCGAACCCAUGUUGUUAUAGGUGAUGACACUACAGAUUUUUGCUGCUUCUGUUCUAAGAUCGUCCCGAAGCAGGAGGAUGAAAAUUAAAUAAAACUUAUGGAAGGUGCCUAUCUUUUGGUGAUGUAAUAAGUACAAGCACUCAAACCUAUAUAUUGUAAUAAUGGCUCUUUCUAUAUUGUACCUGUGAAUGUAAAUUAAGUUAUUGUAACUCUUUCCGCUUUUACUCCGAUGGUAUGAAAUGUCUGUGAUAUGGGAUGAACACUCUUAGGAGAUGUGAAGGAGAUACAGGAAUUAGGUCCUGUCGAGAUAUUGGGUGCACCUGCAUGACUGUCUAAGGUCCUUGGGACAAGGACAUCUGUAGGUGGGCCUAAUAUCUUGGGAGGUUCUGUGACAAGCUGUGGUUAAUAUGUACACGUGCUUUGCUGGUCCACCUAUAGGCGUUUGGUGCUGUCUUCCUUAAAACGAUGUAGGGCCCCUCCCAUUUGGUUCAAGCAUCCCUCUUGCUUCUACUCGCGGUGUGCGGAUGAGGACUAGCUCACCUUCAUCAAACUCUUUGGCUUUGAUGGACUUGUUUCUCCAAGUCUUGGUUGCUUCUUGAUAUCUGGCGAUUGUGUUAAGGGCCUUAGCCCUGUAGUCUUUGAGCAAGUCUUUGUUCACGGAUUCGUUGGUCUCCGGUGUUAAGCUGUUUUCCACUCAUGGGGAUUUAAAUUUGAGCUCUUGUGACGUCAUUGCCUCCACACCGUACAUCAGCUUGCAAUGUGUGAAGCCUGUGCAUCUAGUCUCAAUUAUGUUUGGUCCCCAAAUGACUUCGGGAAGUUGUUUGGGCCAGUUACCCUUCGCGUCUUCAUGUAGCCUUUUCUUGACUGUCAUGAAUUUUUUGUUUGCUCUUUCUUUGUGCCAUUGCACUAGGGAUGAUAUACAGAGGCGAAGUAGACUUUGGUUCCAACUAAUGCACAGAAAUCUCGGAAUUGUUGGGUAUCAAACUGUUUGUCGUUGUCCAUGGUUAUUUCGGAGGGAACUUCGAUCUGCAUAUGAUGUUCUGACAGAAGAUUUUUUGGGUUGUAUUUGACUUUAUAAAGGAGGCUGCCUUCACUUUUCUCCAUCUAGUGCAGUACUCUACUACGACAAAAGCAUACUUCAAGUUCCCUUGAGCUGUUGGUACGAGUUCAAUGAUGUAUAUGCCCCAACACAGCAGCGGCCAUGUGUGGCCAAUUAACUUGGAUUUCUGUGAGAGCCCCCCUUUGCUUGGAGAAAACAUCUGGCAGGCUCCACUGUUUUGGGCGAUAUUUUGGACAUACCUAACAAUUUCGGGCCAAAAGAAACCAAGCCACAAGAUCCUUGAAGCGAGGGCCCUAGGGCCGACGUGUCAUCCGGAGAUCCCUUGAUGGACUUUAGCCAGCAGCUCUCUGCCUUCAUGCUUGGUGAUUCAUUUGAGAAGGGCUGGACAAUUCCGUGCAUGUAUGAGUUGUCUUCGACAACUGUGUAUUGGCUACUUCUAUAUGCAAGCCUGGAUUCUUCCGAAAGGUCCGCUGGGUGGUAGUGCCCUUGUAGGUAAGAUAUUAUCUGGACCCUCUAGUCCUCUUGGCAAAAAAUGUUGACUAGUAUUACUUCUAGGUCUAGCUAUCUUAGAAAGGGUGUCUCGAUGACCUGGUAGAACACAUCGAAAGGUAGAGGAUCUCCUCUUGAAGCGGCCUUCGCUAGCACAUUUGCUUCCUCAUUUCUUGAGUGGUUAAAGUGCGGGACUAUGAAUCCUCAAAAUUGCCUUUUGGGACUUCGCCUGCCUGACAGAUAUUGUAGCAGGACCGGCUCCCGUGCUGCACAAUCUUUCUCAAUCUGGCCCACAACUAUUCUAGAGUUUGUCUUGAUGAUACAGGUUUGAACUCCACAAUGUUGUUUGUGCAUUUGCCGAAGUCAUUUGUGAAGUUGAGAUGAGCACCGUAUCUAGAUCUAUGAGUAUUGCUAAGACUCUAGCCCCAAAAUGAUCCUAGGCUCCAUCGCAAUGAAUGACCCAGGUAGUUUCAUUGGUUGGUGGCGAAGGGGUGAAAGUCCUGGUCCAAUCAACGAGAAGUCUGCUAGGACUUGCGACUUGAUGGCACUCCUGAACUCGAAAGUCAAGUGAUACCCUAACAAUUUCAUGGCCUAUUUUCCUAUUUGGGCGAAGCCUCAGGGUUGUUGUGUAUGUCAGAUAGACUUUGCUCUAUUAAUACCUUGAUUUUAUGGGCCUCAAAGUAUUGUCUUAGCUUUCUUGAUGCCAUGACCACAACAUAGGCGAUUUUUUCCAUUUCUGACAUGUGGGUCUUCAACUUAGUGAGGACUAUAGAGAAAAUAUACUUAGGAAUGAAUGAGUUUGCCUUCGGCUUGCUUUUCCUGGACAAGGACUACGCUCACUGCACGAUGGGAGGCCGAUAAAUAGAGUAGCAACUCAACUCCUGGGAUCGAACUAGAUAGGGUGGCCAGCUCUGACAAAUAUGAUUUGAGAUUCUCGAAUGUUCUUGCUUGUUCUGGCCCCCAGGUUAAGUCUUUUGCACCUCGCAUGACUUUCAUGAACGAAACACUGCACUCCGCUGACUUUGAAAUAAACCUAUUCAAGGCUCAAUGCGGCCUGUCAGCUUCUGAACUUCUUUUACUAUUUAUGGCGGGUGCAUUUCUGCAAUGGCCUUGAUUUUAUCAGGGUUUUAUUUAAUGCCUCUUCUUGUAACUAGAUAACCCAAGAUGCGCUGGUCUGGAUUUAGCCGGAAUCUAGCUUCUCUCAUAUUGGCAAAGGUCUCCGCCAGGUCUGCAAGGUGAUCUGCUUUGUUUUUGCUCGUGAUGACUGUCACACCCGGAUUUAAGGACAAAUCAAGAUGCAUCACACAUGUGUGCCAUGAUCAAGUCUCACACAUAUGGUGACUCAGUGUACAGAAAACAAUGUCACAUCUUUAUUACUUAAUACAAUUUUUGUACAAAAUAACUUAGAUAAAAUACACCAUAUGACGACAAUGAUCCCUUGCAACCAUAGUUGACUGGGAGACGACGACCUAGGUCUCUCCAAACUCAUCUUCAUGGUCCUCCUCUGGUGGUAGAUGCUCUUGACCUAGUGUGACUAUAGCAAGGGUGAGCUCCCAUAGGGUCGUCGCUCAAAAAGUCUAGGAAAAAAGUGUAGUAUAAGGCUUACCAAGGAUAACAGUUAAGGCUUAGCAUUGCCUUUAAUUUUGUUGGUCAAAAUUUUAUUAGCAAUUACUAAGUAUAAGUAAAUACCAUCCCAAUUAAAUACUGGACUAAUAUUGAAAUUCCCGCAAUGCAAUGCAUGGCAGGUUAAGUUUAUUUCCAUAAGUUACUCAUGUGAGGGUCCGAGCUACUCAUGACCGUGAGCGCAGCUGAUAUACCAGUUUUACAAGCUGCAGAGGUUGCACAUCUUUACCCACAAGACGUGUUACCUUUUCGCGUCGGGUUGAUCGGAACCUUAUACACUUCCAAGGUGAGUUAGCCAGGGCACACUGAGAGGCCUUUACAAAGUUCCAUUAGCUUGAGAAACCACGCUAUGGUUUCAGGAAAAAGGGGGGCAUAGACUUUUUUCCAAGGUCUAUAACCCCAUCCCAGUAAUUAUUGCCAGCACUAUGCUCUGCAGUGAUUCACUCUCCGCUUGCCCUUUCAGGUAAGGUAAGCUCUCGCUAGCUUUUCUAAUUAAUUGGCCAAGGCUGUCCCAUUCCACCCUUGUGGUAGCACUGUUGUCUCGGGUGGUUGCUCCAUGUUCCAAUUAACAAAAUGAUCUUGACAUGCAUAAGUAACUAGCAAUAAUAAACCAUAAUGGAACAUGAUCAUAAAUCAUAAGUGACAUUAGUCCCAAAACAAUGUAGAGCAAUAGCAAGACUACCCAAUAAUUCAUUUGUAUGCAAGGUGUAGGGUAAACAAGAUUAGGUAACUUAUUAGGUCCCAUCAAUUUAACCUAACAAUGCAAGAAUGACGAGAAUAUAAGAGUAAAUAUUAUUAUUAUUAGGUCAAAGAAUGUGAUCAAGACACAAGUUGUCUUUACUUGCAAAUCCAACUACUCAGGUACUUCCCCAAAGUUAGGCUUCAGAUUCCUCGUCGUAACCUCGCUUUUAUUCAUAGCAAAACAUACAUAUAUACAAAAUAAUGAAUAAAAAUAACAUUACAUCAAUUAUGAAAACAAACCACACAAUAAUAUUCUAUGUGUUGCUACAAGAUCGUAGGUUCGAGAACCACUAAAUAAAAGUUAAAACGAAGAAGUUAUGGGUAAAACAAGAAUUUUUUUGGUGCAAUAGAUCUAACAAAUGAGAUCUAACAUAUGGGAUCUAAUAGAUAGGAUCUAAUAGAUAGGAACUAAUAGAUGGGUUUUAACAGAUAGAAUCUAAUAGAUAAGAUCUAUUGUGGGUACCUUCUUUCCCUAUUUAUUUUCAUAAAGCGAAGGCACCACCUAGGUGUGCUGCUCUUCAUGCCGAGGGAGGGGGAGGGUCUUCAAUGUACGUGGUGGGGGGUGGCUUGGGGCACGUGCGGGCAAAGGGGUAGUGGCUUGUUGCAGCUUGUCGUACGGCCGGAUUGGAGAAAAAAUGUUGCGAGAUUAAUGUUUCGGGGAAGAAAAUCACAUGCUAUAAUAUGUGAUAAACGAAGAAAUAUAGAGAAGGGCAAUAGAGGGCUCACCGAAGAAGAAGGUCCUCGCCGGAGUUGAUGAGGAACUCGAACUUCGACGAAUGUUUGCGAGAGUUGUAGAUUGAAUUUGGAAAAACGAUUUCAUGUUCUGGGAUAGGCUUAUCUAGGGGAAGCAAGUCAUGUAUUUAUAGGGGUGGUUUGAGUUUAUCCAAAAUCUAAAUAAAUUCAAAUUUUAAAGAUUUUCUAUUUUUAGAAAAUACUGAAAAUCAAUUUUAAUGUCGAAAAAUGUCCAGAUUGCUCUAAAAAUUCUAGAAAUGUUUUGGCAUCUAAUGAACUCAAUAAUAAUAUUUGGAGAUUUUAAAAUGAUGUUUAAGUACCUCAAAUAAAUAUAUUUUUCUUUUCGGAAAUAGAAAAAAUAAUCAGAUAAAUAUGAAAAUUUAACGGAGACUUCUACGAUAUAUAUUAACAUGUUUCAAAUAACCUUUUGCACUCAGAAACACUAUGCAACAACAUGAAUGCAACACACUCAGUUCAACCUUAUGAUUCAUUUUAAUUUGAUUUAUAAAAAUUAUAUAUUUAAAACUAUAAUUUGUGAUUCUAAACCACUCAAAUCUUAACAAAUUAAACUAAACCUUGAAAAAAAUAUUGGUUCAAAAAAUUACGGUGUUACAACAAUGUUGUCGUGGACGUAGGUGAAUCUAUUUCGGCCAACUUGGUCUUUAAGGAUGGACCUAGUGAGACAGGAGAAUGUGGAUCUAGCUUUCUUGAAGCCUUCGGGCUCAUGAAGUAGUAGGUGCCGAAGGGUGUGAUGAAAUUGGCAUUUGCCUUGUCCUCUUUACUGAGAUAUAUUUGGUGGUAACUAGAAAAAUAGUCGAGCAGGGACAUGACCUCGUAGCCUAAUGCAGAAUUGACAAUUUUGUCGAUGCAAAGGAGGGGAACUCAUCUUUAGUGCAGGCUUUGUUUAGAUUGGUGAAGUCGAUACACAUGUGCCAUUCACCAUUCUUAUUUUUGACCAUAACAACAUUUUCAAGCCUAGUGGGGUAGUCGAUUGGUUCAAUAAAUUUUGUGUCCAAGAGCCGCUAAACUUCAACCUUGGUUGCCUCCGUCUUCUCAUCUGACAUCUUGCGGAGUCUCUAUUUCUUGGGGUGAGCAGAGGCGUUGAUAUGCAGUCUAUGUUCAAUGAUACUUGGGUUGACCCCAACCAGGUCAGAUGAUGAACGAGCGAAGACAUCUUUAUUCUUGCGCAGGCAGUCUAGCAAGCUGGCAUCGUCCUACAGAGCUAGGCCUUCGCCAAUAAAUAUUGCAUGAUUGGGGAGAGAAGUAUUGAGUGGUACUUUCUUGGCCCCCUCGUCACUUCGGAUGGGGUUUUGGUGCCUAUUAGUCUUGGCUGGCGGCUCUGGAGUGUGAUGACUCCGUGGGGUCCUAGGAUCUUCAUCCACAAGUAUAAUCCAUGGAUUGCUGCUUUGAAGGCAUUAAUGACCCCCUUCCUAGGAUUGCAUUAUGCGGAUACACCAUGUCAAUGACGUCGAAGGUGGUCUGUUUUGUCCGCGCGUUUGGGCCAGCAGCAAAGGAUAGUGGUAGGACUAUUUUUUGAGAGGUAGGUGGCCUUAAUUUCGAAUCCGAACAGAGGAUUAUCUACUAGCUGCAACUAUUUUGGAUUGAUGCCCAUCCCGUCGAAGGUGUGGAGGAAUAUAAUGUCGGCCUGGCUGCCGUUAUGUUUCAACUGACGAUCAUUGCGUCGGUGUGUGGGGCGUUUCAGAGGGGGAAAUGUGACCAAUUUAUAUGGACGACUGCCCCAUUAACGAUGACAUGGUUGACACUUCUGUAGUAUUCUCUUCUCUGCGUUUUGGUGUCGAAGUUUACACUGAAGCCUCCACUGAUCACAUUGAUAAUGCCGUGAAUCGAAGGUUGACGUAAUCGUAUUCCUCUUUGGGUGGCGGAGGGGUAGUUGCCUUUGGUGGUGUGCUAGUUGAGGGGGUGGUGGGAGUUGUAGUCUUUCUGGGUGGUGAGGUAGGGACUGGUAAUUUUAUUGAUAUUGUGGUAGGGUUGGUAUCUUUCUUGAUAUGACUGGUGGAGGGGGUGGAGGGGGUAGUUAUGAUUUCUUGCCUUCGGUUGCUGAUCUUGGUGACCCUCACAUUCUUUCGGCCUCCAUCCUAUCAUUGGUUUCCUUGGUGGCGCGGCAGUCCCUAGUUGAAUGAUCAACAUCCUCGCCGUGGAAGACAAGGUAAGGUCUGUGAGUGGGGCCACGGCUAUGCCCCUUGCCUCUUGGUGCUCUACCAUCCUCCUUGAUUGUUGAUUGUGAUCAUAGUUGCGUGGGCGUAACACCCUGAAUUUUUGGGUAUAAAAAAUUUCUUUGCUCUAUACUCAAAAUUCAGGUGUUACCCUUUCCUUACUUCGCUUUUCUUUUCCAUUUAUUAAAACAAUAGAGAGUUAUUUUGUUCUAUGUUGGCGUGAGCCCUAUAAAUGCCUUGGUUGUUGCAUUCAUGCCAUUGCAUAGUGUUUCCAAGUGCAAGAAGUGUUUGAAACAUGUUAAGAUGCCUUGUAGAAGUUUCCCGUAAUUUUUCAUAUUUUCUAAAUAUUUUUUCUAUUUUCCAAAAUUCAAAAUAUAUUUAUUUGAGGUACUUCAGAACAUUUUCAAAAGUUCUAAAUAUGUUUUUGAGUUCAUUGGGAGCCAAAUCAUGUCUAGGAAAUUUCCUAGAAUUUUUAGAGCCUUCGAGAUAUUUUUCGGAUAUUAAAAACGAUUUCAGUAUUUUCUGAAAUUACUUUUAAUUUUAAAAAUGGGAUAAUUACAAAAAUAAAAUAUCUUCAAACCCUAGCAAUGUAUAUAUAUAUGCCUGGAAUCCUCUCGUCGAGCCCUUUAUGAAUUUCGAAACCCAAUCCCCAGUCUAGAUCCGAAACUCCCAAAAUUGCUUACCGAUGUUCGAGACGGUUCCAACUCCUGCGAUAACUUCGGUGAGCAAUUAAUUUCGAUUCGUACAUUGUAGGUGGAAUCCGAGGGUGUAGCUUCGUUCGUCUCGUCGAGAGCUUUGUCCCGGUGGCUUCGAUUCAUCGAUCCGACUGACGGUUCGUCGCAAAUCGGCGUUUUACUCUUCGGCUCAGGUGAUGUCUUCUUUCCCGGUGACUGUUCUCCAUUGCUACCCAUGAAAGUUCUUCGUUUUCUUCCUCCAUAGGUGUCCCUCCUCCCCUAUAGCCCCUCUCCUUCACAUCCAACGUGACAGCGGUCUCCACCCACUUCCCCACACCAACCUUUCUCUCUCUUUCCCCCUCCCCCCGCGCCCUUCCCCCUACGCGUGCCGGCCAUGGCCGCUGCUCGGCGCGGCGGCGCGACCCCGUGCUGACCCCUCCCUCGGCUGAGCUCACGUCCCCCCACGACCCCAACCCCCAUGGAGGCUGUACGAGAGAGAAGGGAAGUGGAGGGAGGAAAAAGCCCAGUUUUGCAAAAAAAGCCCUCAAAAGAUGGUUUAAAUAAUGUAUAAUUUUCUAAGUCUGGGCAUUUUUAUUUGCUAGCCCUCAGAGCCUAUAGUUAAUUUCACAUAGACCCCUGUAAUUUUAAACGACCAUAUCUUCCACGUUUUAAAUCAUUUUUAAUUGUUCAAGUUGUGUUAGGUUCAUAUUAACGAUGUCCAUGCGUUAAAAAUAUUGUUCCAUCAUUUCACAUGAUUUAAAUAAUUUAUUAAAUAUUUGUUAACUUAUAUUUUGAAUUUAGCUUUCGAUUAAAAAUUAAUUUAUAGUUUUAACUUACACUUUAUAAAUAUCUGUUAAUGUGAUCAAUGUUAACUCACAUACCUUGAAUUAAUACUUGUUUGAUAUAAAUGCGUCAUCUAUUUAGUAUUUCUCGCGUGUCGCACGUCGCUGUUUGCGCACAUCGUCGUUUGCACGCGUUGUCGUUCGCACGUCGUUCUGCUAUUUGCAAGCUCCACUGCCGCUGUUCGCGUGUUGUUCGCGUGUUGUUUCACGUGUGUCCACCGUGACAUCUGUGUGUUGUCACGCGAUGUUUCACACGUGUCGCGUGCCGUCAGCUGUUGUUUCGCGUGUGUUGUGGGCGCGGUCUGCGCUCGUUGUUAAGCUGUUCGUUUAUAAUUACUCAUGUCAGUUAAUUAGCUAUUUGUCUAAUCAACAACUGUUAAAAUAGUAAGUCAAUCAAAACUAAGUAGUAGUAUUAAUUUACAUUUAAUAAAGAUAAAUUAAUAUUAGUAGUAUUAAUUUACAUUUAAUAAAGAUAAAUUAAUAUAAUUAUGUCGAAUUAAGUAUUCUAAUUAAUACUUGCUUAGUGUAAACACGUUAACUUCUCGACCGUAGCUCCGACUAUCGCAUUUCUUUUCCUCACGUGACAUAGUAGCGAGCUCCGUUUCAUAUAUAUAUAUAUAUAUAUAUAUAUAUAUAUAUAUAUAUAUAUAUAUAUAUAUAUAUAUAUAUAUAUAUAUAUAUAUAUAUAUAUAUAUGUGUGUGUGUGUGUGUGUGUAUGUGUGUGUGUGUGUUUGCUUGUGCAUGUUCGUCUUAGCUUCGCGUUUCCGAGCUUCGGUGAACCGACGAUCAAGCCUUGCCGACCAAGUGAUCAAGCUCCUCGAGUUCUAAAAAGUUGAAGACCCUAAGCAUCUGUUUGGUGAAGGCAAAUGUCCUCUGACCUAUUUAUGUCCUAUUCACAUGAUAAUUCAUUUCCCUGCAUUACAUAAUUGAAACCUAAGGAUUGACUAGCUUUCUAUUUACCUUCUCCUUGAUUACCUUUUGGGUUAUUAUGGUUAGCUUUAUGCUAGUGCUCUAAUUUAAUCAAUGAACAUGACGAGAUACAUUUAUGAUACUACGAUCUUAUUCUGGAUAUGAUGUUGAACUUGUGGUACUUUAGGGGACUUGGGUUGUUUCCUGAGUACCUCUCCGUAAGGACCUGUUCGUUGAGAGACCACCCAGGAAAACAGUGCAACCAUAAGUGUGGUAUGGGACGCCCUUAACUGGUUAAUUGGAGGAACCUGGGGUUGUAGUUUGCUUUGUCGUUGUGCCGUCAAUGGGGGCUAGGGCAUAGUGCUUGCUCUGCUAAGGGUGGGUGCUAGUUUUGUUAGUCACCCACCUUAGGGAGGAGAACUGUGUUUGUACGAUUGGCAAAACCUAACGAGCAGCUACACACUAGGAGAAUCUUUGUAAAGGCUACGUAGUGAAACCUUGCCAACUCACCAUGGUAGUGUUUGAGGGUUUGAUCGACCCAAGGCAAAAAGGGAAUCACGACUCAUGGGUAAAGUGUGCGACCUCUACAGAGGAAUGAAACUGAUAUAUUAGUUGUGCUCACGGUUAAGAGCGGCCUUGGGAUCCUCUUUGAUUAGAGAUACAGAUGGUUCGAGAUACAAUGGUUACGAAUGAUGAUGAUGGUUCUAUUAAUGAUGUUUCUAACUAUGGAUUCUGGUAUUUCCUCUAUGAGGAAGUACUCUUUGGGAUAAUAACUCGAGAUUGAUAAUAAAACUUGGCUUAUAUUAAUGAAUAAAACUUGACAAAGUAAAAGCAACCUGCUUUGAGCCUAACUCCACAUAAAGCUAGUCCACCUCAGCCAAACGGGACAUUUGCUGAGUACGGUUAUGUGUACUCGCCCUUGUUUUCACAAACACCAGGUUGCCUUUGGUGCAAUCUAUGCUUAGGUAAAGGAGAAGAAGAAGGUUUCGAGACGGAUCUCCUUGAGUUCCAGAACUUCUACGAGUUCGAGGAUUAGGCUAACGACCUCCCCCAGUCAGUUGCAUGUGCUGGGUUUAUUUACGUUGGCUAUAUUUCUAUUAUGUGUACUUUGAUUUAUAAAAUGUAAAUGACUCUAGUUUGUAAUAUUAUUACUUACUCUUUAUUAAUGUUCGAAGCAUUGUGCUAUGAUGACUCAUUUAUGUAAUAACUGUGUACAUGAAUUUCUUAUCCUGACAUGUACAUGGUUCGCAUUUGGUUUACCUUCCAAAACCGGGUGUGAUAGAGGGGGUCAUCAAGAUGGUGGUGGUGAUUGAUGUUGUUUACUUGCUGGUUUGGCAACGAAAGCUAUUGUCCCCGUGACCAUGUUUCGGAGUCCUAGGUGUGAGGGAGUUGUUUUGACGGGUAUUCCUGCUGGUCUGCCCUUGGUACUUUCUCUUGUGAUCUGACAGCUCUUUCCUUCUGCUUUCAAGGACAAUUGCCUUGUUCAACAAAGUCUGGAAGUUGGGGAAGCUGUGGCUCUAUAAUUGGUAGUUCAAGGGUCCAAUCAAGCCUUCUAAGAAACGUUCUUAGUGCUUCUCGUCAGUGUCCACUUCCUCUGGGGCGUAACGUGAAAGCUGGGUGAAGAGAUCACAGUACUCACUAACAGUCAUGUUUCCUUGAGUGAGGGAAAGGAACUCCUUCUUCUUGAGCUUCAUUAUUCUCGAGGGAAUAUGAUGAGCAUGGAAGUUCACUUGGAACUCCUGCCAGGUUAUGGCAUCAGCAUUGGCAUGUGCCUCGGUGAAGGCAUCCCACCAAUCGGACGUGGCUCCUUCGAGUCUUCCUAAAGCGUACAAGACCUUCUCUUGGUCAUUGCAUUGGGUGAUGUCCAAAUUCUUCCCAAUGACCUUAAGCCAGUCAUCGUCAUCCAAAGGGUCUACUGCAUGAGAGAAAGCGGGCGGGUGAUGACUCAUGAAGUCCCAGUCCUUGGGGUGCGUGUUAGUGUUGUUGUUUGUACUAUUGGUUCUGUUGAUUUUGCUGAAUCUGCUGCACCAAAGCUAUGAGUCCUUGCAGAAGUUGCAUCUGCAAUGCGAUGAAUUGAUCCAUAGUGGGGUUGGGUGGUGGUGGUGGCAACUGCUGACCACGCUGGUUCUGAUGGUUAUUGGGACAUGAUCGAGUGUUCACCAUCUGGUUGGUUAGAAAGUGCAAUCCCGGGGUAAGCGAGGAGUAGAAAAGAUUCUAGGUGGAAUAGCUUAUUAUUAAUGUUAUAUUUUUAUGCUCUUAUGGCCAUCAUUCCAUAAGACCAUUGCACUCAAGCAAAAAUCCAAAUCAAACAUUUCAGAUAACACCAUCACAUGGUUGUUAUUAUUAAUAGUGUAAUAAUAUAAAGGUGUUUUCGUCUAAUGCGAAAACUAACUUAUUACAACAUAAUUGAAGAAUCUAAAGCAGCCUGGUGAUGGAUCCUGGUUCUCCAUAGCGGAUCCUCUUGCAGGGAGGGGAUAACGCCAUGGCAGGGACUUGAACUUCAGGGGAUUCCUUCCAUCAAGCUGAGCUUCCAGGGCUGCGAUCCUUGCGUGUGCAUCCUCCAGCUCCAUGUGUACCCUAGACAGGUCUAGGGUAGCACUAUCCAGGUUGGUGUUAAGACCUGCCACCACAUCAGCUAGGGUGUUGAGGCGAUCUUCUCCAGCUCCACCUGUAACAAUGCUGGUCUGGCUUUCUCAAGGAAUACAUAGAGGAAGAUGCAUGUACUUCGUGUUUUGCAGCAGCUGCCAGUAGGUGUGGCUGAGGGACCACAGAGUUCGCUUAGCAGCAUUGCUGACCAAAGCAACGUCGGUGGAUAGCGGCGUCAGAGACUCAUGAGCUGACAGAGUCCUGAACCCUCUAUCACCUGCAUCCAUCACCCUGACAUGAAUGCGAGUGAUGUAGUAGCAAUCCCGAGGAGGCUCGUACACUCGCCUUGUCUCAUACAGGGGUCGGACGUAGGUUCCCAACGCAAGCAGAACAUCCUGCAGCAGGUUAGGGAAAUGCCCUGCCUCGAACAUUGAGGUAUAAUGUUCAGUGACAGGCCAUAACCCCACGUAGUGGUCCUGCUGUUCUUCGUUGGCCUCCUCGUUGAUGUUUUCCUCAUCUUCUUCUUCUUCGUCAUCUUCAUUAUCGUCACCAGAGUCGUCCGGGUGGUCGCCUCUGGGACCUGGGGCUUGGACUGCUGGUGCUGGCGGUGCUGAAGCUGACGAUCCAGCUGCGAAGGCUAGUGACUCUGCCAACGGGGUGGGCGCAGGCAGAAAGUCCUCCGAGCUGUCCUCCAGAAUGACUCCGUUCUCCACCCGAAUGCGAGGGAGAUCCACAGGGAUUUCCUCGACUACCACUGGGUAGACAGGAACUUGUCGUGGCAGAGGGAUGUAAUUGGUGUUGAUCCGAGUGGUUUGAAUGAUACGAACCAUCUACAAGAGAAAUUGUCACCUCAGUUGAAUUUUAAAGAGAUAAGGUUAAUAAAAUAAUUUUGUAAGAACAAAAUUAGCAUGUUUUGAACAAACUAGGCUUUCCAUUUCUAACUAGUCUAAUGACCUAGAGUCAGCAUGGCUUUGAUACCACUUUUGUCACAUCCGGUUCUGGGGGCAAAAUCGAAUGCAUAACAUAUGUGGGCCAGGAACCAUUUUCCACACAUAUGUUGACGUCACAAGUGUAAUAUAUCAAAAGACAAUGCAAUAAAGGUGUAAAAGGGAGUAGAGUAGCUUUAUUACAUCAUUUGGAUCAUAGUAUCUUAAACAAGUAUCAUAAUCAAAGUACGGCGGAAUUAAACAUGGACACUCUUCCACAGGAAGGUGACUGGCACAUCAUUAGACUCAAAACUCAUCAACGUCAUCUGUGAAGUCUUCGUCAUCACCCUCUGAUCAAAAUAUUAGCAAGGGUGAGCUCACUUAUGGUCGGGGCUCAGCAAGUGGGGGAAAUUAAUGCAAGUUAACAAGGUAGGCUAUGGAUAAGCGGUAAGCAUUUUAGUUGGUCAAUAUUUUAUUAGCAACACUUGUCUUACUAAUAGGUGUGUAUCCCAAAUAUCCCAAUUAAUCAAAGGUAUAAGAUUAUAUCAAAAGCACUUAAGUGAAAUCACUUAAGCAAACCAUUGGUAGAUCCUGAGAUCACGAUUUAUUUUCCAUCUUUAAGUUGAAUUAUCAUGUGAGGGUCCAGGUUGCUCUUAACCGUGAGCAUGGCUGACAUAUCAGUUUUACAUUCUACAGAGGUGGUACAACUUUACCCACAAGCCAUGUAUCCCAUCUAGCCUGGGUAUAUCGGACCCGUAAAAACUGUCGAGGUGAAUGGCUAGCGAUCCAUUAUGAGGCUUUCACAAAAUAUCCUUAGUACAAAGCCACCCGCUAAGGUUUCCACGUCAGUAUUGAUGGCCCUCUUGGUGAGGUAACUUAGCCAAGACUACCACCCCAUGUUAACAUGAGCUUCCACCAAACUAGUGUCGUCCCCUCUUGCCCAUCUUUCAGGUAGGGUUGCUAAGCACUAAGUCUAUAGAGCUAAUUACCAAAGCCAGAGCCAUUAUAGAACUCGUGGUUGCACUGUUAUCCUGGGUGGUCACUCCAUGUUCCAUUUAACACAAAUGUUCUUGUUUAACCAUCGGGUUAACAUCAUAAUAAAACUUCAUUUCCGGAACAUAGUAUAAUUAAAAGUGUGACAUCAUAUUUAUCAAGUUGAGCAGUAGCAAAAUUUGCUAAGCAUAGUAUUUAUCCGAGGGUAAUUCAAGGAAUAGGGUUGGUAAUUAUAGGAAAUCCUUAUUUAGGCAAAUCCCAUCAAAUUAUGCAAUAUAUCCAUAAAGUAAACAUUAUUAUAUGCAUUAUUUGGGUACAAAUAGAAAUGCAGAGGGAGAAUCCACUUGCCUUGCACGAAAGUGUCCUAUGGGUCGUCCUCGAACGUGUUUGGUUUGUCUACCUCACAGUCAACUUCUAUAUUCGAUCUGCGUAUCGUACAUACAAAAGAAUACGUACGCCAAAUAAAUAAACAUACACCAUUACAUUGGUAAUCAUUCACCAUUACAUACACAUUCAUACAUCACACAACUGUACUCAUAAAUAUGUCUCCAGCAUAAAUAUUUAUUAAUCCACUAUGACUUCUACUUUGAGUUAUCAUCAGUGAAAAUAUGAGUAUGUGACUAUGACGCUAGUUUAUCUAGUAUAAUAUAGAUAAAAAUUUCUUAACAAACUAUACGAAAAAUAAUUGUUAAUUAUUUUCUUUAUUACUAAUAUUAAACUUUUGGGUUUUAUACUUUUCUUCCUAGAUAGAUAUUUUACGUAUAUCUAAAAAUGUUUAUUUCUAAAUUACCUAACAUUAAUAUUCCAAGAGUUAAUGUAGAGUACUAAUUGGACUUUAGUAAUAUAAUCAUGACGAUUUGGACAUAAAGAAAUAUUUUACUAAUUCUAAGUAAUUAAGUGCUAUACAUAUGAAUACAUUUAUCAUGACUAGUAAAACCUAUAUUUUAAUCUGACCGAAAAUAUGUGGCCUAUUAUUUCUUACACUUUCUUAUAUCAAUAAGAUUAUACUUAAAUUGCUACUAACAAAUAUCGUUCCAUGUGCCUAAGCGAGGUUAAUCGUAAACGUUUCUAGUAUGUAAAUCACCAAGUUAGUGAAUAGUGAUAUUAUUUAUUUUUGAAAUAUAAAUAAUACAGCUGUCCAAAAUAUUGUUGCAGGGGCUAGUUCACAAUUACACGUAUACUUUGGGGUCUCUUUCCAAUAGUUUCUAAACUGAAAAUCUCGGAAUUAAUUUUAUACAAAACCAGGGGCUAAAAUGAAAAAUAUGCUUCUUUUACCUUGAGCUUUUGCUCAUGCGCAGGAAUGGAGCUCGACGGGGGGAGGGGUUUGGCCGGGCAGGGGCUUGGCUUGGGGGCUCGGCGGGGGGCGCAAGGACGAGCGCAGACCGUCCGGCUGGGGUGCGGACGACGGGGCACGGUCGACGGAGCUCCGGCGAGCGGCGAGGCGGCUCAGGCACAGUCGACGGCGAGCAAGGGAAAGAGGAAAGCGUGAGAGAGAGAGAGAGAGAUAGCUCGGGGAGGGAGAGAGGAGGGAGCUCGUUCUUUUAUAGAGCGAGAGUGGAGAGGAGAGGGCGCCGGGGAGGAACGGCCAGCCUUCAACACCAUCAGUGGCGUCGUUUCUCUCCAUUGAUUGGAGAGGGAAUUAGGGGAGGGAGAGGAAACGGCGGCGUCGGUUUCUAGCGUGGGAGGCGGAUGGGCACAGAUGCUGAGGAGCGGGCGCGGGAGCACGGCUCGGCCGAGCGCGCGGCACGAGCCCAGGGCCAGCGGCGGCGGCGCGGAAGGGAGAAGGAGAGGAGGGGCCACGGGGCCCUGACGGGUGGGUCCCACCGGUUAGUGAGUGAGAGGGGGAAAUGGGGGCGCGACUGAUGGGCCCCAAAUGGGCCGGUUUGGCCAGCUAGGGUUAGGGUUAGGUUUUCUUUCUUUUUUUCAUUUUCUUUUCUUUUCCACUUCAAAAUAUAAAUAAAUAUAUAUUUAAAUAAUUAAAAAAUCAUAAUAAUUAUACCAAAGUAUUUAUAACUAAAAUAUUUAUUUUUGACCAAUAUUUCAAUAUUAAUUAAUUAGAUUUUCAAUAUAAAAGAAAUUCUACUAAACAAUCCAUAAAUCAAAUAUAAGCAAACAAAAUUACUCUAAAUGCAAAUAAAAAUCAAAUACUUGAAAGAAAAAAAAUCCAUUACCAUAUUUACCAUUAAUAAUAUAAAUGCAUUAUAUUUAGUUGAUGGUUUUGGUAGUGUUAUAGCAUCCCCAAGUCGCCCGAUAGCCGAUCGACGGCUAGAUUUCGUUGCUAUGAAUAGGUAUCCCAAAGUUCUAAUCAGAGCCGAUCAACCCGAGAUCAACGGUUUCUGAUCAUUCACCCAAACUCGCCAUCGAAUACGGCGACGCCGCCCGACUACGCCCGGUGGGGGUCAUCUGAGUUACCUCGAUACAGCACCCGCUGACUUGAUGCCUAAAACGACCGACAAUGCGUUUAGUAGGACUCGCCGAACACGAGGGUCGAUGACUCACCGGCGAGGGCGAGGUGGCGAAGCCGGUCCUCGGCGGAGGAUCAAGCCGCAGCAAUGGAGUCGCACCGGCGAGCAAUUGCCCAAACGCCGACGGUCCAAUGGAUAAAUUGAUGGUCGUCGAAGCUCCCCGAAUCUAUGGCGCUGCCCCAGAAUACCCCUCUAACGCCCGAGCGCCCACAAAGCAUGUGUUGGCCAGUGAUGGAUUUCCUGUCCCUCUCUCUCCCCUGCGCUACCCCUCUCCGGUCCUUCUUUCUCGAUGGCAUUUGGGUGGGCUGGAGAACAAGCCCAUCGGUCAAGACAAGCCAAGGAGGUCCAUAUAUAUGCAGCACCUGCCGAGGAAAACGACAUGGCCAAGUCCCAUGGUGAGCUGCGCUCGUCACGGUGUUCAUUCGCAACGGUCCCUGAUAUGGAUGAGUCCGACGUGGCGGACCGACCAGCAGCAACCCAAGGCGAGCCAAGGAAGGUGCGCCUAGUCAGCGGGGCCCCCACGUUAGUGAGAAAGCGAGCAGCGCGUGCGGCUGAGUGGAAGCCUGGCGAGCGGGUCCCGCAAGGCAGAUACGUAGACGGUGGUGGGAGUUUGGGCUAGGCGGCUAUGGCGGAGGAUGGAAAUGGGCCGAGGAAAAAGGGAUUAAGCCCAGGUUAGUUUAGGUGACCCUUUUCUUUGUCCUUUUCCUUAUUCCAUUUUUUCCUAUUUCAAUUUCAAAUCAAACACAAGCUUGAAUUUCAAACCUUUAAUUUCUUUAAAUGCACAAAUAGAACUCCAAAAUGAUGUGCACUAAUUAUAUUAAUCUAUUUAUUUAGUUACUUUAUUAUUAUUAUUAUUUUAUUUAGGUAAUGUUUUGAACAUGAAAUACACACACCACAUUUAUUACAUAGAAUAUUAUUUUGGGUGUGUCAUCAAUUUCAAGGUAGAUCCCAAAGUUCAUAUUCCUUUAUUUUGAUAGAAAACAUUUUUCAAAUGCCUAAUCUUUAUUAGGAUAUGUUUUAUCUAAUAUUAUUCUAUUAUGAUCAUUUACUUUAGAAAGGGUGAGUUCUAAAGUUCAUUUAUUUAUCAAGGAUACUUAUUUUUAUGAUUAUUUUUCAGGAUUUCCUUAACUCGCAAGUUAAGAUUUUGGGUGUUACAAUAGCGAUUAAUGUAGAAGAAUCAUAUCCAAUUUAAGUAAGAAGAUAUACAUCACAUAUCAUUGGAUUGAUUUUCUUUUUAUGUUAGAUUACACAUUCCAUAGAGAAACUCAUUCUCUUGAUGUGAGACUACUUAAGUCACUUAGACAAAAGCAUUAGUCUUACGAUUCUAGUCAUAAAGAGAAAUUCCCUUUUAUAAGUGUCCUAAGGAUUUAAAUUCCUUAUAUGACACCUUAUUCUUUUAAGAGCUUCGAAUAUUUCUGUUUAUGUUCAGAACAUGGCAACAAUAUGAUAAUUAACGUAAAACAUGCCAUGAGCUACUUACAAAAAUUUAAAGCAUGUAGAUCGCCAUAAUAUAGAAAUGAUGAAAAUGCAAUCUACCAUAUGAGAGGAACUUUCUCCAAAGAAUGGUGACAUAAUUUAACAACAUUCUUAAGUGCUUCCUUUUUCUAUGUGACUACACAAGACAUAAGAGAAAUGAUAAUUGAAGAUACUUGCACUUAAAGACAUAAGUGUUACCAUCCUUUGGCUUUCCUGCAUGUUGUAGGGUUUUCUUGAUUUUCCACAAAGCAUAGACCUACAACAUCAAUAUUGUUGGGGGCCUUCUUCUGCCGAAGGUCCUCAAAAACAUAAUUAACCAUUUUGAAUUCAGCAUAAGCUAUUACAGGAAGGUUUGUCUUCAAGAUACAAGCCUCUUCCUCAUGAUGAAGGCAUAUGAGAUGAAGACAGAUCUAAAGAUGAUAAGAGUAAACAUCAAAGCUAUCGCCAAAUGGACAGCUUCGGCUCAUGGCAGAGAUGAAGUAUGUUGAUAAUGUCGACCGAAGGGGAAAACUACUUAGUCCUUAAUGACUUGUAUUGCGAUCAUACGUGAAUAUUGAGGACAUAAAUAUACUUUUACCUGGGCUGCGUCCUGUGCCUAUAAAUAGAUGAACAGUAGCACAAUACUAUUCAUGCUGAAUUGUUAUCACUCUCUCUCGUCCUCACCUUCGAGCAAGCCGAAGGUAUCAAUGUAAUAUGAAUUAUGUUGAUAUUGAUUCAUGUUUUUAUAGAAUGCAAAUAUGAAUGGAUUAACCAGAUAUAGUUAUUUCCUUUAUCUCUUUGUAUUCUUGUUUACAUAUUGAAUGAUGAAGGCAUGCCCUUCAUGACCUUCGUCCGACGAACAUUAUACCCAAGGAGAGAUAAUGCUUCGGAAGACGAAGGUCUCUAAUAAUUAACAAUUGUGUUGCCUUGUUCUUGAUUCACAGCAUCUAAGAACAAGUGACCAACAAAUAUCUUGCUCGAGAUGAUAUGAAUUUUAGAUAUAAUAAUUCAAAAUAACUUUGGGUCAAUCUUAGAGAUAUAAAUUAUUGUAAGAUUGAUAGCUUGAGUUAAUAAGAAUUGAUUUCACCCGCUCAAGCACCUCCAAAGCUUCAUAUCAUCUCCUUUCCCCUGCAAAGCUUGUCAAUCAAAUUUUGGUCCCCAUCUUUUGAUGGGCCCAUCAAGGUUAGUCAACAUGGAUCUUGGAACCGAAAUUUUCUUUGUGCUAGCACUUGGUGAACUCAUUACCUUUCUAGCACAAGUUGCAAUUUUGGGUUGCCUAGUUACAUAUGAAUCAAUUGACAAGCUAGGAGCGGAAUAAUUACCAAUGGGACAAUCCUUACAUAGAUGUCCCUUUCUUCAACAUAUGUAGCAAAGGCGAUCUUCAUGUUUUAAAGAUUUCUUAUUUCUUGUCUCUUGCUUGCUACAUGGUUAGUAAAUGUUUUCUUUUCUCAAACUAUGCAUUUUUAUUUUACAUAGGGACACAAUUUAAUCAUAUGUCCCGUCUUAGAGCAUCUAAAACAUUUUCUAUCAUCCUUGUUAAUAACCAAGCCAUUUUCUUUAAUAUAUGGUCAUGACCUAAUCAAGUGCCCCUAUUCAAAGCAUUCACUACACUUCUUAUUUUUCUUAGUGUGAAGUGUGACUUGAUCAUUACCUCGGAUGUUACCUUGGAUGGAGGCAUGAUUGAGACUUUUGGUAGAGGUAUUGAUUUUCUUCUUUUGUUCCUUCCUCUUGACAUUCCUCGUGUCCAUGACAUUUUCUUCGAGGGAUUUUGUGCAUGCUAAGGUUAUUCCCGCCUCAAGCUUCUUCACCAUGUCAUCACGGUUAUCUUGAGAAGGUUGAGCAAUGCACUUCCCUUUCAGUUGUGUCAAGCUCGUUCUUAGCCUCUCAUUCUCUUCUUUGAGCUCUUGAUAUACAAUAUCAUCUAUUCCUGGAAAUUCUAGCUCAAGGAAGGAUUUGCUUGCUGGCGAGCAAUUAGCACAUGACAAUAUAGUUUCAAUUUGAACACAUGUGCAAGCUUGAGGUUGUUGAGAUUUUACGUUUUCUAUCACAACCUCAUGAGCAAUAUUUAACAUGAUAUGAUCACCCGUAAGAUUUUCAUGAGAACAUAGAAGCAUAGCUUGUUUUUCUUGAAAAGCUAGAUUUUCAAUUUUUAGCCUUUCAAUUUGGUCCUUAAGCAGGGUAUUCCUAUUUACUAAUUGAGCAAUACAUGAUAAGGAAUUGUCUUGCUCAAUUGAAAUAGUUUCAUACCUUUGGACCAAGUCAACAUGAGAGCACUCUAGCUCCUCAUGUUCUUUAGUCAACUCUUCCAAGCUUUGGAUUUUUGUGAUGAGGACAUCUUCUAGCUUGUGAAGAGCUUCACUUUGCUCUCUCGCUCUUUUUAAAAGUUUGAGCAUGACCGCCUUAUCUUCUAGGCUUAGAUGAGCGUAGAGUUGCAUGAAGCUUCUUUCAUCCUCCUCAUCCUCAUUUGUGCUUCCUCUAUCAUUUUUAUUAGCGACACAACAUAUGUGGGAAUCGAAAUGGGAAGACAAACCUUUUGGAGAGGUGGAUUCAUCAUUUUCUACUUCUUCCUUUAAAGGGUUAGUGUCAUAAGGACUAGAGGAAGUAGAAGCAUCAUAUGAACUAACAUGUUUGGACUCAUCAAAUUUAUCUUUAAUUCUAUUCCAAAUAUCAUGCGCAUCAUGAAUAGGUUCAUCAUAUCUAAUUAUGAAGGCAUGAUAAUCUUCUUUGCUAAGAGAAUAAAGCGUCCCAAUCCUUUGGGACUCAAAUGUGAUACAAUUACUAGUCCCAGGAGGCUAGUAAACACAUUCAUUUCUUCAAAUAGUAUAGAGUCUCAAAUAAUAGUUAUUACAAUACCAAGAUACAAGCUCUAGCGUGCCUGGAAACAUAGCACAGUGGAAGAUCACCUAGCCCAAGCCACAGACAGACUGGGUGCAGACACAACCCUCUUCUAGUCGAAUAUAGCAGAAAAGAAGUCUUCAGCUGCUGAAAAACAUAAUAAAAUCUGGGUGAAUACACUAGGUAUUCCGCAAGGCCAUCCCGCCCGUAAAGAGAGAGGGACCUAUACAGUACAUGCUUGGUAUGGUGGAGUUGAAGUCGCUCUUUUCUUUUUCAGAGAAAGGCAAUACUUUGUCGUUUUACCCAAAAGAGAGGAGUAGCACAUUUUCACACUCAACCACCACUGAGCUUCCCGCUCCCGUGGUAUUACUUUUAUUUCCAAAACCACCCACACACUUUCCCUUCUUACGAAGCUUAAAAACACUAAUUGUCAUACCACACCAGACUCGUCCAUACCAGUGGACAUGGACUACCCGAAUAGGUUUCAAACUCUACACAGAGGUGCACACUUUACCCACUAGUCCGGCUCUGUGGUCUCAUGGCCAAUGAGACCUGAAUUCGAAUCUCUUUCCUUCCUUGCACAUCCUUACCAUAACGAUUAUAUCGGAAGGAGUCAGGUCACCUCCAUGCCCAAACCGGACAAAACAUUCCCCUUCCUUAUCCUCUCGGUGCUCUCCGGCCAUCAUAACCCUGGGGUUUGGACCGUACAAGUUCAGAUUGAGUGACUACCCAUACAGUCUCGAGUGGUUGUACUUGUCAUGAGUACAGGUAGUGAACGGUGACAAACCGGUCCUUAUAUGAGGGGACAAUCCUUCCUGCUCACACCUAACCCGGCUGAGCCAACACCUUAGGCCCUCCCCUAAACCAGAGAGUCCAUGAUCAUCCCUCUCGGUUGGUGAUAAGCGUGAAUACCCUCCAUCAUACACCUUUUGAAAACAUUUCUCUUUUUAGAAAAACCAUUGCCUCAACCCACAUUUUGUACCCAAAAGAGAUCCUUUAAUGCAGGCCAUCACUUGUCUCACAAUGCAUAUAAUCCAACCCAUAUUCCCGGCUUAGGAAGUGGUAGAAAGAGUAGGUAAUUUAUGCAUCAAGGGAAGAAUGGACUUACCUUCGUCGAAGUUCUCUUGACACGAAAGAUCUAUUUCCGGGAGGUCGGGCUCUUGCCCUUCUUCCGGAGGGUCGGAUCCCUCUUCGCCUAGCAGAAAUAGGCAAUAAACAAUACAUCAAACAUUGUUGUCUAAUAAGGUGUGUCAAGGUAUAUGUGUUAUUAUUUUGUGACCUAGAGAAUAUUUGGACUAUUUUUGGUGCAUAAUAUAUCAAUAUAUAUACAUAUAUAAGAAAAUAGGGAAAGGAAAAAGAGAAAAGGAAAAAGGGAAAGGAUUCUCGGUUAGCUGGGCCGGGGGGGGGGGGGGAUUUCGGCCCUGCGCGAGCGCGGGGACGCGGCGCCGCGGGCGAGCUGGCCCAAACGACCCACGAGGAGGGGAGACGGCGUGCACAGACGCUGUGAGCGCGGGCCCAUGCGCCAGAGAGAGGAGGAGGGUCGACGGCGUCGGGCGGUCUGAUGGGGGAGGGGGCGAACCGGCUGGUUUUGGGAAAAACCAACGGCCGACGAGGUUCCACGGUGGUUCUCCACCGUGGUUCUGGUUCUGGUUGGUCGGGGAGGUGGCAUAGCAUGGGCAGGGGUAGGGGGUCUCGGUGGUGAGGUCAAUUUGGCCGGCGGACACUCGGGAUGGCCGAUCCACGGCGAGGUGGCGGGCUCCCGCGGCGGUGAGGUUGCCGGUGAUGCUUAUGGGGUUGAAUAGGUGAGGGAGGAGGGUGCAUUAUGCUCUCAGAAAGGUGGUGAAGCUUGUGAACUACACUAAUUUGAUUCUAAGCCACCGGAGAGGGGAGGGGGAAGCUCACCGGAGAGAAGGGAGGCGACGGCGCCGAGCUCGAUUGGGUCCAGGGAAGGGGAGAGGGAGUGGCCGAGGCUGGUGCAGGGAGAUGAGGGGCUCGGGCGGUCCUUUUAUAGGCGGCUGGAGAGGGGGGAGGAGGAGGCCGUCGGGCACCAGCGAGACGCGCUAGGGCGGCGAUAAUGGUGGCACAAUGGUGGCGACGGGACGGCUCGAUGCAGGCGGUGGCGAGUGGUCACCCGGUAACAGUGCGCGGGGACGCAAGGCGCCAAAUCUUGCUGGUGAGCGAGUAAUGGCGAGGACACGGGGCGGGCGGUGGCUGGCGAUGAUCGCGUCAAUGCCCGAUCAUGGGUGAGGGAGAAGGGGCUGACGAGCGGGGCCCGCCUGCCAGAGGAAGAGCGAGUGCGAGGGAGAGGGGGCGGGCGUGGCUGAUGGAUGGGGCCGGCCGAUCAACGGGGGAGAGGAGAGCGUGGCACAAGCGUGGUUGCUCGGGCGAAUGGGCUGCAUGGGCCCCGAGUGGAGGAGAAUGCGGCGCGCGGGAGAGAGAGGGAGGGAAGCUUGGGCCGGAUCCAGCCCAGCCGAGAGGGGAGGGGAGGAUUUUCCUUUUUUUCUUUUUCUAUUUAUUUUCUAUUUUCUUUUCCUUAAUCCCUUUUCCCCUUUAAACAAAUAUUCAUUUAUAUUUCCUAGGUGCCAAAAUGAAAUACUCUAUGUGAAGUGCCACUACCAAUCAUGGUGUAUGCAUAUGAUGAAUAAAAUGCUUCAAGAGAUGAGGUCUUAGGGACUAAAUAAUGGGGGGUUUAGGGGUUUGGGGUUUCUAACUUUGGGAUCAAAACUGGGAUGUUACAGACCUACCCCACUUAAAAGAAUCUCGCCCUCGAGAUUCAGGCUGGGUUUGAGAAAAGAUAAGGGUAUUCCUUCCUCAAUGAGUCCUCACUCUCCCAGGUGGCCUCCUCUUCUCCUUCUCUGCUCCACUGGACUUUAUAGGGCCAUACUUCUGAGAUUCGGGUCUUUCAAAUGGCUGAAUCGAGAAUCUUCACUGGCUUUUCUUGGUACUACAGAUCCUUCUGAAUCUGAACUGACUCCUCUGCGAUGUGACUCUCUGGUACUUUUAAGCAUUUUCGGAGCUGAGAUACAUGAAAUACAUUAUGGAUAUCUAACAUGGACUUUGGUAACUAAAGGCGGUAAGCUGCUGGCCCUAUUCUACCGAUGAUAGGAUAGGGGCCAACGAAUCGCGGAGCUAGCUUCCCUUUUGAUUGGAAUCUUUUGACUCCACGCAUUGGGGAGACCUUGAGGUAGACAAAAUCUCCUUCCUCAAAACUAAGUUCUCUCCUUCUGUUGUCUGCGUAACUCUUUUGUCGACUCUGGGCUUCGAGUAGUCUCUUGCGGAAUAGGGCAACUUUCUCUUCUCCCUCCUUGAUGAAGGUAGGUCCUUCUAGGGUCAUUUCCCCUAUGUUUUACCACAUCAGAGAGGUUUGGCACCUCCUUCCAUACAGGGCUUCAAAAGGUGACAUCUUGAUGUUGGCCUGGUAAAAGUUGUUGUACGAGAAUUCUCCAUACGGCAAACUAGACUCCCAGUUUCUGUCGAAGGUCAGCACACAGGCUCUCAACAAAUCUUCGAGGACUUUGUUAACUCUUUUUGUCUAUCCAUCUGACUGGGGGUGGUAGGCGGUGCUGAAGUCUAGCUUGGUGCCAUAGCUUGCUGAAGGCUCAACCAAAAUUUUGAGGUGAAUUGUGUUCCCAUAUCUGACACUAUUCUUCGUGGAAUGCCAUGAAGUCUGACUAUUUCUUUGAGAUAUAUCCAGGCGAGGGUGGCUCCUCCGAAGGUAGUCUUCACUAGAAUGAUGUGAGCUACCUUGGUAAGACAGUCAAUUAUAACCCAGAUAGAAUUGUUCCCUUUUUGGGUUCGGGGCAGUUUGAUUACGAAAUCCAUGCCUAUUCUUCCCACUUCCAUUUGGGUACUGGGAGGGGUUGCAGUAUGCCUGCAGGCCUCUGAUGUUCUGCCUUAGUUCGUUGACAAGUAUCACACUGGGCCACAUACUGAGCUAUCUCCUUUUUCAUUCCUCGCCACCAGUAUCUGGUCUUGAGGUCUAUGUACAUCUUGGUAGAGAUGUACUUUAGACUCUUGUGAUCUGUGAAUAUUUGACAUUUGUUUCCAAUCAGGUAGUGUCUCCAUAUUUAAAGAGCAUGCACUAUGGCUGCUAAUUCCAAAUCAUGGGUUGGAUAAUUCUGUUCAUGAGGCUUGAGUAGGAAAGAUGCAUAGGCGAUGACUCUCUCAUUCUGCAUAAGUAUGCAUCCAAAACCUUGUCUUGUAGCAUCACAGAAGAUGACGAAGCUUUGGUGGAUGUCUGGCAGUGUCAAUACUGGCGCGGUCGUGAGUUUCUUCUUUAUGACUUGGAAACUUUCUGCACACUUUAGGGUCGACACAAACUUAUUGUCUUUCUUGAGGAGUUCGAUCAUGGGUCUUGCAAUGCUGGAGAAUCCUUUGAUAAAACAGCGGUAAUAUCCCACCAUUCCCAAGAAGCUUCGAACUUCACUAACGUUGGAUGGUUGCUUCCAUUUGGAUACUACUUCUACCUUGGACGGAUCCACUUCUAUCCCUUCUGCUGUCAAGAUAUGCCCGAGGAAGGCUAUAUUUUCUAACCAAAAUUCGCAUUUGUUGAGUGUUGGGGGCCUUCGUCUUCCGAAGGUCCUCAAAAACACGACUAACAUGUUUCCCAAGUAUAAUAUAUGUACAGGAACCUUCGGGGGAUGAAAUUAUACAUGAUAUGAAGAGCGCGGUUCGAGAGAAGGAUGAACCAGUGCCGAAGCUGCCCGUGAAGAAGCUCCGGCUUAGCGAUGGAAAAAGAAACCGACUUAAAGGGAAAAAGGUUGUCUAGUCCUCGAUAGGUUUCCCUAAGUCAAUAGUAAAUAUUGAGGGCAUGGAUGUAAUUCUACACAGGCUGCGUCCUGUGCCUAUAAAUAGAUGAUUAGUGACACCGUACUGUUCACUCUAACUUGUAUUCACUCGCACGUCAUACCAGGAUUUAUACCUUCUGUCAAGCCGAAGGUAUAAACAUAAUUCAAUUUUUUUUCAUGUUUAUUCAUGAUAAUAUAAUAAAAAUGUCCUGAUGUUGUCAUAUGAUUAUUCAUGUUACUUUUUCAUGUUUCAUAUGCUUCUACUUUCAUUAUUAUAUGCUGAAAUGAUGAAGGUACGUCCUUCAUGACCUUCGUCUAAAGAUCAUUGAAUCCUAAAGGAGAUAAUGCUUCGAAGGACGAAGGUCUUUAACCAUUGACAUUCUGUGUUGCCUUGUUCUUAAUUCAUAGCAUUUGAGAACAAGUCCCCAACAUUGGCGCCCACCUCUGGUGAACUCAUUCGACCACCUUCGGCAAGCUGUGACCUUCGUCAUGCCGCCGAAGAAAGCUUCGUCAGGACCAGGGGCUGCACUGCAGCCACUAGACGUCAACCAGGACACUCUACACGAAGCCAGAACUCAGAAAAGGAAGGCUACUAGUCCGACACCACAGGAGGAAGAGUUGGACUAAGAGAUCAGGGACCUCGAAGCUAUUCACCAACAGGUCCAGAGGAAAAGGGAGAAGAUGCUUCGUCUCGCCGAUCUACAGAAGAAGAUCGAUGAGGCCGCUGAAGAAAUGUGUCAUCUCACUCAAGAUGACCAGGACCCAAGGCCUCAACACUGGGAGCUUCGUCAAGAUGGCUCAUUCAACGAAGAUGAGUGGUACGAUGACUUUCAUCAUGGUAACUUUACUUUUGAUGAUGUUUCUCCCCUGGCAGCAGAAUUGCAGGCUAUCCCAUGGCCACAAUCCUACAAGCCACCCUAGUUGCCCAUCUAUGAUGGGCACUCAGACCGAAAGCAAUUCUUCAUGAGCUAUGAGGCAACAAUAUCCUCAUAUGCAGGCAAUGCUGCUGUCAUGGCAAUGUCCUUCGUCAUGGCAGUCCAAGUUUGGCUCAGACAUGGUACUCUUCUCUCCGGCCAGGGACAAUCACAUCAUGGUAGAAGCUUAAGGACAUGUUGGUUACAAGUUUUCAAGAUUUUCAGUCGAAGCCAGUUACCGCUCAGGCCUUGUUCCAGUGCACACAAGACCAUGAGGAGUACCUUCAGGCGUAUGUCCGAAGGUUCUUGCGUCUGAGAGCACAAGCGCCAACGGUGCCCAAUGAAAUCGUCAUUGAGACCAUGAUCAAGGGUCUUCGGCCAGGACCUACGGCUCAAUACUUUGCCAGGAAACCCACUUAGACUCUGGAGAAGCUGCUUCAAAAAAUGGAUGAGUACAUCCAGGCCGAUAAUGAUUUUCGCCAAAGAAGGGAGGAAGCUUUCAGGUUUUCUGAGAUGACUAGGGGCUUCGGAGGAAGAAUCCACCCUAGGCAUGUUAGAUCAAUUCACAACUCUAGUUAGAGUCAUGACAAAGGAAGCCAGUUCCAAAGGCUACAACACAGCUCAUAGUCUUCAGGGCAGUAGCAAAGCUCCUUCCGGCCACCAGCUCCAAGGAGCAGAGGUGGUAGGGGCUUCGGAGGAAGAUAUGGGGAUCAGCCCAGGAAAAUUUAUUGCUUAUUCUGUGGUGAAUACAAGGGCCACACUACAAGAACGUGCCAGAUUACCAUUUAGAAGCAAAAAGAGAUUGCCGAAACAGAAGCCCGACAGAACCAGACGAAGCAGGUUUUACAUACUGCUUCGUGCUACUCUCCCUACAUACCAGAAUAUGUGGGCAAUCAACCUGCAGCUUCUGUUGCUUCGGCAAGCCAUUCACAAGCUUCCUAGCCUCAGCUUCCACUGCCACCACCAUUACCACCUACUCAUACCCAAAGCCAGCAGCCAGGAGGGUGCCAGCACCCCCAACAGCAACGCGAUUUCAGGGAGGAGUCCGAAGCUCGUACAGUUAACAGCACUGUACCAGAAUCGAAGCACAUAUACUGAGGAAUAUCCUACUUCUGAAGUACUUUUAUCUUUUAUGCCAUUUUACUUUUUGUACGAGAAACAAGUAAUGAAAAACUCAGUUUCAAUUUCUUGUAAUAAUUCUGCCUACAUCAGAAUGAAACAUAUCUUCUUCAUAAAUUUAUGAAGCUUGAAAGACGAAUCUUAAAGGAACGAAAUAGUUUUCGAAGCUCAAAAGUCGUUCCUAUGGGAGUUGAAAGCCGAAAUUGAUGAAGCUACAAAAAGUCGUUCCUAAGGGAGCGCAGCGUAAGUUUUCUGCUCAAAAGUCGUUCCUAAGGGAAUGUAGAGCCAAAAUUGACGAAGCUAUAAAAAGUCAUUCCUAAGGGAGCACAGCGUAAGUUUUCUGCUCAAAAGUCGUUCCAAAGGGAAUGCAAAGCCAAAUACCGCCGAAAUAUAAGGCGAAGAAGUUCAAAAGUCGUUCCUAAGGGGAUGCAGAACUUAUAUCGCCAAAAUAUAAGGCGAAAAAGUUCAAAGUCAUUCCUAAGGGGAUGCAGAACUUAUACCACCAAAAUAGAAGGUGAAGAAGCUCAAAAGUCAUUCGUAAGGGGAUGCAGAGCUUAGACUCAACAGAUGUUCCUAAGGGGAUGCAGUCUUCUGUGUACUAGUGUGGGCGUAUGUGUGGGUGUUAAAGCAUCAUCAUAUUGCAUCAUAUCAUCUCAUCAUCCAUCAUAGCAUCACAUCAUACAUCAUACCGCAUCAACAGAAAGACCGGAUACGAAGCAAACCCUUGGAAAUACUUCGAUUGAAUGAAAAUAUGCUAAGGCACGAAGCAAGCUUCGGGUGACAAUUCUAUCAGAUCUGCCCUAUAAGGGGUUUCCUUGUUUACGAAGCAUGAAAAGAAGGGAAGGUGUUUUUCCGCUGAAGGCUCAAAAAGCGGUAUGUGUGUACUUUUCAUGCAUCGCAAAGAAAUAAAUUACAACAAUUUACAUAUUCGAUUCAAUGUUACAUACACCAAAUGUUAUAUAGUUUUGUUACAGUAGAAGCUUAAUCUUCCUUUCAUUGUUCCAUACAUCAAGCAUUUCAAAAUAUUAUUACAAUAAAAUCUAUUCUUAUCUAAGGACUUUUUCUGCAACUUCGUUCAAAAGCUUAUCGACGACUUCAUCGAUAAUGGAGUUAGCCAUGCUUAUAAUAUCCAGUGCUUCCUUCAUUUCUGGACCAGCUAGGGGAUUGUAAGGCUCCGAUGGCGGGGAUAGUUCAGCUGAAGUAGGUAAACUGAUUAGUCCGAAGCCGCAAAGCAAGUACCGAAACCAAAAAAUCAAAAAAACAAUACCUAUACGUCUCUCGCGUUCAACAGCCUCUUCAACUCGCUUUGCUUCUGCCCGGGCGUCGUGGGUGUCUUUUUCAUUUUUCUUUAUAAUUUCGCUGGCUAGCUCUCGGCCACCGUUCACCCAGACAUCGGAAUAAAACUUCCCGCCCAUUAAGGUUGCUUCGGCUGAAGGAUCCUUCGUAUCAACUAUGGAGAAGGCAGCUUUGGCCUGGGCUAAAGCCUUAACAUGAUCACAUCCGGCCUUCUCCAGAAUAGCUGCGAUUCCUCGAGCGCCGGAGAAAACACAAAUAUCCCCGUGAUCAUCCAAUAUUUCAUCGAAAGCUUCGGCUUCUCCACUUAUCCAUUCAACAACGCCCUCGGGGUCACCCCAGAUAAAAUUUUCUUCAGAAGAGUAGGCGCCCAAUUUGGCGAAGCUAGUUUUUAAUUUCUUCAUGUAAUCCAAGGAUUUCUCAAAACACUUUUCCUUGGAUUUGCGAAGUUCUUCGACAUUUUUAUCUAGCUUAUUUUUCCAGUAUUCACUGAUCUCUUGGUUAGCCUGUGCGAGCGCGCACAUCUCAUUAGCUUCGGCCAGUUGUCUCCGAAGGUCUUCAACCUCAGCUUUUUGGGCUUCGGCCUGAGCAUUGUAUUUAGUUUCGUCUUCUUUUAUUUUAUUCACCAAUGAAGUUAAAAACUUGUCUUUCUCUAGAUCUUCAUUUCUUAGCUCAAUCACCUCUAAGCGAAGGUUGUUGAGAUCUAUUGUACAACCUUCGUCUUUGGCGCUUUUUUGUGCCCUCAAGGCAUUACUAAUAAUUAAGCCCUGCAAGAAAAAGAAAUAAUUAAGUAUAGCAAUGAAAUGUUUCAUUUCCAAACUUUAAAAAUUAACUUCUAUACCUUUAUACUGUUAUAUGCAAGGCUAUCAGCAAGAUCAUUCUUCGACAUAGCCGAAAGGCCUUCUUCAAGCUUUGGAAAUCCCAUACUUUUUGCUAUCUCCCGGCAAACGGAUAUUUCUGUGUUGUACGGGAGACAGUACAUGAGAUCAUCUUCAUUAGUACCAUUAAACACUAAGGCCCCCUUCGGAUAUUUUAGUUUUUGGGCAUAGUGUCUGGCUUCCAAGACUUCUUCUUUGGAUAAUUUUUUCCCCGAAGCAUGUCGAAAAAUAUAAUCAACAUCUUCGACUGAAGCUUCGGGGGCAGAAGAUUUUGCUUUUUCUGUCAUACAUUGCCCUGCUGCCAUGUCGGUAUCUGAAGUUUGUUGAUCAGUCUUGUCCUCAGGCACGACAACCUUCGUCUUAAUGGGCACUGUAGGCUCAGCUUCGGCUUCAACCGGCCCUUAGCAAUUUCGAUAACUUUCUUAAUAGGAGCAGGGGUCAAGGGCCUUGUAGACUCCAUAACAGCAUCUAGCAUGCUGGCCGUCCUCCUCCUCUUGGGAGUUGCAGCACGAGCUUUUUGCAUCUUCGGCAAAUUUGCCUCUGCUAAUGGGCUCAGAAUUUCUGGCAUUUUUACUGUUUUUCCACCUGUGGCUCUUCGGCCUUAUCAUCCUUAGCUUCGGCUGGCCCGACUGUAGGCACCUUCAGCAUUACAAUCGGCUCUUCAACGCUUUGCACAAUCGGAGUAGCUUGUCUUGCUUCGGCAGUUGAAGAGGCCCCUUCACCAAAUUCAGGCACUACGGCCGGUUCAAUAUAUCAUGCCCGGUGGGUCAGAACCUUCACUUUUUUGCCCUUCGGCACAGAUGUGGUGGCCGAAGCGACAGUCUUUCUCUUUUUUCCUUGCCCUCGUAGCGAUAGUCAGGGUAUACGAAGCCAAUCGCAUCAAAUACCCUAUUCAAUCUUUUCUUCCCCCGGCCCCCAAAGGCUGCGGACAAGGCAUCAUCUUCAGCCCUGGAAUAUGUCCCCAGCAGCUCGUCACUGGUAGCUUCAAUACAUUUCAACCAGUCAUCAUCUGGCUCAUCAAACUUCUCCAUAAAUCUGAAGGUAUACUUCAAUCGGACUAGGCCACCUUCACUAGUUUCGGCAGCAGUAUCCUUCGGCAUUUCCCAGUUCUCCACAAGUGGCCAUACCCUAAAGGCUAUGUGCUCUUGAAUUAAAUCGCUCGUGCCAAUGAUGGCGCACACAGUACUAAAGUCCUUCUGACAUGCUUCAACAUCGCUAUCAAUAUCCACCUUCGGCCUUCGGAGGCCGAAGAGAGACCAGAUGGGGCACUGGACAAUUUCCUUGAUGUCUUCUCUUUUAAUUAAAUCAUUUUUAACGUAAAACCACUCCUCCAUCCAGGCCCUGGGCCAUCUUUUUCGGAAUGUUGGCACCGGGUGGCUUGCAUUAGAAAGGGCAAUGAACCCGUAACAACCAAAGUUGUUGUGGUAUUGUUCUUUGCCGAUAGCCUUCGUCUCAUAUAAAAGCUCAUGCAUGUUGCAGAAGCACUUCGCGCUCGGCUCCAGCCCCUAGCUACUUACAGCCCAGACAAAUAUCCCCAUUCUGAUUAUAGCUUUGGGGGUAAUCUGAUGGAGAAAGAUUUGGAAUAUCUUUAAUACCUCGACCACAAAUUUACUAAGCGGGAACCGAAGGCCUGCCUUCAAGAAGCUUUGGUAUAUAAGAACUUCGUUUUCCUCUGGAGCAGGGGCAGUACCGUCUCCUCCAAUUCUGACAAUAGACAUGUCACAAAAAUAUCUCCCCCUCAUGGCGUCAAUAUGACUUUGCUUGAUAGUCGAUUUUCUGAAGAUAGUAUGGCUUGGCUGCCACGACCGAUCCUCAGAAUCUUCAUCCCCACUCUCUAUGUCAUAACUAUCACUGUCAUCAGAAUCUUUAGACAAACCCUCCAUGAUUUCCUUAGUAAUUUUCUCAGUAUUCGUUUUGGCCAUCGACUCAUAAAACCCAGCGAUGAAAGGAUCCGCAACCUUCUUCUCUUCAUACAGCUUCUUCUCCUCGGUUAUUUUCUUCUCUUCAGUCAUCUUCUUCUCCCCACUCAUCUUCUUCUCCUCAAAUUUGGACCAAGCACGCCUUUAAGCUGAAGCUCUAAAAGCUCGAGAAUCAGACGAGAACUAUUGAGCAAGAGCUAGAAAUCUGAGAAAAUAACGCGAAAAGCAGAAAUAGCGUAUCAAAUGUUGAUGCUGUGGGUUCAUAUUUAUACGCCUAGUGCUUUGCAACUUGGCGGGCCCCGUCUGUCAUUGACUGUCGCUAUUCUAGCGAAGGGAAGGUGUUUUUUGGACCUUCGGCUUAAGGCCUUCGUUCACAUCGCUGUCUAAAUUCGUUGUUAUGACAAAUUAAUACUGCGAGGGACUACUGUUGGGGGCCUUCUUCUUCCGAAGGUCCUCAAAAACACGACUAACAUGUUUCCCAAGUAUAAUAUAUGUACAGGAACCUUCGGGGGAUGAAAUUAUACAUGAUAUGAAGAGCGCAGUUCGAGAGAAGGAUGAACCAGUGCCGAAGCUGCCCGUGAAGAAGCUUUGGCUUAGCGAUGGAAAAAGAAACCGACUUAAAGGGAGAAAGGAUGUCUAAUCCUCGAUAGGUUUCCCUAAGUCAGUAGUAGAUGUCGAGGGCAUGGAUGUAACUCUACACAGGUUGCGUCCUGUGCCUAUAAAUAGAUGAACAGUGACAUCGUACUGUUCACGCUGACUUGUAUUCACUCGCACGUCAUACCUAGAUUUAUGCCUUCUGUCAAGCCGAAGGUAUAAACACAAUUCAAUAUUGUUCAUGUUUAUUCAUGAUAAUAUAAUAAAAAUGUCCUGAUGUUGUCAUAUGAUUAUUCAUGUUACUUUUUCAUGUUUCAUAUGCUUCAACUUCAUUAUUAUAUGCUGAAAUGAUGAAGGUACGUCCUUCAUGACCUUCGUCUAAAGAUCAUUAUAUCCUAAAGGAGAUAAUGCUUCGAAGGACGAAGGUCUUUAACCAUGACAUUCUUUGUUGCCUUGUUCUUAAUUCAUAGCAUUUGAUAACAAGUCCCCAACACUGAGCUUGGCAUAGAGUUGAUGCGCUCUGAGUCUUCCGAGGAUAAUCCAGAGGUGAUGCUCAUGAUCCUCACGACUCUUGGAGUAGACAAGGAUGUCGUCAAUAAAGACUACAACAAACUUAUCCAACUCUUUCAUAAACACCUUAUUCAUAAGAUUCAUGAAGAAGGCAGGUGCGUUGGUUAGUCCAAAGGGCAUUACUGUAAAUUCGUACUGACCAUGCCGGGUGACAAAUGAUGUCUUCUGAAUGUUAGCUUCCUUGAUUCUCAACUGGUCAUAUCCUGACCUUAGAUCAAUCUUGGAGAAAUACUUGGCCCCUUGAAGUUGGUCAAAAAGGUCAUCAAUCCAGGGUAGUGGAUACUUGUUCUUGAUUGUAACCUCAUUUAAGGAUCGGUAAUCAAUGCACAUUCUCAUGCUCCCAUCCUUCUUGGUGACAAACAAUACUGGUGCUCCCCAAGGAGAUGAACUAGGACGAAUAUACCCUUUCUGUUGAAGUUCUGCGAUUUGAAGCUUUAGCUCUGCCAAUUCUGUGGGAGCCAUGCGGUAUGGUCUCUUUGUGAUUGGUGCGAUGCCUGGGAGGAGAUCAAUGUAGAAUUCUACCUCUCUUUCCAGAGGCAUUCCUAACAACUCUUCCGGAAACACAUCCAUGAAUUCUUCUAUCAAAGAUAUACUUUCUGCUGCUAGGCUAAACACCAUUGGAUCUUGGGUUGGUGGCUGAACUUUACACGAAACUGAUUUUCUUUGGUGGUCAGUAAGAAGAAUAGUCUUAUCCAUGCAGCUUAUGAUGCCAUUGUGCUUGGUCAAUCAAUCCAUUCCUAGGAUCACCUCAAUUCUGUGGUAUUGUAGUACGGCUAAGUCCGCCAAGAAUACUACCCCACUUAAAAGAAUUCUGACUUGGGAGCAUUUGAGGUGGCAUAGAAGGUCUGACCCUAGGGUUCGGGUGACCAAGGGGAUUUCUAAAGAUGCAGUGGGAAUGCCAUGCUUUUCCACAAAACUAGUGGCGAUGAAAUAAUGGGAUGCUCCAGAAUCAAAAAGUACAGCAGCGGUGGUAAAUUCAACUAGGAACUCACCGAGCACUACUCCAGGGGCUUGUUGAGCUUCUUGGGCUUCGACGUGAUUCACUCGAGCCCUACCGUGAAACUUGGUCUUUCUUAGCUGGCUGUUGGUGGAGGGUGCCUUGGAGGCGGGUGCUGAAAGAUUCUUGGGGCCAUUCACUGAGUUGGAGUAGGCAGGUACGGAUGUCUUCAAUUGAGGACAAUUAUUCUUGUAGUGACUGGGGUCUCCAUAGUGCCAACAAGCAUUGGUUGGAGGUUGGCUGCUUGCAACAGAUGGAGUGUGGAGGGAAGUUUGACCAGGCUGGUUGAAACGUGAUGGAGCGGACCCUGUUGGCUUGCUGAAGUUUGACCCUUUGGGAGGGAAUCCAACAGAUCGAACUCUCUGGUGCCUGUCCUACUGCUAAGCUCGGAGGACUUGAAAUUUUCUCUUGAGGUGACCUUUUUCUUCUUCUCGUGCUCUUUCCACCUGGAUGGCCUUGUUCGAGAGGUGCGAGAAACUGAGGAAGUAUUGGCUGGCAAGGAUGGUCUUGUGGCGGAAUCGCACGAAUUAUUCUAGCUUAAGUGCCCAAGUCACGCCUUAGAGGCAGCAACACACUUAAAUCGGAAUAGUCCGUCAGUCCCUCAGAUCUAGUCUGAUAAAGCCACUUCCCCGGGAUCAAAUACCACUAGCUCACUCGAAGGUGAGUCAUAGAGUGAAAACAAUAAAGCAGGAAACCACAAAUUAAAGUACUAGAGCUAUUACAUAAAUCAGAGUUUUUAAGCAAAUGGAAACAAGUUCAUAAUUUAAAAUGCAGUGUAUAGUCGAUAACAUCGAAGGCUGAGGAACAGGGCAAGGCCUAGCCCACUACUCCUCCUGCUCCUCUCCUGCCGGAGUAGCAUCCCAUUCGACUGUCCAACCCGGUGGCAGGGUGGAAGGCAAAGUCACACCAUAAACCAUGUCCUAAAGCAUACCUGCAAAAAUUGUGCCACAAGCAAGGCUGAGUAUACUAAUACUCUGCUAGACUUACCUGGUGUGAGGAGUCUACUCCUCUACCUCUAGACCAUGGAGCUGUUUGGCUGAGGGGUUUAGUUUGCCAAAAGCACUAGCUGAGUCUAAAAUUAAUUUUAGUUUUUCCAGUUCUAGCAUCAUUAAUUUAACUAAGUUCGAUCCUUCUAAGCAUACAUGGUAGCAAUCUUUAGUACAAUCAACAUGUUAUCUCAAGUAAAACCUCAUUUCACUUCUUACUCAAUGCAGUACAAGGGGUCAAGCAGUCUUGUUAGCUGUGAGAAGCAGAAGAUCCGAAUCGAGUUUUUAAACCUUGCAAGGUAAACCUAAACACACGACAUGUAGGGGCACUUCGUCCCCACACAUAUCAAUCGUCCACAUCGAUUCCUCGUUCGCGGCCAGGGCUCACCGCCUUGGCAUAUAAUGCUCCACUGACCCCGGCUGCCGCCAUGCAGUGACCGCACUUGUACCACCAUAGCUAGCAUGGGAGACCCAGUCUCAGGACAAGUGAGGGGGAAAGUCCACGCCCGGCUUCACUCAGGUACUAGGUUUACCGGUUACCAUAUUUCUCGACAUGUGUUUAGUACUUUCAAACACUUGACUUAGGUAUCCAUACAUUAAUCCUUAAUUCCAUUUCCGUCUCAUGGACAAGGCAUCCACCCUAGAUCCAAGUCCAUAGACCAUCCUAGAUCCCGUUAUCAAGAUGAAUACAUUCAAUUCCUGACCUCGCGUGAGUGCUAGAAAAUCACUCGACUUCUACCGAGAUCCUAAUUAGCAAAGUAGCUACUCGACCUAGCAUACUAGUAUCCAUCUCAAAAAGGAAUCCUGAGUUCAUGCAACUAAGGGUUUCAAGCAACUCUUACACUUAAGUGCACAUUACAAGCCUACAAACAUUAAGUGUAGUAAAGUAGCAUAUAUAAAUUGGUUAUGCAUAAAACACGGGCUUGCCUUCAAAUGCUGGGGCUGCGGGGAGAUCCUAUGUGGGAGGCUCGGGAGUUGGCUCCUGGUCUUCCUCGUGGAUAGCUCCUUACUCGGGAAUGAGAACGUACUCUUUGUCAGCGAGGUUGCAAUCUAAUGAAUGCAAUGAGUGAGAUAUAUGUAUGCCAUGAUAUGCAAUGUGGUAGUAAUAGGAAUGAUUAAAUUGAUGAAGUAAGUUUCAAUCUUACUAUGGGAAUUCUAGUGGUAUACUUAGCCAAUUUAGGGUCAAGUAUGGUUAAGGUAAAUGGUGAGAUUAUUUUAGUGAUCCCCUGAUUUCCUUUUAGUGUCUUAGUGAAAGUUUAUUAUGAUCCUUGCUGAAUUCAUUGGGGUGAGAUUCAUUAUCCUUACUAAUUCUCUCUUCUCUUUUUCUCUUAUGCUUUUAAGGUGGGCUUGAACUACAAUAUAGCUUUAUAAAUUCCCAAAUAUUCUGUAAAAAAUACAGUAGCUUCUCACUGGCGUAUAACUCUCAGUCUCAAAAAUGUAGGCUUAAAAUGUCAAGGGUUCUCUCUAUACAAAAAUAUUAAGUUUUAGGGUAGACAGGGUGCUUUGAACUACAACUCUCUUCUAAUAGUAGAUUAUUCUCUAAGGCUUAUUUUUGCUGGCAUGUAGGUGCAAUAAUAUGAUUUUGUACCAAGUUUUAGCCACUGAUACCUAUUGGUCAUUUUACUGUGAUUUUCUAAAGUUUUUGGCCAAAGGGGUGCUUUCUACUACCAUUAUACUUGAAAAAUGUCAAACAACAGAUUUCUAAUUUUUUUCGUAUCUUCUUCUUUGUGUAAGAGCAAUCAUUCUAGAAUUUGGCAACUUUUUGCUUAGGGGAGAGGGUGGUAGAAAUUCUUGGAAUAUAUGGUCUUUUUCAUGGGGUAGGGGGUAAUGUGUGUUACCUUGCAUUUUUACUUGAGUUUUAUAUUUUUCUCUGGUGGUUUACCUCAUAAGUAAUUGGGUGAAAAUUUGUUUGCCCACUGUUGCACAAUUUUAGGCUUCCUCAUGAUUUAAUUAGAACAUGGGCCAAAUCCAAGUUUUAAUUGUUCAACUCAUUUAUUGUGAUGGGUUGGGGUGUCUAUUAUUUUUGUAGUGGUGUUCUAGCAGUUAGGAGUCUACUGAAAUUUCUUUACCAUUUUUGCAGUGGUUCUUAUAUUUUUAAUCAUGUUCCCCUUGUUUUCUUAGUGCCUAAUAAAAUAAUAAACCUUGGAUUAGCUCUAGACUAGGGUUCUCUGUAUUUUUCCUACGUUCUUCAUCAUUUAAGUAUACUAGGAAAAAUAUGUUCAUCCUCUGUUUAUUAUUUUCCAUUGCCUUUCUUAAUUUUCUAAGUUUUGGACAGAAUUAGUUUUUCAUGGAUAAUCUUGAGUUAUUCUUGUAUACUGGGAUACUUAGUAUUUUUAAACAAUGUGUAUGUUGGGUAUGUAUCUCUACAAAUUUUCUUAAGCCUAGUAUAGAAGUAUUUCUAUUUUUCUCUAAAUUAAUAAGGUUUGGGCAGUUUCCUUAUUUAAUUCAAAACUCUAAAAUUUAGUACAGAAAAUAUGGGGUUCAGUAUUUUUGUCUGAUAGUUCAUAAUGUCUGGAAUCUAGCAAAAUUGGUUUGACUAAUUUUGGAUGAGUAUUUCUCAAGUUAUGCAUUUAAUUGAUUUACUGCUGAUUUAAGGAAUUUGAAAUUAGAAUUGAAAAGGAAAUCCACUUUGAUCUGGGGUCCCUGUCAUUUUCUUCCUAGUUUUCCUUACAAACAGGCCCUCGGGUUCCUAUUGCACUGAGUCUCUGACAGCGCAGAAAACCCCCUGGGGUAACCAUAAAUCUAACCCGCGAUCCUUCCUUUAUUUAAACAGUGCCCGCGGCGGAGGAAAGGGCGGAGGGGCUUACCGGCGGCGAGAUAGCUCCGGUGAGGUGUCUAGGGAGGUCAGGGAGGUGACCGUGGUCACGUCAAGGUGCGGGUCAGCGUCAGAGAUGGCCAGAGUCGGCGGGUCCUCGUGCGCAGGCGGGGGAGUUCGUCGGCGGUGAGUGUUCCGGCCUGCUCACGGCGAGAUAGAUCAAUUGGUUGGCUCGGCAAGCUUUACCAAGGGACGCAGAGGCGGUAUACGGGAGGAAUUGGAAAAUGGCGCAGUGACUUACCCGGUCCACGUUCGCUGGUGAGCGGAAGAAGUCCGGCGAGGGUGAUUCGGGGUUUCCGGUGAGGUUGCGCUGGGUUUGAGGGCUCGAGGAGAUUCACGGGCCUCUGGCAAAGCUAAUCGAACUGCUUGCGUAGAAUGGGAGCGGCUGGGUGAGCUGACCACGGUGGCCCAAGCCAUGAUUCCAUGUUUUUCAUGGUCUUUUUACCAAUUUCCCCUUUUUCACUUAAUUGGCUUAAUUAGGGUUAUUCUAGGGUUUGGGUAUUUUCCUCACUUUGAGGUGCAUGAUAUGGUUAAGGUGUGAUCCUUGAGAUGAAAAAGACUUAAUUAAAUCUUUGCUCCUCAAGUUUGGUGUCUUUUGCUCAAUUUGAUUCACAUGAGAUAAUGGCCUUGAUGUUUACUGAAAAGAAACCCUAAGUAACACCUGGGUGUUACAACCUUCCCCCUUAAAGGAAUCUUGUCCCGAGAUUCGAGUCGGAGUCCUCCAGGGUGAAGAGAAGGUGUUGGGGACUUGUUCUCAAAUGCUAUGAAUCAAGAACAAGGCAACAUAAAAUGUUAAAUAUCAAAGCCCUUUGUCCUUCAAAUCAUUAUUUCCCUUCGGAUAUAACGAAUCUAGGACGAAGGUCUUGAAGGACAUACCUUCAAGAUCAUGAUAAAAGAUGGAGAACAUUCAUACAAAAUACAGAAAGUAACAUAAUUUCUGUAAACAUUAUUAUUAAUCUAUUUCCAUUUAUAUUACUUAUGUAAACAAUGGUAAAUUACAAAUGUACCUUCGGCUUGAAGGAAUAAGAAUACAGGCGUGACGCAAAAGUGAAUGCCAAGUCAGCGUGAACAGUACGGGAGUACUGUUGACCUAUUUAUAGGCACAGGUCACAGCCCAUGCAAAAUUACAUUGAUGCCCUUUACAUUUAUCAAUAACUCUAUAGUAAUUCUUCGAGGUCUAAUUUGGCUUUUCAUCUUUAAGUCGGUUUCCCCUUCCCGCUGUUAUGCCGAAGCUCUUCUGCACAUAGCUUCGCGAUCGUCUUAUCCUUCGUCGUGAUUGCCGUCCCAGUUUAGCUUCGUCUUAACCAUGCUCUUGUAUGCUCGCAAUCUGACUUCGAAGGUACCUGUUCACAUAUUUUUCUUGGAAAACAUAGUCAAAUUACAUUUUUGAGGACCUUCGGAAGCUGAAGGCCCCCAACAGUAGCCCCUCGCAAUAUUAAUUUGCUGUAAAGAUAAGUUUAUAUUGCGAUAUGGACGAAGGCUAUGGGCCGAAGGUCCGAAAAAACACCUUCCUUUUGCUAGAAUAGCAACAGUCAUUGACAAGAGGGACCCUCCAGUUUUCGACAUACUGGGUGUAUAAAUAAGAACUCAUCCCGAGUUUAUUUGGCACGCUCUCUUGCCAACUGUUCUUGCUCAACCAUCUUUUAGCCUGCGCGCGACAACACUUGCUUGGUUUUUUAAAAUUUUAAGCUUCGGUUUCGGGAGUACUUUCUCAGCGCUUGCGGAGAUGUCUGAAGAUAAGAAAGCCGUUGCUGAGACGAAGCUGAGCCUUUCUGAGGAGAUGCAUCUCGGCUUUCUUCAGUCAAUAGCAAAGACCAAUACGGAGAAGAUCACUAGGGAAACCUUGGAGGGUUUAUCUGAAGAUACAGGUGACAGUGACAGUUAUGAUGUAGAAAGUGGGGGUGAAAACUCCAAAGAUCGACCGUGGCGACCAAGUCACACAGUCUUCGGCAAGUCGAGCAUUAAGCAGAGUCAUCUUGAUACCAUGAAGGGAAGGUAUUUUCGAGACAUGUCUAUUGUGAGGGCGGAUAUUGGGGAUAAAAUUGUGCCUACUCCCGAAGAAGAUGAAGUCGUGGUAUUCCGAAGCUUCUUGAAAGCUGGACUAAGAUUUCCCUUAAGCAGUUUUGUUGUGGAAUUACUGAAGGUUUUUGAAGUCUACCUUCACCAACUCACUCCUGAAUCAAUCAUAAGGAUGAAUAUCUUCGUGUGGGCCACGAGAAGCCAAGGCUUGGAACCUGAUGCAAAAAGUUUCUGCAACAUACAUGAAUUGUUAUACGAGACAAAACCCUGGGGUAAGGAACAGUAUCAUAACAACUUUGGCUGCUACAGCUUCGGCUCCCGAUCUGGGUCAAGCUGCCCAGUGCCGACCUUUCAAAAGAGAUGGCCUAGCGACUGGAUGACGGAAUGGUUUUACGUGAAGAAUGACUUGAAAUCACGAGAAGAUAUAAAGAAGAUUAUUAUGUGUCCUAUCUGGCAACGCUUCGGCCUAUGGAGGCCGAAGGUGGAAAUGAAUGAAGCAGCCGAAGAAUGCCAGAGAGCCUUCGGAGUUGUUUGCUCUUUUAUUGGGACGAGGGAUUUGGUCCAAGAGCACAUUGCCUUCAGAGUAUGGCCGCUUGUGGAAAAAUGGGAAAUGCCGUAGGAGACCAUUAAAGAGACUGACGAAGGUGGACUAGUCAGGCUGAAGUACACAUUUAAGUUCAGAGAUAAGUUUGUUGAGCCAGAUGACGACUGGCUAAGAAGCAUUGAAACUGUAAGUGAUGAAUUGCUUGGGGUAUAUUCGAAGGCCGAAGACACUGCAUUGUCAGCGGCCUUCGGAGGCCGAAAAAAGAAAAGACUCAACCGAGUAUUUGAUGCAAUUGGUUUUGUCUACCCCGACUACCGCUAUCCAGCGCGGGGGCAAAAAAGAAAAGGCACAACUUCUGCGAAAGAAACUGCUUCAGCCGCUCCUAGCGAGCCAGCGCCGAAGAGAAAAAGGGUAAAGGUGCUCACACACCGGCCACGCUAUAUUGAACCAGCCACGGUGCCUGAGUUCGCCGGUGAGACCUCUUCGGCCACCGAAGCUAAAGAACCAACCCUGCUGCCAGAAAUCAAAGAGUUGGCCGGAUUGCCAGUAACAGAAAAGAUGGAAGAACCAAGGACUGAAGAAGCAAAGACAUCAGCUGAGGGAGUAAAAAUAUCAGAAAUUUUAAGUCCUUCAGGAGAAAUUGAAGUAGCAGAAAUUAAAAAGGGGCCAACAGUGACCCCGAAAAGAAAAAGAAUGGUUAAUGUGUUAGAUGUUUUGGAGACAAUUAAAUCUUCAAGCAUAACUCCAAAGAAGACCGCUGAAACUUCUGAAGCGUCUGCUGAAGCAUCUGUUGUUGAAGCUUCGAAGCAACAUACUAGAACUAAAGCCGGGCCUUCAGAGCCAACCAAGGUAAAACCUUUGGAAACAGAAGAAACGGAAAUUGCAAAGGCAACCGAAAAAAUGAAAAUGUCAGAGCCAAUUUUGGUUGAAGAAAUUGAUACUGCUGCCCCCGAAGCACCUUCCAGAAUAUACGAUUAUAUCGUUCGACAUGCUUCGGGGAAAAAAUUAUCCGAAGAAGAAGUUUUUGAAGCUAAUCACUAUGCAAAAGAAUUGAAAUAUCCGAAGGGGGCACUAGUGUUCAAUGGGACAAACAAAGAUGACUUCCUAUACUGCCUCCCAGACAACAAAGAAUUAUCCGUCUGUCGGGAGAUGGCUAGAAGUAUGGGGUUUCCGAAGCUUGAAGCUGGACUCUGUGCUAUGACGAAGGAUGAUCUUGCAGAUAGUCUUGCAUAUAAUAGCCUGAAGGUAUGAGAACUGGUGUUUGGAAAUUUUAUAAUUUGCAAAUCAUUAUUUUAUUCUUAUACCAACUCUUUUUCAAAUAGGGUUUAAUACUAAGCAACACGUUGAGAGCGCAAAAGAAUGCCGAAGACGAGAGCUAUGAUAUUGCUUUCAACAACCUACGAUCAGAGGUUAUUAAGCUGAGAAACGAAGCUCUGGAAAAGGAUAAAAUUCUACUUACAUUGGUGGACGAGAUAAAAGAGGACGAAGCUGCCUCAAAGGCCCAGGCUGAAGCCCAGAAACGCGAAAUUAAAGAUCUUCAGAAAUAGCUAGCUAGAGCUAAAGAAGAAGGUAUACUUGAAGAGACAAAACAAGAGCUUAGUGAUCAAUGGGCCGAUCAUUUAGAAAUAAAUGUUAAAGAGCUUCGUGCAUCCCAGAGAAGAUGCUAUGUCAAAUCCAUAGAGUGUGUUAAGAAGAUAAAAUCUAGCUUCGCCAAUGUUGGCGCAUUCUCUAGCGAAGAGAAUUUCUCAAGGGGCAAUCCCGAAGGUCCGAUUGAAUGGAUCAGUCACGAAGCUGAGGCCUUCGAGGAAAUAAUGAAUAGCCGCGGAGACAUAUGUGCUUUUUCGGGUGCUAGAGGAAUUGCUACUGUUUUGGAGGGGAAAGGUUGCGAGCAUGUAAAAUCCUUAGCGCAAUCCGAAGCUACUUUGUCCUCCGAAGACAUUAAAGACCCCUCAGCCGAAGCAAGCAUGAUCGGCGGAAAAUUUUUCACCGAUAUUUGGGACAACGGUGGACGAGAAAUGGCUCAAGAAAUUAUUCAAAAGAGCGAAAAAGGCAUUCACGAUGCUAGAAAAAUAACAGAGGCUGCUGAGAAAAGUACAGAGCCCGAAGGGCAAAUAGGUACUAAUUAGUGAUAAUUGGCUUUUCGCUGUAAUCUUUUGAUUUUGAACUUGUUCACGGCUUGUAAUAAUAUAUCCGUACCUUUUCUUUUCUCAGAACCUGCUGAGCUAGCCCUAAGCCCUCAGACAAAGGGGGAUGACAAAAUUAGACAAAUGGCAGAAGCCAUCAUGGAUAGAGUUGUUGAUCAACUUUUAAAUGAAGCUGCAGAAGUAGUCUUAAAAGAAGAUUAAAUGCUACUGUAAAAAACAUUUAGUUUGUAAUAUUUGUCAAAAAUCGUGUAACAUUGUGUAACAUAUUAGCUGUUUAUAACUCCAUUUUUGACGAUGCAUGAAACAUCAUACACAUACCAUUUUUGAGCCUUAGGCGAAAAAACACCUUCCCUUCUUUUCAUGCUUCGUAAAAAUCAAUAAUCAAUCCUUGUAAAAUCAAUAACCAAUAGAUCCUUUCAUUUCGGUAAUUGAUGAAGGUAUAACUCUUCAGCGGCUAUUUCUUGUGCCUUGUCAGUAAUUCUUUAAAACCAUCUUCGGCCAUCAAUAUCAAAACCCUCCCUUCUUGCAUUGUUGAUGCACUAUGAUGUAUGAUGUUAUGCUAUGCGAAUGAUGUAAAUGAUGUAAUGUUGUGCAAAAUGAUAUCUGCCGAAGAUUGAUGAAAUCAACGUUUAUUUUUCGUUGUAAGCCUCCCUUAGGAGCUUCUUCGCCUUUUACUUCAGCGGAAUCAGCAUUUAUUUUUCGCUGUAAGCCUCCCUUAGGAGCUUCUUCGCCUUUUACUUUCAGCGGAAUCAGCGUUUAUUUUUCGCUGUAAGCCUCCCUUAGGAGCUUCUUCGCCUUUUACUUUCAGCGGAAUCAGCGCUUAUUUUUCGCUGUAGGCUCAGAAAACUUACACUGCGCUCCCUUAGGAACGGCUUUUUGUCGCUUCGAAUAAAUUGUACUUUGUUCCUUAGAACAAGUUUUUGACAACUUUAAAAAUCCUGCUUGCCAACAUAAAUUCUCAUGCUUCAGUAGCUUAGGCCUAUGGAGAAGAUAUAUUUUUAUUACAGAAAAAAGCGAAACUAUUACAAAAAAUUGAAAGGCGAUAAAAGACAUUAAAACUACCCUUAAUUGUUCCUUAUUAAAAAGAAAGUAAUAGUGAAUAUGAAAAUGCGAAAGAGCUGCUGCUGAGGUAGGAUAUUUGUCAGUAAAUGUGCUUCGACUCUGGCACAGUGCUAUUGACUGUGCGAGCUUCGGACUCCUCUCUGAAGUCCCGCUGAAGGUUGACGCGCUGACUCCCUUCUGGCUGCUGACCUCUUUGUGUUGGUGGUGGCGGUGGAGGCUGCUGCCAAGAUGCUUGGGGUUGGCUUGCCGAAGCAACAGAAGCUGCAGGGUGGUUGCCUACAUAUUCUGGAAUAUAAGGCGAAUGAUACGAAGCAAUAUGCAUGACCUGCUUCGGCUGACUUUGUUGCGCUGCUGCUUCUGCUUUCUCCUUCUGCUUCUAGAUGGUAACGUGGCACAUCCUGGUGGUAUGGCCCUUGUCUUCACCACAGAAUAGGCAGUAAAUUUUUCUUGGCUGAUCUCCAAACCUUCCCCCGAAGCCCCUGGCGCCUCUGCCCCUUGGCGCUGACGGCCGAAAAGAACUUUGCUGCUGCCCCGAAGCUUGUGAAGAGUAUUGUGGCCUUUGCUGCUGGCUCCCUCGAUCAUCACUUUGAGUAGAGUUAUGAAUUGACCUAACGUGCCUCGGGUGAAAUCUUCCUCCGAAGCCCCUGGUCAUUUCAGAGAACCUGAAUGCUUCCUCCCUUCUUUGGCGGAAGUCAUUGUCAGCUCGAAUGUAUUCGUCCAUCUUCUGGAGCAGCUUCUCCAACGUUUGUGGUGGCUUCCUAGCAAAGUACUGCGCUGAAGGUCCCGGCCGAAGCCCCUUAAUCAUGGCCUCAAUGACAAUUUCAUUGGGCACUAUUGGCGCCUGUGCCCUCAGACGCAGAAACCUUCGGACAUACGCCUGAAGGUAUUCUUCGUGAUCCUGAGUACACUGGAAUAGAGCCUGGGCGGUGACUGGCUUUGUCUGAAAUCCUUGGAAGCUGGUUAUCAACAUAUCCUUCAGCUUUUGCCAUGAGGUGAUUGUCCCUGGCCGCAGAGAAGAGUACCAAGUCUGAGCGACACUCUUGACGGCCAUGACAAAAGACUUUGCCAUGACUGCCGUAUUGCCACCAUACGAAGAUAUGGUUGCCUCAUAGCUCAUCAAGAAUUGCUUCGGGUCUGAAUGACCGUCAUACAUGGGGAGCUGAGGUGGCUUGUAAGACUGGGGCCAUGGUGUAGCCUGUAAUUCUGUUUACAAAGGAGAAGCAUCAUCAAAAGCAAAAUUUCCAUGAUGGAAAUCUUCAUACCAGUCUUCCUCAUUGUAGAAACCCUCCUGAUGGAGCUCCCUGCGCUGAGGCCUUCGGCUCUGGUCAUCUUGAACAAGAUGACGAACCUCUUCCGACGCUUCGUCUAUCUGCCUCUGAAGGUCAGCUAGACGGGCCAUCUUCUCCUUCUUCCGUUGAACCUGUUGCUGAAGCAUUUCCAGGUUUUGGAUUUCCUGGUCCAAAUCGUCCUCCGGAGGCGGUGGACUGGUAGCCUUCCUCUUUUGACUUCGGGCCUCCCUGAGAGAAAGGACGUCCUGAUUGGGAUCCAGCGGCUGUAGAGUACCAGCCCCUGUCGCUGAAGCUUUUUUCGGCGGCAUGACGAAGGUGAUGCUUGCCGAAAGUGUUCAAAACUCAAAAAAUGGAAGUGAGUUCACCGGAGGUGGGCGCCAAUGUUGGGGACUUGUUCUCAAAUGCUAUGAAUCAAGAACAAGGCAACAUAAAAUGUUAAAUAUCAAAGCCCUUCGUCCUUCAAAUCAUUAUUUCCCUUCGGAUAUAACGAAUCUAGGACGAAGGUCUUGAAGGACAUACCUUCAAGAUCAUGAUAAAAGAUGGAGAACAUUCAUACAAAAUACAGAAAAUAACAUAAUUUCUGUAAACAUUAUUAUUAAUCUAUUUCCAUUUAUAUUACUUAUGUAAACAAUGGUAAAUUACAAAUGUACCUUCGGCUUGAAGGAAUGAGAAUACAGACGUGACGCAAAAGUGAAUGCCAAGUCAGCGUGAACAGUACGGGAGUACUGUUGACCUAUUUAUAGGCACGGGUCACAGCCCAUGCAAAAUUACAUUGAUGCCCUUUACAUUUAUCAAUAACUCUAUAGUAAUUCUUCGAGGUCUAAUUUGGCUUUUCAUCUUUAAGUCGGUUUCCCCUUCCCGCCGUUAUGCCGAAGCUCUUCUGCACAUAGCUUCGCGAUCAUCUUAUCCUUCGUCGUGAUUGCCGUCCCAGUUUAGCUUCGUAUUAACCAUGCUCUUGUAUGCUCGCAAUCUGACUUCGAAGGUACCUGUUCACAUAUUUUUCUUGGAAAACAUAGUCAAAUUACAUUUUUGAGGACCUUCGAAAGCCGAAGGCCCCCAACAGAAGGUUAUGGCUUGCUUGAAUUUUGUGGGUUCGUUUAUUAAGGUCCUUGUCACACCUGGUUUUAGAAGGCAAACCGAAUGCGAACCAUGUACGUGCCAGGAUCAGCAAUUCACGUACACAAAAGUUACAUAACUGGACAUCAUCACACAGUGCUCAAAUAAUGACAUAAAAGAGGGUAUAAUAGUCAAUUACAUCAUGAUGUCCGAGACAUCCACAUAUUCUUUAACAACAAUCAAAGCGUGAAAAAGAAACGUAGAUACACACGGCCUACACAGGCAGCCGACUGGGGGUUUGCCGCUAACCCACGCCUAGAACUCAUCGUACGCUUGGAACUCCAGGAAGUCCUCCUCCACGACUUCAUCUUCACCUGAGCAGUGGUUGCAACGCUGACAACCUGGGGGGGGGGGGGGGGUUGGUGUGUAAAGCAAGGGUGAGUACACAUCAACAUACUCAGCAAAAUGUCCCGUUUGGCUGUAGUGGACUAGCUUUAUGUGGAGUUAAGUCAAGCAGUUGCUUUUAGUUGGUCAGGUUAUUAUUUACUAGUAGAAAGCCAGGUUUUAGCAUUAACCCACGUUGUUAACCCGAUGUAUCCUUUCCAAACGGAAAGAAUACCACUUACCAGUACCAUAGUCAUAAUCAUAACCAUCAUCCUCAUCACCACCUGUAAACCAAACAUCUCUGAUCAAGUAUCUCUAAUCAAUGGAGCUCCCUUGGCCACUCAUAACCGCGAGCAUGGCUGGUAUAUCAGUUUCAUAACACUCUGCAGAGGUUGCGCACUUUACCCACAAACCGUGAUUCCCUCUUGCCUCGGGCCGAUCAAAUCCUUAAACACUACCAAGGUGAAUAGGCAAGGUCUCACUAUGUAGCCUUUACAAAGAUUUCCUGGGGCUGUAGCCGCCCGUUAGGUUUCCUAAAUGCACCGAACUCUUCCCCAAGGGGCGAACCAACCUUGGCAGAGCGAGCCGCAUACACCGAGCCCCAUUAACGGCACGACGGCGAAGCGAACUACACCCCAGUUCCUCUAAUUACUCAGCUAAGGGCGUCCCACUCCACCCUCAUGGUUGCACUGUUUUCCCGAGCGGUCAUCCAACGAACAGGUCCUUACGGAGAGGCACUCGAGAAACAGCUUGAGUCCCCUUAAGGGCCACAAGUACCAUCAUCAUAAACAAAAGGGAAAACAACGUAUCAUAGAUAAUCUCAUCAUGUUCAUUGAUUAAUGUGAAGCGCUAGCAUAAUGCUAAACUGAAAUAACCCAACCAAAAUAGGUAAACAAGGACAAGAUAGACAAAAGCUAGUCAAUCCUUAGGUAUAAAUGUGUAAAUGCGGGAAGUGAAUUAUAAGGAUUAAUAGGACAUAGAUGGGUCAAGGGACACUUGCCUUCACCAACCAGCUGCUGCUCAGGGUCUUCACCUACAACUCCUUCGGACCCCGCCAACUGACCGUUAUCUAUACGAGUUCAAACAUACAUUCCACACAUUUAAUACAAAAGAACAGUACACUAUACAAUGGAAUGCAAUAAAUAAACAGACGUUCGACGCAGGGCUCACACUUACGACUAAGCGAGAAAGAGAAAGUAACGGUCGAGGCUACGGUCGAAGAGCGAUCACGUCACACGAUUAUAAAUUAAAACACUCAUUUAAACAGAAUGGUAUUAAUUUAGCCAUUAUGUUAAGCAUAAGGUAAAGUCAUGUUCCAUAUUUAAUUAUAUGAACAGAUUAAGAUAGAUUAAAAGGAUUGUCGCGCGGCGAGACACGCGACACAACACUUAAAUUGAAUUAAUAAAUAAACGACUCGUCGCGCGACGGAGCGCGCAACGAGACACUUGCACUUAAUUAUAAAGAGACGUUAAGCAUCGCGCGACGAAAUGCACGACGGCAUACGUCAACUGAACUGAAUUUUAAACAAAAUGUCGCGCGACGAAGCUCGUGACCCAGAUCACUAAUAAAGAUGAAUUUAAAAUGAAUCGUCGCGUGACGAAGCGCGCGACACAGCACAUCGACUAAACUAAAAUUGAAAAGGGGUAAAGCUGAAAGUCGAACGCCGCACAACUACAAUUGCGAGCGCGAAUACGCUGUGCGCGCACCGGGGGCACGCGAGGCCACGCCGGAGCAUGCGACAGCGCCGCGCAGGGCGCACGGUUGUCGAAACGCGAGGCACGGGGCUGUGCGGGACGCGGCGCGGGGCCGAGCGCGCGGAACGCGGACGCCGGGGCACGGGGCCGUGGGGCCAGACGCGCGGGACGCGGGCGCGGGGGCGAGCCGCAGGGAGCGCACGGGGCCGCGGGCGAGCAGGGCCGCCGGGCGCGAGGCCGCGGGGCGAGCGAGGCCGCCGGGGGGCACGGGCGCGGGGCCGCGAGGCCGGGCGAGCCGCCGGGGGAGGGGAGCACGCGGGGGCAGGGGGGUCGCCGGGGAGGGCACGCGAGCCGCCGGGGAGGGGCGUGGGGCUCGCGGGCGCGGGGGGCCGAGCGCCGGGGCGCGGGGAGGGGCACAGGGCGAGCUGCCGCCAGAACGAGGGCGCGUAGGGACCACGGGCUAGGCCGCCACCGUCGGAACGCGGGCGCGUAGGGUCCACGGGCGAGGCCGCCGCCUCCACCGCCGGGGAGCGGAGGGGCAUGGGGGCUGCGGGCGCGGGGGCCGCAGGCGAGGCCGCCGGGGCGGGGAGGGGUGCGGGGCGAGCUGCCGCCAGGGCGCGGACGUGCGAGGCCGUGGGCGCACGGGCGCGCAGGGGACGCGCGCAUGUGAAAAGGAAGGGGAGGGGGAGCAGGAGAGGGAGAGGGAGAGGGGAGCUCACCUCGGGGUCCAAAUCCGGUGAUCACCGUCUCCAAAACCUAGGGCACCACGGGGAGAGAGAGAGAGAUGGGACAGAAAGAGGUUACUGUGCGGGAGAAAUCAAAUGAGAGAAAGAGACCAAGGGAGGGGGGCGCAUGGGGUGGGCACGAGCGCUAGGGGCGCGUGGGCCGAGCUGGGCCACGCUAGGUCGGGCUGGGCUGGGCCGCACCGCGGGUCAAAACCCCGUGGCACGCACAACCACAGAUCGGAAUUCAAUCCGCGAAGCAAAAUCCGAAAUGGAACUAAGCAACGCACGCGAUUAAGCACGAAAUCAGACAAAGAAAUAUGAUUCGGCAUGAUGUAACACUCAUGUCAACUUACGUUUUGUUUACACUCGAUCUGGACACUAGUCGCUAUACUGCUUUGAAAUUGGGAAGAAGGAGCGAAACAGGAAUAGAAAAGAGAGUAACGCCUGAAUUUGGGGAGUAAAAAGAAGAAAAAAUUCUACCCCCAAAUUCAGGGCGUUACAAACCUAUCCCCCUUAAAAGAAUCUCGCCCUCGAGAUUCAAGGUUGGCUAGCAAAGAGUUCAGGAUACUUGGCCAUCAAAUCAUCUUCACGCUCCCAGGUUGCUUCUUCCUUAGAGUGGUGACUCCAUCUGACUUUGCACAUUCUGAUAGUCUUCCUCCGGGUGACUCUGUCUGCAGUCUCAAGAAUCUGCGCUGGCUUCUCUAUAUAGGUCAAGUCCUCCUGGACCUCCAGACCUUCCACUGGCAACUGCUCUUCUGGCACACACAGACACUUCUUCAACUGAGACACAUGAAAGACAUCAUGCACUGCAGACAAGCCUUCUGGCAUACUGAGCUGAUAGGCCACUUCUCCACGCCUUGCGAGAAUCUGAUACGGACCAACAUAGCGGGGCGCUAGCUUGCCUCUGACUCCGAAUCUUCUGACUCCUCUUAUCGGUGACACUUUCAAAUAGACGAAGUCUCCGACUUCGAAACUCAGCUCUCUUCUUCUCGUGUCUUCAUAGCUUCGCUGCCUUGAUUGCGCUAUCUUCAGGUUCUCCUGAACCAUCUUGAUGUUCUCUUCAGAUUUGAGCAGAAUGUCUGGCCCGAACACUUGCUUUUCUCCAGGCUAAUCCCAUCGCAACGGAGUUCUGCAACUUCUCCCAUAAAGCGCCUAAAAUGGUGACAUCUUCAAGCUGGACUGGUAACUGUUGUUAUAGGAGAACUCUGCAUAAGGUAAUCUCUUGUCCCACCCGGACUGAUCUUGCAACGCACAAGCUCUCAACAUAUCUUCGAGGAUUUGAUUAGUUCUUUCGGUCUGACCAUCUGUCUGUGGAUGAUAAGCUAAACUGAAAUUCAGAUGUGUACCCAAGGCUUCAUGCAACUGCUGCCAGAAAUGAGAGGUGAACUGUGUUGCUCUGUAUGACGCUAUCUUCUUUGGCACACCAUGAAGACAAACGAUCCGGGACAUGUACAACUCUUCCAAUGCAGCACUGCUGUAGUUGGUCUUGACAGGUAUGAAGUGGGCUGACUUGGUUAAGUGGUCCACUACUACCCAAAUGGAAUCGUAGCCGGCUCGAGUGCGAGGCAAUUCGACUAUGAAGUCUAUUCCGAUUUCAUCCCAUUUCCACUGAGGAAUUCACAACGGUUGGAACAAUCUAGCUGGCCUCUGAUGUUCUGCAAUGAUCCUUUGACAACUAUCACAUAUAGCCACAUGCUCUGCGAUCUCCCUUUUCAUUCCGUACCACCAGAAUUUCUUCUUCAGAUCCUGAUACAUCUUCUCACUUCCAGGAUGUAUCGAAUAAGCUGAUUCAUGAGCUUCCUUGAGGAUCAACUCCCGAAUGGACUGGACAUUGGGAACACACAAGCGGACUUUGAACCAUAUCACACCUUCUCCAUCUUCCCGAAAAUCUUUGCCUUUGCCCUCUAGAAUCAGCUGCCGAAUUUCACUGAUCUUCUCAUCAUUCUUCUGUGCUUCUUUGAUUUCUCGCUCUAGGGUAGGCUCUAACUCAACUGUUACUGCUCGCGUAUUGUUCAGAAAUCCGAGGCUCAACCUGUCAAACUCUUUGGCCAGCUCAAAAGGCAUUGGAUGAGCGUCCAUCAGGUUGACUUGACUCUUCCUGCUCAACGCAUCUGCCACUACGUUCGCUUUGCCUGGAUUGUAAUGAAUCUCCAAUUCAUAGUCCUUGAUCAACUCUAACCAUCUUCGUUGCCUCAUAUUCAGCUCUGACUAAGUGAAUAUGUACUUCAGACUCUUGUGGUUUGUGUAAACAUCACAUUUCUGCCCAUACAGAUAGUGCCUCCAUGUCUUCAGUGCAUGAACCACUGCUGCCAACUCUAGGUCAUGGAUUGGAUAAUUCUUCUCAUGAACCUUCAGCUGUCGGGACGAGUAAGCCACAACUCUUCCCUCUUGCAUCAACACACAUCCCAAACCAGUGUAACAAGCAUCGCAAUACAUCGAGAAGGGCUUGUGCACAUCAGGCAAGACUAGGACAGGUGAUGUAGUCAACUUCUCUUUCAGUGCUUCAAAGGCUUCUUGGCAUUUCUGGGUCCACUUGAACUCAACCUUGUUGCCUAGCAAAGCGGUCAUUGGUUUCGCAAUCUUCGAAAACCCUUCGAUGAAUAGCCGAUAAUAUCCGGCCAUUCCAAUAAAGCUCUUGAUUCCUCGAGCAUCUGUUGGCGCUUUCCAGUUCAGAAUGUCUGCCACUUUCUUCGGAUCCACAACCAAUCCAUCUUUGUUAAUUAUCUGACCUAAGAACAGGACUUCAUUGAUCCAAAACUCGCACUUACUCAACUUUGCAUACAACUGGUGCUCUCGCAAUCUCUGCAAACCAUCUUCAAAUGAUUCACAUGCUCUUCUUCACUUUGAGAAUAUAUCAGAAUAUCAUCAAUAAAUACCACCACAAACUUGUCAAGAUAAUCCAUGAAUACACUGUUCAUCAGAUUCAUGAAGAAGGCUAGUGCAUUUGUUAGGCUAAAAGACAUCACAGUGAACUCAUACAACCCAUACUUGAUAAUGAAUGUCGUCUUCAGAAUGUCUGAAGGUCGAAUCUUGAGCUGGUGAUAACCCGACCAUAGAUCUAUCUUUGAGAACAGGCUGGCUCCUCUCAACUGGUCGAACAAAUCUUAUAUUCUGGGCAAGGGGUACUUGUUCUUGAUCGUGACCUCAUUCAGAGCUCGAUAAUCGAUACACAUUCUUCUGGGGCCAUCUUUCUUCUCCACGAAUAGGACAGGGGCGGCCCAAGGUGAGGUGCUUGGUCAGAUGUAACCUUUCUCUGACAGCUCAUCGAUCUGCUUCUUGAGUUCAACUAACUCUGGUCCAGAUACUCUGUAAGCUCUUUUAGAAAUGGGGGCGGUGCCAGGAAGAAGCUCUAUAGCAAACUCAACUUUCCGCUCAGGUGGCAUACCUGGUAAGACUUCCGGAAACACAUCUAGAAAUUCUAACACAACCUUGAUAAUCUCGAGUGGAUAUGCUUCACUGCUAUCAACAGCCAUCUGAUAACAACUUCCUUUCUUUGGCUCAAGCGAGACUAACUCGGUCACCACUUCCUCUCCUAGUGGAGACAUCAACUUGAUUGUCCUCUUAUCACAACUGAUAACUGCUUGAUACUUAUCUAGCCAAUUCAUCCCUAGGAUGACAUCUAUUCCCUGAGUACCCAUUACUAUGAGGUUAGCGGGAAAUGCUAUCCCCCUUAUUUCCACACUUACAUUCAAGCAAAUGCUAUCGGCUCGAAUUCUACCACCGGCUGAGUCAAUUUGGAUGGGGGUUGACAUGGUAGUGAUUGGAAGAUUAUGUGCUUCUACCCAAGAUGUAGUAAUAAAUGAAUGCGAGUCGACUAGAGACAUACCUACUGUCAUGCCGGGGGUUUCCUGAAAUGCUUUAGCCUCCAAGUGAUUCAGUCUCCCAUGAUUAUAGCGUGGCUGAGAGCGGUUGCCUGCUCCAGGCUGAGACACAUUCUGCUUUGCUGGGGCACUGGGCCUGACUGCUGCUGGGCUGCCUUCUUCGGAUAUUGCAUCACCCAAUGGCCUUGCUCUCCACAAUGGAAACAUGCUCUGCUUCCACCUUGAACUGGUGCUGCCUGACUGCUCUGGUUGGUUGCUAGGGCGGGAAGACGAGGUGCUUGCCGAUUCUGCCUCUGGAACUGACCUCCUCCUGACUGAUUGUUCUGGCGAUUUUGCUGCAGGUGCUGGGGGUACUGCCUCUGAAACUACUGCUGCUGAGGUGUACGCUGGUUCUGCCUGAAAUGCUGAGGUGAGUUGCCUGAGAAACGAGGACGAUUGCUGCUUCCAGGCUGAGGUCCACUGAUCUUACGCUUGCGAUCCUCCAUCUCCUUGCGCUUCUUCUCUAUCAUGAUCGCUCUGUCGAUCAGGUGCUGAAAUGUGGGGAAGGUAUGAUUCAUCAGAUGAUACUGUAGAGGGUCGACUAAGCCUCUCAGGAAGCGAUACUGCCUCUUGGCAUCUGUGUUGACAUCCUCAGGAGCAUAGCGAGACAGCUGCAUAAACUUGUCUUGGUACUCACUGACAGACAUAUGCCCUUGCUUGAGUGCCAGGAACUCCUCCUUCUUCACUAUCAUCAGGCCUGCAGGAACAUGGUACUGACGGAAAUUGCCUCUGAAUUCCUCCCAGGUAAUAGUGUAGGGGUUAGCAUGGGUGGCGAAAUAAGACUCCCACCAAGACUUAGCUGCUCCUCUCAACAGACGGGGACCAUACAUAACUUUCUCCCUGUCGUCACACUGAGCGGUGUGCAACUCCCGCUCCAUAGUGCGCAGCCAAUCUUCAGCAUCCAUGGGGUCAGAAGAAUGAGUGAACGUUGGGGGAUGACCUCUCAUGAAUUCAGCACGCUUGUUCCUGGGCAUCUGAGGCAUCUGAGGCUGAGGUGGUGGCUGCUACUGCUGCUGAAUGGCAGCUAGAGUCUGACCGAUGGCUUGAACUGCCUGAGUCUGCAUCAAGAACAUCUACUCGAUCGUCAUCGGGGGCGGGGGUGGCAGUUGCUGUUGAUGGGGUGCCUCAUCCUGCUGAGCUAGCCGCUCCUGCUGAGCACGCCUUCCUCCUCUGCGCCUGUUUUCUGACAUCUGCAUAAUGCAACCACACAUCAGAACUGAUCUUGCAACUUGCAACAUAAGAAAAGAGUAUAGAAUUCUUCCACCAUACUGAACAGAUGAACAUCUUCACUGACUUCCAAUACAAACCAACACAACUUCUCAGAUAAAGAGGAAAGUAGAACAAAAGGGCUUUCCAACUAAGUAACUAAUUUUAUUAAUACUUAACAGGUAAACCAAAGUGCAGGGGAUACCUACACCCUGGCGACAGUCAUUACAAAGAUCCAAAUCCAACAUAGUUCAUCAUGACAAACAUAAAGGCACAGGAUAAGCAAACUACCCUGUCUAACUAAGACUAACUAAGAGUAAGACUGAUGCUAAGACUAUAGCUUCUAUGUAUAUAUUUUCGUAUUAAUUACAAGAUCUUACGCUGAUGAUCUAUGGUUCUAAAUUUAUCUUGGUCCUGCAGUCGGGGUCGCCAUAAGUUUGGUGUCCACGCUAAGGUGAGCGGUACGGGUGCUGAGUCCUGACGGGAGCGGGGGAGCCAUCCUCCAGGUGACGAUGCUCCUCGCGCUCAGCCUGCAGUUGGGCGAUCUCAGCACAAGCCCUACUCAGCUCAUCUAAUGCAUGGUCCAGCUCCAUGUUUAGCACGGCGGCUAGGUUGACUAUGCUGCUCAACCUAGGAUUGUCCUCACCAACAGGUGAGACAACCACGCCUCCUGUGCUGCCAGAUGGACGGUGGGGGUAAUACUUCAGGUUGAGACCGUCAGCAACCCCACCGAGCACUGAGCAGUAGUGUGAAAGCGCACGCCGUGCGACAUCUUGCAUGGCCGCCUUAGCUGAGUCCCGCUCAGAGAUAGAAUAGUGCUCUGAGCAAACCUCCGCACCCUAGAGACUGUUCUCCGGACGGCGCACUAAGCAGGUCGCCUCCCAGCGGUCCGGGUAAACCCCGCGACUGUGCUGGAAGACCACGCAGCGAUACUCGAUAGACCAAGUAUGCCGGUCAAGUGCCCGACGUAGCAGGGUGUCGAGCGCAUCGUGGAAGUGACACCCGCGAGCAGCGUCGCGAGUGAUGGGUCGAGCAACCCAUCCUUCCAACUCCUACUCCUCAGUAAGGUCGGUGUCGUGGCUCGAGCUGCUGUCGCCACCUCCGUCGUCUGGGUCUCCUCCAGCAGCUAUUCCAGCGGCUGGGGCGCUCAGUGGUGGUGCAGGGGGCGCCUCCAGCGGGAGCAUAGGGGAGUAGCUCCUCAUAGACUCUAUGUCCUGCUGAAGCGAGAAAGAAGAGUCCUGCUGCUCCAGCUCCUAUCGUCGACGCUCCUGCUCCUCGUGCAGGCGGUGGUGCAGCCUCUCCAAGUGGCUAGACUGACCAGUCACUGGACGACGAAGCGGACGCUCCGUGAGACGAGAGGGUAAGAAGGGGAUGACAGACUUUCGUGCAGUGUGUCUAAGGCGAGCCAUCUACAGAAGACACCGUAAGCAUAAGAGUGAGAACAUAACUAAUAUGACCAGCAAGUAGACCAUAAAUAAAUGAGGAAUUAGAAUAAAACAAAAUUUUCAGCAAGGUAUAAUAAUAUAUAGUAGAACAUAGUUUUGGUCGAUAUGACCAACUUUUGAAGGGAUAACAAAGUCAAGGUGAUAAUAGGGUCUAUAAUCCUUAGAACGACCAUUCUAUUCUAGGUUAGCGGUCCUAUAGUCAACCUGGCUUUGAUACCACCUAUGUCACACCCGGUUUUAGAAGGCAAACCGAAUGCGAACGAUGUACGUGCCAGGAUCAGCAAUUCACGUACACAACAGUUACAUAACUGGACAUCAUCACAAAGUGCUCAAAUAAUGACAUAAAAGAGGGUUUAAUAGUCGAUUACAUCAUGAUGUCCGAGACAUCCACAUAGUCUUUAACAACAAUCAAAGUGUGGAAAAGAAACGUAGAUACACAUGGCCUACACAGGCAGCCGACUCGGGGUUUGUCGCUAACCCACGCCUAGAACUCAUCGUACGCUUGGAACUCCUGGAAGUCCUCCUCCAUGACUUCAUCUUCACCUGAGCAGAGGUUGCAACGCUGACAACCUGGGGGGGGGGGUUGUUGUGUAAAGCAAGGGUGAGUACACAUCAACAUACUCAGCAAAAUGUCCCGUUUCACUGUAGUGGACUAGCUUUAUGUGGAGUUAAGUCAAGCAGUUGCUUUUAGUUGGUCAGGUUAUUAUUUACUAGUAGAAAGCUAGGUUUUAGCAUUAACCCAUGUUGUUAACCCGAUGUAUCCUUUCCAAACGGAAAGAAUACCACUUACCAGUACCAUAGUCAUAAUCAUAACCAUCAUCCUCAUCACCACCUGUAAACCAAACAUCUCUGAUCAAGUAUCUCUAAUCAAUGUAGCUCCCUUGGCCGCUCAUAACCGCGACCAUGGCUGAUAUAUCAGUUUCAUAACACUCUGUAGAGGUUGCGCACUUUACCCACAAGCCAUGAUUCCCUCUUGCCUCGGGAUGAUCAAACCCUUAAACACUACCAAGGUGAAUAGGCAGGGUCUAACUACGUAGCCUUUACAAAGAUUUCCUGGGGCUGUAGCCGCCCAUUAGGUUUCCUAAAUGCACCGAACUCCUCCCCAAGGGGCGAACCAACCUUGGCAGAGCGAGCCGCAUACACCGAGCCCCAUUAGAGGCACGACGGUGAAGCAAACUACACCAGUUCCUCUAAUUACUCAGCUAAGGGCGUCCCACUCCACCGUCAUGGUUGCACUGUUUUCCCGGGCGGUCAUCCAACGAACAGGUCCUUACGGAGAGGCACUCAAGAAACAGCUCGAGUCCCCUAAAGGUCCACAAGUACCAUCAUCAUAAUCAAAAGGGAAAAUAGCGUACCAUAGAUAAUCUCAUCAUGUUCAUUGAUUAAUGUGAAGCGCUAGCAUAAUGCUAAACUGAAAUAACCCAACCAAAAUAGGUAAACAAGGACAAGAUAGACAAAAGCUAGUCAAUCCUUAGGUAUAAAUGUGUAAAUGCGGGAAGUAAAUUAUAAGGAUUAAUAGGACAUAGAUGGGUCAAGGGACACUUGCCUUCACCAACCAGCUGCUGCUCAGGGUCUUCACCUGCAACUCCUUCGGACUCCGCCAACUGACCGUUAUCUAUACGAGUUCAAACAUACAUUCCACACAUUUAAUACAAAAGAACAGUACACCAUACAAUGGAAUGCAAUAAAUAAACAGACGUUCGACGCAGGGCUCACACUUACGACUUAGCGAGAAAGAGAAAGUAACGGUCGAGACUAUGGUCGAAGAGCGAUCACGUCACACGAUUAUAAUUUAAAACACUCGUUUAAAUAGAAUGGUAUUAAUUUGGCCAUUGCGUUAAGCAUAAGGUAAAGUCAUGUUCCAUAUUUAAUUAUUAUGAACAGAUUAAGAUAGAUUAAAAGGAUUCUCGCGUGGCGAGACGCGCGACACAGCACUUAAAUUGAAUUAAGAAAUAAACGACUCAUCACGCGACGGAGCGCGCAACGAGACACUUACACUUAAUUAUAAAGAGACGUUAAGCGUCGCGUGACGAAACGCACGACGGCAUACGUCAACUGAACUGAAUUUUAAACAAAACGUCGCGCGACGAAGCGCGCGACACAGAUCAUUAAUAAAGAUGAAUUUAAAAUGAAUUGUCGCGCGACGAAGCGUGCGACACAACACAUCGACUAAACUAAAAUUGAAAAAGGAGUAAAGCUGAAAGUCGAACGCCGCGCAACUGCAGUUGCUCGUGCGAAUACGCAGUGCGCGCACCGGGGGCACGCGAGGCCACGCUGGGGCACGCGACAGGGCCACCUGGGCGCACGGCUGCCGGGACACGAGGCACGGGGGCGCGUGGGACGCGGCGCGGGGCCGAGCGCGCGAAACGCGGACGCCGGGGCACGGGGCCACGGGGUCGGGCGCGCGAGACGUGGGCACGGGUGCGAGCCGCAGUGGGCAGGUGGGGCCGCGGGCGCGCGGGGCUAUGGGCGAGCAGGACCGUCAAGCGCGAGGCCGCGAGGCCGGGCGAGCCGCUGGGUGAGGGGAGCGCGCGGGGGCAGGGGGUCACCGAGGAGGGCGUGCGAGCCGCCGGGGAGGGCACGGCCGCUAGGGAGGGGCGCGACGGGGCGUGGGGCGAGCCGCCGCCGCCGGAACACGGGCGCGCAGGGGCCAUGGGCGUGGGGGCCGCAGGCGAGGCCGCCACCGCCGGGGCACGAAGGGGCGUGGGGGCCGCGGGCGCUGGGGCCGCAGGCGAUGCCGACGGGGCGAGCCGCCGCCAGGGAGCGGACGCGCGGGCGCACAGGGGACGUGCAGGGAACGCGCACAGGGGAAAAGGAAGGGGAGGGGGAGGAGGAGAGAGAGAGGGAGAGGGAGAGGGAGAGGGGAGGGGAGCUCACCUCGGGGUCCAAAUCCGGCGAUCACCGUCUCCAAAACCUAGGGCACCACGGGGAGAGAGAGAUGGGAGAGAGAGAGGUUACUGCGCGGGAGAAAUCAAAUGGGAGAAAGAGACCAGGGGAGGGGGUGCGCAUGGGGGCCAGGGGCGCGCGGGCCGAGCUGGGCCACGCCAGGUCGGGCUGGGCUGGGUCGGGUCAGGCUGGGCUGGGCCGCACCGCGGGUCAAAACCCCGUGGCACGCACAACCACAGAUCGGAAUUCAAUCUGCGAAGCAAAAUCCGAAACGGAACUAAGCAACGCACGCGAUUAAGCACGAAAUCAGACAAAAAAAUAUGAUUCGGCAUGAUGCAACACUCAUGUCAACUUAGAUUUUGUUUACACUCGAUCUGGACACCAGUCACUAUACUGCUUCGAAAUUGGGAAGAAGGAGCGAAAUAGGAAAAGAAAAGAGAGUAACGCCUGAAUUUGGUGAGUAAAAAGAAGAAAAAAUUCUACCUCCAAAUUCAGGGCGUUAUAGCCCUCUAGUAGACUGCUCUUCGAAUGUCACCCUCUUUGCAACUUCAAAAGGAAGUCCUUUUUGGUUUAGUUUUACAACUAACUCAUUUUAUGUUAAGGUCAUUCUUCUUACAUUUAGAUUCAAAGGGCGGGGGAGGGGCUGGGUAUGGUUACGUACUGAUUCCCUUAGGUAGACAAUCGGGGAAGUUCGAACGUAGAAAUUCCUCAGUCUCCCAAGUAGCUUCUUCCUCUGAGUGAUUGCUCCAUUGGAUCUUAUACAUUUUGAUCGACUUAGCUCGAGUUGAUCUUUAUUUGCAAUCCAGAACCUUGGAAGGGUACUCUUGAUAUGAUAGAUCUGGCUCUAUCUCUACUUCUGGUUCUGUCAUGAUCUCGGUUGGCAAUCGAACACAUUUCUUCAAUUGGGAUACAUGGAACACAUUGUGGAUGGCAGACAUUUUUGGAGGUAGCUUCAAUUUGUAUGCCACAGGUCCACAUGUUCACACCCGGUUUUGGAAGGUAAACCGAAUGCGAACCAUGUACAUGCCAGGAUCAGAACUCACGUACUCAGCGAUUACAUAAUUGGACAUCAUCACACAAUGCUCGAAUUAGAUAACGGAAGGGUACUUAAUUACAUCAAGAUGUUCAAGACAUCCACAGAGUCUAAUACAUAUCCAUAGUGUUUAACAUUAACAUAAAAGUGCGGAGUAACGAAACGUAGAAGAUAAGCCUACACAGGCAGCUGACUAGGGGUUUGCCACUAAAGUAAACUAGAACUCGUCGUAGUCCUGGAACUCCUCAAAGUCCUCCAUGUUGCCAACAUCUCCUCCUGAGCAAUGAGUACAGUGGGGACAACCUGGGGUGGGGUGGUUUGUAAAGCAUGGGUGAGUACACAUCAACAUACUCAGCAAAUGUCCCGUUUGGCAAAAGUGGACUAGCUGUAUGUGGAGUUAAGGUUAAGCAUUUUCUUUUAGUUGGUCAAGUUUUAUUACUAUAAGUAGAGCCAAAUUUUAGUAAUAACCUAGUUAUUAUCCAGAGGCACUCCUUCCAAGAGGAAAUACCGGAGAUCAGAUUUAUAACCAUCAUUGUUAUACAUCAUCAUAAAAGUAACCAAAGUUCUUCUAAUCAAAGAGGAUCCCAAGGCUACUCUUAACCGUGAGCACAGCUGAUAUACCAGUUUCUAACACUCUGCAGAGGUCGCACACUUUACCCACAAGCCGUGAUUCCCAUGUUGCCCGGGGUUCUAGCCUCCCCACUGAUCACUACCAAGGUGACCUAGCAGGGUCUCACUAUGUAGCCUUUACAAAGAUUUCCCAGAGGUCAUAGUCGCCCGUUAGGUUUCUCAAGUUUGAUAAACAUAGUACAUCCCCCCAGAGGAAGGGUGACUAACAAAACCAAAUCAAAGAACCUUUAUGUUGGGGACUUGUUCUCAAAUGCUAUGAGUUAAGAACAAGGCAACACAAAAUGUUAAUGAUUAAUGCCCUUCGUCCUUCGAAACAUUAUUUCCUUUAGGAUAUAAUGAUCUUGAGACGAAGGUCAUGAAGGACGUACCUUCAUCAUCGUAGUAUAUGUUAAUGAAAGAAGAAGAAUAUGAAAUACGAGAGACGACAUGGAUAAUCAUAUGACAUUAUUCAUAUAUUCGUAUAUUUCUAUUAUGUCAUCAUGAAUGAACGUGAACAAUAUUGAAUUACAUUUGUACCUCUGGCUUGACAGAAGGCAAGGCGUGACGCAUGAGCGAGUACAAGUCAGCGUGAACAGUACGGGGGUACUGUUCACCUAUUUAUAGGCACGGGACGUAGCCCGGUUAAAAUUACAAUUAUGUCCUUGAUAACUAGUUACAAUCAUGACACAAAUUAUCAUGGACUGAUCGGUCAUUUCCUCUUUAAGUCGGUGCAGCCCUUCAUCUCAAGGCGUGCCACUAUGCCGAAGCUCCUUGGAUAGUAGCUUCGAUGUGUACCUUCGCGAUGUGUUUGAUUAUACGCUGAUCUUUCGAAGGUGUUUCUUCUUAAAUGACCUUCGGCAACGAAGCAGGCCCCCAACAGUAGCCCCUUCGCGGUGCUAGAUCAUUUUUCGUAACGAGCUUGAUCCGUGAAAAAUUUUCAAGGCUUCGGAAUUCCGAAAGUCUGAAAAACACCUUCCCUGAGCUCGUUGCCGAGAAACGAUUAAAGUAUUUCGGGCGAGAGGUGGGCCACCACGCAGCGGGGUAGUGGUCCACCGUUCAGCGGGUGCGGGUGACUGUUCGGCGGGUGCGGGCGACUUGGCGAUUCACCUUCCCACCUGCAGCACUAUAUAAACAGACGAGUAGGUGUGUAGUUACCACAACAUUCAUUGCCAUUGCACUGUUAUGCUGUUGAAAAAUUUAACCAUAGCCGAAGCUUUUUCACCGCAUUCUCAAGUGAACUGUCACUUUAAAUUAGCUUCGUCAAAAGAGGGAGCAUCGUCAAAACUGUAAAAAACAUCAGCUUAGUAAAAACCACAAAAAGAUCCAUCAGAUGGCUAGAGUACGCGCGACUGCGAGGGUGACCCGUGAAGGAGAAGAGACUGAGGCUACCGAGACAGCUCCGAUUUCCGAAGUCAUGAGACAAUCGGGCUUAGUUGUGACGGAGGGAGCCAUUGAAGAAGGUGCACCUACUGCCAAAGCUGAACAAGAUGAUGUUGAGGAAGAAAAUGUUGAUGAAGAAUAAGAGGAUUAUAGCAUUAUGAUCCCAUCAAAACCUAGCAACUUGGAUUUUGAAAAAUCUACUGUAUCUAAAGCCGACGUGCCCAUGAUGAUGAAACUGGGCUACUUCGAAGAAGCUGAAAAGAAGCUUAUUCGCUUUACCGGAGAAGAAACCACUCCAACACCGAAGGAUGACGAAGUAGUAGUUUUGAAAAGCUUUUUCAGAGCAGGAUUACGGUUUCCGCUGAAAGAGAUGAUUGGAGAAGUUAUGGAUAAUUAUGAAAUCUAUCUUCAUCAGCUGACCCCUAACGCUAUCGUUAGGCUCAGCAUCUUCAUCUGGGCCCUUCGAAGCCAAGGAAUGGACCCAAAUGCUGAAGCUUUCUGCCGAGUGCAUGAAUUGCAUUACCAAACGAAGGCCAGAGAAGACGGGCUACAUGAAAAUUUCGGUUAUUAUAACUUCACGUAUCGCAAGGAUACGAAGGCUUCGGUCCUCAGCUAUCACACCAAGUGGCCAACUGGCUGGAAGAGUGAGUGGUUUUAUAUUAAGGCUGAUGAGAAGAAAAGAGGGAAACUAAUGACGAUGGUGAUGAGCCCACUGUCCUUAAGCUUCAGGAUGACCAGACCCUUGUGCAACAUGAAGCCAGGGUCAGCAUGUCCGCUGGCCAUAGCAGAAUUCAGAGUGGUGGCUGAACAAAUCAACACUAGGGAUCUAGUGCAAGAAUACCUGGCCAACAGGGUAUCUCCAACGUUGAAUGGAUGAAGUAUGCCGAAGCUAAAAUGAACAAAGAAGAAGAAUGAACUUGUUCGAUUACCCUAUCAUUUCAAGUUUGAGAAACAGUUCAAAGAGCCCUGCCAAGAAUGGCUGGAGAUGAUUGAGACUGUGUGUAAUGAGAUCUUAGGCAAAUACCAGAAAAGAAGAUCAACUAAUGACUGCAGCCUUCGGCACCUGACCAAAAUGAAGGUUGAAUCGGGUAAUGGACGCUUUAAACUUUGAAUACCCUGAUUAUGAGCGACUCAGCAAGGGUGCCGAAGGGACAAAGAGAAAAAGGGUUGUCAGUGUUCUGAGCAGGCAAGCUGCUAGAAUGUUGAAAGAGGACGAAAAAUCUCUGAAGAAGAGAAAACCAAGUCCUGAACCGAAGGUGGCGACUUCGAAGAAGAGACAGGCUGCAACUUCGGAGCCGAAGGUAGCUGAGAUAGAAGAGGAAACUCCUUCAACGCCUUCUGCUGCUGAAGUAGAAGAAAUUUUAAAGGUAAUGACUGAAUCCUUACCUAUCAAGCUGCUAAGUCCUUUGGGGCCGCAUCUGACGAAGCUUUUAUAGAAGAAGGACGAGCCUUCGACAACAAAAAAGGCGGUGAGCCUAAAAAGCGAAGAAUUGUUACUGUUAUGCAAGCUAUUGAGGAAACACCGUUGCAAGCCUCAGCAUCAAAGAUGACACCAGCUGCUGAAGCAGAUACUUCUACCGAAGCUGGGGCCACCGAAGCUACUAAUCUGGAGAGUACAUUAUCUGCUAUUAAUAAUGUGCUCUUGGAUUUGGCCGCAGAGGAGACUGCUGUGGCUACAGAAGAAGCCCUGACCGUAGUGCCUGAGAAAGGGAAAGAAAUUGCUGAAGAUACUUCGGAAGAAAAAGGCUUCAGCUUUCAAAAUCUAGUUGGUCAAGAAUUAUCCAAGGCCGAGAAGGAGGAGCUGCAGGAGUAUGCUAUAUCCUGUGGCUACCAACCCGGAGCCAUGCUCUUUGGUGGAAUCAACGAAGAAGCCUUAGGAUGCAUUCGAGACCGCACCGGUGUGAAGAUUAUCAGCGCUCUAUCGAAGAGUGUUGGUUUUUUGAAGCUUGAAGCUGACAUUAGCAGCUAUCGACGACAACAUAUUUUCGACAGCUUAUUCUAUUCUAAUUUUAAGGUAAAGUUUUUUCCUUAGCUUUUUAAUCUUUUGUGAUGAAGCAAAGAUUUCUGAUGAAGGCUAUUUUGCACAGAGUAUGCUGCUAAGCAAAACCCUGAGAAUGCAACAAGACCUCGAAGAUAAGAAGAAUGAGGUUAUAAUCGAGGGCUUGGAAAAUAAAAUCAAAGAUCAUGAAGCUUCUCUAGGAAAGAAAGACUUCCUUCUUCAGACAAUGGAGGGUUCAUUGGCAGAAGCCCAAGACGAAGUUGCUAGAUUAAAUGACGAACUCCUCCGAAAAUUAGAAAACUUUGAGCAAGAAAGGAAAAGUUUUGAUGCAAGGCUUGGAGCCGAAGUCGAAAAAAAUUCAAAAUUGCAAGAAUCCCUAAAAGAGCUUCGGAAUGCUUGCUUAAACUUCGGCAACCGCUGCGUGCAACGGCUAAGGCAGGUCUUUAACUCAGUGGGAGCCAGCUCUGAGAAAUUUGAACCCUCGGUUGAAGACUUGCCCAGCACCUUCGAGCAUAUUGAAAGCGAAGUUGAGGCGCUUGACGAAGUUAUAGCUGGGCACGGCGACUUCUGUGCCCUGCUAGCUUCUCGCGGCACAGCUGUAGCUUUUAUGAAGGUUGGUUGCACGCACAGAAAGAUUGUAAACAGGCCGAACUUCAGUCUAUCAACAGCGGACUUAGCUGAUAUCCCCAGCCUAGCCCGAAGUAUUGGGAAUAGAUUUAUAACACAAAUUUGGAUGAAGGGUGGGCGGGACUUAUCUGGUGACGAAGCUCGAAGUCAUCUUAAGCCGGUAUUAAACUUGUACAUGUUGCUUACCUUCUCCUGAGAUUACUUUUUACCUUAUACUGCUUUGUUGUGUAUAGGAUGACGAUGCCGAAGGUCAAUAAUCCAAAGCUUGACGGAGACUGAUGAAGCCGCUGCACAAAGCUUUAGAGACAUUUGAAUUAUCUUUGUAAAAGAUAUUGUAAUUUAGAAAUCAAACUUUACUCUGUAAAUUUGUCCAUACCUUGUAAUAUAUUUUUACCUUUUCAUCCGUGUGUGAAUUGCUUUGAUGUGGUUGAAACUUGUAUUUUUUGAGCCGAAGGCGAAAAACACCUUCCCUUCUUUUCGUACACAAUGAAGCAUAUCUUUGCUUCUUUAUACUCAUCGAAGCAUUGUCAUCGAAGUCGAAGCAUCUGUUUGUACUCUAUGUUAUGAUGAUGAUGAUCCUACGAAUGUCUACAUGAAUGUGUAUGAAUGCAAUGAAUGAUGUGAUGUAAUGUGCAAAUGAAUGUCCAAACACACGCACACGAAGCCACACCCAUACUUCGCAUCCCCUUAAGAACGUCUUUUGAGUCUUAAGCUCUGCAUCCCCUUAGGAACGUAUUUUGAGCUUCUUCACCUUCUAUUUCGGUGGUAUAAGUUCUGCAUCCCCUUAGAAACGUCUUUUGAACUUCUUCGCCUUCUAUUUCGGCGAUAUAAGUUCUGCAUCCCCUUAGGAACGACUUUUGAACUUCUUCUCCUUAUAUUUCGGUGGUAUUUGGCUCUGCAUUCCCUUAGGAAUGACUUUUGAGCAGAAAACUUACGCUGCGCUCCCUUAGGAACGACUUUUUGUGGCUUCGUCGUGCUCUGCAUCCCCUUGGGGACGACUUUUGAGCUUUUCCCUGCUUUUCCUCUUUUUUCCUCUGCACUCGAUGGUGCAUGCUCAGAUUUUACAUUUUACAUCCUUUUGGGGGAUUUGGCUCUCGUGGAGCUAAAUAAGAAAGGAAAAAUUACAAGCUAUGGCCUACAAGCUAUGGCCCCAUUAAAAACCUUUCUCCCCCUUUAGAAAGGAAAAGGGUGCCAUAGAAAAAAUGAAAAAAGAUUGCAUCAAAUUACACAUAAUAUCGCCGAAGCUCAUCCGCAUUCCAAGAUCUGGGUAUUGUCGUUGUCGUCCAUAUCCUUCAAUCUAUAAGAACCGGGCCUCGACGAAGAUACCACCAGAAAAGGUCCUUCCCACUUCAGCUGUAAUUUUUCCACUGUGUCUGGAUUGGUUACUCUCUGAAGCACCAAAUGCCCUGGCUUGAUAUUUUUCAAUCGAGCUUUUUUGUCACGCCAUUUUAUUGUUUUGGCUUGAUAUUUGUUGAUGUUCUCUACAGCCUGAAGUCUGGUCCCCUCUAUGGUAUCUUUUGCUACGUGAUAAUCAUCUUCGUCUUCUGUCAAAGCUACUGUUCUUAUUGAUCCUGCUUUAGCUUCUUCUGGAGUUAUAGCUUUGUCACCAAACAAUAGUUUGAAUGGUGUAAAUUCUGUUGAUCUUGACGUGGUUGUAUUGUAGCUCCACACCACUUUAAUCAAUUCUUCUGGCCACUUUCCUCUGGGCUUAUUGAAGAUUAGCUUCAUUAUUCUUGUCAUAAUAAUGUCAUUUGCUCUUUCUACCAAUCCAUUUGAUUCUGGGUGCCUUACUGAUGCAAAAUGGAUCUUCGUGCCAAUUUGGUCACAGAAAUCUUUGAACGUUUCGGCAUCAAACUAUGUUCCAUUGUCCACAGUUAUGGCCUUCGGCACGCCGAAGCGACAAACAAUAUUCUGCUAGAAGAAUUUUUGGACUGUGGCCGAAGUUAUUGAAGCCAAAGGCUUUGCUUCAAUCUACUUAGAAAAAUAUUCUACAAUCACCACAACAUACUUCAAAUUACAUUGUGCCGGUGGAAGUGGACCUAAUAAAUCUAGGCCCCAUCUUUGAAUGACCAAGUAGGCUGUAUCAGCUGCGUGAGAGACGAAGGUUGCUUCUGAUCUCUUACACAUUUUUGACAAUUCUCGCACUUUUGAACUAGCUCUGCUGCAUCCGUAGCUGCCUUCGGCCAAUAAAAUCCUUGUCUAAACACUUUUCCCAGCAAGGGCCUAGACCUAAUGUGAAAUCCACACAGACCUGCAUGUAUCUCCUUCAUUAACUCUAUACCUUCGGUUCUAGAUAAACACUUGAGGAGUGGAGAACGUAUGUGACACCUCAGGUGUCUAUUUCGCGUUAUGUCGGGAGAUUUAUCCUAAUCUCGGAUGCUCAGGGAAAAUUUCUAUUUCUCGCUCGCUUGUGUCUCUGAUUAUCCAGACUAUUCAUUCUUAUUUCACUGAAUUCGGAGUUAUUCAGUCUCAAAGAAGGCCAAAUUUGGAGCCUGUUAAAAUUUUUAUUCUCGACGCAAACGCAAACUCGAAAAUCAUUCUCAAUUUAUAAAUCUCGUCUAAAGCUCAUUUACUCGGACUCUCAAUGGAUGUUAUUCAAUCCGUGUCCGAAUCAGAUUUCUCGACUUCAGUCUGUGUCCAAAUAUUUUAUCCGGGUCGGUAUUCUCAAGCGGAAUUUCUAAUGUGUCAGUUUCGAAAUAAAUUUUACCCAGCCCGACUUGCUAAUGCUUGUAGCCGAUCUGAAUCCGAAAACGUAAAAUCAAAACCCACACAAAAUGGCCAACCUAAAUUCAUGACAACAGUUUUUUUGUGAGCCACGAAUAAAAAUGGGGCGUAAUUUUAAAGUUUUGACAUGAACAAAAGCGACUAUAAAUUUUCAAUGGAGUAGCUCACAUGGUUUAAUUUAAAUCCAAACAACCGGUUUCUAAUUCAAAAAUAAGGUCAAAUUUUUUCUAAAUAGGGUUCGAGAAAUUUUAGUUGGGCGAUUCGAUUCGAAGUUCGGCCAAACAUUUUAGAUUUUAUGUUCAUCGUAGCUGGAGUGGUUCAAAACAAAAUUUGUGCACGCUAGCCUCGCUGGCGGUCUCGACCGCUGGCAUGUCAUCGCCCGCCAUGGCCUAUGGCUGGCCACCAAUUUCUGCGCCAAUAGCCCACGUCGCCCAACUUGACCAAUGUGUGGUCGUCCAGUCCCUGGGCCAAUGGGUGAUGUGGUUUCCUCCUAGCCAAUCACCCUGCUGCAGCCACCCUUUAAGCGUCGCUCCUCUCUGUUCCUUAGCGUAGAAACAUCUCCCUGUCUUCUUCCUCCCUCUACCGAGCCCCAUCCAAGACAGCUCUUCCACUGCUCUCUCACGCCAGUAGCAGGAUGCGCAGAGCCUUUCCUCCCCAUGCUGGACGCUGAGCUCCCCUCCGAUCUGGUUCAGCGCAGGGAGCAGCAGCUUCUCCUCUCCUCUAUGGGCGCGCAACCCCUUCCCCUUGGCUUCACCUCCCUCGGCGGCGCCCUUCUUCCCCAAGAGCAGGGAGCAGCCGCUCCCAUCUCCCUGCAGCUCGACCUGUGGAGCACAGGAUGCUGGCUAGGGGAACCAGCAGCUGAAGCCCCUCUCUGCUCUCGCCUCUUCCUUGGCCGCCAAGUCCAGCCACGACGCCCUUCCUCCAUUCACUUCCGUGGCGCUCGGCGCUCCUGCCCCAAGUCUGGCUGGAGCUUGCCUCCCCCAUGGCCACCAACCAUUCUGCCCCCUGCCCCUGGUGCGCUGGGCGCCUAGUGCUCCGACCUCGAUGACCACCCUCCUCUCUGCUCAAGCGAUGCUAGGGACGUGCCGCAGACCUUCGCUCCCAGCGCCGCGCCCUUGCCUCCAUCAACACCGAGACCCCGGUAGCGCCUGCCGUGGUGGUCGCAGGUCUCUGCUCCUUCCCCAAGCUCGCCCUCAUCUCCUAGGUCACCGCUUUCCUCUCCCUGCCCCACCUUGUCGGAUUCUGCUCGCUUGCGUGCUUGCCGGCAUGUUCGGGCGCGGCCCUGCAGAUUCCUCAUGGGUACCUCCUCGAACUCCUCCACACUGGUUGUGGACGGCAUUGGUAUCCCUCUGCUCCAGCAGCGUUGCGGCGCCCCGAGCUCCUCCUCCGCGUGCGGCCAUGGCCGGGGUCAGUCUCAUCCGACAACGCCAUGACUUCCACUCCGCUCUGUGGCGAGCAGCUCCUGCACCAUCCAUGCUCGUCGUGUGUUUGAGAGUUCGCGCGCAAGUCUCUGCGUGGUGGCCGUGUCGCUGCAAGCUUGUGCCACGCACCCGGGCAUCGUGUCGCACCAAAUAGCAGCAGCAACACACCCUCAAGCCUCGCAUUGAACCUACUCGACGAAAAUCGCAGCAAGCUGCGUGUCGUUAGUCCCUACAGCAACACCAUUCUUCACUUCGCGUCAUACAUUGCAUAGCCUUCAUCGCUGCGCAUUGUCCGGAUCGGCGCAGCAGCCCUCCCGUUCAUUCUCCAAUCCCCUCGUCGUGUGUCAUCGCUCUCGUGCUUGCUGCGCAGCCCAUCCUCGUCGUCAUCGAAACCCUUGGUGAGCCCCUCGCUAGUACCCCACUAUUUUUUGGAUCUCGGAUGCUUGAUAAAAUGUUUGAACCACUGGGUGUUUUUAAUUGCAGCUAGAUGUUGUCGCUGCGCCUCGCACAACGCAUGAUUCGGUGAAGCACCUAAACCGUGGACGCAUGCGCAACUCCACUCGGGUUUCGACCAGGUUGUUCGCUUUAGAAAAAUUGUGAUUUCGUUUUAUUUACGAUUCAGUCGAUGGCGUGAUUAUAUGUGUGUGAAAGUAUAAUUAUAUGAAUGUACGCGUGUAGAGAAGAAAAUGAAAUAGAAGAGAACUCGAAUGUUUUUAUAUUUUGAUAAAAAAAAUAUGUGAUGCGUUGUUUGAUGCGAAAACUAAGUUACAAAAUGUGGAUUAUGUUUUGGGAAAUGUAUCAAUAUGUGUUUAUGAGAAAAGUGUAAUUGUUUUAUGCAAUGUGAUGGGAUUCAUGAUUAUAUCGGGAGUAUAUUUAUUGAUGUGACGAGUAGUUUAGAAAAUGCUAGUUCGCGUGGAUGAUGUAUUGUUAAGACAUGAGUGUCGGAGUUCAUAUAUUAGUGGUUACGCUAAGAUGAUCGAAGUGUCUCGAGUCACGCCCCAAUAUGGUUGUAUGCGAGACGGGGUUAUGCGCAUGAUGAGUUUAGUAAAAAUCCACCGGUGUCACUGAUGUUAAGUUGAGGUUUAUUUGCGCGUGGAAAGUAAUAAUGUGUUUAAUACUUAGAACUCUUAGUCAAUAGUAGAAAUUGUUUUGGCUUAUAUAGAGAGGUGGUGACUUGCCAAAGUAGUCAUCGCUUUCUCUAUAUUCAUAAGUCGAGUCGAGACGAUGCGUAGUAUGCGUUCGUUAAAUUAUGCUUCGCAUAUAAUGUGUGAUUGUGCUCACGAUUUGGAGCAGACACUUCAAGUAAGUAAAGUAGGUUUGUGAUACAAGUGUGUAAUGGAGUUAGUUGUUUUAGGAUAAUUAUUGAAAUACUCGGUUCAUAUGAUAAACAUGUAUGCGUUCAUAAUUUGGGAAGUAAAUGCAUGGUGAUUGUGGAUUGGAGAUUAGUGGUUUACGGUUCAUAUGAUUUGGUCGAAGUGCGAAUAUACACGUAAAUACGUAUGUUUAUAAAAAUGUUGUAGUGUAUGUUGUGUCUCGGAUUGCGAUAAUAAUGGGCUAGCCGACGUGUAUGUUGUUUAGCGGGCUAUGUCGUUGCUCCAGUUAGCCGACCUGUCAGAUGGUUUGGUUAAUCAUGUAAUAGCCAUAAAUUGCUUGUUGUAGUCCAAAUACGCAUGGUUAUGGUCGUGGGUAAAAUUAGUGGUGCUCAUGUGAUGUCUAAUUUAAAAUGCAAAUUAUUGUGUGAAGAGCGCAUCGAUAAACACAUUUAUACCGGGUUUGAUUAUUAUGGUGAAUACGUUGUUGAUGGUGUAUGGUAAUUCUAGUGCACGAAAUAACUCGUAUAAAAUUAGUAAGUCUACUAAUUGAUCCUAAUAUGAUUGUUUUAACUCUAACAGAUUGUAAAGUGUUAGAAUGGUUCAAGUCUCUAGAACGCGGCAAUUUUUGAAGUAAAUAGGAGCUGAAUUUUAUUAGUUGCUGUUUUGGGCUGCACGCACUGUUUUCGUCGUGCUGUUUGUUUGAUGAAUUAAAUUAUGUUUUCUGUAGAAAAGUCCUAUAAAAGAGUUGUAGAUAACUUUAUUAUCUUACUUGUGUUAAAAUUUGACAGCCAUAAGUCUGAUCGUUUAAAAGUUAUGCUUUUCACAAAUUCAGUAACUGAAUCUGUCCAAUUUCUGUACAGAUUUUAGAGACUGAAUUGUUUGCUUAAGUUACUGUUACAAUCUAUUCAUGGUCGUUAUAAGAAAGUUGUAGAUUCUUUUCUUAUCUUGCUUGUGUUAAAAUUUUAUAACCUUAGGCCUGAUAGUUCAAGAGUUAUGAAUUUUACAAAACAGUUGCUGUGUUCUGUCCACUGUCAGAACAGAUUUCGAAAACUGAAUUGUUUGAUUUAGUUAAACAUAGAAUCGCUUCUUGGUGAUUAUAAAAGUUAUGUAGUACUUUUGCCAAGCUUUCCAAAAAGUCUUGGAUCACUCUUUUGGUGAUCUAAAGAUUAAGUUAUGGAUGUUUAUGGUGUGAAGACUGAAUCUGUCCAGUUCUGGACAGCAAAAUCUUCAUAGUGUAUUUUACCCUUGAUACAUAUUAAACCAGCCAGGGAUGUUUAUAAAUAAUUGGUAGAACAUUUAAUUAUCUUUCCAGAAAGUCUAGGAUCACUUUGUUUGGAUGUCUGAAUCUUAAGUUGUGAAUUUUUGAAGUUGCAAGUCUAAAUCUGUCCAAACCUGGACAGAGCUGUUAUUUUUACACAAUUUGACCUUGCUAAGAGUCUAAUCAUGCUGAGGUAAAAAUACCAAAGUUGUAGAGCACUUUUUAAGCUUUUCAGAAAGUCCUAGUUUGAUAUUUUUGGAUCAAUAAUUGAAGAGUUAUGGUUAAAACAAGUAACUGUUGUGCUGCUGUCCUAAAAAUCUACAUGUGCUCAUUUAAUUGUUAGUUCACCCUUUUGGCUAAAAAUGUUUGGUUAGCUCUUAAUUAAUGUAGACUUGCCAUGGCUAAGUUUGAGAUAACAUAUGUGUCCUAAUUUUGUUAUGUUUGGUGGAUUGCUCUACUCUGUUGUGUUUGGCUCGAGUCGGCUGUUUCCUCAUUUUGAUUUUGGUUGAACACGCAGUAAUGACAAUGUAACCAAUAUGAUUAAGCCUAAGUAUAGAAGUGACUAGUGCACGUCUCGCUAAAUUAGUAAACUAAAUUGGUUAAGAUCUAAUAAGUGUUUGCCUUGUGAAUGAUUGUAAAACCCGAUUAAGUAACUAUUCCUUUUUAACUAAGUCUGUCUAUGUGUAAGUCAUCGUAAAUUUAUGUGUACUUAACUAGUUUCAUAAUAAGUAGCCAAUGAACGAUUAAAAUGAAUGUGAUAAAUGCUUGCACGUGUGAUGCCGUGUUGUGCUGGUCAAUUCUAGAAAGUAUUUGUCGUCUUUCUAAUGGUAUUGAUUACGUAUGAUCGAUGAAGUGUAGAUAGCUAAUACUAGCAUAUGGUUGUUUACGGUGUCUUACAAUUUAAUGUUUAGUUCGCCACUGUCUUUGAAAAUCUUGUGCUACUUUCAUUAUAUUCAUAAAUAUGCAUCUUGCAUCUUAUUUAGGACCGAGAGAUGAUAAUCGUGCAAGUGAUAUGGUUCCAACAACAAGAUGCAGUUGGUGGAUGACCUGAAGAAUGAUGGACUUAACUAGUGGAUGCUCGCCAAGCGAGUAUCCCCCAGCAAACACUAUCUAAGUGUUGAAUUCCAGGCAAGCCUCGGUUUUAUGCAUAACCGUUUAUAUAUGCUAUUUUACUACACUUAAUGUUUGUAGGCUUGUACCGUGCACUUAAGUGUAAGAGUUGCCUGAAACCCUAGUUGCAUGAACUCAGGAUUCUUUUGAGAUGGAUAUAGUAUGCUAGGUCGAGUAGCUGCUAUGCUAAAUCAGGAUCUCGGUAGAAGUCGAGUGAUUUUUCUAGCACUCGCGCGAGGUCAGAAAUUGGUUGUAUCCAUUUUGAUAACAGAAUGAUGAUGGUCUGUGGACACGGAUCCAUGGGGAUGCACUGUCUACAAGACGAAAUUGGAAUAAGGAUUAACGUGCGGAUACCUGUGUCAAGCGUUUGAAUGUACUAAACACAUGUCGGGAAAUAUGGUAACCGGUAAGCCUAGUACCUGAGUGAAGCCGGGCGCGGACUUUACCCCUCGCUUGUCCUGAGACUGGGUCUCCCAUUCUAGAUAUGGUGGGUACAAGUGCGACCACUGCAUGGCGGCGGCCGGGGUCAGUGGAGCAUUGUAGGACAAGGCGGUGAGGCCUGGCCGCGAACGGGGAAUCGAUGGGGACGGUUGACGUGUGUGGGGAUGGAGUGCCCCUACAUGUCGUGUGUUUAGGUUUACCUUGCAUGGUUAAAACUCGAUUCGAAUCGUCUGCUUCUCACAGCUAAUGAGACUACUUUAUCCAUUGUACUGCAUUGAGUAAUAAGUGGAAAUGAGAUACUGGCAAAAUAUGUUGAUUGAUAUAAUGCUUGAUACCAUGUAUGAAUAGACAAGUUCUCACCUAGUCUAAAAUUAUUAUUCUAGAACUUGAAAAUCUAAAACUUGAUUUUAGACUCAGCUAGUGCUUUUGGCAAACCAAACCCUUCAGCCAAACAACUUCAUGGUCUAGAGGUAGAGGAGUAGACUCCUCACACCGGGUAAGUCUAGCUGAGUAUUAGUAUACUCAGCCUUGCUGUGGCAUAAUUUUUGCAGGUACCUCCUUGAUUUGGUUGAUGGUGUGACUUGGCCUCCAUCCCUGCCACCGGGAUAGACGGUCGAGUGGGUUAUUGCUUCCGCAGGAGAGGACCAUGAGGAGUAGCGUGGCCAGGCUUUGCCAUGUUACUUGGUUUUCUCCGUUAGAUAUUCUGCCGCAUUAAAAAUUUAUGGUUAUUAUUUCUGAAACUCCGAUAAUGUAAUUACUACUGAUACUUAUUAAAUUUGUGGUAUUAUGCUUUAUUGUAUUUCUCUGUGCCUCACCUUCGAGUGAGCUAGUGGUAUUCGAUCCUGGAUAAGUGGCUUUAUCAGACUAGAUCCGAGGGACUGAUGGGUUAUUCUGAUUUAAGUGUGUUGCUGCCUUUAAGGGUGCGACUUGGGCACUUAAGCUGGAAUAAUUCGGGCGGUUCCGCCACAACAGACUCCAUGUUUGUAUAAUUCCCGCUCUAUUAUCACAUACAGCCUUGUCCUUGCUUCCAUUCUCUUAUUAUAAACUUCGUCAUCCGAAAGACAAUUACCUUGAAGGAAAGAUAUAAUUUCAGUCCUCCAAUGUUCACUAUGUACAGGGGAAAUUGCAAGCACUGCUCUCUGCAUAAGUUCAACCAAAGGUGCUUUUAUUGUCUCAAAAAAUACUUCCAGAGGUUGAGGGAGCCCCUGUGCCGCUGAUUUGGCUAACAGAUCUGCAUGCUCAUUUUCUCCUCUUGGAAUAUUCUUGACGGAAAAACCUUCGAAAGAAGCCUUCAACCUUCGAACUGUAUCCAAAUAUUUUUCAUGCUUCGGAUCUCUUGCCUUACUACUUUUGUCUAUAUGACUAGAAAUGACUUGAGAGUCAGUUUUAAGGAUGGCCCUUCUUAUUCCCAUUGCCUUUAACUUCCGAAGCCCCAACAGAAGUGCUUCAUAUUUAGCAAUAUUAUUUGUACAACUGAAGUCAAGCCUUUCUGCAUAACAUGUUCUGACUUUAGAAGGCGCAACUAGGACAGCAGCCGCUCCUUCACCAAAGGUUCCCCAGGAACCAUCGUAAAACACUGUCCAAGCUUCGGCGUCUUUAUUUGUUUCUUCGUCCUGAGCCCCUGGCGUCCAAUCAGCAAUGAAGUCUGCUAACACCUGGGAAUUAAUUGAGGAUCUAUGUACAUAGUUAAUACUGAAUUCGUUAAGCUCCGUAGCCCAUUUUCCAAUCCUUCCACUAGCUUCUCUGUUCCUCAUUAUGUCCUUUAGAGGCUGUGAUGAAGGAACAAUUAUGUGAUAUGCUUGAAAAUAAUGCCAAAGCUUCCUGGAGGCCAUUAACCCAGCAUACAACACCUUCUCCAAUCCUAUAUAAUUUUUCUUUGAUAAACUUAAAACUUCGGAGAUGAAGUACACUAGAGCCUGCUUUUUGAUUUGGCCAUCUAGCUUCUCCUGUACAAGAGCCGCACUAACUGCAGAGUGCGAAGCUGCCACAUAUAAGAGUAAUGGAGCCCCUGGUGAAGGUGGAGUUAGUGUUGUUAGAUCGAUCAAGUAUUGCUUCAACUCUUCGAAAGCUUUUUGCUGAGCCGGACCCCAUUGAAAAACUUCGGCUGACUUCAGUAUUUCAAAGAAUGGCAAAUUUCUUUCUACUGAUCUGGAUAUGAAUCUGUUUAAUGAUGCUAGUCUUCCUGCCAGCUGUUGGGCCCCCUUCUUUGUGCUUGGUGGCUCCAUCCGAAGGAUAGCUUCAAUCUUGCUCAGGUUGGCUUCAAUUCCCUUCGUUGAUACCAAACAGCCAAGGAACUUGCCCUUCUUCACCCCAAAAACACACUUUUCUGGAUUUAACAUCAGGUCAGCUUGCCUGAAAUUGGCAAAUGUCUAUUGCAAUUCAGCAAUGUGAUUUUCUUGCUUCGUGCUUUUCACUAUGAUAUCAUCAACAUAGGUCAGUACAUUCCUGCCUAUUUGAAAAUGAAGGACCUUGGCUGUCAUUCUGCUGAAGUUUCCUCCAGCAUUCUUGAGCCCCUCAGGCAUCCAAAGGUAGCAAUAGGUGCAACUGGGAGUUAUGAAGCUAGUCUUUAGCUUGUCUUCUUCUUCAUCCAAAUUUGAUGAUAGCCUGAGUAACAAUCUAGUAGACUCAUGAGCUCUGAAGAAGCUGCUGCAUCUACUAGAGAGUCUAUUCUUGGCAAUGGGAACUCAUCCUUUGGGCAUGCCUUGUUGAGAUAUGUGAAAUCAAUACACAUUCUCCAUUUACCAUUGGCUUUCUUCACCAUAACAAUGUUGGCUAGCCAUUCUGGGUAUUUCACCUCUCUAAUGACACUGGCACUAAGAAGUCUCUUUACUUCAUUCCGAGCACCUUCAGCUUUGUCUUUAGACAUCUUCCGAAGCCUUUGUUUUCUUGGCCUGAAGGAUGGAUCCACAUUGAGUGAAUGUUCAAUAACAUCUCUGUUGACACCACAGAGAUCUUUGGCUGACCAAGCAAAGACAUCUUUGUUGUUGAAUAAAAAUCUUAGCAAAGUCUUCUCUUGCUCAUCAGAUAACUGAGACCCUUUGUUCUGUUAUAUCUUGACAUAGAAGCAUAGGCUUCGGCUGAUCCGCUGAAGUAGCAUUCUCUCUUUUGUUUUUGUACUGCUGACAGGCUUUAGCUCCAUCUAUGUUACAGAUUGCCUUUGAAUCUAUCCAAUUCCCUUCGGCCCUUCUGGCAGCUUCUUGACUCCCAUGGACAACAAUGGGCCCUUGUUCCGAAGGUAUCUUCAUGCAUAAAUAUGCUAGAUGAAGUAUUUCUUCGAAGGCAUUAAGUGUUCCUCGACCAAUGAUUGCAUUGUAAGGGUACUCCGUGUCAACAAUGUCAAAGAUAACCUGUUCAGUCCUUGUGUUGUGGACAUAGUCGAAGGUAACUGACAUUGUGAUUUUACCAAGUGCGACAAUCUGCCUUCCUCCGAAGCCACAAAGAGGGUGUGUAGCAUCAUGAAUCUUGUCUUCUAGCUCUUGCAUCUGUCUGAAGGCCUUAGCAAAUAUGAUAUCCGCUGCACUGCCUAUGUCAACCAGAACAUUAUGGACCAGAAAUCCCUUGAUGACACAAGAUAUGAUCAUAGCAUCAUUGUGAGGGUAAUCUUUGAGCUGAAGGUCCUCCUGGGAGAAGGUGAUUGGGAUGUGGGACCAUUUGGACUUGAUGAAGGGUCCCUGCACCCUAACAUGUUGCACCCUUCUCUACGCUUCCUUCUUCUGCUUCUUGUUAGCCGGCUCUGAACUUGAACCGCCUGUUAUCGGGAGCACUAGCUUCGUAGCCGAAGGUGCUACGACUUGGUUGUUGAACGAAGCCAUCAGCUCAAAAGUGGAAGUGAGUUCACCAGAGGUGGGCGCCAAUGUUGGGGACUUGUUCUCAAAUGCUAUGAGUUAAGAACAAGGCAACACAAAAUGUUAAUGAUUAAUACCCUUCGUCCUUCGAAGCAUUAUUUCCUUUAGGAUAUAAUGAUCUUCAGAAGAAGGUCAUGAAGGACAUACUUUCAUCAUCGUAGUAUGUGUUAAUGAAAGAAGAAGCAUAUGAAAUAUGAGAGACAACAUGGAUAAUCAUAUGACAUUAUUCAUAUAUUCGUAUAUUUCUAUUAUGUCAUCAUGAAUGAAUGUGAACAAUAUUGAAUUACAUUUGUACCUUCGGCUUGACAGAAGGCAAAAGUCCAAGCGUGACGCAUGAGCGAGUACAAGUUAGCGUGAACAGUAUGGGGGUACUGUUCACCUAUUUUUAGGCACGAGACGUAGCCCCAUAAAAAUUACAUUUAUGUCCUUGAUAACUAGUUACAAUCAUGACAUAAAUUAUCAUGGACUGAUCGGUCAUUUCCUCUUUAAGUUGGUGCAGCCCUUCGUCUCAAGGCGUGCCACUAUGACGAAGCUCCUCGGAUAGUAGCUUCGAUGUGUACCUUCACGCUGUGUUUGAUUAUACGCUGAUCUUUCGAAGGUGUUUCUUCUUAAAGGACCUUCAGCGAUGAAGCAGGCCCCCAACACUCUACAACCAGCCUCGGCAGAGCAAGUAUUGUGCCCGAACCCCAUUGACGGCCCCACGGCGAAGCCAACUACUCCUUUGGUUCCUCUAAUUCAUCAGCUAAGGGCGUCCCAUUCCACCCUCAUGGUUGCACUGUUAUCCCGGGUUGUCACUCCCCAAACAGGUCCUUACGGAGAGGUACUCAAGAAACAGCCUGAGCCCCCUAAAAUAAUCACAAGAACCUCAUCGGGAUAACAUCAUCGUAUCAUGAAUAAUCACAUCAUGUUCAUUGAUUAAGGUAAAGCAAUGGCAUAAGCUAACCAUGAUUACCCAAAAGGUAAACAAGGGUAAGGUAAAUACAGACUAGUCAAUCCUUAAGUUUCAAUAAUGUAAUGCGGGGCAGUGAAUUUAAAGUAAAGUAGGACAUGAUUGGUCUGAGGACAAUUGCCUUCACCGGGUUGUUGCUCAAAGGGAUCUUCGGCAACACACUCAGGAACCACAGGCUGCUCGUUGUCUAAAUAAAGCGAUCAUACAUUCAAUACAUUUGGAAAGUACAAAUGAACAUCACAUCAAACAUGUACAAACAUUGGAACACAACUCAAAAAAGGAAGUAUUAAAUAAAGGAGAAUGAGAUCAAGUUAUAAAAUGGACUAAUCUUAAUUGGGGAUUGAUUAAUCUCUAAGUGUUGGAACAUAGCUCAAAAAGUAAUGUAGUAAUUAAACAAAGAAAAGAUUAAAUUAUAAGAUGAACUACUCUCAUUUAGGAAUUUGAUUAUCCUUUAUGUGUUAUCCAUAAUUACAUAACCUAAUUCUACUCAUUUCAUUGAGACCUAAAAGUUAAACCAGAGGUGAAUUCAUGUAGUACAUAUUAUUAAUCUCACAUGAUUAAAUAUACUUUAACUCCUAGGAUUCUCCUUUUAUUUAUGUCAUUAAAUGAAUAAAUCAACAUAUACUUUAAUCCUAUAUUCUAAGUGUAAAAUUAAAGUAUACAGACUAUGGCAGGUCAUAUUUUAUUUGAACAGAGAAAAAGUUUAUGAACAUUUUGCAAUUUGAACCACUAAAUUUGGAGUUCAUAUGAAAAAGAUAUGAAAUAAACAAGUUUUCAAGUUUGAAAUAUGAAAUUAGGGCUAAAUCUAUGAUUAAAUAAAAGUACAGGGGGCUAUUCAAAAUAAACCAGGAACUGCGCGUUAAAAUAGAAGACGGCGGGUUGAUUUCCUAAAACCAGGGGGUCUCUUAAGCAAAACUUACACGCGAAGGGGUAUGGGGUAACUUCAACCGUUGGAUCAGAGAUUAACGGCCAGGAUUUGAUCACGUGGGCGCGGGCGCGUGGACGUGGCUGACAGGCAGGGCCAGGGCGUUAGUGAGCCUGGGCGGGCUAGCCAGAUGGGCCUAGAGGCAGAGACACAGGUGAGGGGGAAGAGAGAGAGGCGGCUGGAUCUGGAUUGGAGGGCUGCGAUCAGAUCCGCUCUGGUUAAAUCUAAACCACCCGAUCUCGGACGGACGCCCGAGAUCUAACGGCCAGGGGCAGACACAGGCGAGGUGGCGCCGCUCGGUCCCAUGGCGAGAGUUCGCCGGAGAUGAGGGGGCUGGCCACGGCGGGGCUCCAGAGGCUUGGGGGCUAGUUCGGGUGUGCUCAGUGCGGUCUGGCGCACUCGACCAUGGGUAUCACACCGGCGCGGAAGCACCAGAAGGCCCUGCACACGGCGAGGCAGGCUAACGGCGGCGCGGGAUAGCUCCUGCGAGCAAUCGCGCGAGCAACAUAGCAGCAAUGACCAAAUUAAGGGUGCGAGCGGGUUGCUCACCUUGAGGGGAGGCGCUGGAGUCACGGGGCAACGGCGGAGGCGCAAGGAAGCGACAGGGCGACGGCGGCAGGGCUUCGGCUACACAAGAAUUGCUCCGGUGAGCGCGGACAGGACGAACCAGAGAGGGGAAGGACACACCGAAGGGUGUCUCGAGCAGCUGACGGCGAGGUGGAACUCACCGUGGCACGGGACGGGGCACAGACGCGACGGUGACCACAGAACGGGUAGCAGUCGAUGACGGGCGAUGAUGGAGCUCUCUGCUCGCGCGAACAGAGCGAGAAAGAGGGCGAGGGGUUUGGCAGAAGGCGCAAAUGAGCGAGGGGAGGUGGGCGAGCAGGGCGCGGGGCUCAAACGGGGCACGGGCGCGAGGAUGUGGCUGAAGAACGCGCGGUCAUGGGCGCGUCCACGGUGGGGAGAUCAUGGGCAAGAGGUUAGGGACGGCGGGACAAAGAGAGAGAGGGCGCGGGGUGGGGGGGAAAGAACGGCGCCAACAGCUCGGUCCCAUAGCGCAGCGAGAGAGAGAGGGGGGGAGUUAGCGCGCUCGGGUUGGCGCCGAUAGGCGGGGCCCGCCUGUCAAGCACCGAGGGCGCGCAGGCGCGGGCGCGCGCGUGCGGGCUGGUCUUAGUGGGCUGGUUUGGGCCCAAAUGGCUUUUCCUUUUUUUCCUAGAAUUUCUAGUUUCUUUUCUAUUUAUUUUCUCUAAGGUUUUCAAUUCAAAUUCCAAUCAAGUUUCAAAUUCAAAUCAAAUCAAAUAUGUGCAACAAUUCAAAGAAUAUUUAGGCUCAAUAUGAUGCAACAUUCCAUGACUCAUAUGGUUUUGCCAAAAUAAAAUAAAUAAUCCCUUACUAAUCAAGCUAAUUCUACAAAAAGAAAAGCAGAGAGAGAGCAACUAGAGAGAGAGAGAGAAAAAAAGUAACACAUGAAUUUGGAUGAUACUGAGAAAUAAAUUUUAUACCCCCAAAUUCAGGGUGUUACAGACCUAUCCCCCUUAAAAGAAUCUCGCCCUCGAGAUUCAGGGCUAGCUAGCAAAGCGUUCAGGGUACUUGGCUCUCAGAUCAUCUUCUCUUUCCUAGGUUGCUUCUUCUUCUGAGUGAUGGCCCCAUUUGACUUUGCACAUCCUGAUGGUGUUCCUCCGAGUGACCCGAUCUGCUGUCUCCAGAAUCUGGGUUGGCUUCUCAAUGUACGUCAGAUCCUCUUGAACUUCAAGGUCUUCCGUUGGCAACUGCUCUUCUGGUACUCGCAAGCAUUUCUUCAAUUGAAACACGUGAAACACAUCGUGCACUGCAGACAGUUUCUCUGGUAAGCUAAGUUGAUAAGCCACUUCUCCACAUCUUGCUUGAAUCUGAUACGGCCCGAUAUAGCGAAGUGCUAGCUUGCCUUUGACUCCAAACCUUUUGGUUCCUCUGAUGGGUGACACUUUCAAGUAGACGUAGUCUCCCAAUUCAAAACUAAGUUCCCUUCUUCUGGUGUCAGCAUAGCUUCGCUGUCUGGACUACGCUUCCUUCAGAUUUUCCCGGACCAUCCUGAUAUUCUCUUUGGCUUCAAGCAAAAUCUCUGGACCGAACACCUGUCUUUCACCAGGUUGGUCCCAAUGCAAUGGAGUUCGGCAAUUCCUCCCAUAAAGCACUUCGAAUGGUGACAUCUUCAGACUGGCCUGAUAGCUAUUGUUGUAUGAGAAUUCUGCAUACGGUAGCCUCUUGUCCCAACCUAAUUUGUCUUGCAAAGCACAAGCUCUCAACAUACUCUCAGUCUGACCAUCUGUAUGCGGGUGAUAAGCUGAACUGAAUAAAAGUGUGUACCCAAAGCUUCAUGUAGCUGCUGCUAGAAGUUAGAGGUAAACUGGGUGCCUCUGGCCGAUACUAUCUUAUUUGGAAUACCAUGCAAGCACACAAUCCGAGACAUAUAUAAUUCUACCAACACUGCACUGUUAUAGGUGGUCGUGACUGGUAUGAAAUGGGCCACCUUUGUUAAAUGGUCCACUACUACCCAGAUGGAGUCAUAACCAGCUCGAGUGCGAGGUAGCCCAACUAUAAAGUCCAUCCCAAUCUCAUCCCAUUUCCACUGAGGAAUCUACAACGACUGCAACAAACCUGCGGGUCUUUGAUGUUCUGCCUUGAUCCUCUGACAACUGUCGCAUCUGGCCACAUACUCUGCUAUCUCUCUUUUCAUACCAUACCACCAGAAUCACUUCUUCAGGUCUUGGUACAUUUUCUCUCUUCCAGGGUGUAUAGAAUAUGCGGUCUCAUGAGCUUCCUUAAGAAUCAGUUCUAGGAUUGAUUUGAUGUCGGGAACGCACAACCUAUCCUUGAACCAUACCACUCCUUCUGCAUCUUCACGGAAAUCUGGGCCUUUCCCAUCGAUGAUUAGCUGUCGGAUCUUGUUGAUCUUCUCAUCAUCCUUCUGACCUUUCCUGAUAUCUUGCUCCAGGGUGGGUUCCAAGUCAAUUGUCACUCCUUGAGUGUUGUUCAGAAAUCCGAGACUUAGCCUAUCGAAUUCCUUUGCUGGCUCGAAUGGCAUCGGGUGAGAGGCCAACAUAUUGACUUGACUCUUUCUGCUAAGAGCAUCUGCAACCACAUUUGCUUUGCUUGGAUGAUAAUGAAUCUCCAGCUCAAAGUCUUUGAUCAAUUCUAGCCAUCUUCGUUGCCUCAUGUUUAACUCUGACUGAGUGAAUAUGUACUUGAGGCUCUUGUGGUCGGUGUAGAUAUCACACUUCUGCCCAUAAAGAUAAUGUCUCCAGGUCUUCAAUGCAUGAACCACUACAGCUAGCUCCAAAUCAUGAGUGGGGUAAUUCUUCUCAUGAACUUUCAAUUGUCGGGACGAGUAUGUCACUACUUUCCCUUCCUGCAUUAACACACAUCCCAGUCCGGUGUACGAAGCAUCACAAUAUACUGAAAAUGGCUUGUGAACAUCUGGCAAAACCAAUACCGGUUCUGUUGUCAACUUCUGCUUCAACAUCUCAAAUGAUUCUUGGCACGCUGAGGUCCACUUGAACUCAACCUUCUUUGCUAGCAGGGCUGUCAUUGGUCUGGCAAUCUUGGAGAAACCUUUAAUGAAACGACGAUAAUAACUGGCCAUUCCAAUGAAACUCUUAAUUCCUUGGACAUCUUUUGGUGCUUUCCAGUCUAGAAUUGCCGCUACCUUCUUUGGAUCCACAGCUAGUCCAUCUUGGUUUAUAAUAUGACCCAAGAACAGAACUUUGCUGAUCCAGAACUCGCACUUGCUAAGCUUGGCAUAAAACUGGCAAUAUCGCAACCUCUGAAGUACAUUCCUCAAAUGUUCCUCAUGAUCUUGCUCAUUCUGGGAAUAUAUGAGAAUAUCAUCAAUAAACACUACUACGAACUUGUCGAGGUAGUCCAUGAACACACUGUUCAUCAGAUACAUGAAGUAAGCUGACGCGUUCGUCAGUCUGAAUGACAUAACCAUGAACUCAUAUAGUCCAUACUUGGUGAUGAAUGUUGUCUUCGGUAUAUCUGCGGGUCGGAUUCUGAGCUGAUGGUAACCUGACCUCAGAUCUACCUUUGAGAACACACUGGCUCCUCUUAACUGAUCAAAUAGGUCUUCAAUUUGAGGCAGAGGAUACUUGUUCUUGACAGUGACUUCAUUCAAAGCUCUGUAAUCGAUGCACAUCCUCUUCGUACCAUCCUUCUUCUCCACAAAUAGUACUGGGGCUGCCCAAGGUGAGGUACUUGGUCUGAUAUAACCUUUCUCCAACAACUCAUCAAUUUGCUUCUUGAGUUCCACCAACUCUGGUCCAGACACUCGAUAGGCUCUCUUGGAAAUAGGGGCAGUGCCUUGGAUAAGCUCUAUGGCAAAUUCAACUUUCCUUUCAAGUGGCAUGCUUGGUAACUCCUUAGGGAAUACAUCGGGGAAUUCUAACACAAUUCUAAUUGCCUCAAUCGGAUUGGACUCUUUGUCAUCUACUGAUAAAUGGUGACAGGCUCCUUCUUCUAGUUCAGGUAAGUACAGCUUGGUUACUACUUCCUUUCCGGAUGGGGACACCAACUUAACUGUUCUCUUGUCACAACUGACAGUGGCAUGAUUUCUGUGUAGCCAAUUUAUCACUAGGAUGACAUCUAACCCUUGGGUUCCCAUCACUACUAGGCUAGUGGGGAAGUCUAUCCCUUUUAUUUCAAUUCUUAGAUUCAGACAAAUCCUAUUGGACUGAACUUUUCCCCCAACUGAAUUAACCCUUAAAGGUGGGAUCAUUGGUUCUAUGGGGAUGUUAUGUGAUUCUACCCAAGAUACAGAAACAAAAGAAUGAGUGGCACUAGUAUCAAGUAGUACUUUUGCUGGGUAGGAUUUGACUGGACACAUACCUACUGCCACGUCCUGAGGAUCCUGGAUUGCUUUGGCCUCCAGGUGGUUCACCAUUCCAUGGUUGUAGGUCUAACCACGGACUCCUGGUGCUUGCUAUGGUGCUCCUUGUCUUGCUGGGGCAUUGGCUGCUGGCGGUAGCUGAGCUGCUUUCUUGGGACAGUUCUUCGCACAGUGGUUUUGUUCUCCAUAGUAGAAGCAUGCACGACCUCCUACUUGUGCUGGGGCUACUUGGCCAUUCUGGUUGGUUGCUGGGGCAGGAAGACGAGCUGCCUGGUUGUUCUGACACUGGUACUGAUUUCCUCUAGGCUAGGUGUUCUGACGGUACCGCUGCUGCUGCUGAGGAAACUGCCUCUGGUACUGGUGCUGGUGCUAACGCUGAUGCUGGUGCUGGUGCCCUUUCUUGAAUUGUUGUGGUGAGUUGCCUGAGUAGCGGGGACGACUGCUACUCCCAGCCUGAGAUCCUCUGAUCUUGCGCUUCCUAUCCUCCAUCUCCCGACGCUUCCUUUCAGUCAUGAUUGCUUUGUCUAUCAAAUGCUGGAAGGUGGGGAAAGUGUGGUUCGUCAGCUGAUAAUGGAGGGGAUCAACCAAUCCUCUGAGAAAGCGUUACUGCCUCUUAGCAUCCGUGUUAACGUCUUCUGGGGCGUAGUGUGACAGCUGCAAAAACUUAUCCCUGUACUCACUGAUGGACAGGGGACCUUGGUUCAGGUCGAGAAACUCCUUCCUCACUAUCAUCAGUCCUUUGGGCACAUGGUAGCGACAGAAGUUGUCCCUGAACUUCUCCCAAGUAAUGGCCUUAGGGUUGGCAUGGGUGGCGAGGUAAGACUCCCACCAAGACUGUGCUGCUCCCCUCAGCUAUCGGGGACCAUAUAACACCUUUUCAUGGUCGUUGCACUGGGCUGUGUGAAACUCACGCUCCACGGUACACAGCCAAUCUUCUGCAUCCAUGGGAUCAGCAGAGUGGGCAAAGACAGGGGGAUGGCCCCUCAUGAACUCUGCCCACUUGUCUCUAGGCACUGGUGGCAUCUGAACUUGCACUGGAGGUUGAGGUGGGGGUGGGUGCUGCUGCACCUGCUGCAUCGCUGCUAAGGUCUGACCAAUUGCCUGAACUGCCUGAGUUUGCAUCAUGAACAUCUGCUCAACUGUCAUCGAGGGUGGCGGUGGCAACUGGGCUGCAUCCUCCUGGGGUGCUUGUUGUUUCGGCUGAGCACGCCUCGCAACUCUGCGCCUGUUCUCAGACAUCUGUAGAAAUCACACACAUAUCACAUCUAAAUCUACAGUCUUUCAGCAUAAGAAAAGAUAUACGGAAAUCUUCAUAGCACUGAACAAAUGAUCAUCUUCACUGACAACUUCUCAGAUAAAGAGGAAAGUGGAAAUAAAUGGAUUACCCAACUAAAUAACUGACUUUAUUAAUAACUACACCAAGUUGCAGGGGAUACCCACACCUUGAUGACAAUCAUUACAAAGAUCCAACUUCAUUACAUGUCCAUCAUAACAAGCAUUCCAACCUAUGAUAAGCAGACUAACUCUAACCAAGACAGACUAGACUAAGACACUGAAUUAAGCAUUAUUACAGACUCUGACUCCAUCGAUCUAUGGAUCUAAAUCUAUCCUGGUCCUGUAGUCUAGGGUACCAUAGUUGAAGCGACCACGGGGCGAUGAGAAGUAAGGGUGCUGAAUCCCGACAGGGGCGGGAGAACCACCAUCCAGAUAGUGGCGUGCUGCGCACUCAGCACGCAAUUCCGCAACCUCCGCCCAAACCUUGCCCAACUCAUCAAGGGCGUGGUCCAACUCUGUGUCGAGCACGACGGCCAGGUUGACCAUGCUGUUCAGCCUGGGAUUGCCCUCACCAACGGGUGAGACAAUCACACCUCCAGCACUCCCGGUAGCACUACCGAUAGUACUUCACGUCAAGACCGUCAUCUACCCCACUAAACAACGAGCAAUACUGAGAAAGUGCCUGUCGUGCUGCAUCUUGCAUGGCUGCCUCGACAGUAUCCCUCUCAGUGAUAGAAUAGUGCUCUGAGAAGGCCUCUGCACCCCGGAGAUCAUCGUCCGGACGAUGCACCAAGCAAGUAGCCUCCCACUGGUCCGGGUACAACCCGUGACUAUGCUGGUAGACUACACAAUGGUACUCGAUGGACCAAGUGUGUUGGUCGAAGGCCCGACGCAACAGGGUGUCGAGAGCAUCGUGGAAAUGACACCCGCGAGCAGCGUCACGAGUGAUGGGUCUAGCGAUCCACCCCUCCGGCACAGGCUCCUCCGAGCGCUCCGUGUCAUGGCUCGAACUGCCACCGACGUCGUCGUCAUCUCCGUCUCCGUCAGGGUCUCCUCCAGCAGCCGGGAUGCCUAGUGGUGGUGCAGGGGGCAUCUCUGGCUGAGGUGCAGGGGAAGGCGGCCUCUAAGACUCCACCUCCCGCUGAGGCGAGGGGGAAGAGUCCUACUGCUCCUGCUCCUGGCGUAGAUACUCCUGCUCCUCGAGCAGGCGAAGAUGCAGUCUCUCCAGGUGACUGGACUAACCUAACACCGUGCGACGCAGUGGACGCUCCGCUAGGCGAGAAGGCAAAAAGGGGAUCACAAACUUACGUGCAGUGCACCUGAUAUGGGCCAUCUACAAAAGACAUCAUAAGCACAAGAGUAAGAGUAGAACUAUGAGACCAGAAAGUAAACAGAAAGAAAAGUGAGAUGUAACACCCUUGGUGUUACUGUCACUAAAACUUGAGCAUUAGCAUAUCAUGUGUUUGUCACACCUAGAGUGCAUUCACUAGGUAAAAAGUUCAAAAAUAUUGGACUGAUAUGACUUGAUGUGUGGUUAACUCUAGUGUAGAGUACUUAACCCUAAACAAGGCUUAUGAGUGAAAAUGAAACCCAAAUAAGUUAAAAUCUCAAAACGCAUUAGAAAUGAUCAUAAGAUAUCACAUUUGAUGGACUUGGGUAGCACCAAAAGCCUAAAGUAUUAAAAACUCUGAAAAGACCCCUGUUAAACCUUAAAUUGGAACCCUAGGAGGCUAAGUGUAAAAUUUGUGCACUUUUGGACCCAAGUGCAAAAACCAAAGUAUUAGAGCACUAAAAGUCAUAUGGUUCACACAUUUGAGGAUUUGCAAGUCAAAUUGUGGGAUUUGGACUAAUUUGCAAAAUUGCCCCAUGAAACCAUAUGUGACUAAGUCUGAAAUUCAGUGUAUAGGGUUAACUUUGGAACCCUAUAUCUCUCAAUCCAUAAAGAGUCUGACCUAGGUCAACAUAUCAAAUUUGUAGAACUAUAAUAGGAGUACAACUUUGCUUAUGUGAUUAAGCCUUGAUCACAUGCAAAAUUUGGACUAAAAUGAGCACAAACUCGGGCUGUCAGUCAGCCCUAAUUCUGAAUUCUGCUUAACAGUGAAGUUGGAUGAACUUUGGAUUCAAUUCUAGAUCAAGGGAUUAAGCAAAUGAUCAAGAUCUUUACAACAGAAUUGUAGCUGGAUUAUAGGGCUACAAUUUUGUUACAGGGAGAUUAGCACAUUCUCACACAAAAAUCUGAGAUUAGGGCGCUGCAAAUCAUGCUGUCAGGUGCUCUGAAUGACUCCCUCAUGGUACAGUAACAGACAGAUCCCAGAUUCAGCCCCCCUCACCGCCGGUGAUUCCGCGCCGUGAUUGUCGCCGCCGGUGCGAUUCGUGCUCAAUGAAGUGCAGAUAACUACAGUGGGUGAAAGAGCUGGCGCUGGGGAUGAGCUUGGGGCACUAUUGCGCUCGGUCACUCGUCCACUUGCACCGGCGACGUGGCCAACCAGCCGUCGUCGAGGUAAACGUUGUCGCCGUGAUCGUGCCACGACCAUGACCCUUUAACCACGUCACUGCUAGCCGCAACAGCUUGCCAAUGACCACCGUAGCCCCUCAGCAAGUGAGUGCCACGGUAAACCGCACCAAUGAAUCAUCCUCUCUUCUCGGCCGCCAGCGCAAUCUCUUCGAAUUAGACGCCACCGCCCUCGUUUCCUAUAAAUUGAGCGAACCGCUAGCUCCGUUAGGUAAUCACGAAGCCAAAGCACCCACUCGUGACUCGGAAUUGUCCACCAGUGAGCUCCAAUUUGGGAUUUCCCCCAAAUCAGUCAAAGCUCCGCCGCGAGUGAGCUCGCCGUGGUCAGCGCGCUACAGGUCUGAUCAUGCCAUCCUCGCUCUUGUUUUAGCAUCCCUGUGUGCUUAUGAUGCUUCUCGACCCGACCAAUUGAGCUAGGACCCAUUGGAUCACCUAACGCUUCAUGUUGUCCGUUGAUCGCGCUGUCACCGUGGGUAGUGUAAUUAAGAGCUCAAACCUUGCAAUUAAGUGAGGGGAAAUGGUCGUUUAGGGUUGAAUUUGGUGUCAAGCAAAGGGAAGGGCUAGCCGUUGCCUAUUAUGGCCAGUACGAGCUCGCCGGAGCUCGGCCUAUCGCCGUUCGCCGUUGGGGAUCGCGAGUUGUAAAGAAUAGAAAGGGGAGGGGUCUGUUCGAAAAUGUUAGUGACACAACCAAAUAGUGUGCAGGGUUCUUCACCAGUUAUGCAAACCGCUGAGGGCCUCUGUGCAAAUCUGCCAUGCAGGCGCGCGCACGCGGGCGCGUUCUGCCUGUACUGGGCUGGCUCGGGCUAGAUUGAGCCCAGUACUGUUGAUCUUUUUCCUUUUUCUUUUUCUACCAAGAUUUGGAAAUCCAUAGAAAAUUAUAGAAAAAUGCUAAAAAUAUGAGACCAAUUUUGUUGAACUCCAAAAUUUCUAUAGUAUUUAAUAAAAAUGAUUUCAAGAUUUUUAGUCCAAACCAGGAAUUAUGAAGUAUUUAAAAUAGUCAAAACCUAUACCUCUGGAAUUUUAAAAAUUAAUCAGUAACUCCAAAAAUCACCAAACUUUUUGGAUAAGCUUAAAAUGAUAUUUAGAAACCUUGUAUGAAGUUAGACAUGAUUUGGACAAUGUUUGAUACCUAAACCCCAAAACCCUAUUCUUCUAAGUAGUGUCUGUCCUAUGAAAUAAAAUACUGACUCCAAAAACCCUAGUUUCCUGGAGUACCAUGAAGGAAAAUUGUAUUCAAGACCUAAUAUGAUGUACCUUUAUUAUCAUUACAUUUUCAUAAGCAUUACAUGAGCAUUCAUGAUUAUAUAUGAUAUAUAUAGAGAACGAAAAAGUAGUGGUUGAAGAAGGAGUUGCGCCACCACCACCUGAAGAUCCACCUGCCAGGAACUUCUUUUAUUUCGAUCUUUGUGGAGCAGAGCCCGACUCUCCUAUAACACAAGGCAAGCCCCAGUGCAUUUGCCACCUCCUUGCUAUUUAAAAUCUCUCUCACUUGCUCGAUGCAUUAGGUGAUAGGAGUUGGGUGCUAAACAAUUGCUGCAUUUCCUUCCUUGGAAGAUUGAUUACCUUUCUUUGAUCACCUAUUUUAUGAAAAGGUUUUUCUAAUGCUUAGUUUGGCUCUAGAAAAACAAAAUGUUUUGUUUUGUCAAAAGAUGAUGCUUCAAGUGGGAUGGGAUGUUUUCAAAAAUAAAACUGGAUGGUGGAUCCAUCAUGGUCGUGAUUGGUUCAACAUUGGAAAAGAUGUACCUCUGACAGGUACCAAACUUUGGAGUUUGAAAUGAUAAAGCUAAGACCGGGCGGGUGACUUGCACGAGAAGAGAGUCUCGGUGUAGUGUCUCCGUCUGAGUCGAUUAAGGACCGUCUCGAUGUAGGCUUGCUGAUCGAGGACCCUUUUAACAGGUCACAUGCCUCAUCAUGGGUAAGCUUUGCCUUGGGUAGACUAAUACUAGAAUAAGACAACACGCAAUGGGAGUGGAGAGAUGGCGAGAGUAGCGUGUACCCUCCGUGGCAAGAGGCUGGACGGUGGUGUAUUUGUGCUCUCGGUUGGCGUGAACCUAAUCUGGUCUUAAGAACCCCGGUGGCGAGUUGACAUAUGCAAGGGUUAAGUGCUACAUAUGUCGUGUGAUUGGAGAUCCCCAGCUAGGUAUUAAUCGAUUUGGAUCGUCGUUACUUCUUGGACAUGAAAACUUGGUCACUGCCCUACACGUAGCAUUCCAGUGAACAAGAAGGGUUGAUAACAAGAUGGCUAGUAUAGGCCAAGUGCUUGAACUAGGGUAGAAAGAAUUCUAGAUUCAGGUAAUGAUUUAACUUGCUAAUAAAACUGGAUUUUUAAGGAUCCACUAUUAGUAAGCAUUUCUGCAAACAGAGUCUUCAUUCUUGAUGAAGCCUUACCUUGACUCCCUCAAGCCAGCAUAUCCUUGAGAGUCUUUUAUUUUGACGGGUAAGACUUGCGAAAGUACACUUCGUACUCAGGGUUUUCGAACCCAUGUUGUUGUAGGUGAGGAAGCAGCAAACUUUUGUUGCUUUUGCUCUAAGGUGGUGCCAAAAGAGGAAUCUCAAGAGUGAUGCCUCGGGAGGAUGUUGUCCUCCUUUUAAAAACACUUUACUGUUAAGCGGGAGGGGUUUUUGCCUCCCGAGUUUGUAAUAAUACUUCUGCACUCAUAUAUUACUGGUCUGUAAUAAUAACACUCUUUCUAUAUUUUAAUGUAAAUUAAGUUACUGUAAUUGCUUCCGCUUAUUCGUUCCUCCGAUGUGUUGUAAUAUCUACGUGACGGGUGAAACGCUCUUGGGAGAGGUAAAGGAGAUAGAUACCGAACUUGUCGAGUGAUCAGGUGCAUCUACACGGUUGCUCGAGGUCCGCUGGACAAGGACAACUGUAGGUGGGCCUAAUAACUUGGGAGGUUCUGUUGCAGCUGGUAUCGGAGUGAAGCCCAUCUCUUCAAAUAUUAUGAGGCAUUUCAAAAAGAAUUUUCAAAGACUUAUCUAAAGAAAAUUUCUUUCAUUCUUAUCUUACUACUUUCUAAGUACUUAUCUUAUAAGACCAGGUAACAGAGUGCAAUGUAUAGGAGGUUGGGAAUCCACGAAGGUUGAUUCCUUAAUUAUGCAUGCAUCAUGUUUAAAAACUAUACUAAUAAAGUUUUCCCCCUUAUGGAGAUAUGCCACCACGCACGAGGAAAACCACGCGUAAGUCCACUGGACCUAUUGGCGUACCUCGGCAUCAGCUAGCUCCAAGACAUGAAGAGAGCAGCAGCGGCAGUAACAACCCCAUCGGAGACCUAGAAGCCCAAGUGGAGCAGCUUCGGACGGAGCUAUGUCACCGAAACAGGGUGUGAGUAGAAGAUGGUCAACAUAUGAAUGAGUUAAGAGCUGACGUCAGACAUCUGCAAGACGAGCUUGCUGAACAGGAUUUGGCAAUCGAUUGGGUUGUCAAUUCACAUUCGAUUGCUUGGGAUCGGGAAGCCAAAGCUUGAGCCCGUGUGGAUGAGCUCAGCAAGGCCCUUGACAACUUGCAGGUGUAUUGCAAUACUUUACAUGAGGAAGUUCAUUUACUAUAUUUGCGACUGUACCCCAACGUACCUCCUGACCCUGUUGCAAUGGGAGCCGGACCCUCACGAACAGUAGGAGAAGCACUUGGUGGGGAAUUGGACCUUUUUAAACCCCCUCCUUCUAUGAACCUAGCUGACGAACGGUCCCCUACAACAGACAGUGAAGCAACCAAAGACGACAAAUACUAGAGUAGUAUAGUUUAGCUAUAAUACUAAUGUAAAAUAGGUAAUGAAGUCAUGUUGUACAUUUGAGUCUGUAUCAUUACAUCUUGGUAAUGUAAAAUGAUGGUAUGUAUCAGCAUGUUAUAUUUUCCCAAAUAUUUCUUUGCUUCAGAUGCCAUCGAGGACUCGUGCGCAUGACGGCGUCGGUACUUCCCGUGGUCGGGAAGACACGACCAAUCCACCGCCUGUACUGCCAACGUUGGUCGAGGCUCUCGCUGCCUUGGUCAAUGCGACCGCUGACAAUACCCGCUUUCUGCGUGAAAUGGCGGGAAAUCAAUUCCAGCAACAAAGCGGAAGGGCUUCUCUGCAGGGACCCCGUGAGACUUAAUACUAGGAUUUCUCGGAAACCCGUCCCCCACUCUUCGUUAAAGUCGAAGACCCUCUGGAAGCUGACGAAUGGGUACGGGUUAUAAAGCAGAAAUUUGGACUCAUCCGCUGCACCGAAACCCAGAAGCCGUUGUUCGCGGCUCAACAGUUAAGAGGCCCUGCCAGUACUUGGUGGGGAAAUUAUGUGGCCAUUCAACCUGCCAGACAUCAGGUCACGUGAGAUGAAAUUAAGUUAGCAUUUUGUGACACUAUAUUCCAGAAGGAGUGCUAUACAUGAAACAGGAGGAAUUCAUGCAACUCAAGCAAGGAGGAGUUACUGUCAUGCAGUAUCUCAACAAAUUUAAUCAUCUAUCCCAGUAUGCAAUUGGUCAAGUAAAUACUGACCUGAAAAGAAGGAAUUGCUUCAUGAGAGGCCUCAAUGACCAGCUUCAAAGAAAGAUGGCCACCUGCCUAGAUAUCUCCUACAACAGGGCUGUCAGCACAGCGCUGGUAGUAGAAGCUAAGAACACAGGCCCAAGAACAUCGAAGGGAUUCAGAGGUGACAAGUCCAAUCAGGGACCUGAGAAGCGACCAAGGUUGGUAAUCCGACCUUUCAAUCAAAAUCGUUCCUCACCUCGUCCACCCUCCUACCCUUUUAAACAGCCUGUCUUCAUUCGCCCUGCCGCUGCCCCCACUUCUACAAGUCAGCCGAGUGCCUCUGGUGCUCAUUUCCCCGCCCUCCCUAGUUCCUCAACUGGUUGCUUCAAUUGUGGGAAGUUUGGACAUUUUAUCGAAGACUGCCCAUAUCCAAGGCAGAACAAAUCCAACAAUGAGCAGAACUCAGGGAGUUCAAAUCAAGGUAAGGGAAACAUGGCAAGUAAUUCAGCGGGCAAGAAUAUUAAGAAGACUGGGUGAAUAUAAUACACGCAAGUGGCCACUACACUGGAGGGAGAGCUGGUUGAUGGGUACGUUUCUUGUGGCUAAUCACCCAGCAGUCAUUCUCUUUGAUUCUAGUGCUUCGCAUACAUUCAUAAGCAAGAAAUUUUAGGUGAAAUAUUGCAUUCCUUGCAUUGAAUCAAGGGAAGGGUUUAUUAUUCAUUCGCAUGGGGGACAAAUAUUCACUAAAGAAGUGGCUUUCCAUGUGCCUGUAACAUUGGCUGAACGGGACUUUUCCACCAACAUGAUUGUUCUGAAAGGCCAAGAUACAGAUGUAAUUCUGGGCAUGAAUUGGUUAGCCCAGCACAAAGCUAUCCUCAACACUGAUUUAAGAACCAUCAGGUUGAGCUAUGGCCAUGAAGAAGUUCUUUUGUUCAUCCUUGUAGCUAUUCCAGCUAAACCAUUUGGUAAAUUCUAUGAAGCUAUCAUACCAGAAAUCCAAGAUAUUCCGGUAGUGUGUGAGUUUCCAGACGUCUUUCCGGAAGAUCUGCCUGGAUUACCUCCAGAAACAGAUGUAGAGUUUGUGAUUGAACUGAAGCCCGGUACGGCUCCUAUUUCUAGAAGGUCAUACCGAAUGCCUCCAAAUGCAUUGGCAGAGCUCAAGACUCAAUUACAAGAUCUACUGGAAAAGGGAUUCAUUCGGCCCAGUUCGUCACCUUGGGGAUGUCCUGCAAUCUUUGUCAAGAAGAAGGAUCAAAUGCUUCGGAUGUGUGUGGACUACAGACCCCUUAAUGUGGUCACAAUUAAGAAUAAGUAUCAUCUUCCCCGGAUUGAUAUCUUAUUUGAUUAGUUUACCGGAGCUUGGGUAUUCUCUAAAAAUGACCUCAGGUCGGGCUAUCAUCAGAUCCGUAUCCGACCCGAAGAUAUACCCAAGGCCUCAUUUACUACGCGGUACGGAUUAUUCGAAUAUUUGGUGAUGUCUUUCGGAUUAAUGAAUGCUCCUACCCACUUCACAUAUCUAAUGAACUCGGUAUUUAUGCCUGAGUUGGACAAAUUUGUGGUGGUCUUCAUUGAUGAUAUCUUGAUUUAUUCCAAGAAUGAAGAGAAGCAUGCUCAACAUCUAUGGAUCAUAUUAACGCGCUUAAAGGAACAUCAAUUAUAUGCUAAAUUCAGCAAGUGUGCAUUUUGGCUGGAGGAAAUCCAAUUUCUGGGAUAUGUACUAUCUGCAAAUGGGAUUGCAGUUGAUCCCAGCAAGGUCAAGGAUAUUUUAGAGUGGAAACCGCCAACCACUGUGCAUCAGGUUCGAAGUUUCCUUGGACUGGCUGGCUAUUACUGCCGAUUUAUCCUAGAUUUCACUAAGCUUGUAAAGCCAAUCACAAGUCUAUUGAAGAAUGAUAUGAAAUUUAACUGGUCCUUAAGAUGCAACGAAGCCUUCGAGCAAUUGAAGGUAUUAUUGACCACUGGUCCGGUAUUGGCUCAACCGGACAUUCAAAAGCCUUUUGAUGUUUAUUGUGAUGCAUCAGGCAGUGGCCUCGGAUGUGUCUUAAUACAAGAGGGCCGAGUUGUAGCCUAUGCUUCAAGACAGUUGCGCCGGCAUGUUGAACAUUAUUCAACUCAUGAUUAGAAUUAGCUGCUGCGGUUCAUGCCCUUAAAAUAUGGUGUCAUUAUGUGCUGGGAAAUAUUUGUCAUAUAUAUACAGAUCAUAAAAGCUUGAAGUACAUUUUUACCCAGUCAGAACUAAACAUGAGGCAGAGGAGAUGGCUUGAUCUGAUUAAGGAUUAUGAAUUAGAAAUUCACUAUCACCCAGGCAAGGCCAACGUGGUGGCAGAUGCACUAAGUCGCAGGGCUUCCUGCCAUUGUCUUACAGUGAAGACUUCUGACAUCACAUUAUGCCAAGAAAUGGAGAAAUUAAACCUGGGAAUGAUUCAACAUGGAACCUUAAAUCAAUUGAAGCUUGAGUCGGUUCUUCUGCAAAAGAUUAUUGAUGCACAAAGAAGUGAUGAGGGUAUGAAACACAUUCAUGAGAAAAUGAAAGCCGGUAAAGCAAACUUUUUCAGAAAGGAUGAUCAAGGCAUAGUAUGGUUUAAUAACCGCAUAGUUGUACCCAAGAAUGAUGAUGUCCGCUAGCAAAUUUUAGAUGAAGCACAUCUUAGUCUAUAUUCCAUUCAUCCUGGAAGCACUAAGAUGUAUCAUGAUUUACAGCAACAUUAUUGGUGGACAAAAAUGAAGAUCGAAAUUGCACGCUAUGUAGCGAGAUGCGACACUUGUAGACGUGUCAAAGCCAUACACAUGAAAACUGCUGGUCCAUUGCAAUCUUUGCCCAUCCCAACAUGGAAAUGGGAGGACAUUAGCAUGGACUUUAUUGUAGGAUUACGCAGGACAGCAAAAGGAUUUAAUUCUAUUUGGGUUAUAAUUGAUCGACUUACCAAGAUCGCCCACUUUCUUCCAGUCAAGGUAAAGUAUAGAGUGGCCACAUAUGCGGAACUAUAUAUUGCUCGUAUUCUCAGUUUGCACGGUGUUCCGAAGACAAUAGUGUCAUAUCGCGGACCUCAAUUUGUAUCCAAAUUCUGGGAGGAACUCCACAAAGCUCUGGGUACUAAGUUGCUCCACAGUUUGGCCUAUCAUCCUCAAACCAGUGGGCAGACUGAAAGAGUAAAUCAAAUACUCGAGGAUAUGUUACAAGCAUGUGUUCUAGAAUUUCCGCAGAAAUGGGAUGAAUGUUUACCACUGGCAGAAUUUUCAUAUAACAAUAGUUAUCAAGAAAGUAUCAAGAUGGCACCCUUUGAAGCUUUGUAAGGACGAUGGUGUCGUACCCCCUUAAAUUGGUCUGAACCAGGAGAAAGGUGGUUUUUUAGGCCUGAUAUGAUUAAAGAAAUGGAAGAAAAAGUUCAACGAAUUAUACAUAAUUUGAAAGAAGCCCAAGCUCGACAAAAGAGUUAUGCAGACAAACGACGCCAACCCUUGUACUUUCGGGUCGAAGACUGUGUAUCUGAAAGUAUCACCAAUGAAGGGUGUAUCUCGUUUCGGGGUAAAAGGAAAGCUUGCACCCUGGUACAUUGGUCCAUUUCCUAUCCUUGAAAGAUGUGGACCAGUGGCGUACCGACUCCAACUACCCAAAAUAUUGUCUGUAGUGCACAAUGUGUUCCAUGUGUCACAAUUGAAGAAGUGUCUUCGGGUUCCAGAUCAAACCAUUGAAGUGACGAAUGUUACCUUGAAACUAGACUUAACAUAUUUAGAACAUCCUAUUCGAGUCCUGGAUCAAAAGGACAGGGUUACCCGAAAAAGAACUCUCAAAUUUUAUAAGAUACAAUGGAACCAACACACUAAAGAUGAAGCUACAUGGGAAACCCAAGACUUUUUAGAAAAGAAUUUCCCAGGCUUUUUAGCUUCGUGUAAUUUGUAAGAUAUGUACAAUUGUUGUAAAAGAAGAGUAGACCCCAUACCACCCCUGCCUUGUACAAGAAAUAAGGAAAUAAAAAUAUGACGUGUUUCCUUUUCCACUACUUGCCCUAGGACUUUUAAUUCUCGGGACGGGAUUCUUUUAUGGGGGGAAGGAUGUAACACCCCUGGUGUUACUAUCACUAAAACUUGAGCAUAACAUCAUGAGCAUUAGCAUAUCAUGUGUUUGUCACACCUAGAGUGCAUUCACUAGGUAAAAAGUUCAAAAAUAUUGGACUGAUAUGACUUGAUGUGUGGUUAAAUCUAGUGUAGAGUACUUAACCCUAAACUAGGCUUAUGAGUGAAAAUGAAACCCAAAUAAGUUAAAAUCUCAAAACUCAUUAGAAAUUAUCAUAAGAUAUCACAUUUGAUGGACUUGGGUAGCACCAAAACCCUAAAGUAUUAAAAACUCAGAAAAGACCCCUGGAAAACCCUAAAUUGGAACCCUAGGGGGCUAAGUGUAAAAUUUGUGCACUUUUGGACCCAAGUGCAAAAACCAAAGUAUUAGAGCACCAUAAGUCAUAUGGUUCACACAUUUGAGGAUUUGCAAGUCAAAUUGUGGGAUUUGGACUAAUUUGCAAAAGUGCCCCAUGAAACCAUAUGUGACUAAGUCUGAAAUUUAGUGUAUAUGGUUAACUUUGGAACCCUAUAUCUCUCAAUCCAUAAAGAGUCCGCCCUAGGUCAACACAUCAAAUUUGUAGAACUAUAAUAGGAGUACAACUUUGCUUAUGUGAUUAAGCCUUGAUCACAUGCAAAAUUUGGAGUAAAAUGAGCACAAACUCGGGAUGUCAGUUAGCCCUAAGUCUGAAUUCUGCUUAACAGUGAAGUUGGAUGAACUUUGGAUUCAAUUCUAGAUCAAGGGAUUAAGCAAAUGAGCAAGAUCUUUACAGCAGAAUUGUAGCUGGAUUAUAGGGCUACAAUUUUGUUACAGGGAUAUUAGCACAUUCUCACACAAAAAUCUAAUAUUAGGGCGCUGCAAACCAUGCUGUCAGGUGCUCUAAAUGACUCCCUGAUGGUACAGUAACAGACAGAUCCCAUAUUUAGCCCCCCUCGCCGCUAGUGAUUCCGCACCGUGAUCGUCGCCGCUGUUGCGAUUCAUGCUCAAUGAAGUGCAGAUAACUACGGUGGGUGAAAGAUCUGGCGCUGGGGAUGAGCUUGGGGCACUAUUGCGCUCGGUCACUCGUCCACUUACACCGGUGACGUGGCCAACCGGCCGUCGUCGAGGUAAACGUCGUCGCCGUGAUCGUGCCACGACCAUGACCCUUUAACCACAUCACUGCUAGCCACAACAGCUCGCCAAUGACCACCGUAGCCCCUCAACAAGUGAGUGCCACGGUAAACCGCACCAAUGAUUCAUCCUCUCUUCUCGACCGCCAGCGCAAUCUCUUCGAAUUGGACGCCACCGCCAUCGGUUCCUAUAAAUUGAGUGAACCGCUAGCUCCGUUAGGUAAUCACGAAGCCAAAGCACCCACUCGUGUCUCGGAUUGUCCACCAGUGAGCUCCAAUUUUGGAUUUCCCCCAAAUCAGUCAAAGCUCCGCCGCGAGUGAGCUCGCCGUGGUCAGCGCACUACAGGUCCGAUCAUGCCAUCCUCGCUCUUGUUUUAGCAUCCCUGUGUGCUUAUGAUGCUUCUCGACCCGGCCAAUUGAGCUAGGACCCAUUGGAUCACCGGGAACGCUUCAUGUUGUCCGUUGAUCGCGCUGUCACCGUGGGUAGUGUGAUUAAGAGCUCAAACUUUGCAAUUAAGUGAGGGGAAAUGGUCGUUUAGGGUUGAAUUUGGUGUCAAGCAAAGGGAAGGGCUAGCCGUUGCCAAUUCUGGCCAGUACGAGCUCGCCGGAGCUCGGCCUGUCGACGUUCGCCGUCGGGGAUCGCGAGUUGUAAAGAAUAGAAAGGGGAAGGGUCUGUUCGAAAAUGUCAGUGACACAACCAAAUAGUGCGCGGGGUUCUUCACCAGUUAUGCAAAACGCUAAGGGCCUCUAUGCAAAUCCGCCAUGUGGGCGCGCGCACGCGGGCACGUUCUCCCUGUACUGGGCUUGUGAUCUUUUUCCUUUUUCUUUUUCUACCAGGCUUUGGAAAUCCAUAGAAAUUUGUAGAAAAAUGCUAAAAAUAUGAGAAAAACUCCUAAAUUUCUAUAGUAUUUAAUAAAGACGAUUUCAAGAUUUUAGUCCAAACCAGAAAUUAUGAAGUAUUUAAAAUAGCCAAAACAUAUACCUCUGGAAGUUUAGAAAUUAAUUAGUAACUCCAAAAAUCACCAAACUUUUUGGAUAAGCUUAAAAUGAUAUUUAGAAACCUUGUGUGAAGUUAGACAUGAUUUGAACACCGUUUGUUACCUAAACCCCAUAACACUAAUCUUCUAAGUAGUGUCUGCCCUAUGAAAUAAAAUACUGACUCCAAAAACCCUAGUUUCCUAGAGUACCGUGAAGGAAAAUUGUAUUCAAGACCUAAUAUGAUGUACCUUUAUUAUCGUUGCGUUUUCAUAAGCAGUACAUGAGCAUUCAUGGUUAUAUAUGAUAUAUAUAGAGAACAAAGAAGAAGUAGUGGUUGAAGAAGAAGGAGUUGCACCACCAACACCUGAAGACCCACCUGCCGGGAACUGCUUUUAUUUCGAUCUUUGUGGAGAAGAGUCCGACUCUCCUAUAACACAAGGCAAGCCCCGGUGCAUUUGCCACCUCCUUGCUAUUUUAAAAUCUUUCUCACUUGCUUGAUGCAUUAGGUGAUAGGAGUUGGGUGCUAAACAAUUGUUGCAUUUCCUUCCUUGGAAGAUUGAUUACCUUUCUUUGAUCACCUGUUUUAUGAAAAGGUUUUUCUAAUGCUUAGUCUUGCUCUAGAAAAACAAAAUGUUUUGUUUUGACAAAAGAUGAUGCUUCAAGUGGGAUGGGAUGUUUUCAAAAAUAAAACUGGAUGGUGGAUCCAUCAUGGUCGUGAUGGGUUCAACAUUGAAAAAGAUGUACCUGUGACAGGUACCAAACUUUGGGGUUUGAAAUGAUAAAGCUAAGUCAGACGGGUGACUUGCACGAGAAGAGAGUGUCGGUGUAGUGUCUCUGUCUGAGUCGAUUAAGGACCGUCUCGAUGUAGGCUUGCUGAUCGAGGACCCUUUUAACUAGUAACAUGUCUCAUCAUGGGUAAGCUUUGCCUCGGGCAAACUAAUAGCAGAAUAAGACAACACACAAUGGGAGUGGAGAGAUGGUGAGAGUAGCGUAUAACCUCUGUGGCAAGAGGCUGGACGGUGGUGUAUCUGUGCACUCGAUUGGCGUGAACCUGAUCUGGUCUUAAGAACCUCGGUGGCGAGUUGACAUAUGCAAGGGUUAAGUGCUACAUAUGUCGUGUGAUUGGAGAUCCCUAGCUGGGUAUUAAUCGAUUCAGAUCGCCGUUACUUCUCGGACAUGAAGACUUGGUCACUGCCCUACACGUAGCAUUCCAAUGAACAAGAAGGGUUGAUAACAAGAUGGAUAGUAUAGGCCAAGUGCUUGAACUAUGGUAGAAAGAACUCUAGAUUCAGGUAAUGAUUUAACUUGCUAAUAAAACUGGAUUUUUAAGGAUCCACUAUUAGUAGGCAUUUCUGUAAACAAAGUCUUGAUUCUUGAUGAAGCCUUACCUUGACUCCCUCAAGCCAGCAUAUCCUUGAGAGUCUUUUAUUUUGACGGGUAAGACUUGCGAAAGUACACUUCAUACUCAGGGUUUUCGAACGCAUGUUGUUGUAGGUGAGGAAGCAGCAAACUUUGGUUGCUUUUGCUCUAAGGUGGUGCCAAAAGAGGAAUCUCAAGAGUGAAGCCUCGGGAGGAUGUUAUCCUCCUUUUAAACACAGUUUAAUGUUAAGCGGGAGGGGUUUUUGCCUCCUGAGUUUGUAAUAAUACUGCUGCACUCAUAUACUACUGGCCUGUAAUAAUAACACUCUUUCUAUAUUUUAAUGUAAAUUAAGUUAAUGUAAUUUCUUCUGCUUAUUUGUUCCUCCGAUGUGUUGUAAUAUCUACGUGAUGGGUGAAACGCUCUUGGGAGAGGUAAAGGAGACAGAUACCGAACUUUUCGAGUGAUCAGGUGCAUCUACAGGGUUGCCCAAGGUCCGUUGGACAAGGACAACUUUAGGUGGGCCUAAUAACUUGGGAGGUUCUGUCGCAUGAGACAAAACUUUUGAGAUAAGUAAAUAACAUAGAGUGGGUCAAGAUAACCAACUUUUGAAAGGACACUAAGGUCAAGGUAAGAGUAGGGGUCUAUAGUCCUUAAGGCGACCAUUCUAGUCUAGGUUAGCGGUCCUACAGUCAGCAAGGCUCUGAUACCACUUAUGUCACACCUGGUUUUGGAAGGUAAACCGAAUGUGAACCAUGUACGUGCCAGGAUCAGAACUCACGUACACAACGAUUACAUAAUUGGACGUCAUCACACAAUGCUCGAAUUAGAUAACGGAAGGGCACUUAAUUACCUGGGGUGGGGUGGUUUGUAAAGCAAGGGUGAGUACACAUCAACAUACUCAGCAAAUGCCCCAUUUGGCUAAAGUGGACUAGCUGUAUGUGGAAUUAAGGUUAAGAAAUUGCUUUUAGUUGGUCAAGUUUUAUUACUAUAAAUAGAGCCAAAUUUUAGUAAUAACCCAGUUAUUACCUAGAGGCACUCCCUCCAAGAGGAAAUACCGGAGAUCAAAUUUAUAACCAUCAUUGCUAUUCAUCAUCAUAAAAGUAACCAAUGUUCUUCUAAUCAAAGAGGAUCCCAAGGCUGCUCUUAACCGUGAGCACGGCUGAUAUACUAGUUUCUAACACUCUACAGAGGUCGCACACUUUACCCACAAGUCGUGAUUCCCAUUCUGCCCGGGAUUCUAGCCUCCCCAUUGAUCACUACCAAGGUGACCUAGCAGGGUCUCACUACGUAGCCUUUACAAAGAUUUCCCAGAGGUCAUAGUCACCGUUAUGUUUCUCCAGUUUGAUAAACACAGUACAUCUCCCCAAAGGAAGGGUGACUAACAAAACCAAAUCAAAGAACCUUUGCAACCAGCCUCGGCAGAGCAAGUACUGAGCCCGGGCCCCAUUGACGGUCCCACGGCGAAGCCAACUACUCCUCUGGUUCCUCUAAUUAAUCAGCUAAGGGCGUCCCAUUCCACCCUCAUGGUUGCACUGUUAUCCCGGGUUGUCACUCCCCAAACUGGUCCUUACGGAGAGGUACUCCGGAAACAGCCUGAGCCCCCUAAAAUAAUCACAAGAACCUCAUCGGGAUAACAUCAUCGUAUCAUGAAUAAUCACAUCAUGUUCAUUGAUUAAGUUAAAGCAAUAACAUAAGCUAACCAUGAUUACCCAAAAGGUAAACAAGGGUAAGGUAAAUACAGACUAGUCAAUCCUUAAGUUUCAAUAAUGUAAUGUGGGACAGUGAAUUAUAAAGUAAAGUAGGACAUGAUAGGUCUGAGGACAGUUGCCUUCACCAGGUUGUUGCUCAGAGGGAUCUUCGACAACACACUCAGGAACCAUGGGCUGCUCGUUGUCUAAAUAAAGCGAUCAUACAUUCAAUACAUUUGGAAAGUACAAAUGAACAUCACAUCAAACAUGUACAAACAUUGGAACACAACUCAAAAGAGGAAGUAUUAAAUAAAGGAGAAUGAGAUCAAGUUAUAAAAUGAACUAAUCUUAAUUGGGGAUUGAUUACUCUCUAAGUGUUGGAACAUAGCUCAAAAAGUAAUGUAGUAAUUAAACAAAGCAAAGAUUAAAUUAUAAGAUGAACUACUCUCAUUUAGGAAUUUGAUUAUCCUUUAAGUGUUAUCCAUAAUUACAUAACGUAAUUCUACUCAUUUCACUGAGACCUAAAAGUUAAACCAGAGGUGAAUUCAUGUAGUACAUAUUGUUAAUCUCACAAGAGUAAAUAUACUUUAACUCCUAGGAUUCUCCUUUUAUUUAUGUCAUUAAAUGAAUAAAUCAACAUAUAAUUUAAUCCUAUAUUCUAAGUGUAAAAUUAAAGUAUACAGACUAUGGCUGGUCAUAAUUUAUUUGAACAGAGAAUAAUUUUAUGAACAUUUUGCAAUUUGAACCACUAAAUUUGGAGUUCAUAUGAAAAAAUAUGAAAUAAACAAGUUUUGAAGUUUGAAAUAUAAAAUUAGGGCUAAAUCUGUGAUUAAUAAAAGUACAGGGGCUAUUCAAAAUAAACCAGGAACUGCGCGUUAAAAUAGAGGACGGCGGAUUGAUUUCCUAAAACCAGGGGGUCUCUUAAGCAAAACUUACACGUGAAGGGGUACGGGGAAACUUCAACCGUCGGAUCAGAGAUCAACGGCAAGGAUUAGAUCGCGUAGGCGCGGGCACGCGGACGCGGCUUACAGGCGGGGCCAGGGCGUUAGCGAGCCCGGGCGGGCUCGCCAACCGGGCCUAGAGGCAGAGACGCAGGUGAGGGGGAAGAGAGAGAGGCGGCUAGAUCUGGAUCGGAGGGCUGUGAUCAGAUUCGCUCUGGUUAAAUCUAAAGUGCCUGAUCUCGGACAGACGCCCGAGAUCUAAUGGCCAGGGGCGGACACAGGCACGGUGGCGCUGCUAAGGUCCAUGGCGAGAGCUCGCUGGAGACAAGGGGGCUGGCCACGGCGGGGCUCCAGAGGCUUGGGGGCUAGUUCGGGCGUGCUCAUCAGGGCGGUCUGGCGGACUCGACCAUGGGUAUCAUGCCGGCGCGGAAGCACCAGAAUGUGCUGCACACGGCGAGGCGGGCUAACGGCGGCGUGGGACAGCUCCGACGAGAAAUCGCACGAGCAACAGAGCAGCGAUGACCAAAUUAAGGGUGCGGGUGGGUUCCUCACCUUGAGGGGAAGCGCUGGAGUCAAGGGGCAACGGCGGAGGCGCAAGGAAGCGACAGGGCGACGGCAGCGAGGCUUCGGCUGCGCAAGAAUCGCUCCGGUGAGCGCGGACCGGACGAACCAGAGAGGGGAAGGGCACACCGAUGGGUGUCCCGAGCAGCUAACGGCGAGGCGGAACUUACCGUGGCACGGGACUGGGCACAGACGCGACGGUGACCGCAGAACGGGCAGCAGUCGACGACGGGCGGUGAUGGAGCUCUCUGCUCGCGCGGACAGAGCGAGAGAGAGGGCGAGGGGGUUUGGCAUAGGGCGCAAAUGAGCGAGGGGAGGUGGGCGAGCAGGGCGCGGGGCUCAAAAGGGGCACGGGCGCGAGGACAUGGGUAGAGAACACGCGGUCGUGGGCGCGUCCACGGCGGGGAGAUCGUGGGCGAGAGGUUAGGGACGGCUGACAGGUGGGGACGACGGGACAGAGAGAGAGAGAGGGCGCGACCUGAGAGAGAGAGAAAAGUAACACCUGAAUUUGGAUGAUACUGAGAAAGAAAUUUUAUACCCCCAAAUUCAGGGUGUUACAACAUGCUUCCACGAUCUCACAAGGUCAAAUGUAGCAAGGGGCUAACUUGCCUUUGAUCCCAAACCUUUGCACUCCUUUGGUGGGUGAUACUUUAGAUAUACGAAAUCUCCCACUUCAAACUGGAGGGGUUUUCUUCUCUUAUCAUGGUAACUCUUCUGCCUGGCCUGAGCAGCUUCUAGAUUCUUCCUGAUCAAUUUGACUUUCCUUUCGACUUCAGUCACUAAGUCAGGUCCAAAAAAUUCCCUUUCUCCAGGCUGAGACCAGUUGAGGGAUGUUCGACACCUUCUUCCAUAUAGGGCUUUGAAGGGUGCCAUCUUUAGGCUGGAUUGAUAACUGUUGUUAUAAGCAAACUCUACCAACGAGAGGUACUUAUCCUAGUUCUUGCCGCAAUCGAUCGCACAAGCCCUUAGCAUAUCUUCAAGAAUUUGAUUGACCCUUUCGGUCUGACCAUCAGUGUGGGGGUGGUAAGCUGAACUCCUUAUUAGCUUGGUUCCCAAAGACUCUUGAAAUUGCUCCCAAAAUCUGGCAACAAAUUGGGCUCCUCGAUCAGAAACAAUGGUCCGAGGUAACCCGUGCAAACACACGAUUCGGUCAAUAUAUAGUUCUGCAAACUUCUGAGCCUUAUCGGUGGUGUGCACUGGAAGAAAAUGUGCCACUUUUGUCAAUCGGUCCACAAUGACCCAAAUCGAAUCAUGAUGCCGAGAGGUGUUGGGCAGACCCACAAUUAAAUCCAUGCUGAUGCCAUCCCAUUUCCAUGAAGGUAUUGAUAGGGGUUGCAAGGCACCAGCUGAUUUUAAGUAGCUCGCCUUUAUCCUCUGACAUGUGUGACAUUCCGAUACAUACUGAGCUAUUUCCCUCUUCAUUCUGGUCCACCAAUACAAGGGCUUCAGAUCAUGGUACAUCUUGGUGCUUCCCAGAUGAAUGGAAAAUUUGGAGAGAUGAGCCUCAUCCAAAAUUUUCUUCUUGAGAUCUUUAUUUUUAGGGACCACCAAUCUGUCUUCAAACCACAAUAUCCUCUUGCUAUCUUGACAAAAACACUUAUUCUUUUCCGCUUUCUGAUGGAGGUUUUCCAUAAUAAUUUGCACUCCCUUGUCACUGAGUUGGGCCAUAAUUAUCUGGUCUUGCAAGGUUGGCUCAAUGGAAAUGUGAGACAAGGCACCAGAAGGAAUCACUUUGAUCUUCAUCUUGCUCAACUCAUCACACAAGGUAUUGAUGCAAGAAUCCAUCAUAACACAGUUGCAUUGUGACUUCCGACCCAAGGCAUCCGCUACCACAUUGGCUUUCCCCGAGUGGUAGUGUACUUCCAAAUCGUAGUCCUUGAUCAGCUCUAGCCAUCUUCUCUGCCUCAUGUUGAGAUCAGCCUGAGUAAAUAUGUACUUGAGGCUCUUAUGAUCUAUGUAGAUGUUGUAGUGGGUUUCGAUCAAAUAGUGCCACCACAUUUUUAAUGCAUGAACCAUGGCUACUAACUCCAAGUCAUGAGUGGGAUAAUUUUUCUCAUGAGGCCUAAGUGCCCUUGAUGUGUAGGCAAUGACCCGGUUGUCUUGCAUCAAAACACAACCCAGUCCAGUGCCAGAGGCAUCACAUUACACAUCAAAUGGCUUGUUGUUAUCUAGUUACGCUAACACGGGUGCUGUGGUCAGAUGCUGCCUCAAGGUGUGGAAAGCAUCUUCACACUUCUGACCCCAAUCAAAUUUGGCUCCCUUCUUUAACAAUUCAUUCAUGGGCUUCGCAAUUCGAGAGAAGUCUGGAAUGAAUCUUCGAUAAUACCGGCCAAUCCCAGAAAACUUUGAAUCUGACAGACAGUUGUUGGCGGCUUCCAGUUCAUCACUUCUUGCACUUUAUCUGGAUCAACAACUAUGCCAUCCUAAGAGAUAGUGUGACCCAAGAAUUUGGUUUCUUUCAGCCAAAAAUCACAUUUUGACAGUUUGGCAUAAAGACGGUGCUCUCGCAGACGUUGCAGCACUACAUGCAAAUGACCGACAUGCUCUUCUGUGUUUCUUGAGUACACCAAGAUAUCAUCGAUGAAGACCACCAUAAAUUUGUCUAGUUCAGGCAUGAAUACUGAAUUCAUCAGAUACAUGAAGUAUGCUGGCGCAUUAGUUAACCCAAACGACAUCACCAAAUACUCAUAUAACCCAUAUCUGGUUGAGAAGGAAGUCUUUGGAAUAUCACUUGCGUGUAUCUUGAUCUGAUGAUAGCCGAAGCGAAGGUCUAUCUUUGAAAACACUUUGGCUCCAACCAAUUGAUCGUAAAGAACAUCAAUACGAGGCAAAGGAUACUUGUUUUUGAUAGUCACCGCAUUGAGUGGGCGGUAAUCUAUACAUAGCCUCAAGCUUUCAUAUUUCUUCUUCACAAACAAGGCUGGACAUCCCCAAGUUCAAGUACUUGGGUGGAUGAAACCCUUGUCCAACAACUCUUGCAGAUGUUUCUUCAAUUCUGCCAAUUCAGCGGGUGGCAUUUGGUAAGGCCUCUUGGAAAUAGGUGUCGUUCUCGGUUGCAACUCGAUGGCAAAUUCAAUAUCCCGGUCUGGUGGCAUUCCUGGCAACUCAUCAGGAAAAACAUCUACAUGCUCACAGACCACUGGAAUUUUCUUCAAGGGUAACUCUAUCAUAGGAAAAGCACACGAUCGAGUGGGUUCUUGGCUGGGUAAAUCCAAUGUAAGGUCUCCAAGGGUAGGAGAACGGAUUUCCAGAGCUCUGGCAGCUAUAUCCAACACCACCCGAUGUUGAGUCAUCCAGUCAGCUCUGAGACUGAUGUCCAUACCCUCUAAUCCCAAAAUCAGGAGUGUGGUUUUGAAGAUUUAACUUCCCAGUGAGAUAGGCACACUUUGAUUUAAUUGAUUUGUUGCAAUUUUGCCCCUAGGUGUUGCUAUCAUGAAAGACCGUUUUUGUAUGAUAGAAAGGUAGUUGGCAUUUAACGCUAAACUUCUGGCUAACGAAGCUAUGUGAUGCACCAGAAUCAAAUAGAAUUAAUGCAAGUUGAUUAAAAACUGAAAAGAUACCAGUCAUGACGGGGGCUCCUUCAGGUAGCUCCUCUAGAGUAGUGAAAUUGAGCUUCCCUUGUCUGACUUGCACCUUCUGCUUCCUCCCUCUGUCUUGAUUUGGUGCUGGCAUCUGCCUCUGCUGAUUCCGUGGGCAAUUCUUGGCAUAGUGGCCUACAUUGCCACAUGUGAAGCAUUUGUUUCAAUUCCCAUGGCUGAACUGCUGCUGCUACUGAGGUUGAUUGUUCUUUGGAGCGGGAGAGGGGAAACAGUUUUGUGCUUGCUGCUGUUGCGGCGGCCUAAUCACCCAUCUUCCUGCCUGCUGCUAAAAACCUCUGCUCUGAUUGUUGGAGACAAUCCUGAACCUCUAGGGUGGAUCUGAGGGUCCUGACAUUGGUGCUUUCCUUUUCUUCUCUGUCAGGCGAGCUACAAUAUAGUCUUCCUGUGAUAUGGCCAAGUUGAGCAACUCAUUGAAACUGUCAACCCGAACUGUGUUGAGACGCUCACGCAGCUUGGUGUUGAGACCCCUGUGGAAACGGUCUCUCUUCUUCUCAUAAGAAUCUACGUGAUAACCCGCAUACUAGCACAGGUCAUUGAAGGCCUGGGCAUACUGCAGCAUAGUGCGGGUUCCCUGAGUUAAUGUCAUAAACUCAUUCAGCUUGUGAUCCAGAAUCCCUGCUGGAAUGUGGUGUCCCCUGAAAGCAGUCUUGAAUUCCUCCCAUGUCACUUCAUGAUCAGCAGGUACCAUGGCACAGAAAUAGUCCCACCAUGUCCGAGCAGGUCCGCGAAGCUGCUGCGUGGCAAAACUAGUCUUGGUGUCAUCAGGGCAAGAUCCCAUGAGGAGGGGAAACUUGGACUCCACGACUCGUAGCCACACAUCGGCGUCAAGCAGAUCCUCUGCCUUGGUGAACAAGGGCGGUUGCGUGCUCAAGAACUCUUGAUAGGUUGCCACGACCGGAGGUCGCUGCGGCUGGCCUCCACCAUACUACUGAGGGUGGGGCUGGCGCUGCAAAAGUUGUCGCAAAAUUUCAUUCUGUUGAGCCAUCAGCUCCUGCACUGUGGGAGCUGGAGGAGGUGGGGGGGGAACUUGCUCAUUCUGCCCGCGACGCUCCCUAGCUGCCAUCUGAAAACAAAAUUUAUCGCCAUUGUUAUCCCGAUUCACGAUUCCGAACAAUAUUCCUUAUAUCAUGCGGAAAGAAAAUGUCACAACAUCAAAUUGGACUAGGAUAACAUGAUUGCAUUCACUUCAUUACUCACAAAAGUUUUUCCUGGGUUACAUCAAUUUAGGGGAAAGCACCCAUAAGCCUAGUCCAAAAUCUGGUGCCAAACUAAGCUCGCCUGGGUUUCUAUCGACCUAGUGCGUCAAGCAAACCCAUCAACCCUGAGUAGUAGAAGCGACACUGGAUACGGGCGAAGGGGGCAUCUCGGAGGGAGUCGCAUUGGUACCAGGGCCUGGUCCUAACUCCUCGGGAGCCUCCUCUCCCUCGCUUUCGGCAUCGUUUGCCUCCAUAUCCUGGUGGUGCAUCUCCAGGUGGUCGUUAGCUUCCUCAAGCUCUUCCUGCACAUUACGGAGCUGGUUCUCCAGGACAUCAAUGGUGUUGUCCCGGAUCUCCACCUGCUGUUCCACCUGUAGGUCCUUCUCCACCAACUCUGAAGACCUCCCAGCUGUUGAGGGUGAGCUUAGUUGUGACGGAACCUCCCAAGUCAUUAGGCCCACCUACUGUUGUCCUUGUCCAGCGGACCUUGGACAACCCUGUAGAUGCACCUGAUCACUUGAUAAGUUCGGUAUCUGUAUCAUUACUUUGCCCAAGAGCGUUUCACCCGUCACGUAGAUAUUACAACACAUCGGAUUAACGAAUAAGAGGAAGCAAUUAUAGUAACUUAAUUUACAUUAAAAUAUAGAAGGAGUGUUAUUAUUACAGACCAGUAGUAUAUGAGUGUAGAAAUAUUAUUAUUACAAACUCGGGAGGCAAAAACCCCUCCCGGUUAAAAGUAUAAUGUUUUUAACAGGAGGACAACAUCCUCCCGAGGCUUCACUCUUGAGAUUCUUCCUUUGGCACCACCUUAGAGCAAAAGAAACAAAAGUUUGCUGCUUCCUCACCUACAACAACAUGGGUUCGAAACCAUGAGUACGAAGUGUACUUUCGCAAGUCUUACCCGUCAAAAUAAAAGACUCUCAAGGAUAUGCUGGCUUGGAGGAAGUCAAGGUCAGGCUUAAUCAAGAAUCAAGACUCUGUUUGCAGAAAUGCUUACUAAUAGUGGAUCCUUAAAAAUCCAGUUUUAUUAGAAAGUUAAGUCAUUACCUGAAUUUAGAGUUCUUUCUACCCUAGUUCAAGCACUUGGCCUAUACUAGCCAUCUUUUUAUCAACCCUUCUUGUUUACUGGAAUGCUACGUGUAGGGCAGUGACCAAGUCUUCAUGUCCGAGAAGUAAUGGCGAUUCGAAUCGAUUAAUACCCAGCUGGGGAUCUCCAAUCACAUGACAUAUGUAGCACUUAACCCUUGCAUAUGUCAACUCGCCACUAGGGUUCUUAAGACCAGAUCAAGUUCACGCCAACCGAGAGCACAGAUACACCACCGUCCAACCUCUUACCAUGGAGGGUACACGCUACUCUCGCCAUCUCUCCACUCCCAUUGCGUGUUGUCUUAUUCUAGUAUUAGUCUGCCUGAGGCAAAGCUUACCCAUGAUGAGGCAUGUGACCAGUUAAAAUGUCCUCAAUCGUCAAGCCUACAUCGAGACAGUCCUUAAUCGACUCAGACGGAGACACUACAUCGAGACUCUCUUCUCGUGCAAGUCACCCGCCCGGUCUCAGUUUUAUCAUUUUAAACCCAAAGUUUGGUACCUAUCAGAGGUACAUCUUUUCCGAUGUUGAACCCAUCAUGGCCACGAUGGAUCCACCAUCAAGUUUCAUCUUUGAAAACAUCCCAUCCCAUUUGAAGCAUCAUAUUUUGUCAAAACAAAACAUUUUGUUUUCUAGAGAAAGACUAAGCAUCAGAAAACCCUUUUCAUAAAACAGGUGAUCAAGGAAAAGUAAUCAAUUUUCCAAGGAAGGAAAUGCAUUAAUUGUUUAGCACACAACUCCUAUUACCUAAUGCAUCAAGCAAGUGAGAAAGAUUUUAAAAUAGCAAAGAGGUGGCAAAUGCACCGGGGCUUGCCUUGUGUUAUAGGAGAGUUGGGCUCUGCUCCACAAAUAUCAAAAUAAAAGGAGUUCCUGGCAGGUGGGUCUUCAGGUGGUGGUGGUGCAACACCUUCUUCUUCAACCACUACUUCUUCUUCGUUCUUUAUAUAUAAUCAUAUAUAACCAUGAAUGCUCAUGUAAUGCUUAUGAAAAUGCAGUAAUAGAAAAGGUUUAUCAAGUUGUAUCUUGAAUACAAUUUUCCUUCACGGUACUCCAGGAAACUAGGGUUUUUGGAGUCAGUAUUUUAUUUCAUAGGGCAGACACUACUUGGAAGAUUAGGGUUUUGGGGUUUAGGUAUCAAACAUUGUCCAAAUCAAGUCAAACAUCACCCAAGGUUUCUAAAUAUCAUUUUAGGCUUAUCCAAAAAGUUUAGUGAUUUUUGGAGUUAUUAAAUAAUUUCUAAAAUUCCAGAGGUAUAGGUUUAAGUCCCUUUUAAACACUAUAUAAUUCCUUGUUUGGACUAAAAAUCCUAAAACUAUUUUUAUUAAAUACUAUAGAAAUUUAGGAGUCCAACAAAAUUGGUCUCAUAUUUUUGGCAUUUAUCUAGAAUUUUCUAUGAUUUCUUUAAUCGUGGCAGAAAAAAGAAAAAAAAGAAAGGGUGAACAGUGGUUAGCUGAAACUGGCCCGAGUCGGCCCACGAACGGGGAAAUACGAGCGCGCCUGCUCCCUCGUUGCUGGUAUUGCGAAAAGGCCCCUGGUUAAUCAAAUAACUGAUGAAGAACCCCUAACCAUUAUUCAUUGUCUCUGACAAAUGCAAAGAGGUCCUCCGACUUCUGUUUCUUCUCCAACCUGACUCAUGGCCACGACGCGCUCGCCGUCGACCACCUUGUUGCUCGGACUGGCCAUGACCGGCGUUGGCUGCCCAAAUUAACUAAUGGGCAAGCAUUACCGACCCAAGGCGAACCUAGAACAAGCCUUAAUUGAGUUAAUCCGGCCCUGGAUUCACCUACCCACGAUGACGGCGGUCACCGAGGUCAAACCGAGGCGUUCCUGACGAGUAAGCACAGUCUAGCUCAUUUAAUUGAGCCGACAAGCAUCACAAGCAUGCGAGGGUGCUAAAACAUGAAUAAGGAGGGUGAGUGCGGACCUGAGAGCGGCUAGCCCCGACGGGGUGAUUCACGGCGGCGCAUAUGAUCAAUUUGGGGGAAAACCCAAAUUCUACGGCUAUGGUGGCUAAUUGGAGAUGAGAGUUAGUGUCCUGGGUUCGUAAUAACUUGGCGAACUAGAGUGGGGCAUCAAUUUAUAGAAGCUUUAGGCGACGGCUCCAAAUUUGGGAGGAGAGUGGUGCUUAUCUCCCUGGUGAGGCAAUCACCGAGGCUACCAUGGAGCGCCUGUGUUCACCUUGCGCCUGUCACUAUCUCGGGGAUGCCACAAUCACGGCAAUGUGGUGAAUCAGGCGACUACGUGUCCCUUGCUGCGAUCACGGCGAGCACCGGCGGAGAUAUUCUACCGACCGCGCGGGCAAGUGGGUACGACGGUGACUCAGCCCCGGCGAAGACCUUCUUCCCCGAGAUCUUUUUAACCCUCACGGUUAUCUACUCCUUAUUAGCAUGAAUCGUGGCAUCAGCGUGAAUCGCAGUGUGGAGGUCACCAGCGACGAGGUACCCAGAACUUGGCGAUCUGAUCCAAUCACUGUACCAUCGCGCUAGUCAUUAGUGGUUCUGACAGAGCGAUUUGUAGUGCUUCGUUCUUCAAUUUUUAUGUAACAACUUGAUCUUCGGCCAGCAGGGAAAUUGUUGCCCUAUAAUCCCUUUCUAACUUUGUUAUAGUGUCCACCAUCAAAUAGUCACAAGAUCCUACUCAAAAUCGAUUUCUAAGUUCAUCCAACUUCACUGUUAAUCAGAAUUCAAACUUAGGGCUGACUGACAGCCCGACUUUGUGCUCAUUUUACUCCAAAUUUUGCAUGUGAUCAAGGCUUAAUCACAUAAGCAAAGUUGUACUUAUAUGAUAGCUCUAUAACCUUGAUGUAUUGACCCUGGGCAAAUUCCUUGUAAGUUCAGGAAUAUAGAGCUACAAAGUCAGCCCUAUGCAACUGAAUUUAGACUUAGGCAUAUGGAGCAUAUGAGGUGCUUUUGCAAUUAAGUCCAAAUUUCACAAUUUGAUUUGCAAAUCCUCAAUUUUGUGAAACAUAUGAUUUAUGGUGCUCUAAUACUUUGGUUUUUGCACUUGGGUCCAAAAGUGCACAAAAUUUACAUUUAGCCCCCUAGGGUUCCAAUUUAGGGUUUUCUAGGGUUUUUAGUACUCUAUGGUUUUGGUGUUACCCAAGUCCAUUAAAUGUGAUAUCUUAUGAUCAUUUCUAAUGAGUUUUGAGACUUUAACUUAUUUGGGCUUCAUUUUCACUCAUAUGCCUAGUUUAGGGUUAAGUACUCUACCCUAGAAUUACACACAUACCAAGUCACACCAAUACAACUUGUUUGAAAUUUUUUCCUAGUGAAUGCACUCUAAGUGUAACAAACACAUGAUAUGCUAAUGCUCAUGAUGUUAUGAUCAAGUUUUAGUAACAGUAACACCAGGGGUGUUACAUCCUUCCCCCCAUUAAACAAUCUCGUCCCGAGAUUAAAAGUCCUAGGGCAAGUAGUGGAAAAGGAAACGCGUCAUAUUUUUAUUUCCUUAUUUCUUGUACAAGGCAGGGGGUGGUAUGGGGUCUACUCCUCUUUUACAACAAUUGUACAUAUCUCACAAAUUACAUGAAGCUAAAAUGCCUGGGAAAUUCUUUUCUAAAAAGUCUUGGGUUUCCCAUGUAGCUUCAUCUUUCGUAUGUUGGUUCCAUUGUAUCUUAUAAAAUUUGAGAACUCUUCUUCGGGUAACCCUGUCCUUUUGAUCCAGGACUCGAACACGAUGUUCUGAAUAUGUUAAAUCUGGUUCCAAGAUAACAUUCGUCACAUCAAUCGUUCGAUCAAGAACCCGAAGGCACUUCUUCAAUUGGGACACAUGGAACACAUUAUGCACUGCAGACAAGGUUUCGGGUAGUUGGAGUCGGUAUGCCACUGGUCCACAUCUUUCAAGGAUAGGAAAUGGACCAAUAUACCAGGGUGCAAGCUUUCCUUUUACCCUGAAACGAGAUACACCCUUCAUUGGUUAUACUUUCAGAUACACAUAGUCUUCAACUUGAAAGUACAAGGGUUGGCGUCGUUUGUCUACAUAACUCUUUUGUCGAGCUUGUGCUUUUUUCAAAUUAUGCAUAAUUCAUUGAACUUUUUCUUCCAUUUCUUUAACCAUAUCAGGCCUGAAAAACCAUCUUUCCCCUAGUUCAGACCAAUUUAAUGGAGUAUGGCACCGUCGUUCAUAUAAAGCUUCAAAAGGUGUCAUCUUGAUACUUUCUUGAUAACUAUUGUUAUAUGAAAAUUCUAUCGGUGGUAAACAGUCAUCCCAUUUCUACAGAAAUUCUAAAACACAUGCUCGCAACAUGUCUUCAAGUAUCUGGUUCACUCUCUCAGGCUAUCCACUUGUUUGGGGAUGAUAGGCCGAACUGUGAAGCAACUUAGUACCCAAAGAUUUGUGGAGUUCUUCCCAGAAUUUGGAUACAAAUUGUGGUCCGCAAUCUGACACUAUUAUUUUUGGGAUCCCGUGCAGACUGAGAAUACGAGCAAUGUAAAGUUCUGCAUAUGUCAUUACUAGAUACUUUACCUUUACUGGAAGAAAGUGGGCGGUCUUUGUAAGUCGAUCAAUGAUAACCCAGAUAGAAUCAAAUCCUUUUGUUGUCCUGGGUAAUCCCACAAUGAAGUCCAUGCUAAUGUUCUCCCAUUUCCAAGUCGGGAUGGGCAAAGAUUGCAGUGGACCAACAGUCUUCAUGUGUAUGGCUUUGACACGUCGGCAAGAGUCACACAUCGCCACAUAGCGUACAAUUUCAAUCUUAAUUUUUGUCCACCAAUAAUGUUGCUUUAAAUCAUGAUACAUCUUAGUGCUUCCGGGAUGGAUGGAAUAUCGACUAAGAUGUGCUUCAUCCAAAAUUUGCUGACGGACAUCAUCAUCUUUAGGCACAACUAUGCGGUUAUUAAACCAUACAAUGCAUUGAUCAUCCUUUCUGAAAUAGUUUGCUUUACCGUCCUUUAUUUUCUCAUGAAUGUGUUUCAUACCCUUAUCACUUCUUUGUGCAUCAAUAAUCUUUUGUAGAAGAACUGACUUAAGCUUCAAUUGAUUUAAGGUUCCAUGUUGAAUCAUUCCCAGGUUUAAUUUCUCCAUUUCUUGGCAUAAUGUGAUGUCAGAAGUCUUUAUUGUAUGACAAUGGCAGCAAGCCUUGCGACUUAGUGCAUCUGCCACCACGUUGGCCUUGCCUGGGUGAUAGUGAAUUUCUAUUUCAUAAUCCUUAAUCAGCUCAAGCCAUCUCCUCUGCCUCAUAUUUAGUUCUGACUGGGUAAAAAUGUACUUCAAACUUUUAUGAUCUGUAUAUAUAUAUAUAUGACAGAUAUUUCCCGGCAGAUAAUGACGUCAUAUUUUAAGGGCAUGAACCACAAUAGCUAAUUCUAAGUCAUGAGUUGGAUAAUGUUCCUCAUGCCGGCGCAACUGUCUUGAAGCAUAUGCUAUAACUCGGCCCUCUUGCAUUAAGACACAUCCGAGACCACUGCCCGAUGAGUCAUAAUACACAUCAAAAGGCUUUUCAAUAUUCGGUUGAGCUAAUACCGGAGCAGUGGUCAAUAACACCUUCAGCUGCUCGAAGACUUCGUUGCAUCUUGAGGACCAGUUAAAUUUUGUAUCAUUCUUUAACAAGCUUGUGAUUGGCUUCACAAGCUUGGAGAAAUCCGGGAUAAAUCUGCGGUAAUAGCGAGCCAGUCCAAGGAAACUUUGGACUUGAUGUACAGUGGUUGGUGGUUUCCACUCUAAAAUAUCCUUGACCUUGCUAGGAUCAACCGCAAUCCCAUUUGCAGAUAGUACAUGUCCUAGAAAUUGGAUUUCCUCCAGCCAAAACGUGCACUUGCUGAAUUUAGCAUAUAGUUGAUGUUCCCUUAAGCGCGUUAAUACGAUCUGUAGAUGCUAAGCAUGCUCCUCUUCAUUCUUGGAAUAUAUCAAGAUAUCAUCAAUGAAGACCACCACAAAUUUGUCCAACUCAGGCAUAAAUACCGAGUUCAUUAGAUAUGAGAAGUGAGUAGGAGCAUUCGUUAAUCCGAAAGACAUAACCAAAUAUUCGAAUAAUCUGUACCGCGUAGUAAAUGCGGUCUUGGGUAUAUCUUCGGGUCGGAUACGGAUAUGAUGAUAGCCCGACCUGAGGUUAAUUUUGGAAAAUACCUAAGCUCCGGUAAGCUGAUCAAAUAAAAUAUCAAUCCGGGGAAGAGGGUACUUGUUCUUGAUUGUGACCUCAUUAAGGGGUUUAUAGUCCAUGCACAUCCGAAGCGUUUGAUCCUUCUUCUUAACAAAGAUUGCGGGACACCCCCAAGGUGGUGAACUGGGCCGGAUGAAUCACUUCUCUAGUAGAUCUUGUAAUUGAGUCUUGAGUUCUGCCAACUCAUUUGGAGGCAUUCCGUACGACCUUCUAGAAAUAGGAGCCGUACCGGGCUUUAGUUCAAUCACAAACUCUACAUCUCUUUCUGGAGGUAAUCCAGGCAGAUCUUCAGGAAAGAUGUCCGAAAACUCACACUACCGGAAUAUCUUGGAUUUCCGGUAUGAUAGCUUCAUAGACUCUGCCAAAUGGUUUAGCUGGAAUAGCUACAGGGAUGGACAAAAGAACCUCUUCAUGGCCAUAGCUCAACCCGAUGGUUCUUAAAUCAGUGUUGAGGAUAGCUUUGUGAUGGGUUAACCAAUGCAUGCCCAGAAUUACAUCUAUAUCUUGGCCUUUUAGAACAAGCAUGUUGGUGGGAAAGUCCUGCUCAGCCAAUGUUACGGGCACAUGGAAAGCCACUUCUUUAGUGAAUAUUUGUCCCCCAGGCAAAUGAAUAAUAAACCCUUCCCUUGAUUCAAUGCAAGGAAUGCAAUAUUUCUCCACAAAUUUCUUGCUUAUGAAUGUAUGCGAAGCACUAGAAUCAAAGAGAAUGACUGAUGGGUGAUUGGCCACAAGAAACGUACCCAUCAUUACCAGCUCUCCCUCCGGUGUAGUGGCCACUUGAGUGUAGUAUAUUCGCCUAGUCUUCUUAAUAUUCUUGCGUGCUGAAUUAUUUGCCAUGUUUCCCUUGCCUUGAUUUGAGCUCCCUGAGUUCUGCUGAUUGUUGGAUUUGUUCUGCCUCGGAUAUGGGCAGUCAGUUGAGGAACUAGGGAGGGCGGGGAAACGAGCACCAGGGGCACUCGGCUGACUUGUAGAAGUGGGGGCAGUGGCAGGGUGAAUGAAGACAGGCUGUUUGAAUGGGUAGGAGGGUGGACGAGGUGAAGAACGGUUUUGAUUGAAAGGUCGGAUUACCAACCUUGGUCGCUUUUCAGGCCCCCUAAUUGGACAUGUCACCUCUAAAUCCCUUAGAUCUUCCUUGGCCUGUAUUCUUAGCUUCUACUGUCGGCGCUGUGCUGACAGCCCUGCUGUAUGUGAGAUCUAGGCAGGUGGCCAUUUUUCUUUGAAGCCGGUCAUUGAGGCCUCUCAUGAUGCAAUUCUUCUUUUUCAGGUCAGUAUUUACUUGAUCAAUUGCAUACUGGGAUAAAUGAUUAAAUUAGUUGAGAUACUGCUGUUGGGGGCCUUCGUCUUCUGAAGAUCCUCAAAAACAUGAUUUAACAAUGUUUCUGGAGAAUAAUACAUGAACAGGUACCUUCAGACUCGAAUCAGAACCAUAAUGUGAAGAGCACAAACAAUACGAAGGUUGACGCAGAGCCGAACAUAUGCGCAAGGGAGCUUCGACAUGAUAGCAGAAAAGGGAACCGACUUAAAAGGGAAAAGGCUAUUUAGACCUCGAUGGAUCAUUAUAGAGUCAUUAGCAAAUGUAAAGGGCAUGAGUGUAACUUUACAUGGGCUGCGUCCCGUGCCUAUAAAUAGAUGAACAGUGCUCCUGUACUAUUCACGCUGACUUGGCAUUUUGCUUUUGCGUCACACUCGUACCUUUACCUUCUUUCAAGCCGAAGGUACAUUUGUAAUUUGAUGUCAUUUCUAUUUUUCCAUGAUAAUAAAGUAGAAAUGAGCUGAUAAUGUUACAUAUUUGUUCAUGUUAUCUCUUACAUUCCAUAUGAUUCUCCUUUUAUUAUCCUAUGCUACAAUCAUGAAGGUAUGUCCUUCAUGACCUUCGUCUGAAGAUCAUUACAUCCUAAGGGAAAUAAUGCUUCGGAGGACGAAGGACAUUAACAUUUAAUAUUUUGUGUUGCCUUGUUCUUAACUCAUGGCAUUUGAGAACAAGUCCCCAACAUUGGCGCCCACCUCCGGUGAACUCUUUUCGACCACCUUCGGCAAGCACUGACCUUCAUCAUGCCACCGAAGAAAGCUUCAGCGAUAGGGGCUGCCACUUUGUAGCCACUAGACCCAAACUAGGAGACCCUUUCUCUUCGAGAGGCCCGAAGCCAGAAGAGGAAGGCCACUAGUCCAACACUCCAGGAGGAGGAGUUGGACCAAGAAAUCAGAAAUAUGGAGAUGCUUCAUCAACAAGUACAAAGGAAGAAGGAGAAGAUGGCCCGACUAGCUGAUCUUCAAAGGCAGAUUGACGAAGCCACUGAAGAAGUAUGCCAUCUUGCUCAAGACAAACAAGAGCGAAGGCCCCAACAUAGGGAGCUUCACCAAGAAGGUUUCUUCAACGAGGAUGGAUGGUAUGAUGAUUUCAAUCAUGACACCUUUACCUUUGACGAUGCUUCUCCCUUAGCAGCAGAACUGCAGGCUAUCCCAUGGCCUCCAUCAUACAAGCCACCUCAGCUCCCCAUGUAUGAUGGACAUUCAGACCCGAAGCAGUUUUUGAUGAGUUAUGAAGCAACUAUAUCUUCAUAUGGAGGCAAUGCAGCUGUCAUGGCCAAGUCCUUCGUCAUGGCAGUUAAGAAUGUGGCCCAAACGUGGUAUUCUUCUCUUCGGCCAGGAACUAUUACUUCAUGGAAGAAGCUCAAGGACAUGCUGGUGAUAAGUUUCCAAGGCUUUCAGACGAAGACAGCCACAGCUCAGGCUCUAUUUCAAUGCACGCAAGAUCAUGAGGAGUAUCUUCAGGCAUACGUCCGAAGGUUCUUGCGUUUGAGAGCACAAGCGCCUACAGUGCCCAAUGAAAUUGUCAUUGAGGCCAUGAUGAAGGGGCUUCAUCCAGGACCUACUGCCCAGCAUUUUGCUAGAAAGCCUCCACAGACUUUGGAAAAGCUGCUUCAAAAGAUGGAUGAAUACAUCCGGGCUCACAAUGAUUUUCGCCAAAGAAGGGAACAAUCCUACAGGUUCUCUGAGAUGACCAGGGACUUCGGAGGAAGAAUCCACCCAAGGCAUGUUAGGUCAAUCCACUCUACCCAAAGUGACGACAGAGGAAGUCAGCAAUAGAGGCCACAAUAUUCCUCACAAGCUUCGGGGCAGCAACAAAGCUCUUUCCGGCCGCCAGCUCCAAGAGGCAAAGGCGCCAGGGGCUUCGGAGGAAGGUUAGGGGAUCAACCCAGGAAAAUUUAUUGCUUAUUCUGUGGUGAGGUCAAAGGCCAUACUACAAGGAUGUGCCAUGUCACCAUUCAGAAACAAAAGGAAAUAGCAGAAGCUGCAAGCAGAACCAGCCGAAGCAGGUCAUGCAUACCGCUUCGUAUCACUCACCCUACAUACCAGAGUAUGUGGGUAACCAUCCUGCAGCGUCUGUUGCUUCGGCUAGUCAGCCACAAGCAUCCUGGCCAUAGCCCGCACCUCCGCCACAACUACAACCUGCAUAUUCACGAGGCCAGCAACCAGAAGGGAGCCAACAGACCCAUCAGCAGCGAGAUUUCAGGGAGGAGUCUGAAGCUCGCACAGUCAACAGUACUGUGCCAGAAUCGAAGCAUAUCUACUAAGAGAUAUCCUACUCCUGAAACAGUUUUUACAUUCAUCAUCAUUUUCUUUUUUACUAAGGAACAAUCGUUCAAAACCUAGUUCUUUUAUCAUUUUCAAUUUCCUGUAAUAGCUUCGUUCUUGCCAUAGCAAAAUAUACCUUCUCCACAGACUCACGAAGUUCAAAAAGUUGCUGAAGCACAAAAGUCGUUCCUAAGGGAACGCGGGGCUAAAAAUCACAUUACAAGUAUCACCGAAGCUACAAAAAGCCGUUCUAAGGAACGCAGCAUAAGUUUGCCGAAGCUACAAAAAGUCGUUCUAAGGAACGCAGCGUAAGUUUGUCGAAGCUACAAAAAGUCGUUCCUAAGGGAGCGCAGUGUAAGUUUUCUGCUCAAAAGUCGUUCCAAAGGGAAUGCAGAGCCAAAUACCGCCGAAAUAUAAGGCGAAGCGCGAAAAGUCAAUGCGAAUACCGCCGAAAUAGAAGGCGAAGAAGUUCAAUAGAUGUUCCUAAGGGAAUGCAGAACUUACAACAAAAAGUUAGCACUGAUACACCGAAAAAUAAGCGGUGAAGCCGAAAAAUAAACGACAAAGAGAUUGUGUAUUCCACUGUGGGGAUGUGAGUGUGUGUCUUCGACACAAAUAUCAUUUUGCAUAGCAUAACAUCAUCACAUCAUUUCGCAUAACAUAACAUCAUACAUCACAUUGCAUCAAUGGCACAAGAAGGGGAUACAAUGUUGACCUUCGGAGAAUGCUUCGAAAAAGUGAAAUUGUGCUAAGGCACAAAAUAAGUUUUGAAGAAAUACAGCUUCAUCAGCUCUGAUGUGGAGGAAAAAAUCUAUCGUUGACGAAGUAUUAAUGCUUUGGCGACGCCUGGAGGAUUUUUUUUACGAAGCACUCUGAUGUGGAGGAAAAAAAUCUAUUGUUGACGAAGCAGCAAUGUUUUUGCCACGAUUGGAGGAUUUUUUUAUGAAGCAUAAAGGCUCUUCUUUACGAAGCAUGAAACGAAGGGAAGGUGUUUUUUCGCCGAAGGCUCAAAAACGGUAUGUACAUAAAAGUUUCAUGCAUCGCAAAGAAAUGAAUUACAAAGCCAAUCAUAUAUUACAUUCAAAACCCAUGAGCACCAAAUAUUAAAAGCAUGGUCCAGCAAAUGUUACAUUAAUCAUCUAACAAUGUUUUUACAAUAGCUAUUCUUCUUCUUUCAAAACUUUAUCUGCCGCUUCGGUCAGCAGUUGGGUAACGACUUCAUCUACAUAGUUUCGACCAUGUUAAUAAUUUCUGUUGAUUCCUUUGCCUCUGGGUCGGCCAGUGACUCGAAGGGAUCUAGGGGAGGAGAUAGUUCAGCUGUGGUAGAAAACGUAAAUCAGUUCGAAGUCACAAAAAUAAAACAACAAAGUUAAACACCAUUAAGUAAUACCUAUCCGCCUUUCGAGUUCCGCAGCUCUUUCAGCUGCUUUCGUUGCUUCUCUAGCGUCAUGAAUAUCUUUUUCGUUUUUCUUUAUUAUUACAUGGGCCAUUCCUCGGCCGCCAUUUUCCCAUAUGUCAGUAAAAAAAAUUCCACCUAUUAAGCUUGCUUUGGUCGAGGGGUCCUUCGUAUCAUCAAUGCAGAGGGCAGCUUCGGCCUGAGCCAAGGUUUUAACAUGCUCACAACUUGACUUCUCCAAAAUAGCUGCAAUUCCCCUCACACCAGAGAAGGCACAGACGUCGCCGCGGUCACUCAAAAUUUCCUCAAAAGCUUCGGCUUCGCUGCUGAUCCAUUCAAUUGGGCCUUCGGGGUCGUCCCGUAUGAACUUAUCUUCGCUUGAAUAUGUGCCAACGUUGGCGAAGCUAGUUUUUAUUUUCUUCACACAUUCCAUAGAUUUUUCAAAACAUCUUUCUUUCGACGAGCGAAGCUCUGCAACUGUUUUCUCCCAAUAAUUUUUUCAGUAAUCACUGGCAUCUCGGUCAGCUUCAGCAAUAGCGCAUUUCAAUUUUGCUUCGGCCAGUUGUUUUUGGAGGUUUUCAAUCUCGUUCCUUUGGAUUUCAGAUUGCGUCUUGUAGUUAGCUUCAUCCCCCUUUACUUUGUCCACCAAUGUAAGUAGAAUUUUGUCUUUUUCCAAAGCUUCGUUCCUCAGCUUAAUAACCUCUGUUCGAAGGUUGUUGAGAGCGAUAGUGCAACUCUCAUCUUCGGCGUUCUUUUGCGCCCUUAAGGCGUUGCUAAGUAUUAAACCCUAUAUGAAAAGAAUAAACGAGUUAAUAUAAGAACAAAAGAAUAAUUCAAAAUUCAUAAGCUUCCAAAUAUACAAUUUUUGUACCUUCAGACUGUUAUAUGCAAGGCGAUCCCCAAGAUCGUCCUUCGUCAUGGCGCAGAGGCUAGUUUCAAGCUUCGGGAACCCCAUACUUCUGGUCGUCUCCUGGUAGAUAGAUAAUUCUUUGUUGUCUGGGAGGCAAUAUAAGAAGUCAUCUUUGUCUGUACCAUUGAACACUAAGGCCCCUUUCGGGCACUUCAGUUCUCGGGCAUAGUGUUUAGCUUCAAAAAUCUCUUCUUCAGAUAAUCUUUUUCCCGAAGCGUGUCGUAUAAUAUAAUCAAGAACUUCGGAAGGCGCUUCGAGAGUAGGAGUGGCAGCCUUUUCAGGCAGAAUCUGUUCUAUAGCUUCUUCUUCCGCUGCCUUUUCUCCAGUUUCCAAGGGUUUCUCCUUGGCGGGCUCUGAAGGCCCAGCUUCGGCGUCGGCCUGGCUUAUUGUAGCUUCGACUUCAGUCAGCUUUGUCUCGGUUUCAAUCUGCGCUUUCGAAGCCUUGGCAGUUUUUCCUGUAGUAGAGCUUCAAGCUUUUAUUGUCUCCAGCACAUCUAGUACACUAGCUAUCCUUUUUCUCUUGGGGGUUGCUGCUAGACCUUUUUGUGUCUUUGGCACCUCCACUCUUGCCGAAGGGCUUAGGACUUCUAAUGUUUUUGCCCCUUCGAUUCUUGAUUUUUCAAUUUUGUCAAUCUUCGGCAUUGCAGCCGGCUCUUCAAUCCUCUGCGUAAGGGCAGGCCCUUUGGUUUCAAUAGCCGAAGAGGUCUCACCGCCAAAUUCAGGCACUAUGGCCGGUUCAAUGUAGCGCGGUCGGUGGGUAAGGGCUUUCAGAUUUUUCCUCUUCGGCGUAGGCUCGCUUGGAGCAGCCGAAGCAGCAACGUUUCCAGAAGUUGUACUCUUUCUCUUCUGCCCCCGUGGCGGGUAGCGGUAGUCAGGGUACAUAAAUCCAAUAGCAUCAAAAACUCUAUUUAGCCUCUUCUUUUUCCGGCUCCCGAAGGCCGCAAAUAGUGCGUUAUCUUCAGACUUGGAGUAUGCUCCAAGUAGUUCAUCACUAGUGUUUUCAACACACUUCAGCCAGUCAUCGUCUGGUUCAAUAAACUGGUCUCCAAACCUGAAGGUAUAUUUCAAUCGAACCAAACCACCUUCGCUAGGGUUAGUAAUGGUUUCCUUUGGCAUUUCCUAGUUGUCUAUCAGUGGCCAUAUCCUGUAGGCCACGUGCUCUUGGACUAAGUCCCUUGUCCUAAUAAAAGUGCAGACUGUGCUGAAGGCCCUUUGGCAUGCUUCGGCUGCCUCGUCAAUCUCUACCUUCGGUUUUCGGAGCCCGAAGCGGGACCAGAUUGGUUGCAUGAUGAUUUCUUUAAUAUCUUCUCUUGCUUUUAAAUGAUUCUUCACAUAAAACCAUUCUUCCAUCUAGGCCCCGGGCCACCUCUUCCGAAAGGUUGGCACUGGGUAGCUUGAGCCAGAGCGACCAACGAAGCUGUAGCAACCAAAAUUGUUAUGGUACUGUUCUUUACCCCAGGGUUUCGUUUCAUAGCAUAGUUCAUGCAUACUGCAAAAGCAUUUUGCACUUGGCUCUAGACCUUGACUUCUCACAGCCCAGACGAAGAUCCCCAUUCUGAUAAUUGCUUCGGGAGUGAUCUGGUGAAGGAAAAUCUAAUAUAUCUUUAAAACCUCAACCACAAAUCUGCUCAACGGGAAUCGAAGCCCGGCUUUGAAGAAGCUUCGGUAGAUCACAACUUCAUUUUCUUCGGGGCAGGAACAGCCCUGUCUGCGUCAGCCCUCACAUAAGACAUAUCUUGAAAAUACCUUCCUCUCAUAUUAUCAAGAUGGCUCUGUUUGAUAGUUGAUUUCCCGAAGACUGAAUGACUUGGUCGCUAGGGCCGAUCUUCAGAAUCUUCGCCUCCACUUUCUACAUCAUAACUGUCGCUGUCAUCAGUAUCUUCAGAUAAGCCUUCUAUAAUUUCUUUCGUAAUCUUUUCUGUGUUUGUUUUUGCAAUGGACUCAAUAAAUCCAGCAGUCUUUUCCUCAAGGAGCUUCUCCUCCUCGCUCAGCUUCGUCUCAGCAGCAACUUUUUUGUCUUCAGACAUCUUUUCUUUGGAAAUGGUGAAAACGUGUCAUUAAAGCCAAAGUUUACAAAGUCUAAGAAAUCAAGCAAGCGUUGGUAGGCAAGAGCUAAAAAAUUAAGCAAGCAUAGCAGGUGGCAGAUAGCGUACCAAAUGUGCUUGGGGUGGGUUCUUAUUUAUACGCCCGGUGCGCUCCAAGUUGGAGGGCCCUGUAUGUCAUUAACUGUUGCUAUUCUAGCAAAGGGAAGGUGUUUUUUCGGACCUUCGGCUUAGGGCCUUCAUCCAUAUCGCAAUCUGAAUUCGUUAUUCUAACAAAUUAAUAUUGCGAGGGGCUACUGUUGGGGGCAUUCGUCUUCCGAAGGUCCUCAAAAACAUGAUUUAACAAUGUUUUUGGAGAAUAAUACAUGAACAGGUACCUUCGGACUCGAAUCAGAACCAUAAUUUGAAGAGCACAAAGAAUACGAAGGUUGACGCAGAGCCGAAGCUAUGCGCAAGGGAGCUUCAGCAUGAUAGCAUAAAAGGGAACCGACUUAAAAGGGAAAAGGCUAUUUAGACCUCGAUGGAUCACUAUAGAGUCAUUAGGAAAUGUAAAGGGCAUGGGUGUAAUUUUACAUGGGCUGUGUCCCGUGCCUAUAAAUAGAUGAACAGUGCUCCUGUACUAUUCACACUGACUUGGCAUUUUGCUUUUGCGUCACGCUCGUACCUUUACCUUCUUUCAAGCCGAAGGUACAUUUGUAAUUUGAUGUCAUUUCUAUUUUUCCAUGAUAAUAAAAUUGAAAUGAGCCGAUAAUGUUAAAUAUUUGUUCAUGUUAUCUCUUACAUUCCUUAUGAUUCUCCUUUUAUUAUCGUAUGCUACAAUCAUGAAGGUAUGUCCUUCAUGACCUUCGUCUGAAGAUCAUUACAUCCUAAGGGAAAUAAUGCUUCGGAGGACGAAGUACAUUAACAUUUAAUAUUUUGUGUUGCCUUGUUCUUAACUCAUAGCAUUUGAGAACAUGUCCCCAACAACUGCAUAACAGUAUCUCCUCCUUGCUUGAGUCGCAUAAAUUCCUCCUGUUUCAUGUGUAGCACUCCUUCUGGAAUAUAGUGCUCACGAAACGCUAACUUAAACUCAUCCCACGUGACCUGAUGUCUGGCAGGUUGAAUGGCCACAAAAUUUUCCCACCAAGUACUGACAGGGCCUCUUAACUAUUGAGCAGCGAACAACGGCUUCUGGGUUUCAGUGCAGCGGAUUAGUCCAAAUUUCUGCUCUAUAACCCGUACCCAUUCGUCGGCUUCCAGAGGGUCUUCGGCUUUCACGAAAAGUGGGGGACAUGUUUCAGAGAAGUUCAGGUAUGAAGUCUCAUGUGGUCCCUGCGGAUAAGCCCUUCCGCCAUGUUGCUGGAAUCAAUUUCCCGCCAUUUCACGUAAAAAGUGGGUAUUGUUGGUGGUCGCAUUGACCAAGGCAGCGAUAGCCUCGGCCAACGUUGGUGGUAUAGGCGGUGGAUUGGGCAUGUCUUCCCGACCACGGGACGUACCCGCACUGUCAUUUGCACGAGUCCUGGAUGGCAUCUGAGGCAAAGAAACAUUUGGAAAAAAUAUAACAUGCCAAUAUACACCAUCAUUUUACAUUACCAAGAUGUAAUGAUACAAACUCAAUUGUACAACAUGACUUUAUUACCUAUUUACAUUAGUAUUACAUCUAAACUAUACUACUCUAGUAUUUAUCGUCUUUGGUUGCUUCACUGUCUGUUGUAGGGGACCGCUCAUCAGCCAGGUUCAUAGAAGGAGGGGGCUUAAAAAGGUCCAAUUCCCCACCAAGUCCUUCACCUGAUGUUCCUGAGGGUCCGGCUCCCAUUGCAACAGGGUCGGCAGGCACGUCUGGGUGCAGUCGCGAAUACAGUAUAUGGACUUCCUCAUGUAAAGUAUUGCAAUACACCUGUGUCGGCGUUUCGACCCCGGGGGGUCCCUGGACCGACGAGUAAAUUGUCGCUGCGUGCCCCAGCCCAGAUGGGUUGGCGCGAGACGGAACACAAAGGGGGGAAAACCACGGCUUCAUGUUAUCCUACGCCAGAGUGGGUGCGCUUGCAGUAGGGGUUACAAGCAUUCGCGAGGGAGAGAGAGAGUCCCGCGCGACCACCCUCUCAUAUGAGGGCCCUGGCCCUUCCUUUUAUAGAUUCAAGAAGAGGGUCCAGGUGUACAAUGGGGGUGUAGCAAUAUGCUAACGUGUCUGGUAGAGAGGAGCCGGAGCCCAAUGUACAUGCCAAUGUGGCUGUCGGAGAGGUGCUAGGGCCCUGUGUACAUGGUCGUGGCUGUCGGAGGAGCGUUUGAGCCCUGUAGAAGCACAACUAUCAGGGCUGUCGGGACCUUGCUGACGUCUCCUUGCUUCCGUAAGGGGCUGAGAGCCGCCGUCGUCAUGGACGCACGCGGGGAGCCAUCAUUACAUGUUACCGGGGCGAGCCUGGAUGGGACGCCGAUCUUGUUCCCCCGUAGCCUAAGCUAGCUAGGGGUAGGGUAAUGAUGAACCCCCUGUGGCGUGGACGGUCCGAGCCCGAGGUCGGGCGAGGCGGAGACUCCUCCUGAGGCCGAGGCCGGGGUCGGGCGAGGACGUGAUUCCGCCCGAGGUCGAGGUUGAGGCUGGGCCCUGGGGUCGGGCGAGGCGGAGACCACCUUCCGAGGUCGAGGUCGAGGCCGAGCCCUGGGGUCGGGCGAGGCGGAGACCACCUUCCGAGGCUGAGGCGGGGGCCGAGCCCUGGGGUUGGGCGAGGCGGAGACUUCUCCUGAGGCCGAGGCCCAAGGUCGGGCGAGGCAGAGCUUCCUGUGGCGCCUGAGGCCGGACUCAGCUGCUGUCAGCCUCACCCUGGCGGGUGGCACAGCAGUCGGAGAGGGGCGAGCGGCGCUGUUGUGACACCCCAGGUGUCAGUUUCGUGUUACGUCGCGAGAUUUGUCCUAAUCUCGGAUGCUCAGUAAAAAUUUUCUAUUUUUCGCUCGCCUAUGUCCCUAAUUAUCCAGAUUAUUCAUUCACGUUUCACCGAAUUCGGAAUUAUUCAAUCUCACAGAAGGCCGAAUUUGGAGCCUGUUAAAACUUUUAUUUCUCGGAACGAAUGCAAACUCGAUAAUCAUUCUCAAUUUAUCAAACUCGUCUAAAGCUCGUUUAAUCAAACGCUCGACAGCUGCUAGUCGAGCUGUGUCCGACUCCGAUUUCUCGAUGUUCGAUCUAUGUCCAAAAAAAAAUUAAUCCGACUCCAUACUCUCAAACGGAAUGCUCAAUAGGUCGUCCUCUAAAUCAAUUUUAUCCGUUUCGGCCAAAUAUCUUAUGUCCGAACCGAACUCAAAACCCCGUAUCGACGACAAUUUUAAAAUGUCACGAUCCGAUUUCUCCGACUAAAAUCCAGGGCCGAUCAAAUCUCAGGGCAAUUUAAUUUUGAAUCACGCGUAGAAAAUUAUUUUCGAGCGAAAUCAAAUCCAACUCUCGGCCGAAUUAAUUGCUCAAUCGUCCGUUUGCCGAAAUCUAUUUCGCUCUGUUCUGUGUACAGACAAAUUCCGCGGGAACAUUUAUUCCGGAAAAUGUUUAGCACAGUCCGAUUUCGUGUUUGGGCCAGCCCAACCCAGCCCAAUUGGGCCCAUUUAAAACCCUAACCCUAGGGCUGCUUCUAUAAAUAGGGGUGCUCACUUGGAAAUUUUCCAUUCCCACCCCACUAUUUUCCCUAGCCGCCAUUUCUUCUCUCCCUGGUUUCUUCCCCCACGCGCAGCAGGCAGAGCGCAGCGAGCUCGCCGGCGUCCAUGGCGUGGCACCUCUGCUCUCCCUCUCGCAGCGCCCCCUGCUCCUUCUCCCUCGCACAGCAGCAGCCGAGCGCCCUCCCUGCUCCUCCUCCUGGCGAGCGGCUGCAGCAGGGAGUCGUCUUCUCCGUGGUCGGCCAGCAAUCGAGCUCCCCAGCGUUUCCCUCUGUUGUCCAUGGCGUGGGCGAGCUCUGAUCCAUGGCGCCCUCCUCCCCUUCUUCUUCCUCAAGCCAGCAGGCGCCUCCCCCUACUCCCUGGGCACAGUGCCCCCUUCUCUCCCCUUGGUCACGGCUUCCUCUGCUUCUUGCUCCAUGGCGCCCUGAAUUCUCAGCAGAGAGCUUUUUUCCCCAUUGCCGACCCUCACUAUUGCAGACCGAGCCCCAGCGUCGCCCAGCAGCCAUGGCGCCCAAGCUCUCUGCUCCCAUCUCCUCCUUGGCGCAGUGGGAGAAGCUCCCAUGGGUGCCACCCCCCUGCAGCUUCCCCUUGCCGGCGCCCAGAAAUUGCAGCAGCAGCUCCUCCCCUCUCUCCAUGGCCGACGCUCAGAGCUCCAGCAGCCGCUCCUCCAACUCCCCAUGGCGUACUGCAGCAGACGCCUUGGAGCAACCCCGCCAUGGCUUGCGACUCGGUGUCCUCCCUGCUUGCGUGCUGCUGCGCAGUGCCUAUGGUGCUUGCUAGGUGCUCGACGAAAUGUGCAGCAACCUCGUCGUCUUCGUGCGCUGCCGGCUCGCUGUUUGGUGGAGCCAAUGGACAGCACGCCGUGAUGCCGCCGUGUGUUCGCUGUUUUUGCGCAGCCCCGAACAUCGAUGUCGUUCACCCCAGUGACAUCGCGACGCUCCUUGUUUGGUUCCACAUCGGCGUUAUUUUCAUACGAUUAAUUGUGUAUGUGUGCUGUUUUAUUUUUGUGGAAGAGAGAACCCCGUGUUUUGCGAGAAGAAGGGAAGCCGCUCGACGCUCGUCGAUGUUCGUAGCGAUGCACAAAUCGGAAUCUCCAUCGUCCUCACAAACAUCGAUUGGGUUUGUUUAUGGUGAGCCGAUGCAUGUCGCUCUUGAUCUACUGGUUUAAUUAAUUUGAAUGGAUGUGUGUAAAAUGUUUCGGUUAUGCGCAUUGGUGGGAUCACGUUUGCGAUUGGAGAACAAGAGUUUAUUCGAUGUAUGCGAUUUGUAGUUUGUACAAUUAUAUUUUAGUCGAUGUGGUGUACAAUUGUGUUGGAGUGUGGGUAGGUAUAAAAAUGUUUUGGUUAUAGGCCAUAGCAAGGUUGCCUUCACGAUUUGGUAAGCAAACAUGUUGUGUUGUUUAAUGUGAUGAGUAAAUUGGAAAUACGUGGGAUGCGAGGAUUUAAUUAGUGCACGUAGGUGUGUGAGUGCCGUGGUGUGAUAUAGUAGUGGUGGCGUGAGAUGUUUGUUUGAGGUGUGCGGGUAUAUGCCGCGAUGUGGUUAUACUCGCAACGAGAAAAGAUGUAUGUAUUGUGACACGACUCUUAGAUCGCUAUUAUAUGAUCGUGUGAAGGAUGCUCAUGAUGGUUGUGUGAUUAAGGAGUGAUGUAGUGGCAACCGAGAAGUAAGUUUAAUUUUUCAAACGACUAGUGGAUAGUAUCUAUCGGUGUUCUCAUGAUUUUUGUUGUAUGACAAUGUGAUGCUUUGCUUUGUCAAUUAUCACAUUCCAUGCCCCUUUUGAUAAAUAAUGUCUUGUUGAUCGAUUAGAAGUCUUAUAUGAGCGUUGUCGCAGCCCAAUGAUUAUUGGAGGCGAGUAGCGUUCAUGAGUCAAUCCUUGCUAAAAUUGAAGAACAGUCCGAUAACAUAUGCACAUGGGUGAUGUAGGUCCUUCAGUAGCCAGUGUAAGUCUUAUGGAGUUUUAUGUCAUAUUUUAAUGUCUCUAUGUUAGACCUCCUAAAAUAUGGUGUUUUAAGUGACUUGUGUGUUGUCCAGUGUAAGUUGAGAAAAGGUUAAGAAACAUUAAUUAACCUGCUCCCACCCAUGUUUUGAGUCGCAAUGUCUAAAAUGGUUUGCUAAGUUUUAUGUUGUGUUAGCCAACUCAUGUAAGUAGGAGUCGGUUGUGUAAGUGAGUGUGAUAUAUAUGUUGUGUCUCGGAUUGUGGUAAUAAUAGGCAAACCGAUGUGUAUGAUGUAUAGCGGCCUAGGUUGUUGCUUUGGUUAACCAACUUGCUAGAUGGCCUUGGUUAAGCUCAUAGUCACGAUGAUUUGCUUGUUGUAGUCUAAAUGUGUAUGAUUAUGGUCGUGGGUAAAAAUCUGUAGUGCUCAUGUGGUGUCUAAACUAAAAUGCGGACUAGUGGGUGAAAAGCGCUUAGAUAUAAGUAUAUGCCGGAUUUGAUGAUUGUGGUGAAUGCGUUUGUUAACUGAAUGUGGUAAUUUUAGUGCACUAAAUAAUUUGGAUAAAAGUUGUAAGUCUACUUGUUAGUCCUCAUUUAAUUAUUUUAACACUAAGAAAUGGUAAAGUGCUAGAAUGAUUCAAGUCUCUAGAAUGCGGCAAUUCUUGAAUUAUAGAAGCUGAAAUUUAUUGAUUGCUGUUUUGGGCUGCACGCAUUGUUUUGUUUGUGCUGUAUGUUUGAUGAACUAAAUGGUGUUUUCUGUACAUAUGUGCUAUAAAAAAGUGGUAGAGAACUUUAUUAUCUUGCUGGUGUUAAAAUUUGACAGCCAUAGGUCUGACAGUUUAGGAGUUAUGCUUUUUACAAAUUCAGUAACUGAAUCUGUCCAAAUUCUGUACAGAUUUCAGAAACUGCAUUGUUUGCCUAAUUUAAUGUUACAAUCUGUUCAUGGUCAUUAUAAGAAAGUUGUAGAUGUUUUUCUGAUCUUGCUUGUGUUAAAAUUUUAUAAACACAGGCCUGAUAGUUUAAGAGUUAUGAAUUUUACAAACUGGUUGCUGUGUUCUGUCCUCGGUCAGAACAGAUUUCGAAAACUGUAAUAUUUGAUUUGAUUAAAACUGGAAUCACUUCUUGGUGAUUAUAAAAGUUAUGUAGUACUUUGCCCAAGCUUUCCAAAAAGUCUUGAAUCACUAUUUUUGGUGGUCUGAAGAUUAAGUUACAUGUGUUUGAAGUGUGAAGACUGAAUCUGUCCAGUUUUGGACAGCACAGCCUUCACAGUAUAUUUUACCCUUGAUACAUGCUAAACCAGCCAGGGAUGUUUAUAAAUAAUUUGUAGAACAUUUAAUUAGCUUUCCAGAAAGUCUAGGAUCACUUAGUUUGGAUGUCUGAAUCUUUUGUUGUGAAAUUUUGAAGCCGCAAGUCUGAAUCUGUCCAAAUCUGGACAGAGCUGCUGUGUUUGCACAAUUCGACCUUGCUAAGUGUUUAAUCAGGUUGUGAUGACAAUACCAAAGUUGUAGAGCACUUUUUAAGCUUUCCAGAAAGUCCUAGUUUGAUAUUUUUGGACUAACAAUUGAAGAGUUAUGAUUAAAACAAGCAACUGCUGUAUUGCUGUCCAAAAAUUCUGCUAUUGCUCAUUUGAUUGUUAGUUCACCCGUUUGGCUAAAAAUGUUGGUUAGCACUAAAUUCAUAUAGAAUUACCAUGGCUAAGCUUGAGAUAACAUAUGUGUCAUGUUUUUAUACGUUUCUUUCUCUAGUAAAUUGUGAUGUAGUAUUGUGUUGCGUAAAUGUCCAGAAUGUUUGUCGUCUUUUUAGUGGUGUUAAUGUUGUGCGUUCGACGAUAUGUAGUUAGCUAACGCUAGUGUGUGUGGUUAUUUGUGAUGUCUCGCUACUUAGUGUUUAAUUCACUAGCGUGUACUUAAAGUAUCAUGUGCUAUUUCAUUAUAUUCAUGCAUAUGCAUCUUGCAUCUCAUUUAGGACCGAGAGAUGCUGAUCGUGCAAGUGAUGUGGUGCCAACAACAAGAUGCAGUUGGUGGACGACCUGAAGAGUGAUGGACUUAACCAGUGGAUGCUCGCCAAGCGAGUACCUCCCCCAGCAAACACUAUCUAAGUGUUAAAAAUUAAAGGCAAGCCCCGGUUUUAUGCAUAACCGUUUAUAUAUGCUAUUUUACUACACUUAAUGUUUGUAGGCUUGUACUGUGCACUUAAGUGUAGGAGUUGAAUGAAACCCUAGUUGCAUGAACUCAGGAUUCCUUUUGAGAUGGAUACUAGUAUGCUAGGUCGAGUAGCUGCUUUACUAAUUAGGGAUUUCGGUAGAAGUCGAGUGAUUUUUCUAGCACUCGCGCGAGGUCAGGAAUUGGUUGUACCCACUUUCAUAUCAUAUGGAUGAUUGGUUUGUGGGCAACAAUCCAUGGGGAUUGGUUGUCCACGGGAUAAAAAUUGGAAUAAGGAUUAAGGUGUGGUACCGUGAGUCAAGCGUUUGAACGUACUAAACACAUACCGAGAAAUAUGGUAAAUCGGUAAGCCUAGUACCUGAGUGAACCUGCCCGCAGACAUAUCCCCUCACGCGACCUGAGACUUGGUCUCCCAUUCCGGUUAUGGUGGGUACAAGUGCGGUCACUGCACGACGGCAGUCGGGGUCAGUGAGGCAUUGUACGCCAAGGCGGUGAGCCCUGAUCUGUUGCCAGGGAAUCGACGGGGACGGUUGAUGUGUGUGGGGACGGAGUGCCCCUACAUGUCGUGUGUUUAGGUUUACCUUGCAAGGUUUAAAAACUCGAUUCGAAUCGUCUGCUUCUCGCAGCUAAUGAGACUGCUUGAUCCAUGCUGCUACAUUGAGUAAUAAGUGAAAAUGAGUUGACUGGCAAAAUGAUGUUGAUUGAUAAAAUGUUUGAUAUCAUGUAUGAAUAGCUAGGUACACAUCUAGUUAAAAGGAUCAUACUAAAACUUGAAAAGCUAAAAACUUGAUUUUAGACUCAGCUAGUGCUUUUGGCAAACCAAACCCCUCAGCCAAACAGCUGCAUGUCUAGAGGUAGAGGAGUAGACUCCUCACACCGGGUAAGUCUAGCUGAGUAUUAGUAUACUCAGCCUUGCUUGUGGCAUAAUUUUUGCAGGUACUCCUUAGGAUGAUUGGUUGAUGGUGUGACUUGGCCUUCAUCCCUGCUACCGGGAUAGACGGUCCAGUGGGUUAUUGCUUCCGCAGGAGAGGACCAGGAGGAGUAGCGUGGCCAGGCUUCGCCAUGUUACUCGGUUUUCUCCGUUAGUUAUUUCCGCUGCAUUAAAAUUUAUGGUUAUUAUUUCUGAAACUCCGAUAAUGUAAUCACUAAUUAUACUUAUUAAAUUUGUGGUAUUAUGUUUUAUUGUAUUUCUCUGUGCCUCACCUUCGAGUGAGCUAGUGGUAUUCGAUCCUGGUAAGUGGCUUUAUCGGACUAGAUCCGAGGGACUGACGGGUUAUUCCUGUUUAAGUGUGUUGCUGCCCUUAAGGGUGCGACUUGGGCACUUAAGCUGGAAUAAUUCGGGCGGUUCCGCCACAGCUGGUAUCGGAGCGAAUACCAGUACAGAGAAGUCAAUAAGUCAUGAUUACCAACCUUUUCUAAAAGUAAAACUUGCUAGAGACCAAUGUUGGAUAGAUUGUCAGGACGAUCAGGAUAGACCUAGGACGUGAAGCCCUAGGAAUAGAUGGGUAGCUAGGUGGCUAUUUAUAUAGGCCAUAAAGGCUACUACUACUAUUAAUAAGGAUGUUGUAGAAGCAUCCGAAGAAUUAGCUAGGUCUGAGAAGACGACUAGAAUGAGCAUGCAUCAUGAUUGUCGCAUAAUUGUCUCUUGUGCACUAACAUGCUUCUCUCACCUUUAUUCCAAUAAUAAGAACUUGUGAAUAAUGUGAUGUAUUGCUAUGUUAGAAAUGCCUUACCUCGUGUCAGAUUGGUAAGUCUUGUUAGGUUGUGUUAUGUGUUUCUCUUGCCUUGCUAUCUAAGUGGUAUUGAAAUUGUUCAACCCUUUUUGCAAAAAAAAUGUUGUUUGUUUGCUCAUAAAAAGACCCCCACCCAAACAACCUUGAGCUUAGCAAGUGAAACCUUUAAAAAAAUUCAUGUGCUUGUUUUGAUGUUUCCAGCCCUUGAGUGUUUUAUCCUUGAAGUUACACCUGCACAGCUUAUAGACCCCCACAGCUUGACCGCUAGACCAACCCAAGUCUCCUUGUGCACUUGUGUCAAAAAAAUAUAUAUUUGUUGUUGGUGUCUAGUUGCGCAAACCCUAUCAAGGCCAUGUUUCUUUCCAUAAAUCCUUGCUCCUAAAACAUCAUAGCAUUUUUGUUGAUCAUCCUAGCUGAUCCUGUUCGCCUAUCUCUCCUUUUGCCUGGAUCUGGUAAUCCUUUUUCUUGUGAAUCAUAUUUGCUUUAUCAUCCAAAUCUCCGAAUCCUUUAAUGAUUCUGCCAUGUUAUCUGGUUAUCUGCUAUAACCCGUUCUCAAGUAUCGAAUGUUGAUCUUGCCUAAAUCUCUCAUUUCUGGUCAUUCUCAUACCCCCUUCUCUGAAGAUCAUGACACUAAUGUUAUCAACUUAUCCCUAAACAGCAUAUCCAUGUGGAUUAAUGGAUGUUGUUGUUAUCUUUGGAUCUCUCAUGUCUCUAAAAGCUUAUCAAUCUCGAUCUCAUGGUUGGUUCAUCCUCAUAUUAAAUAUCGUAUCAAUCUUUGGCUGAUAAUCCCCGUGAUGAUCAUAAAAUAGUUCUCAGAGUUAAAUAAAAAUUCUCAUCUGAUGCUCUUUUGCCAACAAUCUUUGCUUCAACUUCAGUCGCAUUUUCUGAGCCAUACUCUCAUGGGCUCCAUCUAUUUAUGCUAUGUGGAAUCCUCGUUGGUUACGUUUGGUAAUGGCGUCAUGACUAACGACUGAUGGUGCCGCGACGAAACCGAGAGCCUACUAUGGUGCACACAUGGUUGAGCCGCUCGGCACGCGCUGGUAUCGUGGUUAAUAGUCGUGAUCCAUUACGAGACUAUACUGGUGUGCUAUCUUUUGUGGAUUUUAUCUCAAGUGAUCACUGCAUUUUGUCUCAACAUGCCGUGAUAUUCUAUCCAAAUUUAUCUUCAUUAUCUUAUCAGAUCCCAUCUCAUAAUUUUGCAUCUAUCUCCAGCCUGGGAGUUACAUGCUUCUCCACCCUUUAAGAUCCUCAUUCGAAUCUCAGGACGAGAUUCUUUUUAAGGGGGGAAGGCUGUGACACCCCAGGUGUCAGUUUCGUGUUACGUCGCGAGAUUUGUCCUAAUCUCGGAUGCUCAGUAAAAAGUUUCUAUUUUUCGCUCGCAUAUGUCCCUAAUUAUCCAGAUUAUUCAUUCAUGUUUCACCGAAUUCGGAAUUAUUCAAUCUCACAGAAGGCCGAAUUUGGAGCCUGUUAAAACUUUUAUUUCUCGGAACGAAUGCAAACUCGAUAAUCAUUCGCAAUUUAUCAAACUCGUCUAAAGCUCGUUUAAUCAAACGCUCGACAGCUGCUAGUCGAGCUAUGUCCGACUCCGAUUUCUCGAUGUUCGAUCUAUGUCCAAAAAAAAUUAAUCCGACUCCAUACUCUCAAACGGAAUGCUCAAUAGGUCGUCCUCUAAAUCAAUUUUAUCUGUUUCGGCCAAAUAUCUUAUGUCCGAACCGAACUCAAAACCCCGUAUCGACGACAAUUUUAAAAUGUCACGAUCCGAUUUCUCCGACUAAAAUCCAGGGCCGAUCAAAUCUCAGGGCAAUUUAAUUUCGAAUCACACGUAGAAAAUUAUUUUCGAGCGAAAUCAAAUCCAACUCUCGGCCGAAUUAAUUGCUCAAUCGUCCAUUCGCCGAAAUCUAUUUCGCUCUGUUCUGUGUACAGACAAAUUCCACGGGAACAUUUAUUCCGGAAAAUGUUUAGCGCAGUCCGAUUUCGUGUUUGGGCCAGCCCAACCCAGCCCAAUUGGGCCCAUUUAAAACCCUAACCCUAGGGCUGCUUCUAUAAAUAGGGGUGCUCACUUGGAAAUUUUCCAUUCCCACCCCUCUAUUUUCCCUAGCCGCCAUUUCUUCUCUCCCUGGUUUCUUCCCCCACGCGCAGCAGGCAGAGCGCAGCGAGCUCGCCGGCGUCCAUGGCGUGGCACCUCUGCUCUCCCUCUCGCAGCGCCCCCUGCUCCUUCUCCCUCGCACAGCAGCAGCCGAGCGCCCUCCCUGCUCCUCCUCCUGGCGAGCGGCUGCAGCAGGGAGUCGUCUUCUCCGUGGUCGGCCAGCAAUCGAGCUCCCCAGCGUUUCCCUCUGCUGUCCAUGGCGUGGGCGAGCUCUGAUCCAUGGCGCCCUCCUCCCCUUCUUCUUCCUCAAGCCAGCAGGCGCCUCCCCCUACUCCCUGGGCACAGCGCCCCCUUCUCUCCCCUUGGUCACGGCUUCCUCUGCUUCUUGCUCCAUGGCGCCCUGAAUUUUCAGCAGAGAGCUUUUUUUCCCCAUUGCCGACCCCCACUAUUGCAGACUGAGCCCCAGCGUCGCCCAGCAGCCAUGGCGCCCAAGCUCUCUGCUCCCAUCUCCUCCUUGGCGCAGUGGGAGAAGCUCCCAUGGGCGCCACCCCCCUGCAGCUUCGCCUUGCCGGCGCCCAGAAAUUGCAGCAGCAGCUCCUCCCCUCUCUCCAUGGCCGACGCUCAGAGCUCCAGCAGCCGCUCCUCCAACUCCCCAUGGCGUACUGCAGCAGACGCCUUGGAGCAACCCCGCCAUGGCUUGCGACUCGGUGUCCUCCCUGCUUGCGUGCUGCUGCGCAGUGCCCAUGGUGCUUGCUAGGUGCUCGACGAAAUGUGCGGCAACCCCGUCGUCUUCGUGCGCUGUCGACUCGCUGUUUGGUUGAGCCAAUGGACAACACGCCGUGAUGCCGCCGUGUGUUCGCUGUUUUUGCGCAGCCCCGAACAUCGACGUCGUUCACCCCGGUGAGAUCGCGACGCUCCUUGUUUGGUUCCGCAUCGGCGUUAUUUUCAUACGAUUAAUUGUGUAUGUGUGCUGUUUUAUUUUUGUGGAGGAGAGAACCCCGUGUUUUGCGAGAAGAAGGGAAGCCGCUCGACGCUCGUCGAUGUUCGUAGCGAUGCACAAAUCGGAAUCUCCAUCGUCCUCACAAACAUCGAUUGGGUUUGUUUAUGGUGAGCCGAUGCAUGUCGCUCUUGAUCUACUCGUUUAAUUAAUUUGAAUGGAUGUGUGUAAAAUGUUUCGGUUAUGCGCAUUGGUGGGAUCACGUUUGCGAUUGGAGAACAAGAGUUUAUUCGAUGUAUGCGAUUUGUAGUUUGUACAAUUAUAUUUUAGUCGAUGUGGUGUACAAUUGUGUUGGAGUGUGGGUAGGUAUAAAAAUGUUUUGGUUAUAGGCCGUAGCAAGGUUGCCUUCACGAUUUGGUAAGCAAACAUGUUGUGUUGUUUAAUGUGAUGAGUAAAUUGGAAAUACGUGGGAUGCGAGGAUUUAAUUAGUGCACGUAGGUGUGUGAGUGCCGUGGUGUGAUAUAGUAGUGGUGGCGUGAGAUGUUUGUUUGAGGUGUGCAGGUAUAUGCCGCGAUGUGGUUAUACUCGCAACGAGAAAAGAUGUAUGUAUUGUGACACGACGCUUAGAUCGCUAUUAUAUGAUCGUGUGAAGGAUGCUCAUGAUGGUUGUGUGAUUAAGGAGUGAUGUAGUGGCAAGUGAGAAGUAAGUUUAAUUUUUCAAACGACUAGUGGAUAGUAUCUAUCGGUGUUCUCAUGAUUUUUGUUGUAUGGCAAUGUGAUGCUUUGCUUUGUCAAUUAUCACAUUCCAUGCCCCUUUUGAUAAAUAAUGUCUUGUUGAUCGAUUAGAAGUCUUAUAUGAGCGUUAUCGCAGCCCAGUGAUUAUUGGAGGCGAGUAGCGUUCAUGAGUCAAUCCUUGCUAAAAUUGAAGAACAGUCCGAUAACAUAUGCACAUGGGUGCUGUAGGUCCUUCAGUAGCCAGUGUAAGUCUUAUGGAGUUUUAUGUCAUGUUUUAAUGUCUCGAUGUUAGACCUCCUAAAAUAUGGUGUUUUAAGUGACUUGUGUGUUGUCCAGUGUAAGUUGAGAAAAGGUUAAGAAACAUUAAUUAACCUGCUCCCACCCAUGUUUUGAGUCGCAAUGUCUAAAAUGGUUUGCUAAGUUUUGUGCUGUGUUAGCCAACUCAUGUAAGUAGGAGUCGGUUGUGUAAGUGAGUGUGAUAUAUAUGUUGUGUCUCGGAUUGUGGUAAUAAUAGGCAAACCGAUGUGUAUGAUGUAUAGCGGCCUAGGUUGUUGCUUUGGUUAACCAACUUGCUAGAUGGCCUUGGUUAAGCUCAUAGUCACGAUGAUUUGCUUGUUGUAGUCUAAAUAUGUAUGAUUAUGGUCGUGGGUAAAAAUCUGUAGUGCUCAUGUGGUGUCUAAACUAAAAUGCGGACUAGUGGGUGAAAAGCGCUUAGAUAUAAGUAUAUGCCGGAUUUGAUGAUUGUGGUGAAUGCGUUUAUUAACUGAAUGUGGUAAUUUUAGUGCACUAAAUGAUUUGGAUAAAAGUUGUAAGUCUACUUGUUAGUCCUUAUUUAGUUAUUUUAACACUAAGAAAUGGUAAAGUGCUAGAAUGAUUCAAGUCUCUAGAAUGCGGCAAUUCUUGAAUUAUAGAAGCUGAAAUUUAUUGAUUGCUGUUUUGGGCUGCACGCAUUGUUUUAGUUGUGCUGUAUGUUUGAUGAACUAAAUGGUGUUUUCUGUACAUAUGUGCUAUAGAAAAGUGGUAGAGAACUUUAUUAUCUUGCUGGUGUUAAAAUUUGACAGCCAUAGGUCUGACAGUUUAGGAGUUAUGCUUUUUACAAAUUCAGUAACUGAAUCUGUCCAAAUUCUGUACAGAUUUCAGAAACUGCAUUGUUUGCCUAAUUUAAUGUUACAAUCUGUUCAUGGUCAUUAUAAGAAAGUUGUAGAUGUUUUUCGGAUCUUGCUUGUGUUAAAAUUUUAUAAACACAGGCCUGAUAGUUUAAGAGUUAUGAAUUUUACAAACUGGUUGCUGUGUUCUGUCCUCGGUCAGAACAGAUUUCGAAAACUGCAAUAUUUGAUUUGAUUAAAACUGGAAUCACUUCUUGGUGAUUAUAAAAGUUAUGUAGUACUUUUCCCAAGCUUUCCAAAAAGUCUUGAAUCACUAUUUUUGGUGGUCUGAAGAUUAAGUUACAUGUGUUUGAAGUGUGAAGACUGAAUCUGUCCAGUUUUGGACAGCACAGCCUUCACAGUAUAUUUUACCCUUGAUACAUGCUAAACCAGCCAGGGAUGUUUAUAAAUAAUUUGUAGAACAUUUAAUUAGCUUUCCAGAAAGUCCAGGAUCACUUAGUUUGGAUGUCUGAAUCUUUUGUUGUGAAAUUUUGAAGCCGCAAGUCUGAAUCUGUCCAAAUCUGGACAGAGCUGCUGUGUUUGCACAAUUCGACCUUGCUAAGUGUUUAAUCAGGUUGUGAUGACAAUACCAAAGUUGUAGAGCACUUUUUAAGCUUUCCAGAAAGUCCUAGUUUGAUAUUUUUGGACUAACAAUUGAAGAGUUAUGAUUAAAACAAGCAACUGCUGUAUUGCUGUCCAAAAAUUCUGCUAUUGCUCAUUUGAUUGUUAGUUCACCCGUUUGGCUAAAAAUGUUGGUUAGCACUAAAUUCAUAUAGAAUUACCAUGGCUAAGCUUGAGAUAACAUAUCUGUCAUGUUUUUAUACGUUUCUUUCUCUAGUAAAUUGUGAUGUAGUAUUGUGUUGCGUAAAUGUCCAGAAUGUUUGUCGUCUUUUUAGUGGUGUUAAUGUUGUGCGUUCGACGAUAUAUAGUUAGCUAACGCUAGUGUGUGUGGUUAUUUGUGAUGUCUCGCUACUUAGUGUUUAAUUCACUAGCGUGUACUUAAAGUAUCAUGUGCUAUUUCAUUAUAUUCAUGCAUAUGCAUCUUGCAUCUCAUUUAGGACCGAGAGAUGCUGAUCGUGCAAGUGAUGUGGUGCCAACAACAAGAUGCAGUUGGUGGACGACCUAAAGAGUGAUGGACUUAACCAGUGGAUGCUCGCCAAGCGAGUACCUCCCCCAGCAAACACUAUCUAAGUGUUAAAAAUUAAAGGCAAGCUCCGGUUUUAUGCAUAACCGUUUAUAUAUGCUAUUUUACUACACUUAAUGUUUGUAGGCUUGUACUGUGCACUUAAGUGUAGGAGUUGAAUGAAACCCUAGUUGCAUGAACUCUGGAUUCCUUUUGAGAUGGAUACUAGUAUGCUAGGUCGAGUAGCUGCUUUACUAAUUAGGGAUUUCGGUAGAAGUCGAGUGAUUUUUCUAGCACUCGCGCGAGGUCAGGAAUUGGUUGUACCCACUUUCAUAUCAUAUGGAUGAUUGGUUUGUGGGCAACAAUCCAUGGGGAUUGGUUGUCCACGGGAUAAAAAUUGGAAUAAGGAUUAAGGUGUGGUACCGUGAGUCAAGCGUUUGAACGUACUAAACACAUACCGAGAAAUAUGGUAAAUCGGUAAGCCUAGUACCUGAGUGAACCUGCCCGCAGACAUAUCCCCUCACGCGACCUGAGACUUGGUCUCCCAUUCCGGUUAUGGUGGGUACAAGUGCGGUCACUGCACGACGGCAGUCGGGGUCAGUGAGGCAUUGUACGCCAAGGCGGUGAGCCCUGAUCUGUUGCCAGGGAAUCGAUGGGGACGGUUGAUGUGUGUGGGGACGGAGUGCCCCUACAUGUCGUGUGUUUAGGUUUACCUUGCAAGGUUUAAAAACUCGAUUCGAAUCGUCUGCUUCUCGCAGCUAAUGAGACUGCUUGAUCCAUGCUGCUACAUUGAGUAAUAAGUGGAAAUGAGUUGACUGGCAAAAUGAUGUUGAUUGAUAAAAUGUUUGAUAUCAUGUAUGAAUAGCUAGGUACACAUCUAGUUAAAAGGAUCAUACUAAAACUUGAAAAGCUAAAAACUUGAUUUUAGACUUAGCUAGUGCUUUUGGCAAACCAAACCCCUCAGCCAAACAGCUGCAUGUCUAGAGGUAGAGGAGUAGACUCCUCACACCGGGUAAGUCUAGCUGAGUAUUAGUAUACUCAGCCUUGCUUGUGGCAUAAUUUUUGCAGGUACUCCUUAGGAUGAUUGGUUGAUGGUGUGACUUGGCCUUCAUCCCUGCCACCGGGAUAGACGGUCGAGUGGGUUAUUGCUUCCGCAGGAGAGGACCCGGAGGAGUAGCGUGGCCAGGCUUCGCCAUGUUACUCGGUUUUCUCCGUUAGUUAUUUCCGCUGCAUUAAAAUUUAUGGUUAUUAUUUCUGAAACUCCGAUAAUGUAAUCACUAAUUAUACUUAUUAAAUUUGUGGUAUUAUGUUUUAUUGUAUUUCUCUGUGCCUCACCUUCGAGUGAGCUAGUGGUAUUCGAUCCUGGUAAGUGGCUUUAUCGGACUAGAUCCGAGGGACUGACGGGUUAUUCCUGUUUAAGUGUGUUGCUGCCCUUAAGGGUGCGACUUGGGCACUUAAGCUGGAAUAAUUCGGGUGGUUCCGCCACAGCUGUUUUUCUGUCAGGUCAGUCAGUGGGUGGGCAAAGUGACUGCGGUCACUUCGACCCUGUCGACUGAGGUACGCGUGUCAGGAUAAGGCGCUAGGUGAUCCUUGCAUUGAAUGCGCCUGUGAUACGGUCGGUUGGUGAGGCGAUUUGGCCAAGGUUGCUUCACUACGAAGCCUGCCCGAGCUGGGCUUCGGGCGAGUCGAGGGUGCGCCCGUUGCUGAGGAGGCCCUCGGGCGAGGCAUGAAUCCGUCUAGGACUACUGUUCCCGCCCGAGGCUGGGCUCGGGCGAGGCGAGAUCGCGUCCUUAGAGUUGACGAAGCCAUGACCUGAAUUGCACCCAUCAGCCUCUGCAGUUUGCGCUGAUGGUGAUUACCAGCCGAGUUUAGGAGUCUUGGGGGUACCCCUAAUUAUGGUACCCGACAGUAGCCCCCGAGCCUCAAAGGGAGUGUUGGUACUCGCUUGGAGGCUUUGUCGCACUUUUUUGCAAGGGGACCGGCCUUUCUCAGUUAUAUUUUGUUCCGGUGGGUGCACGCGAGCGCACCCGCCGGGUGUAGCCCCCGAGGCCUCGGAGGAGUGGUUUGACUCCUCCGAGGUCUUAAUGCCUUUCGUGAUGCCUUGGCCGGUCUGGUUGCUCCCUCAUGCGAUCUGAUCAUAGUCCGGGUGCAUGGUCAGGUUCCGAGUUUUCGGGCUGGUUUGUUCACGCUGUCAAUGGUUGGGCCGGAGCCGGGUUUGCGAGAGCAGCCCCCAAGCCUCUGCACAGAGCGAGAGGACGAUCAAGGACUGACUCGGCUUUUAUCAUAUGCCCCUUCGUCGCCUUUCCGCAAGGAGGAGGGGGGGAAAGCGCCAUGUUGCCCUCGGAGGGCGCCGAACAUGGUGUCUCCAGUGAAUUGCUAACGGGUGAUCCGAGUGGACGCCCAUGCCCCGUUCGAUAAGGGUCGGCUAGUGGCCCAGAGGCGUGCUCCAAAAGUACCUGCAGGUGAUUUGCCAGACCCGGUCCCGUUCGAUAGGGUCUGAGGGCUCGAUGCCUCCCUCUGAUGGGACCCCGUUACAAAAUCGCUCAUGCUGGUCUUGGAAAUGUCCUAGGGUACCUCGGGAGCGUAGCCCGAGCCUCGGCCAUGUAUCGGACGUACCCAGAGUCAUCCCUCGCUCUGCGUGCUCUGGGGCGGCUGUCGAACCCUUCAAGGGGCCAGCCUUCGAACACCUGAUCAGUAGUGGGCGCGGAGCCCGAGUGCUCUGAGGCGGCUGUCGAACCCUUCCGAGGGGCCAGCCUUCGAACCUCUGAUCAGUAAUGAGCCUGAAGCCCGAGUGCUCUGGGGCGGCUGUCGAACCCUUCCGAGGGGCCAGCCUUCGAACACCUGAUCAGUAGGAGGGCUCGGGGCCCGCUUCCUUCGCGGAGAAGGAUCCCUUUCAAAAUAUCCCCUUUCCCGGUCCCUGUAGCAAGAGAGAGAAAGGGGAAGAAAAGGAUACGAAUUUAAACGAUGUGGCGCACCUUUUUUGACGCGGUCAUCAUGGCGGAGGUGAAACGUCGCCCGCUUCGCCUGCCAAAGGUGUAGCUUGCCCUGCCGCGAAGUUAAUGCAACGGGACAGGUGGUUCGCGGGGCAGUCGUUCUGCGAGCCGUUCGAGGGACAGAACACGGGUGCGUCGUCUUCACGCCAUGGGAGAGGGCUCCCCUGCUGCUCCAGGAGGGGACGUGAGCCUGCAGACGAUUUGACUGCUGCUUCCGCUCGCCUGCUGCCGCCAUUACUGUCGGCCCGCUUUUGGCUAGAUCGACUAUCGCGCCUCCUCCCGCGGCUGACUGACCCAUGACCGAUGUGCUCGGUUGGCACUGUUGGGUCAUGCGCAGGGUUGCCUCGAGUCGCGGCACCGGUUCCGCAGUCGAGAAGGCGUGACAUUGACGUAAGUGGCAGUGCAGUUUUUCGCACGUAGUAACCGGCGCGCCGGUUACAUGACGUGUGGCCUGGGCUCCAUGCUGGAUGCGUCAAAGUCGAAGGGGUGCAUCUCCGUGGUGCGGUUGCACGCCACCUGCAUGGCGGUCUGCCCUUUCAACCGUUGGUUUCAGUGAGGAUGGAGGAGUGCUUGUAACAGCAGGGCGGUUACACGCUUCGCACGCGGUGGUUUGGCUUCUUCCGUUCCGGGCCAGCUUGCAUGACGUGUGGGACCCAGCCCCUGUGUCGUUGGGAGAGGACCCUGGAGCGCGUCGAUGAAGACUUAGUCCGCGACGCCUGAGGACGCGAGUGGGGAGAGCCGCCUUUAAAAAGGGAUCAACCCCCCGGGUGGCAGCCAUGCCUUCUCACUCCCCUCAUGCAUCGCAUCCUCCCACCUUCCGAGCCCCCGGAUGUGGAGCGCCCACUUUGCCUUCGUCUUGUCGUUGGAGGAGCGCAACCUUACGGAGGUGGGCACCCUUCAGCCAUCGCUUGGCUUCAAGGAUUUUCAUCAGGCAGCCCGGCUGCAUUCCCCCACCGAUGGUCACCCAGGAUGGUGACCACCAGUUCGAUGGUGGGGAGAAGCAAGCCGGGAUACGGACUCUGCCCCGCCCUCAGCUUCAAGGAUCUUCAUCAUCCUUGCUGGGGAGGAGGGCGAGGCGAGCCGGGGCCUGCCUUCGCGUGGGCUGGCGUCUUGCUUCUUCCUCCAGCAUCUGGGGGUGGAAACCAUCCUCCAGCUCUGCGGAGGAGGCGUCCUCCAGCCAUGCGGGGGAAGGCAAACUGCUGCUGCCUGGCCAGGGUGCAGCAUUCCGUCUCCUGUCCGGGCGACUGUGGCCGGCCGCACCGGAGGGUCUCACAACAUGUCGUACGCCACGAGGGCGGUACUCAUGUUAUGGGACGGUCCCGUUCUCGUUCUUGCGGCGAGGACGGGAGUGAGGACCUGCCGGUGCGCUUUGGGGCGGCCGGUGCUCGCUGGUGCGGUGUUGGUGUGCAGGUGGCUGCCAUCGUCGGUGCUGAGGCGGUGGCAGCUAGAGAAGGCUUCUCUGCCGACGAGAUCGUCGGCGCCACCUGCGGUCGGACCUCUAGCUCUUCAGCCUUGGCGGCUUGUCCUCGCCCCUCAAGUGGGGACGCGGGCGAGGGCCUUGUCGCAGCAGCAUUUGCCCUGAGUUCAUCGCUGCUGUUGUUUAGCUGCCCGGAGCGGAGGUCGUUGUCGCUGCUGCUGCAGUGGUCGGCGGCGAGCCAACUGGAGCUUGUCGUCCCGCAGGCCCUCCGAUGCGGAGGUUGUUCAUACCCGCGGGAGUGGAACCGGAGUUCCCUUUGUAAUGGCACCUUGAGUGCCAGUGUUUGUUCAUUGUGGCUGUCGAGGCCUAAACAUCUAGGUAUUUGAGUGUAAUACCGUGUUUCUUCCUCAUUUUGAGCACUAGGACACGCCUGUCGGCUAGCUGAACCGCUUAACCGAGUGUGAGUUGCCCUGUGUGGAAGGUGACGAGUGAGGUAUCCGUAUCCCGGAGGCAUAGGAGUCCCUCGGCUCGGUCGGCCUUGCCAUCCAAGGCUUCUCUUGCUCAGUUAAAAACCCUCGGCUGCUCUGCGAUGAGCAAGAGCCGGAGGCAGCGGUGUCAGCGUGGACAGAGGCGGAGUCGGCUCGAGAAGAAGCUUCGUUGGCCCGGGAGCACGUGGCCUCCUUGGCCGAGGAGGUGCAGCAGCGGCGGCUGGAGCUUGGCCAGGUCGUCCGCUGGCGGGACCAACCCCAAAGUCAGGCUGCCGAGGCCAUGAGCCGGGCUGAUGUCCUCGGGGGACAGCUGGCUGAGGCUACAUAGCGGUCGGUCGAGGUGUUUGCCUGGGCCAGGACCCUUACGGAGACCAUGUCUAUGAUAGCCCGAGCUUGGUGCUGGCCUCCUCCGAGGUGGAGAUCCUUCUGCCCGUGUCGCCAUCCGAGGCCGGGCCAGAUUCCACCGAAGGUGGAAACGACGCCGAGGGUGCUGCUGCUCCCUCUAUUGAUGUCUGAACCUGCAGGGAGAGUUUGUCUGUAGUGUGCGUAUGUUUUUCGCGGCCGCCGAGGCCCAAACAUAUCAUUGUCGUGUUGUAAAACUGCGUUUCCUUUCCUCUUGUUUCGAGUAUCAGGACUUGUUCGUCGAUAACAGAAUCGUUUAUCCGAGCGAGAGUUACUUUUCACGGAAGGUGACGAGUGAGGUAUCCGUAUCCCGGAGGCGUAGGAGUUCCUCGGCUCGGUCAGCCUCGCCGCUUACGUGCACUCUUACUCGUUCGUAGGAUUCUGUUAUCGAUAUAGUCGAGAAGGCACGUAAAUCGUUUUGGCAGAAAAGUUUUCGAGCGUUAAGACUUGUUUGAUCAGCAGAAUUGCUUAUCCGAGCGUGAGUUACUUAUCGCAGAAGGUGAUGGGUGAGGUAUCCGUAUCCCGGAGGCGUAGGAGUCCCUCGGCUCGGUCAGCCUUGCCUCUUAUGUGUACUCCGUCGUUUUCAGGAUCCCGCUAUCGAAGCAGUCGAAAAGCGCGAAAGAUGUUCUGGUAGAAACACUUUUUCUAAGGAAAUUUUUUACGCAGAGGGGGUCCCCCCCUUCUAGCCCCCGAGGGAGGGUCGGGCUUUGCCGAGGCAAGGCUGACCCUUCCUUGACGGUUAGACUUUAUUUGAAUAGAAAAUGAGGUAUAUGAACGACUUGAAAACAUCUUAAGGGUAAAAGCGACAUAGCUGUCGGAUGUUCCAAGCGUUGUUGUAGACCUCGCCUUGAUUGUUGGCCAGCUUGUAUGUUCCGAGCUUCAAAAUCUUGGCGAUGAUGAAUGGCCCCUCCCAGGGAGGAGUAAGCUUGUGGCGCCCUCGGGCGUCUUGCCGCAGCCGAAGCACCAAGUCUCCCACUUGGAGGUCUCGGGGCCGAACCCCUCGGGCGUGGUAGCGUCGCAGAGACUACUGAUAUCACGCCGAGUGUAGCAAGGCCACGCCCCGAGCUUCUUCCAGCUGGUCCAGCGAGUCCUCUCGGCUGGUCUGGUUGCUUUGGUCGUCGUACGCCCUUGUCCUCGGGGAACCGUAUUCUAAGUCUGUGGGCAAGACAGCCUCGGCCCCAUAGACUAGAAAGAACGGUGAGAAACUCGUGGCCUAGCUUGGCGUCGUCCUCAGACUCCAGACCACCGAGGGUAGUUCCUUCAUCCACCGCCUGCCGAACUUGUCGAGGUCGUUGUAGAUCCUCGGCUUAAGUCCCUGCAGAAUCAUGUCGUUGGCACGCUCCACCUGCCCAUUUGUCAUGGGGUGAGCCACGGCGGCCCAGUCCACCCGGAUGCGGUGGUCCUCGCAGAAGUCCAGGAACUUCUUGCCAGUGAACUGGGUGCCAUUAUCGGUGAUGAUGGAGUUCGAGACCCCGAAGCGAUGGAUGAUGUUGGUGAAGAACGCCACCGCCUGCUCGGACCUGAUGCUGGUUAGGGGUCGGACCUCGAUCCACUUGGAGAAUUUGUCGAUGGCGACCAGCAGAUGCGAGAAGCUCCCGGGUGCCUUAUGCAAGGGACUGACGAGGUCCAGACCCCACACAGCAAACAGCCAAGUGAUGGGUAUUGUCUGUAGGGCCUGAGCGAGCAGGUGCGUCUGUCUUGCGUAGAAUUGACACCCCUGGCAGGAGCGUACAAUCCUAGUGGCGUCGGCCACCAUGGUGGGCCAGUAGAAACCUUGUCUGAAGGCAUUCCCAACGAGGGCUCGAGGUGCUGCGUGGUGACCGCAAGCCUCUGUGUGUAUCUCUUGCAAUAGCUCCUGUCCUUCAGUGAUGGAUACGCAUCGUUGGAGAAUGCCUGAGGGGCUGCGGUGGUAGAGCUCCUUUUCAUCGCCCAGUAAGACGAACGACUUGGUGCGCCGCGCCAGUCUUCGAGCUUCGGCUUUGUCGAGGGGGAGCUCUCCUCGGUGGAGAUAUUGCAGGUACGGGGUCUGCCAGUUUCGAUUAGGCGUAACCCCAUUCCGCUCUCCCUUGACACGCAGUGCCUCACCCUCGGCGGCCGAGGGUGCCUCGGGCUGGGCCGAGGCCUCCUUGGGCUCGGCCGAGGCUUCCCCGGGCGUGUCGUCGGUCUCGACGGAGGGUUGAUGUAUGUCUCUGGAGAAGACAUCCAGGGGAACCGUUGUCCGCCCCGAGGCUAUCUUAGCCAGCUCAUCCUCAGUCUCGUUGUACCAUCGGGCGACGUGGUUGAGCUCGAGUCCGUAGAACUUGUCUUCCAGGCGCCGAACCUCGUCGCAGUAGGCCUCCAUCUUCCGGUCGCGGCAGUGGGAGUUCUUCAUGACUUGGUCAGUGACAAGCUGCGAGUCGCCACGAGCGUCGAGGCGCCGAACCCCUAGCUCGAUGGCGAUGCACAACCCGUUAACCAGAGCCUCGUACUCGGCCAUGUUGUUUGACGUCGGGAAAUGGAGGUGCAGCACGUAGCGGAGGUGCUUCCCGAGGGGUGAGAUGAAGAGCAGGCCCGCACCUGCUCCUGUUUUCAUCAGCGACCCAUCGAAGUACAUGGUCCAGAGUUCCAGUUGGAUCGGAGCUAUUGGUAGCUGGGUGUCGACCCAUUCAGCCACGAAGUCUGCCAAGACUUGGGACUUGAUGGCCUUCCGAGGAGCGAACGUGAUUGUCUCGCCCAUGAUCUCCAUCGCCCACUUUGCUAUCCUACCCGAGGCCUCUCGGCACUGGAUGAUCUCCCCCAGGGGGAAGGAUGACACCACAGUCACCGGAUGAGACUCGAAGUAGUGUCGCAACUUUUGCCACGUCAGAAUUACUACGUAUAGUAGCUUCUGAAUUUGCGGGUAGCGGAUCUUGGUCUCGGAUAGCACUUCGCUGAUGAAGUAGACCGGCCUCUGGAUGAGCAGUGCAUGCCCUUCUUCUCGUCUCUCGACUAUGAUCGCGGCGCUGACCACCUGAGUGGUUGCGGCUACGUAGAUCAAGAGGGCUUCUCCUGCAGCGGGGGGCACCAAGAUGGGCACACGUGUAAGGAGUGCCUUUAAGUUUCCGAGGGCUUCCUCGGCCUCGGGGGUCCAAGAGAAGCGCUCGGUCUUUCUUAAGAGGCGAUACAAGGGUAGGCCUCUUUCGCCGAGGCGCGAGAUGAAGUGGCUCAGAGCCACAUGGCAUCCCAUGACCCUUUGUACUCCUUUCAAGUCUUUGAUAGGCCCCAUGUUGGUGAUGGCCGCGAUUUUCUCCGGGUUGGCCUCGAUGCCCCGCUCGGAGACGAUGAACCCCAGGAGCAUGCCUCGGGGGACUCCGAAGACACAUUUCUCGGGGUUAAGUUUCACGCCCUUCGCCCUCAGACACCUGAAUGUCGUUUCAAGGUCAGAGAGGAGGUCAGAGGCUUUUCUCGUCUUGACCACGAUGUCAUCGACGUAGGCCUCGACCUUUCGGCCGAUGUGCUCUCCGAACACGUGGUUCAUGCAUCUUUGGUAUGUUGCGCCUGCAUUCCUCCAACCAAAUGGCAUAGUAAUAUAGCAGUACAUGCCAAAAGGUGUGAUGAAAGAAGUCACGAGCUGGUUGGACUCUUUCAUCUUGAUUUGGUGAUACCCUGAGUAGGCAUCGAGGAAUGAAAGGGUUUCGCACCCAGCAGUGGAAUCCACGAUUUGAUUGAUGCGAGGCAGAGGGUUGGGAACUUUCGGACAUGCUUUGUUUAGACCAGUGUAGUCUACACACAUCCUCCAUUUCCCACCUUUCUUUUUCACAAGCACAGGGUUGGCUAACCAUUCGGGAUGGAAUACCUCUUUGACGAUCCCCGCAGCCAUCAGCUUGUGGAUCUCCUCGCCUAUGGCUCUGCGCUUUUUUUCGUCGAAAUGGCGCAGAGGCUGCUUCACGGGUCGGGCUCCAGCUCGGAUAUCCAGCGAGUGCUCGGCGACAUCCCUCGGUAUGCCAGGCAUGUCCGAGGGACUCCACGCAAAAACCUCGGCGUUUGCGCGGAGAAAGUCGACGAGCACUGCUUCCUAUUUGGGGUCGAGCUCGGAGACGAUCUGGACUUGCUUGGAGGCAUCGUUGCUAGGAUCGAGAGGGACGAACUUAACCGCCUCUGCUGGCUCGAAGUUGCCGGCGUGGCGCUUCGCAUCUGGCACCUCCUUAGAGAGGCUCUCCAGGUCGGCGAUGGGGGCCUCGGACUUGGCGAGGGCCUCAGCGUACUCCACACACUCCACGUCGCAUUCGUACGCGUGUCGGUAUGUGGAUCCGAUGGUGAUGAUCCCGUUGGGGCCCGGCAUCUUGAGCUUGAGGUGGGUGUAGUUGGGGACGGCCAUGAACUUGGCGUAGCACGGUCUCCCAAGGACCGCGUGGUAGGUUCCCCGGAACCCGACCACCUCGAACGUGAGGGUUUCCUUUUGGAAGUUGGAGGGGGUCUCAAAGCAGACGGCAGAUCGAGUUGUCCAAGGGGCUGGACACGCUUCCCGGGGAUAAUCCCGUGAAAGGGUGCCGCACCGGCCCGGAUCGUGGACAGAUCGAUCUGCAAGAGCCUGAGGGUCUCGGCGUAGAUGAUGUUGAGGCUGCUGCCUCCGUCCAUAAGGACCUUGGUGAGCCUGACGUUGCCGAUGACGAGGUCAACAACGAGCGGGUACUUUCCUGGGCUCGGCACGCGGUCGGGGGUGGUCGCCUUGGUCGAAGGUGAUGGGCUUGUCGGACCAGUCUAGGUAGACUGGCGCCACCACCUUCACCGAGUAGACCCCCUGUCGCUCUUGCUUGCGGUGUCGAGCCGAGGCGUUCGCCACUUGCCCACCGUAGAUCAUGAAACAAUCGUGGACCUCGGGGAACUCCUCUGACUUGUUGCCCUCCUUCUUGUCGUUGUCAUGGCCUCUGCCACCUUCCGCCGAGGGCCAGGCCUUAUGGAAGUAGCACCGAAGCAUGACGCAUUCCUCAAGGGUGUGCUUGACGGGACCCUGAUGAUAGGGGCACGAUUCCUUGAGCAUCUUGUCGAACAGGUUGGCCCCUCCGGGAGGCUUCCGAAGGUUCUUGUGCUCGGCGGCAGCGACAAAAUCUGUGUUGGCGGCGUCGCGUUUCGCUUGCGACUUCUUCUUGCCUUUCUUCUUCGUGCCGCGCUGGGCGGACGCCUUGGGGAUGUCUUCCUGCUGGCGUCCCUGAGGCUGCUUGUCCUUCCGGAAGAUGGCCUCGACCGCCUCCUGACCAGAGGCGAACUUGGUGGCGAUAUCCAUCAACUCGCUCGCCUUGGUGGGAGUCUUGCGACCCAGCUUGCUCACCAGGUCGUGGCAAGUGGUGCCGGCGAGGAACGCGCCGAUGACAUCUGAGUCGGUGAUGUUGGGCAGCUCGGUGCGCUGCUUCGAAAACUGUCGGAUGUAGUCCCGCAAGGAUUCCCUUGGCUGCUGGCAGCAGCUUUGGAGAUCCCAGGAGUUCCUAGGGCGCACGUAUGUGCCCUGGAAGUUUCCAGCGAAGGCUUUGACCAGAUCGUCCCAGUUGGAGAUCUGCGCAUGAGGCAAAUGCUCCAGCCAGGCUCGGGCGGCGUCGGAGAGGAACAGGGGGAGGUUGCGGAUGAUGAGGUUGUCAUCAUCCGUUCCACCUAGCUGGCAGGCUAGCCGGUAGUCCGCAAGCCACAGUUCCGGCCUUGUUUCCCCCGAGUACUUGGUGAUGGUAGUCGGGGCUCGGAACCGGGUCGGGAACGGCGCCCGUCGUAUGGCCCGGCUGAAGUCUUACGGACCAGGUGGUUCGGACGAGGGGCUCCGAUCCUCCCCACUGUCGUAGCGUCCCCCACGCCUAGGGUGGUAGCCUCGGCGCACCUUUUCGUUGAGGCGGGCUCGACGGUCGUGGCGGUGGUGCUCGUUGCCGAAGCGACCCGGGGCCGCAGGCGUCGCGUCCCGUGUGCGCCCGGUGUGGACCGAGGCUUCCCGCAUGAAUCGGGAAGUCCCGGCGCGAUGCUCUAGGGACUCUACAUGAAUCGGUGGGGACUCUUCGGGAGGCAGAGCUCUCGACCCGUCGGACCGUGGCAUCCUCCAGGAGAUUCUUGAGCUCUCCCUGGAUACGCCGCCCCUCGGUGGUGGAUGGCUCCGGCAUCGCUCGGACUAGUAUUGCCGCUGCAGCCAGGUUCUGGCCGACCCCACUGGAAGCCGGGGGCAGCCUUGCCAUGGCAUCGUCAGUGAUACGGCGCUGAACGUCCUGGGCCUAAUGACGCGCUUCUCCGGCUAGUGCUCGGCCUGCCCACUCCUGCUCGAUGUUUUGCCGGAGCUGCACAAGCUGUCCUGCUUCCUCGUCGAGCUUGGCCUGCAUCUCGCGGAUUUGCUCGAGCUGUGUGUCCUGACCCCCCGCAGGGACUGGGACCAUAGCUAGCUCCCGCAGGAUGUCAAUGUGAGGCGCAGGCCCAGGGGGAUCAUCGUCCCCCGGCAUACUGAGGUGGUUGCCUUUGCUGUGACCCCCAGAUCGACGUGGAAACAUUCGCGACCUGGGCCACAACCUUCGUUGUCAAGGCUGCGGCCAUCAUCGGAGCAAUCGGAGAGGCAGUAGUCACAUGCGGUCAUGAAGUCUCGCAUGGCGCUAGGAUUACCGAGCCCGGAGAAAUCCCAACUAGAGUCAGGCUCGUCGUCUUCCUCAAGGCCCGGGGGCCCGUAGGUCGAGACGGCUGUCAGUCGGUCCCAGGUCGACCACAUAUGGUACCCCGGAAGGUUAGGAUAUGCCUUUAUGAAAGCGCUCAUCGAAGUGGGAUUGCUUGGUGGAUCGAAGCUGAAUCUAAAAGGCAUAGGAUGGAAAACGGACGGUACCUCUUGAUCGAUGGACGGUGACGAAGUCGCGUCGGGGACGGACUGCACCGUUAUGUCAGGUACGAGGAUAACGCCCAGCAGGCCCUUCGCGAGCGUGCUGGCGUCAUCUGUUCGCUUCGGGUUGGCGUGUUGCGGGGAAACGACGCUCGUCGUCGUCUUGGGCACGAGGUCAACGCCCGCCGUGUCCCCCGCUGGGGUGCUGGGGUCGUCGACUUGCUCGACCACUGACGAGGUGCCACCUCCUGCUUGGCCACGGUUGCCCCACCUCCUCCUUCUGCGGCGAGGAAGGCGACGGGACAAGCCCGAAUGCUGCUCUUCCACCAUGGGGGGAAAACGUCGCCGAGUCCGCCGCCGCCGGGCGGGCUGACGGUCGUCGUUGUCGUGCUGUGGGGGAAGGAGUACCAUGUCGUAGCUGCCGUCGAGUGACAUGAACUCGAGACUCUCGAAACGGAGCAACGUCCCGGGCUGAAGAGGUUGCUGGAGACUACCCAUCUGGAACUUGACGGGAAGUUGUUCGUCAACACGCAGCAGGCCCCUACCUGGCGCGCCAACUGUCGUCGUUUCGACCCCGGGGGGUCCCUGGACCGACGAGUAAAUUAUCGCUGCGUGCCCCAGCCCAGAUGGGUUGGCGCGAGACGGAACACAAAGGGGGGAAAACCGUGGCUUUGUGUUAUCCUGCGCCAGAGUGGGUGUGCUUGCAGUAGGGGUUACAAGCGUUCGCGAGGGAGAGAGAGAGAGUCCCGCGCGACCACCCUCUCGUAUGAGGGCCCUGGCCCUUCCUUUUAUAGAUGCAAGGAGAGGGUCCAGGUGUACAAUGGGGGUGUACCAAUAUGCUAACGUGUCCGGCAGAGAGGAGCCAGAGCCCUAUGUACAUGCCAACGUGGCUCUCGGAGAGGUGCUAGGGCCCUGUGUACAUGGUGUCGUGGCCGUCGGAGGAGCGUUUGAGCCCUGUAGAAGCACAGCUGUCGGGGCUGUCGGGACCUUGCUGACGUCUCCUUGCUUCCGUAAGGGGCUGAGAGCCACCGUCAUCAUGGACGCAUGCGGGGAGCCAUCAUUACUUGUUGUCGGGGCGAGCCUGGAUGGGACGCCGGUCUUAUUCCCCCGUAGCCUGAGCUAGCUAGGGGUAGGGUAAUGAUGUACCCCCUGCGGCGUGGUCGGUCCGAGCCUGAGGUCGGGCGAGGCGGAGACUCCUCCUGAGGCCGAGGCCGGGGUAGGGCGAGGACGCGAUUCCGCCCGAGGUCGAGGUUGAGACCGGGCCCUGGGGUCGGGCGAGGCGGAGACCACCUUCCAAGGUCGAGGUCGAGGCCGAGCCCUGCGGUCGGGCGAGGCGGAGACCACCUUCCAAGGCCAAGGCGGGGGCCGAGCCCUAGGGUUGGGUGAGGCGGAGACUUCUCCUGAGGCUGAGGCCCAAGGUCGGGCGAGGCGGAGCUUCCUGUGGCGCCUGAGGCCGAACUCAGCUGCUGUCAGCCUCACCCUGGCGGGUGGCACAACAGUCGGAGAGGGGCGAGCGGCGUUGUUUUCCUGUCAGGUCAGUCAGUGGGAGGGUGAAGUUACUGCGGUCACUUCGACCCUGUCGACUAAGGUACGCAUGUCAGGAUAAGGCGCCAGGCGAUCCUUGCAUUGAAUGCACCUGUGAUACAGUCGGUUGGUGAGGCGAUUUGGCCAAGGUUGCUUCACUAUGAAGCCUGCCCGAGCUGGGCUUCGGGCGAGUCGAGGGUGCGCCCGUUGCUGAGGAGGCCCUCGGGCGAGGCGUGAAUCCGUCUGGGACUACUGUUCCCGCCCGAGGCUGGGCUCGGGCGAGGCGAGAUUGCGUCCCUUGAGUAGACGAAGCCUUGACCUGAAUUGUGCCCAUCUGCCUCUGCAGUUUGCGCUGUUGGUGAUUACCAGCCGAGUUUAGGAGUCUUGGGGGUACCCCUAAUUAUGGUACCCGACAACCUGCAAGUUGUCAAUGGUCGCACUAAGCUCUGCCACACGAGCACGAGCUUUGGCUUCCCGGUCCCAAGCAAUCGAACGUGAAUUGACAGCCCAAUCGAUUGCCAAAUCCCGUUCAAGAAGCUCGUCUUGCAGAUGUCUGAUGUCAGCUCUCAACUCAUUCAUACGCUGACCAUCUUCUACCCACACCCUGUUCCAGUGACAUAGCUCCGUCCGAAGCUGCUCCACUUGGGCUUCUAGGUCUCCGAUGGGGUCGUUACUGCCGCUGCUGCUCACUUCAUGUCUCGGAGCCAGAUGAUGCCGAGGUACGCCAACAGGUCCGGUGGACUUACGCGCAGUUUUCCUCAUGCGCGGCGACAUAUCUCCAUAAGGGGGAAAACCUUAUUAGUAUAGUUUUUCAACAUGGUGCAUGCAUAUUUACGGAAUCUACCUUCGUUGAUUCCCAACCUCCUAUACAUUGCAAUCUGUUACCUGGUCUUAUAGGAUGAGUACUUCAGAAAGUGGCAAGGUGAGAACAAAAGAAAUUUUCUUGGAUAAGUAUUUGAAAAUUCUUUUUGAAAUGCCUCAUAAUAUCUGAAGAGAUGGGCUUUGCUCCGAUACCAGAUGUGACGAAACCUCCCAAGUCAUUAGGCCCACCUACAGUUGUCCUUGUCCAGCGGACCUUGGACAACCCUGUAGAUGCACCUGAUCACUUGAUAAGUUCGGUAUUUGUAUCCUUCCUUUUCUCAAGAGAGUUUCACCCGUCACGCAGAUAUUACAACACAUCGGAGGAAUGAAUAAGCGGAAGCAAUUAUAGUAACUUAAUUUACAUUAAAAUAUAGAAAGAGUGUUAUUAUUACAAACUAGUAGUAUAUGAGUGCAGAAAUAUUAUUAUUACAAACUCGGGAGGCAAAAACCCCUCCCGCUUAAAAGUAUAAUAUUUUUAACAUGAGGACAACAUCCUCCCGAGGCUUCACUCUUGAGAUUCUUCCUUUGGCACCACCUUAGAGCAAAAGCAACAAAAGUUUGCUGCUUCCUCACCUACAAGAACAUGGGUUCGAAAACCCUGAGUACGAAGUGUACUUUCGCAAGUCUUACCCGUCAAAAUAAAAGACUCUCAAGGAUAUGGUGGCUUGGAGGGAGUCAAGGUCAGGCUUAAUCAAGAAUCAAGACUCUGUUAGCAGAAAUGCUUACUAAUAGUGGAUCCUUAAAAAUCUAGUGUUAUUAGCAAGUUAAGUCAUUACCUGAAUUUAGAGUUCUUUCUACACUAGUUCAAGCACUUGGCCUAUACUAGCCAUCUUUUUAUCAACCCUUCUUGUUUACUGGAAUGCUACGUGUAGGGCAGUGACCAAGUCUUAAUGUCCGAGAAGUAACGGUGAUCCGAAUCGAUUAAUACCCAGCUAGGGAUCUCCAAUCACACGACAUAUGUAGCACUUAACCCUUGCAUAUGUCAACUCGCCACCGGGGUUCUUAAGACCAGAUCAGGUUCACGCCAACCGAGAGCACAGAUACACCACCGUCCAGCUUCUUGCCACGGAGGGUACACGCUACUCUCGCCAUCUCUCCACUCCCAUUGCGUGUUGUCUUAUUCUGGUAUUAAUUUGCCCGAGGCAAAGCUUACCCAUGAUGAGACAUGUGACCAGUUAAAAUGUCCUCAAUCAUCAAGCCUACAUCGAGAUGGUCCUUAAUCGACUCAGACGGAGACACUACACUGAGACUCUCUUCUCGUGCAAGUCACCCACCCGGUCUCAGCUUUAUCGUUUCAAACCCAAAGUUUGGUACCUGUUAGAGGUAUAUCUUUUUUGAUGUUGAACCCAUCACGGCCAUGAUGGAUCCACCAUCAAGUUUUAUCUUUGAAAACAUCCCAUCCCAUUUGAAGCAUCAUAUUUUGUCAAAACAACACAUUUUGUUUUCUAGAGCAAGACUAAGCAUCAAAAAAACCUUUUCAUAAAACAGGUGAUCUAGGAAAAGUAAUCAAUUUUCCAAGGAAGGAAAUGCAUUAAUUGUUUAGCACAUAACUCCUAUUACCUAAUGCAUCAAGCAAGUGAGAAAGAUUUUAAAAUAGCAAAGAGGUGGCCAAUGCACCGGGGCUUGCCUUGUGUUAUAGGAGAGUCGGGCUCUGCUCCACAAAUAUCAAAAUAAAAGUAGUUCCCGGCAGGUGGGUCUUCAGGUGGUGGUGGUGCAACUCCUUCUUCUUCAACCAAUACUUCUUCUUCGUUCUCUAUAUAUAAUCAUAUAUAACCAUGAAUGCUCAUGUAAUGCUUAUGAAAAUGCAGUAAUAGAAAAGGUUUAUCAAGUUGUAUCUUGAGUACAAUUUUCCUUCACGGUACUCCAAGAAACUAGGGUUUUUGGAGUCACUAUUUAAUUUCAUAGGGCACACACUACUUGGAAGAUUAGGGUUUUGGGGUUUAGGUAUCAAACUUUGUCCAAAUCAAGUCAAACUUCACCCAAGGUUUCUAAAUAUCAUUUUAGGCUUAUCCAAAAAGUUUAGUGAUUUUUGAAGUUAUUAAAUAAUUUCUAAAAUUUCAGAGGUAUAGGUUUAAGUCCUUUUUAAAAACUAUAUAAUUCCUUGUUUGAACUAAAAUUCCUAAAACUAUUUUUAUUAAAUACUAUAGAAAUUUAGGAGUCCAACAAAAUUGGUCUCAUAUUCUUGGCAUUUUUCUAGAAUUUUCUAUGAUUUCUUUCAUCCUAGCAGAAAAAGAAAAAGAGAAAAGGUGAACAAUGGUGGGCUGAAACUGGCCCGAGUCGACCCACGAACGGGGAAAUACACGCGCGCCUGCGCCCUCGUUGCCGGUCUUGCGAAAAGGCCCCUAGUUAAUCAAAUAACUGGUGAAGAACCCCUAGCCACUAUUCAUUGUCUCUCUGACAAAUGCACAGAGGUCCUCCGACUUCUAUUUCUUCUCCAUCCUAACCCAUGGCCACAACGCGCUCGCCGUCGACCACCUUGUUGCUCGGACUGGCCGUGACCGGCGUUGGCUGCCCAAAUUAACUAAUGGGCAAGCAUUACCGACCCGAGGCGAACCUAGAACAAGCCUUAAUUGAGUUAACCGGCCCUAGAUUCACCUACCCACGAUGACGACGAUCAUCGAGGUCAAACCGAGGGGUUCCCGACGAGUAAGCACAAUCUAGCUCAGUUAGGAGCCGACAAGCAUCACAAGCAUGCGAGGGUGCUAAAACACGAAUAAGGAGGGUGAGUGCGGACCUGAGAGCGGCUAGCCCCGACGGGGUGAUUCACGGCGGCGCAGAUGAUCAAUUUGGGGGAAAACCCAAAUUCUACGGCUAUGGUGGCUAAUCGGAGAUGAGAGUUAGUGUCUUGGGUUCAAAAUAACUUGGCGAAGUAGAGUGGGGCAUCAAUUUAUAGAAGCUUUAGGCGGGGGCUCCGAAUUUGGGAGGAGUGUGGAGCUUAUCUCCCUCGUGAGGCAAUCACCGAGGCUCACCGUGGAGCGCAUGCAUUCACCUUGCGCCUGUAACUAUCUCGGGGUGCCACAAUCACGACAAUGUGGUGAAUCAGGCGACUACGUGUCCCUUGCUGCGAUCACGACGAGCACCAGCGGCGAUAUUUUACCGACCGUGCGGGCAAGUGGGCACGGCGGUGACUCAGCCCCGACCAAGACCUUCUUCCCCAAGAUCUUUUUAACCCUCACGGUUAUCUACUCCUUAUCGGCACGAAUCAUGGCAUCGGCGUGAAUCACAGUGCAGAGGUCACCGACGACGAGGUACCCUGAACUUGGCGAUCUGAUCCAAUCACUGUACCAUCGCGCUAGUCAUCAGUGGUUCUGACAGAGCGAUUUGUAGUGCUUCGUUCUUGAAUUUUUGUGUAACAACUUGAUCUUCGGCCAGCAGGGAAAUUGUUGCCCUAUAAUCCCUUUCUAACUUUGUUAUAGUGUCCACCAUCAAAUAGUCAGAGGAUCCUACUCAAAAUCGAUCUCUAAGUUCAUCCAACUUCACUGUUAAUCAGAAUUCAGACUUAGGGCUGACUGACAGCCCGACUUUGUGCUCAUUUUACUCCAAAUUUUGCAUGUGAUCAAGGCUUAAUCACAUAAGCAAAGUUGUACUCCUAUGAUAGCUCUAUAAUCUUUAUGUAUUGACCCUGGGCAAUGUUGGAACUUGCUGUCACUCGCAAGGGGGCCAACAAGGGUGAACAGUGACGUUAACAGGGGAACGCGCUAGAUGGCAAUAGCUCUGUUAAUCUGGCCUCUCACGGGCACUGUGCGGGGGUAUUUAUAGAUACCUGAGCGCCCAGCGCCUUGUGCUAAGGACGCAUGUGCCCUCGGCUACCUAGGUUAUCCCCAGAAUAUUCCAUAAAGCAGGGUUACAGACUGUAAUUACAGGGACGCCUUUACAAAUUAGGCCCGUAACACGAGGCGGCCACGCAGGGCCCGUUACAAUGGGCCGGAUCACACGUGGGCCUCUGAGCUGGAUGAGGCCGCACCGUGGGAUGACGUCGUCGCAGGUCUUCGUCUGGUGCCGAAACGGCGAAGGGUGUCCCUGCCCGUUUUGUCUCUGUCAGACCAGCGGCUGCAACGAAGGCCUCGAGCGAAGGGUGGCGUCUUUGCCUUCGCCCCAACAUUUGCCCUCUGAGGGACCAGUUCGACAAAGUCACCUGGUGCCGAAGACGUCGCUAGAUGGCGGAGACGCUGCCCUCGCUCGAAGUGGUUCCGCGGGGGUUUUUGACAUGACCGUUGAUUGACAGCGUACUGUUGGAUUGCGGGUUUCCCGAAGCGCCGCGCCCUGUUGGAUUGCGGGUUUCCCGAAGAGCCGCGCCCUGUCUAUAAAAGGGGGCGGGAGUCGGUGCUUUUUGAACUUCACUUUCCGCGCUCCGUGAAAACCCUAGCCGCCUUUUUCACCGUCUUGCUGCUCGUCUGCCCGUCGUGCUCUUGUUCGCCGGAGAUCUGGCUCGAGUGAAGCAGACCGCCCGCCGCCGCCGACAGUACGUAGCGAUGCCGACCUCCUCUUCUUCCGCUGCCGCUACGCCGCAGGCCGACCCCUCGCCGCCGGCCGCCGCUUCGCCGCCGGCCGACGCCUCGUCUGAGGAGACGCUGAGUAGUUUGAUGGCGGAGGAGUUGCGCGCCGGCGAUUCUGUUGAUUUUGGCGUGUCGCGGAUGUCGUCGGUCCGCGUGCAAGAUAUGCAGCGGUUGGGUUACUUCGGCGGUGGAGUUGCUCGUGUCCCGGGGACAGAGGAAGUCCCCGAGCCGGAGGGCGAGUUGGUUGUGUUCGAGGCGUUCUUCGCCGCCGGUCUCCGCCUGCCUGCGCACCGAUUUGUUGGCGAAGUCCUGCGCAGGUUUAACGUUCAGAUACAUCAGUUGACACCGAAUGCCGUGGUGGCUCUGUCGAAGUAUGUCUGGGCGACGACUUCGUACGACGGACAGCCAUCGGUCGAAGUCUUUGCGAAGUAUUAUUGUUUGCACUGGCAGAAGAGGAUGAUUGGAGACGAAGUUGCUCAGUUUGGGUCCUGCACGUUCACGCCGAAGACCGGCAAGACCACGAUGCAGGUAGUCGAGUUGGUUCCUUGCGCCCGCAACAAGUGGGGCAACUGGAAUGAAUUUUGGUUUUACGUUGCUGAGGGUACCGUCGAAGACCAUGAGGGACUCCCCGUGUCCGAGAUGUGUUCUCAUUUUUACUCAGCGUACCCGCCCUUUGAAGUGGCGGAGGAGGAUGCGAACGAAGGGGCCCUUCGGUGCGCCGCCGGCCUGAGUAGUGGACGCGAUUUGGUUGAAGAAUUUGUGGCGUACGGGGUAUGGCCCUUGGCGCAUGGCUGGGCGUUGGGCGAAGUGUGCCCUCGCCAGAUGCCUUUCCAUGGUGGAAGGGUGGUGCGAAGUCCCGCCUUCGCGCUGAAUCUGCAAAGCCGCGAUCCGGCCGCCUUUGUGCGUGAGGCGGAGGAUGGGGCGGUGCGGCUCGUUGGACGUUACGUGCCGAGGACAGAGGGCCAGCGCAGCUGGGAUAUCCGCGGAUCGAAUGACCGUUUGAACAGGGUUUUUGAAUUGAAUCAAUUGUCGUAUGACGGCUAUCCUGGUCAAGACGAUGUGGACCGCCGUGGGAAGAAGCCGGUGGUGGAGACUAGAGACGACCCUGCGCCGGCGGCCGCCCCAUCCUCUAAAAAGUGGAAAUUAGGUACUGCUAUGGGAGGACUUGGGGUUUCCGAUGGUUUUGCUAGAGAGUUGAUGAGGACAUGCGCGGCCCCGUGGGGAAGGAUGUCUUCGCCCGAGCUCCGGGAGUCUUCGGCUCGGAUGCUAAGGGUUACCGGGGGUUGUUGGCCUAAGAAUGUUCCUAUCCCCCGCGCGGCUGGCGAGGACUUUUUUACAUCUCGCAUGGUUCGUGAAUGGAGAGUUUUUCCUUACGGGCGGAAUAUUGCUACUGUUGUGUCGGCAGUGAUGGACAAGGAUCGCCAGGGAGCUGCACAAAAGCGCCAGGCAGUUGUCAGGCUCGUUGAAGCCAGGCCUAAGAGGCAGUGGGGGGCUGCGAAGGCUGCGGCCCCCGGCGGAGGCAAGCCGCCGUUGGCGGUGAAGUCGGGCGUCCCUGCAUCUAGCAAAGCGCCGGAGGCAACGACAGGCGCCGGAGGCUCCAAAACGACGAAGGCUGUGCCGCCGUCCAGCAGAGUGCCGGAGGUCGCGAAGGCGGCCCGAGCGUUGCCGUCGGCAGGCAAGCGUGUCGCUGACUUCGCCACCGAUAUUAGUGUGGACGACUAUCUUGGUGGUAAGUCGUUGGCUCGUUUUUUUUAUUUAUUCGUUGAUACGUCGCAGGGUCGGAUGAAGGCCAACUUGCUAUAGUUGCGCCUGCCACGGCGACCACGAUGGCUGCCGUAGUGCCGAAGGCGAAGGGCGGGGCUCUUAGCGCCGGAGGCGAGGUGUUGGCCCUCGCAGCUGUUAGGGAUGAGGCGGGCGCUGCGUCCCGCCGGCUGAAGGAGGUGACGGAGGCGCUAAGUCAGGUCCGCUGAGCUAGACUUCGUUUUUUUCGGCUUGCUGGGGCCGUGGUCUUACGUGUGUUCUGCAGGUGGCUGACUUCGCCAACCGCACAGCGUCGGGGGCCCUCACGGCGGUUGUGUCUGUCGAAGUCGAGAGACUUCAGACACAACAUGCCGAUGUCGUCCGUGAAAAAUCGGCCGCCGACAGCAAGUGCCGCAAGCUGGCGGACAAGGUGGCCGCGCUGGAGGGAGAGAAGGCUGACCUCCGGCGCCAAUUGGUGGGGGAGAGGAGGGAGACCAACGAGGCCCUCGUCAAGGCGCAGGCUGCGCAGGCGGAGGCUAAUCUGGCACGGGCGGAGGGCAAUCUUGCCAGGGAGCGCGCCGAGCAGCUGCAGGAGCGGCUCAUCGCCCUGGAGAGCUGCGUGGAGAGGGCCGAGGCCGUGACGCGCGCGGAGGCCGAACGGGCGCGCAAACAGCUUAUGGAUACAUACCAUGAGCUGGGCGUGCGGACCGGUGACUUCGAAAUGCCAGACCGAGAGCCCGGACUUCGCUGCCUGGAGUGGGUGCAGGAGGAGUUGCAGGCACUCCCCACUGUCGUGGAGGGGUUUAUGUCGUAUGCCUCCCUGGUCACCUGCGAGGGGGCGAUGAACGCGCUCUCCCGCGAAGGGUGCCGGCACUUCGAGGUCUUCGACCAAGCUGAUGAAGAUUUUGAGCGAGAUAUCUAUAAGGUUGAGGACCCCAUAGUGAAGGAAUCCGCCGGGGCCAUCUACGACCGGAUGUGGGGUCCGCACGGUCGCGAGGUGGUCAGGGAGCGCGCCGAGACGGCGAGGGCUCAGGUAACGUUUUCGUUUGUUUGGCGUUUGCUGGAUGUGGGCUGUGUGUGGGUUUGCUGAAUUUUGUGUGUUGUGUCUUAGGCGGCGCGUGGCGAGAGGGUGGACGACUUCGGGGCGUUGAACAGCGCGCCGCCUGAGCCGGAGCCGACCCCGGCGGAGGCCGUGUCCGGGGCCGCCCUGGAGACGCCCCCGGAGAUCGCAGAAGGCGCACCGGAUACCUCCGCAUCCGCUGCGGCCGGCGGAGACGUGCCCCCAGAGACCGCCGAAGGCGCGCCUGAUGCCCUCGCAGCCGCUGCGCCGAGUGCUGAAGAUCCUGCGACGGUGGCGGCGGAGGCGACGGCGGAGGCGACGGCGGAGGCAACGGCGGAGGCUCCUCAGGUGGCGUAGUGGGUGUAGAUAGUUAGGGAAUUUUGGAUAUGUUGCUGAAUUUUGGUUGCUGCGCAGGUUCAAGAUUUUGGGCCUGCGCACGCAACCGCCACUACUAAAUUUUUGGCAGCUUCGACCGCGGAUGGUGGUAAUGAAUGUGGUGGAUCUGCAUCUGAGUUUUCUGAUUUUGCUGACUCUGGGAGCUCGGUUGAGUGGACUGAGGAGUCGUCGGAGGAGGACUUGGACUACUUUGUGACCUUGGAUGUGGCUGCGGCGGAGGCUUCACCGCACGCCGCGGACACAGAAGAUGUGCCUGGUCCUAGCACCGGGCGCCGGCGACGAAGGGCGGUUGCGAAGCGUAGAGUUAGUGGGGUGGAGGGGGGACGGCUUCGUGUGAGUAGGGCUGGCCGACAGGAACUGUUGUCUUUGCCGGCCGCCGUGAAUACAGGUGAAGGGGAACUACGAAGUCUUUUUGCGGGUGAGGAGCUUAGGAUAAUGUUAUUUAAUUAUAGGGAGAUGGGAAUUAUUCCUAAGGUUGAGCCGAUGUAGAGUGUGGUGCCCUCGCUUGUAUAUGUGUAAAGGCUUGUAUGAUGAGGUUGUGUGCCCUCGCUUGUCUAUGCCUGCGAAGGCGUUGUGUACUUGGUCUGGUGUGUUUUGUUAUGCUGUGCUGGUGCGAUUAUAGUCGGUCUUGGCGCGGACGGUUUGACGUUGUCGUUUCUGCUUUUGUUGUGCUAGUCCGGCUGCACCCUUAGGCAUCUUCUGCACGGAUAGUCUACGCGGUAGACUUCGGUUUCUUUGCACUUGUUGUGCUAGUACGGCUGCACCCUUAGGCGACUUCUGCGCGGAUAGUCUUCGCGGUAGCCUUCAGUUUUUUCGCACUUGUUGUGCUAAUCCGGCUGCACCCUUAGGCGACUUCUGCGCGGAUAGUCUACGCGGUAGACUUCGGUUUCUUCGCACUUGUUGUGCUAGUCCGACUGCACCCUUAGGCGACUUCUGCACGGAUAGUCUUCGCGGAAGACUUCGAUUUUUUCGCACUUGUUGUGCUAGCCCGGCUGCACCCUUAGGCGACUUCUGCACGGAUAGUCUUCGCGGAAGACUCCGAUUGUUCGCACUUGUUGUGCUAGUCCGGCUGCACCCUUAGGCGACUUCUGCGCGGAUUUGUCGCACGCGAGGGUGGCUAGCGCUUAGCCUCGCGGUGACCUCGUAUUGGUCGAAUGUCGAAGACCGUCGUCGUGGUCUUUUUUCGACGCAUGUUUUUGCGGGGGAUUUUUCACACAUAUAUUACAUGGCUCCGCCUCGUUAAAAACCUCACCCCCCGGGAGGAAAAGAGUGCGGGCCGGUAUAAGAUUGUUUUUGCGAAUUACAAGGGCGAAAUCAGCCCUGAUGAGUCAAACAAAGAAUUUGCGGAGGUUGUCGAUGUUCCAGGAGUGCUCCAGGUCUUCGUCGUUUGGCGUUGUGAGCCUGUAAGCGCUGGGGGAAGCUAUCGUCUUGACUAUAAAGGGGCCCUCCCACUUGGGCUCCAGCUUGCCCCUGGACUCUAUCCGAGUGGUUCGGACGAGUACGAGGUCCCCUUCGCUGAAUUCCCUCGGGAUGACUGCGUGGUCGCGCCAUGCUUUUGUCUGGGCUUGGUACUUGUUUAGGGCCUGCAGGGCGAAGACUCGGUCUCCGUCAAUGAGAACCUUUCAAGUUGGCUCGUCCACGUCGGGGACGGCUGAUGGAACUGUUCGCGGGGACCCAUGUUUUAUUUCUUGUGGGGUCAUGGCCUCCGAUCCGUAUAGAAGGCGGAAAGGAGUAAACCCGGUCGCCCUGCACUCAGUCGUGUUCAGUGCCCAGACUUCCUCAGGUAACAAAUCGGUCCAUUUGCCCUUUUUUCAUCGAGGAGCAUCUUUUUGACAGUUGUGAAGAUUUUCCCAUUGGCGCGUUCCACAACUCCGUUAGACUACGGAUGAUAGACUGAGGCGAAGGCAAGCUUGGUGCCAAUGGAGAAGCAAAAAUCCUUGAAGUCUUGGCUGUCAAACUACUUGCCGUUGUCAACUGUUAGUUCAGACGGUACUCCGAAGCGGCAAACGAUAUUUUGCCAAAAGAAUUUCUGGGCAGUUUUUGACGUUAUUGUGGAAACAGCCCUUGCCUCGAUCCAUUUGGUGAAGUAUUCGACAGCGACGAAGGCGAACUUAAGGUUCCCCUGAGCGGUGGGCAGGGGCCCGACAAUGUCCAGGCCCCAGCGCUGGAGAGGCCAUGUGUGGGCGAUCAGCUUUGUAUACUGCGAGGGGUUGCCUGACCGAGGAGAAAACUUCUGGCAGGCUUCACAGGACCUUGUGACCCGAUUUGCGGCGCAGAUCAUUGCGGGCCAGUAAAAACCUUGGCGGAUCACCUUAGAAGCUAGGGCACUUGGCCCUGCGUGUGAGCCGCACGUGCCACUGUGGACUUCGCGUAGGAUCUGGAUGCCUUCGGUUUCGGUGACGCACUUAAGCAUUGGCUGACUGACCCCUUUCUUGUAGAGUUGGCCUUCAAUCAGUGCGAAGUCUCGACUUCGAUGUCUGAGGCGCUUGGCCUCGCUGAUGUCGGUUGGAUGAUAGUACCCCUGUAGGAACAGGGUUAUUGGUGCCCGCCAGUCUUCGGUCAUGAUUAGGUUGACUAUGCGGUGGCCCUCGCUGUCAUUAGUUAUUUGGAGCCCUUCGGGGCUCCGGACGGCUGGCGUGCCGAUAAUGUGAAAGAACACGUCGGAGGGCAAGGACUCGCCCCUGGCGGCAGCCUUGGCCAAUGCGUCGGCCUCUUCAUUCUUGGCCCGAUCCACAUGCUGCAGGGUGAAUCCCUUGAAUUGUCUCUCGAGACUUCGGAUGGCCGUGAGGUAUUGCAUGAGUGCGGGGUCCUUUGCUGCAUAGUCUUUCUCAACCUGGCCGGCAACUACCUUGGAGUCUGUUUUGAUGAUGCAGGUGGUGACUCCGAGGGCCCUUAGCUUGCGGAGGCCGAGGAUGACUGCUUCAUAUUCUGCUAUAUUAUUAGUGCAUCUGUCGGAUUCCAGAGCGAAGCUGAGGCGUGCUGCAUAUCUGUGCUUGACCCCGGCUGGUUAGGUGAUGACUGCAGCGGCGCCUGCCCCCGCAUGGCACCAUGCGCCGUCGCAAUGGAUCGUCCAAACCUUUUCUGCGGACGGGUCUGGCUGUGUUAUUGGCCUAGUCCAGUCGACGACGAAGUCUGCCAGGACUUGUGACUUGAUGGCUGUCCUGGGCUCGAAGCUGAUGUGGUAGCCGGAUAGUUCGGCUGCCCACUUGGCAAUCCUCACCGAUGCCUCCGGGUUUCUGAACAAUUCGCCGAGUCCCCUGUCUGAGGUGACUCGGACCUUGAAUGCUUCGAAGUAGUGGCGCAGUUUGUGCGAAGACAUAACGACUGCGUAGGCAAUCUUCUCCAGCUCUGUCAUGUUGCACUUGGACGGUGUCAGUACUUCGGAGACAUAGUAAACAGGGCACUGCCUGACCACGCCCUCAACUGUCUGCUCCUGCACUAGUGCCACGCUGACCGCAUGUGGCGAAGCUGCGACGUAGAGCAAUAGGGGGAGCGAGGAGUCGGGGUUUGUGAGGACGGCCAACUCCGAUAGGUACUGUUUUAGUGAGGUGAAGGCCGCUGCCUGCUCCGGUCCCCAGGCGAAGUCUUUUGCACCGCGGAGUGUUUUGAGGAAGGGGAGACUUCGCUCAGCGGACCUGGAGAUGAAUCUGUUGAGAGCGGCCAAUCUGCCUGUCAGGCGCUGGACGUCCCUGGCGGACUGUGGAGGCGUCAUAUUUAUGAUGGCCUGGAUCUUGGUUGGGUUGGCCUCGAUGCCGCGGUGUGAUACCAGGUAGCUCAAUAUUUUGCCUUGGCGAACACCGAAUACGCACUUUUCCGGGUUUAGGCGGAGUCGUGCGUCUCGCAUGUUCGCGAAUGUCUCGGCGAGGUCGGUGAGAUGGUCAUCCUUGCUCUUGCUGGCGACGACGAUGUCGUCCACAUAUGUAAAUAUAUUUCUGCCAACUUGCCCUUCGAGCACUGUUUUGGUGAGUCUGGAGAAGGUGGACCCGACGUUCUUGAGUCCCUCUGGCAUUCUGAUGAAGCAAUAUGUGCCGAAGGGUGUUAUGAAGCUGGUGCUAGCCUUGUCUUCCUCCUUCAUGUAUAUCUGGUGGUAACCGGAGAAGCAGUCGAGGAGUGACAUGACCUCGCAUCCGGCCGCGCUAUCGACUAUUUUGUCGAUCCGCGGCAACGGGAAAUUGUCCUUUGGGCAGGCCUUGUUGAGACUGGUGAAGUCUAUGCACAUGCGCCACUUCCCGCUUUUUUUCUGCACCAUUACAACAUUGGAGAGCCACGUAGGAUAAGCCACGGGCUCGAUGAAUUUGGCUUCCAGGAGGCGGUGCACCUCCGCCUUGGCGGCCUCUGUCUCCUCAUCGGACAUUUUGUGAAGCCUCCGCUUUUUUGGUCGCACCGAAGGGUCAAUUCCCAUGCUGUGCUCAAUUAUGGAUCGGCUGACUCUGACCAGAUCGAGGGUAUACUAGGCGAAGACAUCCUUAUUCUUGGUUAGGCAGCAGAGGAGUUUCUCCUCUUCAUGCGAAGUGAGGUCUUCGCUGAUAGUGACUAUCUGCUUGGGCGUGGCCUGAUCGAGGGGGACAGUCUUGGUCCCGUCGUUGCUCUGCAGCUGUGCCUUGUCGUGCUGCUUAUUGGUUGGGCUGGCGGGCGCGGGGACCUCGCGUUGUGCCGUGAGGUAGUGCACGUUUCUCUGACCGGGCACGAAGUCCCGCUCGAUGUUGCGCGCAGUCUGUUGAUUGCCGUAGACCGUAAUGACGCCUAACGGACCUGGUAUCUUCAUACAUAGGUACAGUCCGUGAAUGGCUGCUUCGAACUUAUUGAUGGAACCCCGACCCAUGAUGGCAUUGUAUGGAUAUACCACAUCCACGAUAUCAAAGGUUACUUGCUCACUUCGGGCAUUGGGUGCUACAUCGAAGGAAAGAGGCAGCUCUAUUUUACCGACAGGAAAGGUGCCUUUGCCGCCGAAGCCAUACAACGGGUUGUCCGAAGGCUUGAGCAGGCUGUGGCUUAUGCCCAUGCGAUCGAAGGCGUGGAGGAAGAUGAUGUCCGCCUGACUGCCAUUGUCAACUAGGACUUUGUGCAGGUCCCAGCCUACCACGCUGCAAUUGAUAACCAUGGCGUCGCAGUGGGGGGCGCUGCGUAUGUCGACGUCUCGUGCGUCGAAGGUUAUCGGUAUGUGGGACCACUUUGUCUGCACGACUGGGCCAGUGACGGCGACAUGGUUGAUGCUGCGGUAGUGGUCCCGCUUCUGCCGCUUGGUGUCGAAGUCAGUGCUGGACCCCCCAGUUAUCAUGUGAAUGACUCCGCGAUAUGGUUGAUCGGUGAAGUCUUCCUGCUUUGGGGCGUGGGGGAUGUUUUGAUGUUGCUGGUGUGGUGGUGGGGGUGGGGGAGGUACGAUUUGUACUUCAUGAUGGUGUUGGUAAGCGUGGUGCGGUGGAUGCGGGGCGGGGGCGUGGAUGUAUGGUUGGGGGGGUUGCUGGUAAGUGUGUGUGACAACUCUGGGGUUGUCGGCUGGCUGCGCCCGUGCCAUUCUGUCCCUGGUGGCCUUCGUUUCGGGGCAGUCUUUGGUUUGGUGGGCGCAGUCUUCGCCACUGAAGAGGCAGUAGAAUCGACGCGGCGGCUGCGCACGCCCUCGACCCCUACCACGAGUUCCAUUUCCGCGGCCCUGGGGGGGAUAUUCCUGGCGACGAGGCGGGUCAGCAGCGGGGUGCUGGUUGGCGAUGUUGUGCACUUGCUGCUGAUUGCGGCCGUCUCGACUAGAGUCUGGCUGCAGAGUCCUCGUCCACGUGCGGCUGGACUGUGGAGCAUCUUUGGGUUUCCGCUGCGACUCAACCUUGCGCUGGUGGAGCUCUUCAGAUUUGGCAUAUUUUUCGAAGAGCUGAUAUAGCUCCUGGAGGUUCUUGGGCGGAUCUCUGAUACAGUGGCUGUAGAGGACGCCGGCGCGAAGGCCACUGAUAGCAUAGUGGAUAGUGAUCUGAUCAUCGACUCAGGGCAGCUGUGACUUGAGUGUUAAAAAUUUGCGGUAAUACUCCCGCAGAGUCUCCUUUUCCAGCUGCUUGCAGAGCGAGAGUUCGGCUAAUGCGUCGGUGUCUGGGCGGUACCCUUGGAAGUUGAGCAGGAACUUGUCCCUGAGGCUUCUCCAGGAAUCGAUGGACAGCGGAGGCAAUCUGGUGAACCAGGUGAGAGCUGGGCCCUCUAGGGCGAUGAUGAAAGACUUCGCCAUUGUGGCGUCGUCCCCUCCGGAAGAUGCAACGGCGACCUGAUAACUCAUUAUGUAUUGCGCCGGGUCGGUGCUGCCGUUGUACUUGGGAUAGGUCCCUGCUCGGAAGUUAGUUGGCCAAGGCGUCACUUGCAGGUGUGGCGCCAGGGGACUUCGCUCGUCGAGAUAGUUGACCCCUUGGAAUGGCGCGGCGUGGUGGAAGGUGUGGUCGCGCUGGGGGAAACGCGGGUCUUCCGGUUGUGCGCGGUGUUGCAGGGGUGGCCCUUGCUGCAGGCCAAGGUGGCCUUCGCGCGUGUCUUCCAGUUGUGCGUGCUGCUGGAGGGGUGGCCCUUGCUGCAGGCCAAGGUGGCCUUCGCGCUGCAUCAGCGUGAUCUCCCGCUCGAGGUCUUGGGCCUUCUGCUCUUCGUCGCGUAUCAUUUGUCGCACUUUGGCUAGUGCGGACACUCGCUGGCGCUUGGCCUCCAGUAUCUCUUUCUGCCUCUGGAGAUUGCGGUUCUUGAGGCGCAGGGCGCGCAGCUGUAGCUGUUCUUCCGCUGAGACGCCGAGGACUUCACCAUCCUCGGUGAGGUCCGCGCCUUCCAGUGGGGCGAAGCCUGGGGGUGGCUGUGAUUGUCCUUCAGGGCCGCAAGUGCGGAGAGUGUCGUCUUCACAGGUGUGGGGAACGUUGUCUUCAGUGGCCUCUUGGUGGGUGGAUUGGGUGAGGGCGAGGGCCUUGCCCUUUCUUGCGGCAAGCAGUGCUGCCUUCGUAGCCUCGUCAGCCUUCGGGUUAGCUCUCUUGGGUGCCAUCGCGGGUGGUUUUCUUGUAGCACGAACGGUGGGCGCCAAAUGUUGGAACUUGCUCUCAAUCGCAAGGGGGGCCAACAAGGGUGAACAGUGACGUUAACAGGGGAACGCGCUAGAUGGCAAUAGCUCUGUUAAUCUGGCCUCUCACGGGCACUGUGCGGGGGUAUUUAUAGGUACGUGAGCACCCAGCGCCUUGUGCUAAGGACGCAUGUGCCCUCAACUACCUAGGUUAUCCCCAGAAUAUUCCCAUAAAGCAGGGUUAUAGACUGUAAUUACAGGGACGCCUUUACAAAUUAGGCCCGUAACACGCGGCGGCCACGCAGGGCCCGUUACAAUGGGCCGGAUCACACGUGGGCCUCUGAGCUGGACGAGGCCGCACCGUGGGAUGACGUCGUCGCAGGUCUUCGUCUGGUGCCGAAACGGCGAAGGGUGUCCCUGCCCGUUUUGUCUCUGUCAGACCAGUGGUUGCAGCGAAGGCCUCGAGCGAAGGGUGGCAUCUUUGCCUUCGCCCCAACAGGCAAAUUCCUUGUAAGUUCAGGAAUAUAGAGCUACAAAGUCAGCCCUAUGCAACUGAAUUUAGACUUAGGCAUAUGGAGCAUAUGAGGUGCUUUUUGCAAUUAAGUCCAAAUUUCACAAUUUGAUUUGCAAAUCCUCAAUUGUGUGAAACAUAUGAUUUAUGGUGCUCUAAUACUUUGGUUUUUGCACUUGGGUCCAAAAUUGCACAAAAUUUACACUUAGCCCCCUAGGAUUCCAAUUUAGGGUUUUCAGGGGUCUUUUGAGGGUUUUUAGUACUCUAGGGUUUUGGUGCUACCCAAGUCCAUUAAAUGUGAUAUCUUAUGAUCAUUUCUAAUGAGUUUUGAGACUUUAACUUAUUUGGGCUUCAUUUUCACUCAUAACCCUAGUUUAGGGUUAAGUACUCUACCCUAGGGUUACACACAUACCAAGUCACACCAAUACAACUUGUUUGAAAUUUUAGCCUAGUGAAUGCACUCUAAGUGUAACAAACACAUGAUAUGCUAAUGCUCAUGAUGUUAUGCUCAAGUUUUAGUAAUAGUAACACCAUGGGUGUUACAUUAGUGGUCUGAGCAAGGUUAGUAAAGUGUGCCAUGGGCCAUGGCGUCGCUUUGGAGAGCCUGAAGCCGGUACAGUGCGUUCAUGCACUGAACAGUGAUCCUCCCAACUUGGUCGAGAUACAUAGCCCACACGUCCUUCACAUGGUUCACACGGUUGCACCACAUGGGGUCAUCCCUCUUCUCAGCGGGGAAGAGUCCUAGUGGGUGCAUCACCAUCUCCAAGGGAUGGUAGCCACAGAAAGUCAUCAGAGUCUUCAUAGCUGCCGCCUCGGUGGUGUCGUCCGACCUAAAUCCAAUAGUCUCGAAGUCAAGGGAACGCCAACCCAGCUGUAGGGGGUGAGCCUCCAGAGUCAGCCAGGCUCGGCAACGUGGUACCCGAUGCUCCUCGUACAGCUGCACUGUGUACAAAGGGGCAUAGGGUAACCGACGGAGUUGAGCACCUCCCACAAGAUGGAAGGGAAACCUUCGUACGAAAGGAAAUCGGAACUGAAAUGAGUGUCUCCUCCAUUGGAGGGGGUGGGUGAAGUCAUCUGUGGAAGAGGAUCAUAUGUAAAGGUUACGGUAGUGGAAAGGAAAAACAUGUGCCCGGGUUGUUAAAAGGAGGUGGGGUAGAUUUGAUCCUACUCCUUAUGUUAGUUAUUAUUGUCCCUAUUUGCUAUAUUCGUACUUAGAUGCAUUUUCCUUUAAUUUCUAAUCCUUUCAUGUUUUAUAAUGCAUGCAUGCUGAAAAGAACUUCUCCUCACCGAUCAGAAGGGUGCUUUUAGGGCAUCCUUGCAAUUCUAAAACUGGCCUAUAUGGCCUACUUAAUUAGCCACCUGUUUUUCGCACUAUUUCUAAGGCCUUUUGUCCUAGGUCUAGCGUUCUAGUCCUGACGAUUCCAAUACUAGUUUCUAAGCAAGUUUUUAUUUUUGAAAAGUUGAUAUGCACGAUUUAUUGCUUUCUCUGUGGUGGUAUUUGCUCCGAUACCUGCUGUGCCGAAACCACACGAAUUAUUCUAGCUUAAGUGCCCAAGUCACGCCUAAGGGCAGCAACACACUUAAAUCGGAAUAGUCCGUCAGUCCCUCAGACCUAGUUUGAUAAAGCCACUUCCUGGGAUCAAAUACCACUAGCUCACUUGAAGGUGAGUCACAGAGUGAAAACAAUAAAGUAGGAAACCACAAAUUAAAGUACUGGAGUUAUUACAUAAAUUGGAGUUUUUAAGCAAACGGAAACAAGUUCAUAAUUCAGUGGAUAGUCGAUAACGUCAAAGGCUGAGGAAUAGUGCAAGGCCUAGCCCACUACUCCUCCUACUCCUCUCCUGCCGGAGCGGCAUCCCAUUCGACCAUCCAACCCGAUGGCAGGGUGGAAGGCCAAGUCACACCAUCAACCAUGUCCUGAAGCGUACCUGCAAAAAUUGUGCCACAAGCAAGGCUGAGUAUACUAAUACUCAUCUAGACUUACCCGGUGUGAGGAGUCUACUCCUCUACCUCUAGACCAUGCAGCUGUUUGGCUGAGGGGUUUGGUUUGCCAAAAGCACUAGCUGAGUCUAAAAUCAAUUUUAGCUUUUCCAGUUCUAGCAUCAUUAAUUUAACUAAGUUCGCUCCUUCUAAGCAUACUUGGUAGCAAUCAUUUAGUACAAUCAAUAUGUUAUCUCAAGUAAAACCUCAUUUCACUUCUUACUCAAUACAGUACAAGGGGUCAAGUAGUCUCGUUAGCUGCGAGAAGCAGACGAUCCGAAUCGAGUUUUUAAACCUUGCAAGGUAAACCUAAACACACGACAUGUAGGGGCACUCUGUCCCCACACAUAUCAACCGUCCCCAUCGAUUCCUCGUUCGCGUCCAGGGCUCACCGCCUUGGCAUACAAUGCUCCAUUGACCCCGGCUGCCGCCGUGCAGUGACCGCACUUGUACCCACCAUAGCUAGAAUGGGAGACCCAGUCUCAGGACAAAUGAGGGGGAAAGUCCGCGCCCGGCUUCACUCAGGUACUAGGUUUACCGGUUACCAUAUUUCCAGACAUGUGUUUAGUACUUUCAAACGCAUGACUCAGGUAUCCACACAUUAAUCCUUAAUUCCAUUUCCGUCUCAUGGACAUGGCAUCCAUCCUGGAUCCAAGUCCAUAGACCAUCCUAGAUCCUGUUAUCUAGAUGAAUACAUUCAAUUCCUGACCUCGCGCGAGUGCUAGAAAAAUCACUUGACUUCUACUGAGAUCCUAAUUAGCAAAGCACCUACUCGACCUAGCAUACUAGUAUCCAUCUCAAAAAGGAAUCCUGAGUUCAUGCAACUAAGGGUUUCAAGCAACUCCUACACUUAAGUGCACAUUACAAGCCUACAAACAUUAAGUGUAGUAAAGUAGCAUAUAUAAAUUGGUUAUGCAUAAAACCGGGGCUUGCCUUCAAAUGUUGGGGCUACGGGGAGAUCCUCUAUGGCAGGCUCGGGAGCUGGCUCCUGGUCUUCCUCGUGGACAGCUCCUUGCUCGGGAAUGAGGACAUACUCUCCGUCAGCGAGGUUGCAAUCUAAUGAAUGCAAUGAGUGAGAUAUAUGUACGCCAUGAUAUGCAAUGUGGUAGUAAUAGGAAUGAUUAAAUUGAUGAAGUAAGUUUCAAUCUUACUACGGGAAUUCUAGUGGUAUACUUAGCCAAUUUUGGGUCAAGUAUGGUUAAGGUAAAUGGUCAGAUUAUUUUAGUGCUCCCCUGAUUUCCUUUUAGUGUCUUAGUGAAAGUUUAUUAUGAUCCUUGUUGAAUUCAUUGGAGUGAGAUUCAUUAUCCUUACUAAUUCUCUCUUCUUCUCUUUUUCUCUUAUGCUUUUAAGGUGGGCUUGAACUACAAUAUAGCUUUAUAAAUUCCCAAAAAUUCUGUAAACAUUACAGUAGCUUCUUAAUGGUGUAUAACUCUCAGUCUCAAAAAUUUAGGCUUAAAAUGUUAAGGGUUCUCUCUGUACAAAAAUAUUUAGUUUUAGGGCAGAGAGGAUGCUUUGAACUACAACUCUCUUCUAAUAGUGGAUUAUUCUUUAAGGCUUAUUUUUUCUGGCAUGUAGGUGUAAUAAUAUGACAUUGUACCAAGUUUUAGCCACUGAUACAUAUUUGUCAUUUUACUGUGAUUUUCUAAAGUUUUUGGCCAAAGGGGUCCUUUCUACUACCACUAUACUUGAAAAAUGUCAAACAACAAAUUUCUAAUUUUUCCUAUCUUCUUCUUUGUGCAAGAGCAAUCAUUAUAGAAUUUGGCAACUUUUUGCUUAGGGGAGAGGGUGGUAGAAAUUCUUGGAAUAUAUGGUCUUUUUCAUGGGGUAGGGGGUAAUGUGUGUUACCUUGCAUUUUUACUUGAGUUUUAUAUUUUUCUCUAGUGGUUUACCUCAUAAGUAAUUGGGUGAAAAUUUGUUUGCCCACGGUUGCACAAUUUUAGGCUUCCUCAUGAUUUAAUUAGAACAUGGGCCAAAUCCAAGUUUUAAUUGUUCAACUCAUUUAUUUUGAUGGGUUGGAGUGUCUAUUAUUUUUGUAGUGGUGUUCUUGCAGUUAGGAGUCUACUAAAAUUUCUUUACCAUUUUUGUAGUGGUCCUUAUAUUUUUAAUCAUGGUUUCCCUUGAUUUCUUAGUGCCUAAUAAAAUAAUUAACCUUUAUUAGCUCUAGACUAGGGUUCUCUGUAUUUUUCCUAUAUUCUUCAUCACUUAUGUAUACUAGGAAAAGUAUGUUCAUCCUCUGUUUAUUAUUUUCCUGCCUUUCUUAAUUUUCUAAGUUUUGGACAGAAUUAGUUUUUCAUGGAUAAUCUUGAUUUAUUCUUGUAUACUGGGGUACUUAGUAUUUUUAAACAAUGUGUAUGUUGGGUAUGUAUCUCUACAAAUUUUCUUAAGCCUAGUAUAGAAGUAUUUCUAUUUUUCUCUAUAUUAAUAAGGUUUGGGCAGUUUCCUUAUUUAAUUCAAUACUCUAAAAAUUAGUACAGAAAAUAUGGGGUUUAUUAUUUUUGUCUGAUAGUUCAUAAUGUCUUGAAUCCAACAAAAUUGGUUUGACUAAUUUGGAUGAGUAUUUCUGAAGUUAUGCAUUUAACUGAUUUACUGCUGAUUUAAGGAAUUUGAAAUUCAAAUCGAAAAGGAAAUCCACUUUGCUCUGGGGUCCCUAGCAUUUUCUUCCUGGUUUUCCUUACAAACAGGCCCUCGGGUUCCUAUUGCACUAAGUCUCUGACAGCGCAGAAAGCCCCAAAGCCCCCUGGGUAACCCUAAAUCUAACCCGCGGUCCUUCCUUUAUUUAAACAGUGCCCACGGUGGAGGAAAGGGCGGAGGGGCUUACCGGCGGCGAGAUAGCUCUGGUGAGGCGUCCAGGGAGGUCGGGGAGGUGACAGUGGUCACGUCGAGGUGCGGGUCAGCGUCAGAGAUGGCUGGAGUCGGCGGGUCCUCGUGCGCAGGCGGGGGAGUUCGUCGGCGGCGAGUGUUCCAGCCUGCUCACGGUGGGAUAGAUCAAUUGGUUGGCUUGGGAAGGUUUACUAAGGGACGCAGAGGCGGUAUACGCGAGGAAUUGGAAAAUGGCGCAGUGACUUACCCGGUCCACGUUCGUCGGUGAGUGGAAGAAGUCUGGCGAGGGUGAUUCGGGGUUUCUGGUGAGGUUGCGCUGGGUCUGAGGCUCGGGGAGAUUCACGGGCCUCUAGCGAAGCUAACCGAACUGCUGGCAUAGAGUGGGAGCGGCUGGGGUGAGCUGACCGCGGUGGCCGAAGCUCGGGCAGCUUGGCGGGCGAAGGAGAGCUCUCUAUUCACGGCCAAAAGCUCCGGUGAACAAGCGCGGUCAGUGUGGGAAGCUGAGGCGAGGUCGUGCAGGGCCACUGGCCUUUAUAGGCGCGGGUGCGAGGAGGACGCGUGGCGGAUUUGACCGUGCACUGGGGCGAGCGCGCGCGUGGGUUGGGCGAACGUCGGCGUGCCGACCAGGGUCGAACACAUGUUUGCGUUUCUUCUGCCCGAGUUCUGGCACGAGUAGUCACUCAUCCAAGCCUGCUCUUUCCUUGGUCAGUGCAUAAAACCUCUUCUCGUCCCUAUAAGCUACAAAUUAUGUGUGGGGGUCAAAGGAUUUGGCCUACUGGUUCCAAAGAUAUGGAGCUCUCAAGUGGGGUUUGACUCACAGCCCGAGCCUGAGGCAAAUCAUUGGUUUUGUCGUGUCUAGGGUCCAAAUUCCAAUGCCAUCUUCAGAUAUGUGGUAGAGGGAUUAGUUUAGCACAUAUUUGUUAAUGGGAGCUUACGGUUUUGGAUUAGGGAUCAUGGUGAACUUGCUCGAGUUUGGGUUAGAGGCUGAAAUUCAGAAAUCUGAAUUUCAGAUUUCUCUACAAAGCCUCCAAAUGAAUGGCAUGUUUGGGGUUUUUGAAAAAUUCUUUUGGCCAAGCUUCCUUACUAACUUUUGUAGCUUAAUUAGUGUAUUUCAACUUUUAUAAUUGGCCCAAGCCAUGAUUCCAUGUUUUUCAUGGUCUUUUUACCAAUUUCCCCUUUUUCACUUAAUUGGCUUAAUUAGGGUUAUUCUAGGGUUUGGGCAUUUUACUCAGUUUGAGGUGCAUGAUAUGGUUAAGGUGUGAUCCUUGAGAUGAAAAAGACUUAAUUAAUCUUUGCUCCUCAAGUUUGGUGUCUUUUGCUCAAUUUGAUUCACAUGAGAUAAUGGCCUUGAUGUGAGUACUAAGAAGAAACCCUAAGUAACAUCUGGGUGUUACAGGUCUUGAGUUCUGGUCUCAACCCCUUCAAGAAACGGUCCAUCUUCUUGGCUUCUGUGCUGACAUCAUCAGGUGCAUAGCGAGCAAGUUCUAUGAAUUUGUGAAUGUAUUCGCUGAUGGAUAUCCCUCCUUGAGUUAAUUCCCGAUAUUCUUCUUCUUUGAGCUAGACGAUUCCCAAGGGUACAUGAUGCUCUCGGAAAGCGGCUUCAAAUUCUGCCCAGGUAGCAUCACUUACGGCAGUGCUGAAAGUAUCCCACCAGGAUAGGGACAUCUUGGAGAGCUGAUGAGCAACUAGGUGAACACGCUGGUUCUCUGGGCAUCCAAUGGCCUCUAACUUCCUCUUUACUGUGUGCAGCCAGUCAUCAUCAUCGAGCGGGUUGCUAGAUCCGGCGAAUGUGGGAGGCUUCAGCCUUAGGAACUCUCCCAUUCUAUCCUAAGGUCUUCCUCCAAUCAGGCGCUGGUUCUCGAGGCUUCUAGUGAGGACCUCAAUGAGUCGGGUUUGGUUGGCCAGAACUUGGGCUAGGUCUAAUGGAAGCUUCGGAGGCGCAUGGCGGUGGGUCUCACUCCCUUAUCCACCGACUUCUCCUUUGAUACCUAGGGGAGUCCUUGCUCCAAUUCCCGAGGCGGUACGCAUGGUUUUAUCCGAGGCCAUAUGCUAGAGGGGAGAAAGGAUUACUACUAUGCAUAUGCCAUCAUUUUUUUCAAACAUGUUAUUUUAUUCAGCACUCCAGUUCAUUACAAGCAUAACAACCACCACAGACUACACUACGCACGAGCGUUAUCCGCUAGAGUGACUCCAAACUCCUUGAGGAGAUCAUCAAGGCUAGACAGGGACACUUCCUCGAUGUCGGAGAAGCUCUCUAUCCCUAGGGAGGGUAGUGUUGGCGGGGCUUCUUCCUUUGGGUCAGUCUGCCUUCCUUGGCUCUUCAAAUGUUUUUGGAUCUUCUUGACGGGGGCAAGCAUCUUCAGCCUCCUAGCAUAGUCCAUCUUCAGGGUCCGGUAUGACUCACGAGUGUUGGCUUCUUCACCUUCUGCCAUCUCGAGACUGUCUUGAAGAGCCACCUUUUCUUCCUUCAACUCCUUGAUUUGCUGCUCUAGGCUUUCCACCCGGGAGUUUAGGUGGGUGCAGUGGGAAAAAAGGUCAUCAUAGUGGUUGUCAAGGGUGUGGAGAUAUCCAGCCAUGUAGACUAUGGUAGGGUCAUCUUCAUUAGGAUCUCUCCUUGACAAGGCCUGGAGUCUUUUCCUCCAAGCAGGAGUAUUUUUUUUGCUAGGUGGAAAGUAGUGAAGGGGUGUCUCAGAGACCUCCCUGUUGUAGUUUUGGCAUAGCUAGCGGAGGACUUUUUGGGCAGCAUUCUGGCAGGUACCUCGGAAGCAAUGGCCAGUAGCAGUGAUCUGAAAGGGAGGGUGAUUUGGGUAGUUUCAGCUUUCUCCCAAGUAGACUGCCAUAGAGCAUUUCUCAAUCCCAUUCUCGCGGUAUUCUUUCCAGACAUACUCCGGCUUCUUGAGGAUCCCCAUGCGAAGCGCGCAGCUCCGAAGAAGGUGAGGGAAUCCUUCCACCUCUGAGCAAUAGGAUGUCCUAAGGACAAAGGUGCCUUCCAUCUGGUAGCAAGAGAAGAAGGGUUGUUAAUAUCGGGGAAAGGAGAGAAGGUUCUUUAAGAGGUUAAGAGGUCUUUUCUUUUGAGGAAAGCCUUUUAGGUCAGGGCUGCGGUCUAUGGCCAGUCCUAUGGCUCUGAUACCACCUGAAGCGUCCCGAUCCUUUGGGACUCAAAUGUGAUACAAUUACUAGUCCCAGGAGGCUAGUAAACAUAUUCAUUUCUUCAAAUAGUACAGAGUCUUGAAUAAUAGUUAUUACAGUACCAAGAUACAAGCUCUAGCGAGCCUGGAAACAUAGCACAAUGGAAGAUCAUCAAGCCCAAGCCACAUGAAGACUGGGUGCAGACACAACCCUCUUCUAGUCGAACAUAGCAGAAAAGAAGUCUUCAGCUGCUGAAAAACAUAAUAAAAUCUGGGUGAAUACACUAGGUAUUCCACAAGCCCAUCCCGCCCGUAAAGAGAGAGGGACCUAUACAGUACAUGCUUGGUAUGGUGGAGUUGAAGUCACUCUUUUUUUCAGAGAAAGGCAAUACUUUGUCAUUUUACCCAAGAGAGAGGAGUAGCACAUUUUCACACUCAACCACCAUUAAGAUUCCCACUCCCGUGGUACUACUUUUAUUUCCAAAAGCACCCACACACUUGCCCUUCUUACGAAGCUUAAAAACACUAAUUGCCAUACCACACCAGACUCGUCCAUACCAGUGGACACGGACUAUUCAAAUAGGUUUCAAACUCUGCACAAAGGUGUACACUUUACCCACUAGUCCGGCUCUGCGGUCUCAUGGCCAAUGAGACCCGAAUCCGAAUCUCUUUCCUUCCUUGCAUGUCCUUACCUUAACGAUUAUACCAGAAGGAUUCAGGCCACCACCAUGCCCAAACUGAACAAAACAUUCCCCUUCCUUAUCCUCCCGGUGCUCCCCAGCCAUCAUAACCCUGGGGUUUGGACCGUACAAGUUCAUAUUGAGUGACUGUCCAUACAGUCUCGAGUGGUUCUACUUGUCAUGAGUAUAGGUAGUGAAGGAUGACAAACCGGUCCUUAUAUGAGGGGACAAUCCUUCCUGCUCACACCUAACCCGGCUGAGCCAACACCUUAGGCCCUCCCCUAAACCAGGGAGUCCCUGAUCAUCCCUCUCGGUUGGUGAUAAGGGUGAAUACCCUCCAUCAUACACCUUUUGAAAACAUUUCUCUUUUUAGAAAAAACCAUUGCCUCAACCCACAUUUUGUACCCAAAAGAGAUUCUUUAAAGCAGGCCAUCACUCGUCUCACAAUGCAUAGAAUCCAACCCAUAUUCCUGGCUUAGGCAGUGGUACAAAGAGUAGGUAAUUUAUGCAUCAAUGGAAGAAUGGACUUGCCUUUGUCGAAGUUCUCUUGGCAUGAAAGAUCUAUUUCUGGGAGUUCAGGCUCAUUCCCUUCUUUCGGAGCUACGAUUUCCGAAGAGUCGGAUCCCUCUUCGCCUAGCAGAAACAAGCAAUAAAUAAUACUGAAAGUCGCCUAGAGGGGGGGUGAAUAGGCAAAUCUGAAAUUUAUAAACUUUAAGCACAACUAUAAGUCGGGGUUAGCGUUAGAAGUAAAAUCGAGUCCAAAAGAGAGGGCGAAAACAAAUCAACCAAGAAGUAAAGCGAGUGACACGGUGAUUUGUUUUACCGAGGUUCGGUUCUUGCAAACCUACUCCCCAUUGAGGUGGUCACAAAGACCGGGUCUCUUUCAACCCUUUCCCUCUCUCAAACGGUCACUUAGAUUGGGUGAGCUUUCUCCUUAAUCAAACAGGUCACUUAGACCCCACAAGGACCACUACAAACUUAGUGUCUCUUGCUUUGAUUACAAGUGUCUUGAGAAUAAGAAUGGGGAAGAAGAAAGCACGAUUGCAAAAGCCAAGCGACAAGAGCGACAAAUAACACACGGAUCACUCUCUCUCUCUCUCAAGUCACUAAUCACUAAUGAUCACUUGUCUCAAUUGUGGAACUUGGAGAGAUUGGAGGCUUUGAUUGUGUCUUGGAAUGGAUUGCUAGCUCUUGUAUUGAAUGUUGAAGGUUGGAAUGCUUGGGUGAAGUGAAUGGAGAUGGUUGGGGUUGCAUUUAUAGCCACCAACCACUUCCUAGCCAUUGCUCCAAUUCUGCCGACCGCGGACUGUCCGCGUCCCUGGUCCGGACGGUCCGCCCCUGUACAUCAAUGACUGAAAUCGCAACGGUCAGCAGUAACGGCUAUAUCAAUGGCUAUAAUGCAUUAAAUGCAUCGUCAGAUGUCAGAUAAAGGCAGUCGCGGACAGUCCGAUCGUGCACCCCGGACGGUCCGUGAGGACGCUAUAAUUCAUUUUACCGAACCCGUCACCUUCGGGUUUUUCGGUUCCUCACCUAUCGGACGGUCCGCGAGGACGCUAUAAUUCGUUUUACGGUGCUUGCUUUCCCUCCGGACGGUCCGUAGUGUAGACUUAGGUUUUUGCAUUGGUUCUGUUCGAGGGUCAUCUUGGUGUUGCAGACGGUCCGCCGCAAGGGCCCGGACGGUCCACGCUUAGUCUGUUUUUCCAAAAAGCUUCUCCUGUCUGGAACAAACUACGGUAUUUCGGACAGUCGAUUUAGAAUAGUUGUAGAUGAACUUAUGCACCUGUGAAAUGAUCAACUAGGGCAAACAAGUUAGUCCAAUUAUUUGUGUUGGACAAUUCAACCACCAAAAUCAUUUAGAAAAAGGUUUGAUCCUAUUUCCCUUUCAAACUCCCCCUUUUUGGUGAUUGAUGCCAACACAAAACAAAGCAAAUAUAUAAGUGCAUAAUUGAACUAGUUUGCAUAAGGUAAGUGCAAAGGUUGCUUGGAAUUAAAUUGGUUUAAUUUUCAUAAGAUAUGCAAGGAUUGCUUUCUUCAUAUUUAACAUUUUGGACCACGCUUGCACCACUUGUUUUGUUUUGGCAAACUCUUUUGGAAAUUCUUUUCAAUGUCAUUUUGCAAAUAGUCAAAGGCAAAUGAAUAAGAUUUCGAGAAGCAUUUUCAAGAUUUGAAAUUUUCUCCCUCUGUUUCAAAUGCUUUUCCUUUGACUAAACAAAACUCCCCCUCAAUAAAAUUCUCCUCUUAGUGUUCAAGAGGGUUUUAGAUAUUAAUUUUGAAAGGGGUCAUACCAAUUUGAAAUUAUAUCAAAAAUAAGAUACCAAUUGAAAAACUUCUUUCAUACAAAUUGAAAGACUACAUUUUGAAAUUGGUGGUGCGGUCCUUUUCCUUUGGGCUAAUACUUUCUCCCCCUUUGGCAUGAAUCGCCAAAAAUGGAUACUUGUGAGUGAAAUAGACGCCCUAUUACUCUCUCUCCCCCUUUGGCAAACAAUAUAUGAGUGAAGGAUUAUACUAAAGUUGGAGAGCGAUGCGGAGUGACGGUGAAGGGUUAAUAACUUGAUGGAGUGGAGUGGAAGCCUUGUCUUCGCCGAAGACUCCUUUUCCCUUUCAAUGACUUAGCAUAAAAUACACUUGAAAACACAUUAAUCAUAGCACAUGAAAGAGAUAUUAUCAAAGGUUUAUAAAUAAGAUAUGUGUGCAAAAUAUCAAUCAAAAUUCCUAGAAUGUUUAGCUCAUGUCUAAGUUUGGUAAAAGUUUUCUCAUCUAGUGGUUUGGUAAAGAUAUCGGCUAAUUGUUCUUUGGUGCUAACAUAAGCAAUCUCGAUAUCCCCCAUUUGUUGGUGAUCCCUCAAAAAGUGAUACCGAAUGGCUAUGUGCUUAGUGCGGCUAUGCUCAACGGGAUUAUCCGUCAUGCGGAUUGCACUCUCAUUGUCACAUAGGAGAGGAACUUUUGUUAAUUUGUAACCAUAGUCCCUAAGGGUUUGCCUCAUCCAAAGCAAUUGCGCGCAACAGUGGCCUGCAGCAAUAUACUCGGCUUUGGCGGUAGAAAGAGCUACUGAGUUUUGUUUCUUUGAAGCCCAAGACACCAGGGAUCUUCCCAAGAACUGACAAGUCCCUAAUGUGCUCUUUCUAUCAAUCUUACACCCUGCCCAAUCAGCAUCUGAAUAUCUAAUUAAAACAAAAGUGGAUCCCUUGGGGUACUAAAGGCCAAACUUAGGAGUAUGAACUAAAUAUCUCAAGAUUCGUUUCACGGCCCUAAGGUGAACUUCCUUAGGAUCGGCUUGGAAUCUUGCACACAUGCAUACAGAAAGCAUAAUAUCCGGUCGAGAUGCACAUAUAUAGAGUAAAGAUCCUAUCAUCGACCGAUAUACCUUUUGAUCUACGAAUUUACCUCCCGUGUCGAGGUCGAGAUGCCCAUUGGUUCCCAUGGGUGUCUUGAUGGGCUUGGCAUCCUUCAUUCCAAACUUGGUAAGAAUGUCUUGAAUGUACUUCGUUUGGCUGAUGAAGGUGCCCUCUUGGAGUUGCUUGACUUGAAAUCCUAGGAAAUACUUCAACUCCCCCAUCAUAGACAUCUCGAAUUUUUGAACCAUAAUCCUACUAAACUCUUCACAAGUGGAUUUGUAAGUAGACCCAAAUAUGAUAUCAUCAACAUAAAUUUGGCAUACAAACAAACCACUUGCAAUUGUUUUAGUAAAGAGAGUAGGAUCGGCUUUUCCGACUUUGAAGCCAUUAGCAAUAAGGAAAUAUCUUAGGCAUUCAUACCAUGCUCUUGGGACUUGCUUGAGCCCAUAAAGCGCCUUAGAGAGUUUAUAGACAUGGUUAGGGUACUCACUAUAUUCAAAGCCAAGAGGUUGCUCAACAUAGACCUCCUCCUUGAUUGGUCCAUUGAGGAAGGCACUUUUCACGUCCAUUUGAUAGAGCUUAAAGCCAUGGUAAGUAGCAUAGGCAAGUAAUAUACGAAAUGACUCAAGCCUAGCUACGGGUGCAUAGGUUUCACCGAAAUCCAAACCUUCGACUUGUGAAUAUCCCUUGGCCACAAGUCAGGCUUUGUUCCUUGUCACCACACCAUGCUCAUCUUGCUUGUUGCGAAAGACCCACUUGGUUCCUACAAUAUUUUGAUUAGGACGUGGAACAAGAUGCCAUACCUCAUUCCUCGUGAAAUUGUUGAGUUCCUCUUGCAUAGCCAACACCCAAUCCGAAUCUCUUAAUGCAUCUUCCACCCUGUAUGGCUCAAUAGAAGACACAAAAGAGUAAUGUUCACAAAAAUGAGCGACACGAGAUCGAGUGGUUACCCCCUUAUGAAUAUCACCGAGGAUGGAGUUCACGGGGUGAUCUCGUUGUAUCGCUUGGUGGACUCUUGGGUGUGCUGGUCUUGGACCCUCAUCAUCUUCCUUGUCUUGAUCAUUGGCAUCUCCCCCUUGAUCAUUGUCCUCCUCUUGAGGUGGCUCCUCUUGAUCUUCAUUUUCAUCAUCUUGAGCUUGAUCCUCAUCUUGGGUUGGUGGAGAUGCUUGAUUUGAAGAUGAUGGUUGAUCUUGUGCAUGUGGAGGCUCUUCGGAUUCCUUAGGACACACAUCCCCAAUGGACAUGUUCCUUAGCGCGACGCACGGAGCCUCUUCAUCAUCUAGCUCAUCAAGAUCAACUUGCUCUACUUGAGAGCUGUUAGUCUCAUCAAACACAAUGUCACAAGAAACUUCAACUAGUCUAGUGGACUUGUUAAAGAAUUUAUAUGCCCUUGUAUUUGAAUCAUAACCAAGUAAAAAGCCUUCUACAGCCUUAGGAGCAAAUUUAGAUUUUUCUACCUCUUUUAACAAGAAUAAAGCAUUUGCUACCAAAGACUCUAAAAUAUGAAACAUUGGGUUUUUUACUGGUGAGGAGUUCAUACGAUGUCUUCUUGAGGAUUCAGUGAAGGUAAAGACGGUUGAUGGCGUAGUAAGCGGUGUUGACUGCUUCCGCCCAAAACCGGUCCGAAGUCUUGUACUCAUCAAGCAUGGUCCUCGCCAUGUCAAGUAGAGUUCUAUUCUUCCUCUCCACUACACCAUUUUGUUGUGGUGUGUAGGGAGAAGAUAACUCAUGCUUGAUGCCCUCAUCCUCAAGAAAGCCUUCUAUUUGUGAGUUCUUGAACUCCGUCCCAUUGUCGCUUCUAAUCUUUUUGAUCCUUAAGCUGAACUCAUUUUGAGCCCGUCUCAAGAAUCCCUUCAAAGUCUCUUGGGUUUGAGAUUUUUCCUGCAAAAAGAACACCCAAGUGAAGCAAGAAUAAUCAUCCACAAUAACUAGACAGUACUUACUCCCGCCGAUGCUUAUGUAAGCAAUCGGGCCGAAUAGAUCCAUGUGGAGUAGCUCGAGCGGCCUGUCAGUCGUCAUGAUGUUCUUGUGUGGAUGAUGAACACCAACUUGCUUUCCUGCUUGACAUGCGCUACAAAUCUUGUCUUUCUCAAAAUGAACAUUUGUUAGUCCCAAAAUGUGCUCUCUCUUUAGAAGCUUAUGAAGAUUCUUCAUCCCAACGUGGGCUAGUCGGCGAUGCCAGAGCCAACCCAUGUUAGUCUUAGCAAUUAAGCAAGUGUCAAGUUCAGCUCUAUUAAAAUCAACUAAGUAUAGCUGACCCUCUAACACUCCCUUAAAUACUACUGAAUCAUCACUUCUUCUAAAGACAGUAACACCUAUAUCCGUAAAAAGAUAAUUGUAGCCCAUUUUGCAUAAUUGAGAAACAGAAAGCAAAUUGUAAUCUAAAGAAUCUACAAGAAAAACAUUGGAAAUAGAAUGGUCAGGAGAUAUAGCAAUUUUACCAAGUCCUUUGACCAAACCUUGAUUUCCAUCCCCAAAUGUGAUAGUUCGUUGGGGAUCAUAGUUUUUCUCGUAGGAGGAGAACAUCCUUUUCUCCCCAGUCAUGUGGUUUGUGCACCCGCUAUCAAUUAUCCAACUUGAGCCCCCGGAUGCAUAAACCUACAAAACAAAUUUAGGCCUUGUUCUUAGGUACCCAAACGGUUUUGGGUCCUUUGACAUUAGAAACAAGCACCUUGGAUACCCAAACACAAGUCUUUGAGCCCUUGUGUUUGGCCCCAACAUAUUUGGCAACUACUUUGCCUGAUUUGUUAGUUAAAACAUAUGAAGCAUCAAAGGUCUUAAAUGAAAUGUUAUGAUCAUUUGAUGCAAUAGGAGAUUUCUUUUUAGGCAUUUUGACAUGGGUAGAAUGCCUAGAACUAGAUGCCUCACUCUUAUACAUAAAAGCAUGAUGAGAGCCGGAGUGAGACUUCCUAGAAUGAAUUCUCCUAAUCUUGUGCUCGGGAUAACCAGCAGGGUAUAAAAUGUAACCCUUGUUAUCCUGAGCCAUGGGAGCUUUGCCCUUAACAAAGUUGGACAAUUUCAUAGGGGCAUUAAGCUUGAAAUUAUCUCCCUUUUGGAAGCCGAUGCCAUCCUUAAUCCCAGGGCAUCUCCCAUUAUAGAGCAUGCUUCUAGCAAAUUUAAAUUUUUCAUUUUCUAAGUCAUGCUCAUUUAUUUUGGCACUAAGUUGAGCUAUGUGAUCAUUUUGUUGUUUAAUUAAGGCUAGGUGAUCAUGAAUAGCAUCAACAUUAAUAUCUCUACAUCUAGUACAAUUAGUAACAUGCUCAAUGGUAGAUGUAGAGGGUUUGCAAACAUUUAAUUUAUCAAUCUUAGCAUGUAACAAAACAUUUUCAUUUCUAAGAUUGGAAAUUAACAUCAUUGCAAACAUUUAAUUCUUUAGCCUUAGCAAUUAAUUUUUCAUUCUCAAUUUUAAGGCUAGAGAGAGAUGCAUUCAAUUUGUCAAUCUUAGUAAUUAAGCUAGCAUUAUCAUUUUUAAGGUUGACAAGAGAAUCAUCACUAACAUUUAAUUUCUCAACCUUAGCAAUCAAUUUAUCAUUCUCAAAUCUAAGGUUGGAAAUAGUGUCACGGCAAGUGCUUAGCUCACUAGUUAAUUUUUCACAUUUUUCUAUCUCCUGAGCAUAAGCAUUUUUAACUUUAACAUGCUUCUUAUUUUCUUUAAUAAGGAAGUCCUCUUGUCUAUCCAAGAGUUCAUCCUUCUCAUGAAUAGCACUAAUCAAUUCAUUCAAUUUUUCUUUUUGUUGCAUGUUUAAGUUGGCAAAAAGGGUGAGCAAAUCAUCCUCAUCAUCACUAGAGCUAGCCUCAUCACUAGAUGUUGCAUAUUUAGUGGAAGCUCUAGAUUUUACCUUCUUCUUUUUGCCGUCCUUUGCCAUGAGGCACUUGUGGCCGAUGUUGGGGAAGAGGAGACCCUUGUUGACGGCGAUGUUUGUGGCGUCCUCAUCGGAGGAGGAGUCGGUGGAGCUCUCGUUGGAGUCCCACUCCCGGCAAACAUGGGCAUCGCCGCCCUUCCUCUUGUAGUAUUUCUUCUUUUCCCUCCUCUUUCCCUUCUUGUCGUUGCCCCUGUCACUAUCACUAGAUAAUGGACAUUUAGCAAUAAAAUGAUCAGGCUUACCACACUUGUAGCAAACUUUCUUGGAGCAGGGCUUGUAGUCCUUCCCCCUCCUUUGCUUGAGGAUUUGGCGAAAGCUUUUGAUGAUUAAAGCCAUCUCCUCAUUGUCGAGCUUGGAGGCGUCGAUGGGAAGCCUACUCGAUGUAGACUCUUCCUUCUUCUCCUCCGUUGCUUUGAAGGCGAUGGGUUGCACCUCGGGUGUGGAGGUGGUGCCUCGCUCGAUGAUUUGUUUGGAGCCCUUGAUCAUGAGUUCGAAGCUCACAAACUUUCCUAUCACUUCCUCGGGAGACAUUAGUUUAUAUCUUGGAUCACCACGAGUUAAUUGAACUUGUGUAGGAUUAAGAAAAACGAGUGAUCUAAGAAUAACCUUGACCAUCUCAUGGUCAUCCCACUUAGUGCUCCCGAGGUUGCGCACUUGGUUCACCAAGGUCUUGACCCGGUUGUAGAUGGCUUGUGGCUCCUCCCCUUGGUGAAGCAUGAAGCGACCGAGCUCCCCCUCGAUCGUUUCCCUCUUGGUGAUCUUGGUCACCUCGUCUCCUUCGUGCGUGGUCUUUAGUACGUCCCAAAUUUCUUUGGCACUCUUCAACCCUUGCACCUUAUUAUACUCCUCUCGACUUAGAGAGGCGAGGAGUAUAGUAGUGGCUUGGGAGUUGAAGUGCCGGAUUUGGGAUACCUCGUCCGAGUCGUAGCCUUCAUCCCCCACAGAUGGUUCCUGCGCUCCAAAUUCAACAAUGUCCCAAAUGCUAGCGUGGAGUGAGGUUAGAUGGUGCCUCAUUUUAUCACUCCACAUACAAUAAUCUUCACCGUUAAAAACCGGUUGUUUGCCUAGUGGGACAGAAAGUAAAGGAGUGUGUUUGGAAAUGCGAGGAUAGCGUAAGGGGAUCUUACUAAACUUCUUGCGCUCAUGGCGCUUAGAAGUGACGGACGGCGUGUCGGAGCCAGAGGUGGAAGGCGACGAAGAAUUGGUCUCGUAGUAGACCACUUUCUUCAUGUUCUUCUUCUUGUCGCCACUCCGAUGCGACUUGACGCGUGGAGGUGAUUCCUCCCUCUUCUUGUUGCCGGACUCCCCCGAUGGAGCUUUCCCGUGGCUUGUGGUGGGCUUCUCGCCUGUCACCAUCUCCUUCUUGGCGUGAGCUCCCAACAUCACUUCGAGCGGUUAAGCUCUAAUAAAGUAUCGGGCUCCGAUACCAAUUGAAAGUCACCUAGAGGGGCUGAAUAGGCAAAUCUGAAAUUUAUAAACUUUAAGCACAACUACAAGUCGGGGUUAGCGUUAGAAGUAAAAUCGAGUCCAAAAGAGAGGACGAAAACAAAUCAACCAAGAAGUAAAGCGAGUUACACGGUGAUUUGUUUUACCGAGGUUCGGUUCUUGCAAACCUACUCCCCGUUGAGGUGGUCACAAAGACCGGGUCUCUUUCAACCCUUUCCCUCUCUCAAACAGUCACUUAGAUCGAGUGAGCUUUCUCCUUAAACAAACGGGUCACUUAGACCCCACAAGGACCACUACAAACUUAGUGUCUCUUGCUUUGAUUACAAGUGUCUUGAGAAUAAGAAUGGGGAAAAAGAAAGCACGAUUGCAAAAGCCAAGCGACAAGAGCGACAAAUAACACACGGAUCACUCUCUCUCUCAAGUCACUAAUCACUAAUGAUCAAUUGUCUCAAUUGUGGAACAUGGAGAGAUUGGAGGCUUUGAUUGUGUCUUGGAAUGGAUUGCUAGCUCUUGUAUUGAAUGUUGAAGGUUGGAAUGCUUGGGUGAAGUGAAUGGAGAUGGUUGGGGUUUUAUUUAUAGCCACCAACCACUUCCUAGCCGUUGCUCCAAUUCUGCCGACCGCGGACUGUCCGCGCCCCUGGUCCGGACGGUCCGCCCCUAUACAUCAACGGCUGAAAUCGCAACGGUCAGCAGUAACGACUAUAAUGCAUUAAAUGUGUCGUCAGAUGUCAGAUAAAGGCAGUCGCGGACGGUCCGGUCGUGCACCCCGGACGGUCCGCGAGGACGCUAUAAUUCAUUUUACCGAACCCGUCACCUUCGGGUUUUUCGGUUCCUCACCUACCGGACGGUCCGCGCCUGAGGCCGGAUGGUCCGCGCUUGAGGCCGGACGGUCCGCGCGUGGUCUCGGACGGUGCUUGCUUUCCCUCCGGACGGUCCGUAGUGUAGACUUUGGUUUUUGCAUUGGUUUUGUCCGAGGGUCAUCUUGGUGUCGUGGACGGUCCACACUUAGUCUGUUUUUCCAAAAAGCUUCUCCUGUUCGGAAUAAUCUACGGUAUUCCGGACAGUCGAUUUAGAAUAGUUGUAGAUGAACUUAUGCACCUAUGAAAUGAUCAACUAGGGCAAACUAGUUCGUCCAAUUAUUUGUGUUGGGCAAUUCAACCACCAAAAUCAUUUAGAAAAAGGUUUGAUCCUAUUUCCCUUUCAAAUGCAUCAAACAUUGUUGGCUAAUAAGGUGUGUCAAGGUAUAUGUGUUAUUAAUUUGUGACCUAGAAAAUAUUUGGACUAUUUUUGGUGCAUAAAAUAUCAAUAUAUAUACAUGUAUAAGAAAAUAGGAAAAGGAAAAAGAGAAAAAGAAACAAGGGAAGGGAUUCUCGGUUAGCUGGGCACGGGGGGAUUUUGGCCCAGCGCGGGCGCAGGCACGUGGCGCUGCGGGCGAGCUGGCCCAGACGACCCACGAGGAGGGGAGACGGCAUGGGCGGACGCCAUGAGCGUGGGCCCACACGCCAGAGAGAGGGGGAGGGCCGACGACAUCGGGCAGUCUGAUGGGGGAGAGGGCGAACCGACCGGGGUUGGGAAAAACCAACCGCCGACGAGGUUCUGCGGCAGUUCUCUAUGUGAAGUGCCACUAGCAAUCAUGGUGUACGCAUAUGAUGAAUAAAAUGCUUCAAGGGAUGAGAUCUUAGGGGCUAAAUAAUGGGGAGGUUUAGGAGUUUAGGGUUUCUAACUUUGGGAUCAAAAUUGGGAUGUUACAGAAUUACCUAAGAUGUCAUAAGCAAGAUGAUUUAAGCGUAAACAUCUUCGAUCUUCCUCGGAAGCAUUUUUCUUAUCAUAACUAGAAGGUAUAGUACUCUUGUCUAAAAUUUGUUCUAAUUGUGGUUCUAUGGUUCUAAAAGCAUUUAUCACACUAGUAGACCAUGAAGCAUAACUAGAACAUUCGGAAAGUAAUAUUUCAAGAGUUACCUCAUUGUUCUCCUUUGGUGGUGUCUUCUUUUCUUUUGGGAUUUUCUCAAAGUCAUCACUUCGAGUUGUUAGACUCAACAUGAAGUGUCUAGCUCUGAUACCAAUUGAAAGUCGCCUAGGGGGGUGAAUAGGCGAAACCUAAAUUUUACAACUUAAACCCGAAACUUGAUCCCUUGAUUAGCUCUUUCUUGCUUGAUCUCUCUUUUGUGGUACUUGUGAGGCUUUGAUGUGUUUAGAAGUAUUGUUCUAGUAGAUAGGAGUGAACACCCAACUCUUGUGUAUGGAAUGGAUCAAUAAAUUUCAUGAAUGGGCUAGUUGGGGUGGCUUUUAUAGCCCUCAACCAUCCAUAUAGCCGUCGUGGCGCAUCUGCUAGAAACUGCACUGGCGGAUGGUCCAUGACAAGGACUCGGACGGUCCGCGACCCCCCAACGGUCAGUCCUGACAUCUCAAUGGAUACGCUUGGCAGACCAAUGGCUAGAUCAACGACGGUCUUUCCUUAGUGAUAGUAUGUGAACGGUCUGCCCUUGGCCCCAGACGGUCCGUGCCAGCUCUAAAAAUUCUUUUGCUCCACUUGUCACCUUUGGGCUAAACCAGAUCUUCACGUGAAGAUGGUUCGAGAUGUAUAGCCAGAUGGUCCAUGAUUUAGUCGAACUCUCCAUGAUUUAGUUCAUGUCCGAAGUCAUAGUGGUGUCGUGGAUGAUCCGCCAGAAGGGGCCAGACGGUCCACACUUGGCCAUUUCAUAACUUGAGUUUCUGACUUGUCGUUGAUCUUUGAACAAUUUUCUCCAAGUUGAUUUUGAUAAACUUGAGAGAGAUCCUAUGACUUAGAAAAUAUCUCAAGUGGAUUUCCAUCUAGUCUAAGUCAUGGACCAUGAACAUUUUGAUUCUUUAACUCAUAUUUCUUCUUUUGCUCAAACUGGCUCCAAAAUAAUGAGAUGUUGAUUCCGAGCUUUCCAACCUCUCUAGAAGUGUUGAAUAGGUUCCUUGUGGUAUUUAAAACUUAUCCAAAGAGUAGAACAAUUGGUAGUUCAACUAUUCCAUGUUUUACCCAUAUUUGGUUGGACUAGAGCUGAUUGCGACUUAGAGACUAAACGAUUGAACUUAUGAACCUGUGAAUCAAAGACUAGGCAAACUAGUUAGUCCGAAUGGUUUUGAUGGUCAUCAAGCACCAAAAUCAAUAUAAGAAAUGGGUUAAGGCUACUUCCCUUUCAGUUGCUCCUCGAUGUUGAUACUGAGGUCUAGUCCAUCCUAGACGUCUUCAUCAUCAUCUUAUGUAGGCAUCCCUAAUGGAUGGAUGUUGGCUGCCUGCUGUAGCAUCGGCGCCUAGGGGAGCGGAGAUAGGUUCUUCGUUAGGUCUGGCCAAACUUUGGCUUGGUAGGGUUGACUUUUUGGGUUUGGGAGGGGGACCUCUGAGUUUUCUAAACUGGUGGUGUGGACCUCGCGCUCUUGUUCAGUGGAGGUGGUUAGCUACUUUUUUGUGGUGUGGCCCUCGCCCUGUGGAUUCGUGGUGGCCUUUGGGUUAGGUGGUGGGGAAUGGUCAGCAGCGAGGGCAAGCUUACCCUUCUUGGCGACGAGGGUUGUCCUGGCAUCAUCAUCAUUUGGUGGUGAGCUAGGACGAUUGUCCUUCUUGGGAGGCAUCGUGGGAAUAGUCUUCGUCGCACAAAUGGUGGGCGCCAAAUGUUUGGUGCUGACACAUGGUCAUGUGGGCCCGAACACGCAGAGACGGAAAGGACGAGCUCAGGUGCACGAAAAGACGUUUGGUAGGAAACUGUAGUGUCUUGUUUUGUGUGUCGCAUCUAGCUUCAAGACAGGGGUAUUAUAGGGCCGUUCGGGGGUAGGUAGUCCAAAGUACAGUCCAGCCCCCUUUCACCAACCAGUUCCGAGGAAUAUUCUAUGUAACAGGGUAAUUACAGCACUGUGAUCCGUAUAGGUGGCACAUACUAAAUAAUACACACAUACAUUACACUGGUAGGUGGGCCUCGUAGACGUGUCCUUCGGUGGACCAACGACGAGCUUGUCACCUCGUAGCCUUCGCUGCCACCUCCGGAGUCUUCAUGGCUCAGCGCCCUUCGCUCUCUCCCGAUGCACGCAUGGCGUGGGUUAGUAGAGGCUUUGUGGCGAAGGCCUUGGUCGAUGUUGAUUGUAGCAGGGCCUCCGUGUGACUUCAUCCUCCGCUAAGGUCAGGCGAAGAGUCAUAGGCCUCCUCGAUCCAAGAUCGUGGUCCUGCAUAUAGGUUAGUAAAGGUGACGCAAGUCAAAGGCCCCUUCGCUCUAUGAUCGGGGUCAUGUCCGGCCUAUGCCCAACAAUGAUGACGACGGCUCCUCCGCCUCCUGCCAUUGUCACGACAUCCACACCACCACCACCACCACCCUCCUCCACCUCUGUCUCUGACGUCGCCGCCCACCCAUCGCUACCAGCUCUCGCCUUCGAUGUUACCAACUCCAUGCUCUUCUUCCAUUACGCAGCUCAAACGCCCAAGCGGGACCUAAACCAGCAGCUGGAGAUCAAGGUCAUAGCUUAGAAGCCGCGCCGCCUCAUCAUAGCCAAAGGAAGCGAUGAUGGCGACGCGAAGCUCAAGGCCACCCCAACCACUGAAGGGUCCAGAGGGGACAAGGGACCCAGAUUCGCCGCCUCCGACGUGAUGGAGGCCGUGAUCGAGGAGUGAGGAUAAGACAGGGCGUGGCGGGAGAGAGGCCGCAAGGUCGUGAGGAGCAGAGGGAGGUGGGCAGCGGACAUGAGACAACAUGGGAGAAGAAAGGGACAGAGACGUGAAACACCCAUAGCCGGGUUGAAGAAAUUUGUUGGGUCUCCGAUAAGACGUGUUGCAUGUUGAGAGGCGUCAGCUCUCACGGAGAGGGCCUGAAUCUGAGUCUCUUUUAAUAAACGAGCAUUAAGUUUUACUUAGAUUUAUAUAAAAUAUUAACAAGAUACAUAUUUUUAAAUAAUUUUAAUUUAACAAUAUAUUAAAAAAUUAUCUAUUAAUACUGUAAUUAUACACCAUAAGCAUUAAUAUUAUUUACAUGUAUUUAGUCAAAAGUUAAAAGCUUGAUUUUUUGAAAAGCAAGAAUGAUAUAUUUGUGGGAUUGUGAGAGUACAUUUGCGAACACCGACCACUACCUGAAUGUUGGCUCACUGCAAUAUUUCAUAUUUGGUGGGCUUGAUGUAGUGCGCAUUUGUUGUUGCGUAAUGCAUAGCGCAAGUAAACAUGCAUCAAGCUGGGUUCAUCCCUAGUGCAUAGCGCGUUGUAUUGGAAAAGUCAUAUCUUGCAACUACAGAAUAGAGACAGUGGACCAGAGCUAGACCAGUGACAUUUAUAGUUUUAUUUGUAUUUAAUAAACUGAUAUAUAACUAUUUUUGCUUUUAAGAAGAGAGAAAGGAACUAAGUUUUAGGGAGAUAAAUGAUAGAAAGUAAUUUCUGAUACAAUUGCAAUACCUCAGCGUACAUGUAUAUAGGCAUUGUGGACAUGCCCACUUGCCAUAUUACAAUCCCUUUCCAUAUUACAAUCCAACACUUCCCCGCAGUCUAAACUGGGAGGACCGCGAACAUUAAGACUGGACCUAAACUCCGUGAAUACGUAUGUCGGCAAACCUUUCGUGAAGAUGUCGGCGUACUGAGACGUAGUGGGAACGUGCAGGACGCGGACUUCACCUAGGGCGACUCGCUCUCUGACGAAGUGGAGGUCGAUCUCAAUAUGCUUGGUUCGCUGAUGUUGAACCGGGUUGGUGGAGAGAUAAACGGCGCUGACAUUAUCACAAUAAACCACUGUAGCACGACGAAGUGGACAACGAAGCUCAAGGAGGAGCUGACGCAGCCAGCUAGCUUCGGCGACUCCAUUCGCGACUGCUCGAUAUUCCGCCUCUGCACUGGACCGGGACACUGUGGGCUGUCUCUUGGAGGACCAGGAGAUGAGAUUGUCCCCAAGGAACACCGCAUAACCUGAGGUGGAUUUGCGAGUGUCGGGACAUCCCGCCCAAUCUGCAUCGGUGUAGACAGUGAGAUCAGCUGGAGAGGUCCGGUGAAGGUGCAACCCGAGAUCCAAAGUACCCUGAAGAUACCGAAGAAUGCGCUUGAGUGCACUUAAAUGAGGUUCUCGGGGAUCAUGCAUGUACAAGCAGACUUGCUGAACUGCAUAGGCUAUAUCUGGCCUGGUGAAGGUGAGGUAUUGAAGAGCCCCAGCAAGACUGCGGUACUGGCUGGGAUCGGAGACAGAAGCACCAUCAGCAGGGAGUUUCGAGUGAGUAUCCACAGGAGUGCUGCUUGCCUUGCAGUUAUUCAUAUCAGCUCGCUCCAGUAUCUCCAGCAUAUACUGGCGCUGAGAGAGAAAAAGACUAUCACCGCGGCGCUGGACACUGACACCCAGAAAGUGGUGGAGAGGCCCCAUGUCUGUCAUAGAAAAUUCCCGGCGGAGAGCUGCGAUAAUCCGGUGAAGAAAACUCGGAGAUGAAGCAGUAAGAACAAUAUCAUCAACAUAUAGCAGGAGAAAAGCCACAUCAGCACCUCUGUAGUAGAUGAACAGCGACGUGUCGGACUUGGCCUCAACAAACCCAAGAGAGGUGAUGUGAGAGGCAAAGCGAUUGUGCCAGGCGCGAGGAGCUUGCUUCAAACCAUAGAGUGACUUGUUCAGACGGCAGACAUGAUUUGGCUUGGCGGAGUCAACAAACCCAGUAGGCUGGACGCAGUAGACUGUCUCAUUCAGGUUGCCAUGGAGAAAGGCAUUCUUCACAUCCAGUUGGUGAAUUGGCCAUGAGCGAGACAGAGCCAGGGUGAGAACAACCCGGAUGGUGUCUGGUUUCACAACUGGACUGAAAGUUUCGUCGUAGUCAAUGCCCGGGCGUUGUGUAAACCCGCGAAGGACCCAGCGAGCUUUGUAGCGGUCAAGAGAGCCAUCAGACUUGAACUUGUGACGAAAAACACACUUGCCGGUAACUAGGUUGAUGCCAGGAGGGCGAGGCACCAAGGUCCAGGUGUCAUUGGCCUGCAGAGCGUCGAACUCGGCCUGCAUAGCCUGACGCCAGGCCGGGUCCGAGAGAGCUGUGCGAACGGAUGACGGUAGCGGAGAGGUGGCCGUGACCAUCGUGCUGAGGUUGAGACGGUCCACGGGUUGUCGGAGGCCGUCCUUGCCACGAGUGCGCAUGCUGUGCACAUUGGUGACGGGGACGAUCAUCGUUGGAGCAGUGGCGACGGUGCGGCCGGUGGUCCGUCCGGUGUCACUAGCAACAACCUGGGACGCGGAGUCCGCAGGGGCAGCGACACCAGCCGGAUUGGUGGAGGGACCGCCCUGGUCGGGCUGACCGCCGUGGCUGAGCUGGCCGAGACCAGCGGUGCCCAGGUCACUGCAGCCGCCCAGACCACGGCCGGGUUGGCUGCCAUGGCCGCGUCCACCUUGGCUGCUGGACGAGGCAGUAGAGUGAGGGCCGCCGGCUGUCCCAGGUGCGGCAUCCAUGCCUCCAGGGAGAUGCGUACCUGCAUUCACAACUCUUGGCCAAAUAGGCGAAGAGGAAUCAUCAGUAUCGUCCAAGAACGCUAGUGUGUUGGAAUUCUGGGGGGAGGUGGACAUCUCGGUGAAGGGAAACAGCGUCUCGUCGAACACAACAUGACGAGAGACGAUGAUCCGGUUAGAGUGGAGGUCGAGACAUCGAUAUCCCUUAUGGUCCGAGGAAUACCCGAGGAAAACACACAGGGAUGAGCGAGGUGAUAGCUUGUGUGGAGCUACAGAGGAUUGGUUGGGAUAGCAGGCGCAACCAAAGACACGAAGGUGAGUGUAAGAUGGCUGAGUGCCGUGGAGAGCGAAAAAGGGGGUAUGGCCGUCUAGGGUUUUAGUGGGAUGACGAUUGAGGAGGUAGGUGGCGGUGUGGAGAGAGUCAGCCCAAUAAACCGGAGGAAGACUAGCCUGAAACAGAAGGGACCGUACAAUGUUGUUGAUUGUGCGAAGAAUGCGUUCUGCACGUCCGUUCUGUUGGGAGGUGUAUGGGCACGACAUCCGAAGAAUGACCCCAUGAGUGAGGAAGAACGUGCGGGCCGAGGAGUGAUCGAACUCGCGGCCAUUGUCGCACUGAACUGCCUUGAUGGAAGAGUCAAACUGCGUGCGGACAUGAGAGAAAAAGUUAGAAAUGACACUGAAAGUUUCGGACUUAAGACGUAAAGGAAAAGUCCAGGUGUAGUGAGUGCAGUCAUCGAGAAUGACUAAAUAAUAUUUAUAGCCAGACACACUAACCACUGGAGAUGUCCAAAGAUCACAAUGUAUUAGGUCGAAAGGAUUAACAGCACGAGAGUUGGAGACACUAAAUGGUAGGCGCACAUGGCGACCUAGCUAACAAGCAUGACAAAUGUGAUCAUCAAUGUGUUUAUUACAUGAAAUGGCAUUGGAACUAAUAAGUUUAGAUAAAGCCGCAUGUCCGAGGUGACCGAGACGACGAUGCCAAAGUGAAGAAGACGUCGUGGUGGUGGCGAGGGCAGUGGUGCUGUUGGAUGGUAUGGGAAAGAACGGGUAGAGGUCACCCGUGCUAUUGCACCUGGCGAUCACGCUCCGUGUCUGAAGGUCCUUCACAGAAAGACCAAAUGGGUCAAAUUCAAUGGAACAAUUAUUAUCAGUAGUGAAACGACGUACAGAGAUUAAAUUCUUAAUAAUGCUAGGUGACACUAGAACAUUAGAGAGAACAAGAGGACGUCGUUCUGUAGGGAAAGAAUGUGACCCAAUAGAUGUAACGGGAAGCGAAGCUCCGUUACCCACAAUGAUAGAUGAAGGACUGGAUGACGAUGGAGGGUGAAGGCUAGAAAGGAUACCAGCGUUGUUGACCAUAUGAGCACCGGCGCCGGAGUCAGCAUACCAUUCGCCCGACGGAGGAGGUGUCAACGUCAUGGCGUUGAAGUUGCUGACAAGGGCGGACGGAUCCCAGGACGGGCCCUGCAUUGGCGUCCAGGGCUGCUGCUGCAGCUGCUGUGGUGGUGGUGGUCCUCCAUAGCUGAAACCAGGAGGAGGCCCAAGAGAGUACGGCUACUGCACGUACUGCUGCUGGGCGGCGAAGGCAGCCGGCGGGGGACGGAACGACGUCCCAGAGGCGUUCGGUGGGCACGGCCAGAACUGAACGUGGCCUGCCCACGGAUUGUAGUACUGCGCCUGGGGUUGCGGGACCGAGUGCUGCUGAUUGCGUCCGCGACCGCCGCGGCGACGGUUGGUUCGCUGGUGGCCGUGGCCGGCCUGGCCGCCCUGGCCGUAGCUGCUCUGGCCGGGCUGCCGUCCUUGGCCGUGUCCGCCCUGGCCAUCUUGCCCGUGGCGUCCGGUUGGGGGACGAGGGGCAGCGACGAGGGCAGUCGACGUGGAGGGGGCCGGAGGAUCAGAGGCCCCGGCGGCCUCGCUGGCGGCGAUGUCGUCGAUGUCGAUUUCCUCGAGCAGGAGAAGCGUGCGAGCCUCCUCGAAGGUGGGGAAGGGCUGCCGCAUCUUGAGGUUGGAGACCAUGGGCCUGAACUUGCCAUUGAGGCCGCGGAGGAGGGUAAGGACCAGUGUAUGAUCGCCGAUCGGAUCGCCGUAGUCGCCGAGGGUCGCCGCCAUCGUCUCAAGACGACGGCAGUAGUCGGUGACAGAAGAUGAGCCCUGUUUCGCCGUGCGAAAUUCCGCCGAGAGCAGCAGGGCGCGUGAUUCGUGCUGGCCGAGAAACUCGUUCUCGAGGUAUGUCCAGGCGCCGCGAGCAUUGGGCUUGCGGUUCAUCGUCGACUGCUGAAGAUCGGCAUGGAUCGUGCCGUAGAUCCAAGUGAGCACGAUGCAGUUCAUCUGCACCCACGCUGGACGAUCGGUGUUGACGACGUCGGAGAGGACAUGAUCCGUGAGGGCAUAUUUGCCCAAGACGGUCAGGAACAGAGCGUGCCACCGGUUGUAGUUGUCCGCGGCGCGAUCCAAAACCAGGGGCACGAGGACCUUGAUGUUGAGGACGGCGAUGGCGGCGGCGUGGACGGUGGCGUACCUGGCUUCGUACGCGUCGAGCGCAGCCGCGCGUUCGCGCUCCUCGCGUGCCGCGCGCUCGGCAUCGGAUUCGGCCAUGGCGGAUGGACGAGCGCCUGCAGCUGUGGCGGCGGCGCGGGAACGGCGGCCCGCGACCUGGAUCGCGCGGCGCGUGGGAGGAUGCGGCCGCGGAAGCUGCGGCCCGCGAGAGGAGGCGGCGUGGAAGAGAAAGGGGAGGCGUCGCGCAGAUGCGCGCGGUCGCGGGGAAGGAAGGAGGCCAGCCGAGGGCGAGCACCUGGCGGCGGCGGCGCAGCGCUCCGAGGGGGAGGCGCGCGGCGUGAUUAGCGGAAGCGAGAGGAACAGGAACCUUCUCGUGAUACCAUGAUAGAAAGUAAUUUCUGAUACAAUUGCAAUACCUCAGCGUACAUGUAUAUAGGCAUUGUGGACAUGCCCACUUGCCAUAUUACAAUCCCUUUCCAUAUUACAAUCCAACAAUAAAACUCUCUCGUGUCACGAUUACGAAGUAUGUAUGAGUCAGGGAAUUAAAUGUCUAUAAAACUAUAGAAUAAAGUGUUAUAGUAAAGAUAACUAUUUCAUCCGUAGUUCAUUUCAUUCUACAUAAUUUGGCAAUUUCAAAAUAACAAUAUAAAACAUUUAGUUGAGACUGAUUUGACUAGCUUUUGGGUUGCAUUGAUGACUCAAUGUCAUCUUUUAAUCUUAUUGUGAUUGCCAACUAGGCCGAAUAUAUGGAAAUUUCAUGUUUGAUACUGAUACACCACACGACUCUAUAUACUACUUUGUCCUAAAAUAGUAUUCGUUUUAGAUCUUGAUUUUUAUAUCUAUAUUCAUGUAAAUGAUGAUAUAUAUAUAUAUAUAUAUAUAUAUAUAUAUAUAUAUAUAUAUAUAUAUAUAUAUAUAUAUAUAACACAUAUAUUAUAUGAAUUCAUUAAUUAUCCAAAACAAAUUUUAACUACGUCUUAUAAAAUGGAACGGUGGGAGUACAUCACAUAGACUCACGCUGCUAGGAUCAACAUGAGGCACAAGAGACAACUAUCCUUUUUUUGCAAUUUAACUGAAAGCUAAGAAGUUGGUCGUGUUUAUUGGGCUUGCAUCUUAUCUGCACCAUCUGUUUCAAUCAUAAUCGUUUUCUUGUUCUUAUACAUAACUUAUACUCCCUCCGUUCUAGUUAAAAAGUGAAUUAUUGGACGUCAUAUAUUUAGAAAUGGAGGUAGUACCUGUUUUGUCUUCUCUUAUCUCUCUCCUCUAUCUUGGUAUAUAAAGCUUAUCUAUGACCUUUUAGGGUUCUUUGAAAUACAGAAAUUUCACAGUAAUGAUGUAUAGUAAUUUUAGUUCAAAAACACAUAGAAAUCGGGAAAUUUUCAUUUGUUCCAAAAGAUGUCUUAUUUAUAAUUGCUCUUAGCGGCAGGGAUUAUUUAUAGCCUCGUGCAGUCGGUGGUCUUGGGAAAUGAAAUCCUAUCCUUAUCUACCAAUGGGACCAGUAGUUAAAAUAGUUAAGUGUCUAAGGGCAGUUCUAAUAGCUAGCAUCGUAUUAUGUAAUGCCUCGUACACCAUGCACUUUAUUUAUAUAUUCUCGCUCCGAUUAAGAUAGUGAAAUUAUAUUUGUCUCAUACUCCACGUGAUCUUAGCCUUUCACUUCCCAUGAGGUCAAAGGUUUUGAGCCCCUCUAUUUUUAUUCUAAGCUAGGUGAAUCGUUUAUAAGAAAAUGAUGAUUACUGUAUACCUUUGGUUCACAUAUUUGUAAUGUAAUAGAUAACUGAUAAAAUUAAAUUAUAUUUGUUUGAGUCCAACCAUAAUCAGAUACCACGCAAUAAAAAUUGAUAUCGGCCUAUUCAAACUUUACCGUUAUUAUUCGAGUGUGAAUCAUUAUCGUUGUCAUUUAUGUUACAUUUGAUGAACCAAAUAACACUAAAAUGAUUUUUUAAAAAAAAUAUCGGUUUGUUUUGUUUAUCUAUAAAAUAAGUUUUUGAUGAAAUUAAAACACGGCGAUAACUUUUUAAAUCACUGGAGAAGCGCCUAGCCAUAAUUUGUAGAGAUGAUUUUUUAUGACAUCCAGUGCAAAUCCAAAAAUCGAUUUCUAAAUAUGAACCAUGAUCAUUGGAUCCUCUCCUAGCCGUAUUUAUUUCUACACAUGAUUGGACUAUUUUUCAAGGCAAUUGUUUUUUUUAUGCCAUUAGGUUGAAAUGGGCUCUUUUAAAACGUGGGAAUCUCGUGUAGAAAUAUCCUCAUUUUUCUUAGAACAAGCGCAGAAACAUGAAAAAAAAAUUGCCUCGUGUUCCAGAUGGAUCGAUCUAUAUAUAUAGUAUCUCUAAAUUAGCGCUAAAUAUGGUUUUUAGCAGUGAUAGUAGUACGUCCUGUAACUAUAAUACUAUCACUGCACCUGUUAUUGGCCGCCAUGGAACAUGAGUAACCUGCCACGUACGAAACCCAGCGGAUUCUCUUCUCGACGGGACUGUAACUUCUGCUGCCACGUGCAGCGGGCCCACCUGUCUGUGUCAGAUGUUGAAAUUGAUUCCCAAUCCUAUCUACUAACUCCGAACUACCGUUGAGCUAGCUAAAAAACAACUCAUUAUCAGUACAUAUGACACGAAGGAUCACAUGAUAACCCAACAAACUACAGUAUUAUAUUUGGCAACCCUAGCUAAGCUCGUCUAUAAAUAGAGGCAUCUGCUCCACCAAGUCUACUCACCAGCUCAAAGCUGCUUUAGCUAGCUAGCAAGAGAGAGAGAGAGAGAGAAAAAAUAUGGCUCCACUCGUCGCUACUGCCACGAUGAACCACGCUGUGGCCCAUCUGCUAGGACCCAAUCAUGAGAGUUUCUCACGGCACCAUCUUUCUUCCUCGCUGCAGCAAAACAGUAAGCGAAGGUGUAAUCUUAGCUUCAGGCCACGAGCUGCUGAGAGUCAGAAUGGAAGCCAAACGCUGAGCCCCUCGGAAGUCCCUAAAAGAGACUGGUUCCCCUCUGACUUCAUCUUUGGUGCCGCCACUUCAGCGUACCAAGUAUGGUGUUUCGAAUGUUUACGUCGCCGUCUUUUGAUAUUUGAAAGAGAUGAUGAUGUUGGACAAAAUUUGCUAUGCAUGUACGUAUCUGUGUAGAUUGAAGGUGGAUGGAACGAGGAUGGAAAGAAGCCAAGCACAUGGGAUCACUUCUGCCACACUUUCCCAGGUAACUCCUCUCCAGCAGCGCCCCCGGCCCCCUUUUUUUAUUGGGUUUAUGAUAAGCAAUGAGAUGCACUUACCACUCAAAAACCAUCAUAUGUGAUUCAUGUGCUCCUUUUUCAAUAGAUUGGAUAGCGGAUCACAGCAAUGGGGAUGUUGCAGCAGAUUCGUACCACAUGUACAAGGUAAGCACUGUGAUACCACCAUCAAUAACUAGCUAUAUAUAUCCCCAAACGAAUUGGGAUCGCGGAUGUAAAUGCGUGCAGUAUAUGUCAUCAUUGAUAAUAUUCAAAUAAAUAUUUAUGCGGACAUGAACUGUUUCCUAGCUUGCGCAGGAAAUGUUUUUUUAAUCCUGCUUAUGGUAUGCUAAAUUUUGGGAUCUCCGUUGGGAAAAAAAAUGGAAGUGAUUCUUUUAUUUUUACUUGGAAUAAGUUGAAAUUUUACGUAAAAUGCUGACAAUUUUUUUUUGCAGCUAGCUAACUCUGUUAAACAUGUAAAUAUAAAUAUGACUAUGAAAUAAUAUAUUUUGUACCUUGCAGAUUUUUUUUGGCAAAAAAUGUUUAUGUACAUGUACUUCUAACUAAGUAUGUCUGCUAAUAUAUAUUAUCGUCAUUAUGACUGGUAGGAGGAUGUCAGAUUACUGAAGGAAAUAGGGAUGGACUCCUAUAGGUUCUCCAUCUCUUGGUCCAGAAUACUGCCGAGUAAGUACAGAUUAAAAUAACCAAAUAUCUUUUCUGGGGUCAAAUUGUUGUGCCAUCAAGUUGUCAUAUAAUUAAACUAACAAAAGAUAUAAAAAUUCUAAAAAAAUUGGUAGUUGUACUACAUUAUAUACUCUAAUAAUAUAUCAAACUAUAAAUUCUAAAUCUUUAUAUAUCAAAAUAAUAUAAGAUAUAGAAAUAUUCUACCACGAAGAAUUAAAAAUAAUAAUAGAAUUUUAUAUCUCUUAACAUAGAAUGAACUAGAAUUAAAACUAGAUAUACUGGUAGAGUAUAUAAUGAAGUACAACUAAAAAUUUAAAUCUUCAUGACUUUUGGUAGUCUGGUUGCACGACAGUUUGACUCUUUUUUGUACUAUGCAUACAUCCAAUCAGAGUUGUUGGAUUGUUAUGAUGCUAAUUUCAGUGUAUGCUUACGACUUUCAGAUGGCACACUCGAAGGAGGUAUUAAUCCAUAUGGCAUCAAGUACUACAAAAAUCUCAUCAACUUGUUGGUAGAGAACGGUAUAAACCCAAUUUUCAACCUAAUUUGCUUAAGAUCAUAAUCCAAUAUGAAAAAGUUUUCAUAAAUCAUUUUUUGCUCUUUGCAACUCAGGCAUAGAGCCAUUUGUGACAAUUUUCCACUGGGACACGCCUCAAGCACUGGUAGACAAGUAUGGUGGCUUUUUAGAUGAGAGGAUUGUGUAAGUAUUAUAUACACUUGAAAUAAUAUGCUCCCAUCUAUCAUUAACUUGCUUUCACUCCUUCCUUAAACAAAAUAAUACCGACGAGAAGAUGAUGAUUCUAAAGUUUUGUCAAAAAUUAUGGUUAUAAUAAACUAUGGACUAAAAUAUUUUUAUAUACAUUUUGGACAAAAUAAAUGUUUAUGGUUUAACUUCAUGUUGUUUCACAACUAAGUAUUAGAGAAACAUGCAUUAAUUGUCAUUCAUUCGGCUUUGUAUUUUUUCAGAAAAGAUUACACAGACUUCGCUAAGGUGUGCUUUGAGAACUUCGGUGAUAAAGUAAACAAUUGGUUGACCUUUAAUGAGCCCCAAACGUUUUCUUCUUUUUCAUACGGAACCGGGCUAUGCGCCCCAGGGCGGUGCACCCCAGGACAAAAAUGUGCUAACCCAAUUGGAAACUCGCUCACUGAGCCAUACACUGUUGGCCAUAACCUUCUCCGAGCCCACGCUGAGGCUGUUGAUCUUUACAACAAGUAUUACAAGGUAGCUAUAUUGUGAUAUUAUUAUACACACACUCCAAUAUACUGAUAAAUAAAUUGCAGGGUGAGAAUGGACGCAUAGGGCUUGCAUUUGACGUAAUGGGUCGUGUCCCAUACGAAAAGUCGGCGUUUACGGAUCAACAGGCCGAACAAAGGUCCUGGGACAUUAACCUAGGAUGGUUCUUGGAGCCGGUUGUUCGUGGUGACUAUCCCUUCUCCAUGAGAUCAUUGGCAAGGGAACGACUACCCUUCUUCACUGACAAAGAGCAAGAGAAGCUAGUGGGUUCC